Molecule: long non-coding RNA, 184991 nt
Filed under: Populus tremula
Lineage: Eukaryota; Viridiplantae; Streptophyta; Magnoliopsida; Malpighiales; Salicaceae
Description: long non-coding RNA (PTRE_LNC001616)
Source: RNAcentral
AUGCAUCCCCAAAGCUUCCUGCUUGAUUUCUUACAUGGGAUGGAUCCACCUUGUAGAAUACCGGAAUAACUCUCUGUCCAUUGUUUUUUCUACGCUCAAGAAUCUUAGCAAGCUCCUCCAAGCACCAUUUGGAAGAUGCAUAGUUUGCAGAAAAAACAAUCAAAGAAAGCUUGGCCUCUUCAAUUGUUCUCAGAAGUGAUGCCGAAAUCUCAUCUCCUCUCACAAGCUGAUCAUCUAUGAAAGUUAGGAGUUGUUUCCGUUUCAAAGCAGCAUGGAGGUGGCUGGUAAAACCAACACGAGUGUCUUCUCCCCUGAAACUAAGGAAGACAUCAUAUUUAAUUCCUUGUGGCUGGGCGGUGGUUAAGGUGGAAGGAGUAGAUGGGGAUGGAGAAACAAGGGCGGUGGUUAAGGUGGAAGGAGUAGAUGGGCAUGGAGAAACAAGGGUGGUUAAGGUGGAAGGAGUAGAUGGGGAUGGAGAAACAAGGGCGGUGGUUAAGGUGGAAGGAGUAGAUGGGCAUGGAGAAACAAGGGCGGUGGUUAAGGUGGAAGGAGUAGAUGGAGAUAAAUGACGGUUUCGUAUGAUGAAUCUCCAGAUAUAAGCAAACACUUCGAAGAAACAAGAGUAAUUAGACUCUGGUGGUAAGGUAGGCAUGGAGGGAGAGAGCGGAAGUAACUCAAGGAAAAAAGAUGAGGCUGAUUUUGAAUCAGUAGCUUAGGCUUUACGUGUUUAAGACCCUGCCUUACGUAUAAUUUAUAAUAAUCAAAUCCAAGAAUUUUCUUAGAACAUUACAAGAUUGCACAUUGUUGAUUUCCUGGAGAUUCCCCAGUUACAAAGUGAUGUGAUAGGAAAAGGCAUUUAUACGUUGUUUUGUUUUUAUGGUAUUCCCAGUGUUUUUAUAAAUUUUAAUUUUUAAAAAAAUUAAAUUUUUAUUAUUAUUUUAAUUUACUGAUAUAAAAAUAAUUUUAAAAAUAAAAAGCAUAUAUAUAUAUUCUUGUUUAUGAUAUCACAGCUGUGAUAGAUACCUUUUUUAAUAUUUCAAAUGUAUUAGCCAUUCACUUGGCGGAGUAGCAGAUCUUCUCUUUAACUUUUUUAUUAUAUAUUUUUUAAAAACACUAAACACUUAUAUGUGUCCCACAUCGAUCAUUCUUUAGUCUAUUAAUUUUUAAUUCAAAUUCUGUUAUAAUUUUCCAGGAAAUUACGAAUUUCUUGUCUUUGUUCUUUAAGGAACGGUUGCCUUUGAUAAUGGUCAUAUCAAAAUCUGUCAUAGCACUUUUUAGAAAUAUACUGUGUUUUAUAAAAAAUUAAUUUUUUAUUUAAAUUUAAUAUUUUUUAAUUUUUUUGAUAUACUAAAAUUAAAAAUAAUUUUUUAAAACAUAAAAAUAAUAUUUUAAUAUAUUAUAAUUUCCCUAGCAGCCCAAGGGAGCUGCCGUGCACAUGGAAGGAAAGGCGCGUUUAUCCUUGCUUGUAAACAAUGUUUUUAUAAAUUUUGAUCUUUUUUUAUUUUUUAUUUGAAAUUAUUAUUUUUUAUUUUUUUCCGGUUUGUUUUAAUAUGUCAGUGUAAAAAAAAAUUAUUUAAAAAUAAAAAAUUCAUUGUUUUAAUAUAUUUUUAAAUAAAAUACACUUUAAAAAAUAAUUAUUACUAUACUUAUAAAAGUUUUCUAUAUUUUCAGUCCAAGUAUUUGCCGGAGGAAUUUUUUGCUUUCAUGUUAUAUUAUAAUAGUUACGAUGAUUUAAUUGAAAAAAACAUGUUAGAGAGCUUAUUUGAUAUUGUACUAGUGAUUAAUUUUUAAAUUGUUUUUUUAUUAGAAAUACAUUAAAAUAAUAUUUUUUAUUUUUUAAAAUUUAUUUUUGAUAUGAGAACCUCAAAAUAAUAUAAUUAAAACAUAAAAAAAUUAAUUUAAAAUAAAAAAAAUUCAAAUUCAAGUAUUUUCCUUCCUGGAAAUUUUCCAUGCACAAAAAGCUUCAAGUCUUAUUAUUUGUGAUGCGGUAGGAAAGGGCGUUUAGGCUUUUGUUUGUCUUUGCUGUGUAAUCAAUGUUUUAAUAAAUUUUAAAAUUAUUUUAUAUUUUAUUUUAGAUUAAUUUUUUUUAGUUUUUUUUAGUUUUUUUUGGUGUUAAAAAUAAUUCUUUAAAAGUAAUAAAAAACAUUAUCUUAAUGUAUGUUCAAUCAAAACAUAUUUUAAAAAUUAAUUUCUACUACACUCAUAAACACCCUUUAUAUCUUCAAUCCAAGUGUAUGCACAUGCCAAAGACUUUUUUGCAUUCACGCCUAUUGUAUAUUUGAUUGAGAAGAACUUAUUAAAGAAUGUACUUGGUAUUGAGAUAAUAAUUGUUAUUUAAGAUAAUUUUCAUUUGAAAAUACAUUAAAAUAUUUUUUAAAAAUUUAUUUUUAAUAUCAAUAUAUUAAAACAAUAUAAAAAUAUAAAAAAUUAAUUAAAAAUAAAAAAAUCAAAUUCAUGUAUUUUCUCAGACGUUAGAGAGGGUGCACAUCUACUUGGAAAUUUCCUGUGGACAGAAAGGCUUAAUGUCUUGUUAUUUGUUUUUUCUUUUUGUGAUUUGGUAGGAAGGGUAUCGAGUCUUCCAUACAAGUGUUUGCACGAACUAGGACUUUGUUGACUUCCAAUUAUAUUAUAGUGAUUAUAAUUAUUUCAUUGGGAAAAACUUGUUACUCUGCCCCAAUAAUAGGAAUUUUUUAAAAAACAAAUUGAUACAGUUAGAGAAAUAAUAAUAUGGUUUAAUUUUAUUUAAAAAGGAACAUGGUUUUUUUUUAUAAAAAAACUGCUAUUUUAAACUACGAUUUUAAUAUAAAAGCGAUUCAGAAUCACAAUCGUGGUUCUGUUUACUGCUUUUGGCAAUAUAAUUGGCAUGCAUCCAUGUAAUUAUAAUUACUUCUUCUUUUUACAUGCUUUCUUCCACCUCAUUACACACAAUCUAUUCAAAUAAAUCGGCAGAUGCCUUUUCCUUUUCCUUUUAUAUAUAUUUAUUUAUUGUGAAGAAGAAGAAGAAAAAGAAGUCGUCUUGAAGGAGAGAGGAAGGGACUGGGGAUCGAUGGGGCCAAUCCUCUGGGACGACGACUUGACCUUAAGUACUCUUCCUGGCGAGUGCUUGGGCACCGUGUUCGGGAAGCUGAGUUUGGAAAUUACGUGUUUCAUCAUGGCUGUUGACGAGAAAAAGAAGAAGAAGAACAAGAAACAGUAAAAUAAUUAUUUUUUAUCAUUUAACUAGCUAGAUUUUUUUUAUAAAAUUCAUUUAUCAUGGUCAUUGUUGUAAUUAUCAAAGACAAAAUAAUUUUUAAACAUUUUACAAGUACAAAAAAAUAAUUUAAAUAUUCUUAAAAAUAAAGUUCUUAAAACUAAUAUUCAUGAGUAUUUUGGUCUUUUUAACAUUUUCAUAACAAAAAUAACUAUAUUACUCUUAAAAAAAAUAAAAUAAAAAUAAAAUAAAGAAGAAGUUCUUAAAACUUUAUUUAUUUUUUUUAAUUUUUUCAGAUUGAACUGAGUUAACCCAUAAAACCCGGGACUCGAUCCCUUGGCCGGGUUAACUUCCAGAUCGAGUUUAAUAACUAUAGUUUUUGCAUGUCGAUGAUAUUUUUGCCUAACAUUAUAUUAUAAUAGCUAUCAUAAUCUGAUUGAAAAGAAUUUGUCAGAGAAAUUAUUUGUCAUUGUAAUAAUAAUUAUUUUUAAAGUAUUUUUAACUUUAAAAUAUAUCAAAAUAAUAUAUAUUUUUUAUUUUUUAAAAUUAAUUUUUGAUAUCAACACAUUAAAAUGGUAUAAAAAAUAAUAAUUUAAAAUUAAAAAAAUAAAAAAAUUCUACUCAUUUCUUUCCGCUUUCGUUUUUCUGCUUAAGGCUGGAUGGGGGCCAAAAAUGACAUGCAAGCUCGAAAAUGGUAAGGGUAAAAAAAUUCAAGCUUGCAUGUCAUUUUUGGCCCCCAUCCAGCCUUAAGCAGAAAAACGAAAGCGGAAAGAAAUGCUUUUUCUUAAAACCUUGAUCCAGUGACCUUAGUUUGGAUUAGAUUUAAAUUCAUUCAGAUGAAGAUUAACCCUAUUCAUGAAAAUUUAAGAUUUAAAUUAUUAAUCAGAUGAAAAAUUAAAUUAUUCUAGUGUUAGUGUAGGGUUUAAGUAAUAGACUACCACUAAACUAAGCUACUUAGAUAAGCUCAAAACAAUUGAACUCUUAUUCAUGAAAAUUUAAAUUAUUUCUUUGUCAACGAAGAGGGCUGGACAACUUGCUAUGUCUUUUAAUUAAAAUUAAAAUUAAAAAAAACUAAAAAUUAUUCGUAAUUAUAAGAGACAAAAUAACUCUUAAAAAUAUUAGAAGUACAAAAAAAUAAUUUAAAUAUUUUUAAAACUAAUAUCCAUGAGUGUUUUGGUCUUUUUAACAUUUUCAUAACAGAAAUAACUAUAUUACUCUAGAAAAAAAUAAAAAAAAAUAAAAAAUAAAGAAGAAGUUGUCUUGAGUAGGGCCGGGGAUGGGCCAAUCAUCUUUUUGAUGGUCGGGCAAUAAUAGCCAUUUGGAUGGGGACGACGACUUGACCUCGACUCUUCCAGGCAAGUGCUUGGGCAGUGUGUUUGGGAAGCUAAGUUGCCUUGUGACAUUACGCAAUUAUGUAUUUCUUGUCUUAACGGUGGCUUUCGAUAAUUAAUGGUCAUAAUGAUUAGAGACAAAUUAAUUUUUAACCGUUUUAGAAGCACUGAGGAAUGUUUCAAAUAUUCUUUGAAGUAAAAUUUUAAAAACUAGGAUUCAUGGGUGUUUCGGUAAAAUAAUUAAAGUAAAAUUUUUAGUUAUAAUCAAAGUGAAUGAGAGAUAUUUGCAUCUUAAAAGCAUUCAUGUUUUUUAGACAGCACAUGUUACAUUUCUCCGCAAACAUGUGUGCAUGACCGGGGAUGGGCCAAUCCUCUUCUUCAUGCCCCUGCAAUAAUUGCUAUAUUGAAGGGAUGAUGACUUAAACUAAGUAUGUAUUUAGAAGUAUAGUUGUGAUUUUUUUUUAAUUGUUGUUAUUUUAAAAUAAAUUAAAAUAAUUUUUUUUUAUUUUUAAUUUUUUUAAAAUUAUCAUAUUAAAAUAAUUUAAAACAUAGAAAAAAUAUUAAUUUUUAAUAAAAAAAAUUUAAUUUAUUUUAAAAAUAUAGCUUUAACCACGUUGCAGACGGUGUCGGCAGAUGCAGAUGCCUUUUCUUUUUUUCUUUUUUAUCGGCAGAUGCCUUUUUCUUUUUAGAUGCCUUUUGCCUUUUCCUUUAUAUAUAUAAAGGAAAAAGAAAACACGUAAUUUCGAGGAAGACAUAAGGUCAAGUCGUCGUCCCCACCCAUCGAUAUGGCUAUUAUUGCCCGAGCAAUAAUGUCUUGUGGACAGAAAGGAUUCAAAUAUUCUUUGAAGUAAAAUUUUAAAAACUAGGAUUCAUGGGUGUUUCGGUAAAAUAAUUGAAGUAAAAUUUUUAGUUAUAAUCAAAGUGAAUUAGAGACAUUUGCAUCUUAAAAGCAUCCAUGUUUUUUUAGACAGCACAUGUGACUUUUCUCCGCAGACCAACACCACUUUUUAUGACUGUAUUAAAGCAUAACGACGUCAUUUUUUUAAUGGUUAGACACGUGUGCAUGACUGCGUAAUGGUUUGCCUCCAACAAUUAUUGCUGUAAUUAGAAGAAACAUAUAUUCUCGUGUAUCAUCAUAUCACAACUGUGAUAGAUAAUUUUUUUAAUAUUUCAAAUGGAUUAGUUGUUCCCUUAGCGUAUUAGCAGCUUUAGGAUCUUUUGUUAUUUUCUCUUCAAAUUUAUUUUUUUAUUAUUAUAUAAACACUUCUGUCCCACAUUGUUGACUUCCUGGGAAUUUCCCAUGUAGAAAAGGCUUCAUGUCUCGUUAAUUAUCAAAACAAGACAAAAGAAUGGCGGGCUAUAAUUCUCCGUGUGAAGAAGAAGAAGAAGUCGUCUGGAAGGAGAGAGGGAAGGGACCGGGGAUGGGCCACUCCUCUUCUUCAUGCUCCUGCAAUAAUAGCCAUAUUGACGGGGACGACGACGUGACCUUACAAUUAAAUUUGUAUCAUCAUUCUUACAAGAAUAUAAUAAUAUGAUCAACAAUUCUUUAAACAGUGUCUCCAAAAAGCCGUGUUUCCUGGAAAUUUAUUAUGUAUAAAAGGCUUCGGGUUUUUUUUUUUUUAUUAGGGCAUCAAGUCUUCGAUCAAGUGUUAACGCGUAUAGAGGAAUUUGUUGACUUCACAUUAUAUUAUAAUGGUUAUUAUGAUUUUACUGGGAAGAAAUAACGAGUUAUAUUGCUCAUUAUAUUACUCUGCCCCAAUAAUAGGAAUUUUUUUUAAAAAUGAUACAUUUAGAGAAAUAAUAUGGUUUAAUUUUUUUUUAGAAAACAACGUAGUUUCAAAAAAUCUGCUAUUUUAAAUCUCGAUAUCUGUGAUUUUGCAAAAUCACAAUCUAUCCAAAUAAAUCGGCAGAUGCCUUUUCCUUUUUCCUUAAUAUAUAUUUAUUUAUUGUGGAGAAGAAGAAGAAAAAGAAGUCGCCUUGAAGGAGAGAGGAAGGGACGGGGGAUGGGGCCAAUCCUCUUCUUCAUAUUGACGGGGACGACGACUUGACCUUAAGUAGUCUUCCUGGCAAGUGCUUGGGCAGCGUGUUCGGGAAGCUGAGUUUGGAAAUUACGUGUUUCUCGUCACCAGUGCUUUGACUGUUGAUAACGACAACUGGUGAUUUUGGGCCUGCUUUGGCAACUUGAUAGAAUGUUUUUGAUCCUCACCAUUUUCAUGAUGUGAGCUUGCAUGUCAUUUUACGCCUACAUCCAAUCUUAUGCGGAAAAACGAAAGAGGAAAGAAAUACUCAAUGAUUUUAUGAGAACCUGAAAACGAAUGUUUUUGCAUCUCAUUUCUGGCCUCCAGUAACCUUAGUUUGGACUAGAUUUAAAUUAAAAUAGAUGAGAAUUAUCCCACAAAACUACUAAAAUUAAAAACUAUGAAUAUAUUAUUGAGACUUUUACUGAUAACAAAAUGAACUAUGAACAAUCAGUACUAUCAAUGGUCAUAUUAAACUACAUAUAUAUAAAAAAAUAAAAUUACAAAUGCAGUAUCCACAAAGUUUAAGUCUUGAGUAACAAAGUUAUCUAUACAUACCAUGCAUUGAUGAUAUGAGAACCUGAAAAUAAACCCAAUAAACCUUCAAAGUACAGGUCUUUAAAAUUAAGAAAAAAAAAAAUUCUUCAUGUGAACUGAGCAUAUGAAAAUAAUAAGAGAAAAAAAGGGAACCUGCUAAGGGGUUUACUGAUAAUUAAUCUUCAUGUGAACUGAGGGCACAUUUUUUUUUAUCCUUUUUUUUCCAGUUUAUCUUAAACGUUAGAUUUACUGAUAAUUAAAUUUUAGAUUUUUAUUUUUCUCCGUGCGAGGUUUUCCCUUUGUAUGCAGCCCCUUUAACAGUUAAUCUGCAUUACAUGGGACAUGGAAAGUGAGCUCAGAAUAGGAAAAAGAUGUGAAUUUGUUGACUACACAUUAUAUUAUAAUGGUUAUUAUGAUUUUAUUGGAAAGAAAUAAUGAGUUAUAUUACUCAUUAUAUUAGUCUGCCCUUAUAAUUGGAAUUUUUUUAAAAAAUGAUACAGUUAGAGAAAUAAUAUGGUUUAAUUGUUCUUUAGAAAACAACAUAGUUUCAAAAAAUCUGCUAUUUUAAAUCUUGAUUUUAAUAUAUCUGUGAUUUUGCAAAACCACAAUCUAUCCAAAUAAAUCGGCCUUUUCCUUUCUCCUUUUUAUAUAUUUAUUUAACUGAUGACAGAAUGAACUAUGAACAAUCAAUGCUAUCAAUGGUCAUAUUAAACUACAUAUACAUAAGAAAAUAAAAUUACAAAUGCAUUAUCCACAAAGAUUAAGUCUUGAGUAACAAAGUUAUCUACACAUACCAUGCAAUGAUGAUACGAGAACCUGAAAAUAAACCCAAUAAGCCUUCAAAGUCCAGGUCUUUAAAAUUAGAAAAAAAAAUCUUCAUGUGAACUGAGCAUAUGAAAAUAAUAAGAGAAGAAGAGGGAACCUGCUAAGGGGUAGUAGAAACCAACACCUUGAAGGUGUUUGCCAUCUCUUGGAGUAUGGCUAUUAGCAGCAACAAUUCUAUAAAAUGCCCUGUUUUUGCAUCCCAGUCUUGCUAAACCAAUCUUCACCGCCAUUUUCUCUACUAAAAUAAAUAUCUUAGUAUUGGGUUGUGACUGAUUUUAUGAGCUUUCUUAUUAUCAUAUAGAACCAAUGAUAUAAAUUCAUGUUUUCUAUAUAUUUUUUUUCUUUUCCUUUUCGUUGCUUUCUUCACAUUCUUCUUGCCAACCAAGCUUGAACUUGGUUUCAGAGUGGGAGAAGACCUUAUAAUUUACAAUUUAUUGCCAUCAUUGGCCCCAGUCAGAUAUACUUUUAUUUUUUACAGUACUUUCGUCAAUGGUUCUUUCAUACACACACAUGUUGAUUUCUAAGCUGAUAAUGUUCAAAAAAAACUUCACACUUUUUUGAUAUUGUGCAAGCACUCAUAUCAUUUGAUGUAUUCCAUAAAAAUAGCGUGCAUUCGACCAUUAAGUUAGAGACUAUUUAUCGGUGGGUUGCUUCUUACAAUGGCCCUAAAGAUGUGAGUAUAGCCUUCCCCAGAAGUCUUUUAUCUUUCAUAUAUUUAUGGUGUAAUGGGCACAAUUUGGUAAAUCAUAAUGGAAACCAGGUCUAAAACCAAGUCUUGUUUAUUGUUCCAGGAAACUUAGAUUUUACACGAACAAUGCUAAAUGCCAUUUCUAGCAUGUUAUGAGAAGUAGUUAUGAGACACUCAUCAAUGAGCGUGCUUAUAUAAAAAAUCACAGGCCGACAAUAAAAGCCAUCUAAUAUUCUUAUAGCUUGGUUUUGUUCAAAUCUUCUAAAGAAAUAUGGAUUGUUUAUUCAAUGCACUGCACCAUUCUACAGUGCUUUUACCAUAGAGAGAGGAACCCAAAUCUAUAAGAGCCAACGGAUUGCCUUGUACAUGACUUACAAUCUUUUCUAUCAAUUCUCUAUGAUCAAUUGUGGGGUUGCAAUUCUUCAAGGCUUUUGAGCUAAAGAGUUUAAGAGAUUCUUCAUAGUUCAACCCCUCAACCUCGUAUGUUUCGUCUACUACAUUUUUAAGCACUUGCUUGUCCCUACUUGUUAUGAGAACUUUACUGCCCGAACCAAAUGAAUGUGUCGUCCAUCAAGCAAAUCUUUCCAUUCUUCCAAAGGCAUGAAAUCAUCCACAUCAUCCAGAACAAUAAAAACCUUUUUACGACGAAGUCUCUCCCUCUCAAAAGAAUCUCGAAAACUAAAGGAGCCAAUGUCAUAAUUUCUUGGCCAAGCAGCUGUGAAAGAAAGCUUCUUUGCAAAUCAGCCAUGGAACCAGUUUUUAAUUCUUGCCUAAAGUUUGCGAAAAAGAUUCCUUCAAAUCGAGAACGAACCUUGUUGCACACAGCUUGAGCAAUCGUUGUCUUACCGAUACCAUCCAUUCCCCAUAUCCCUACAAUGAGAACAUCUGGAGAUUCCAUAUUUAACAAAGAUUCAACUUUGUUAACGCGAACAUCAAUUCCAAAUAGACCCGUAGUGUGACUUGAAGACACAGCUUGCAAUUUGUUCGAAACAUCUCCAAUGAUUUUCUCAAUAAAUUCAGACUCCAGCCUGACAAACAAGAAGAACACACCUAAUUGUUAGCCAAAAUGGACCGGACAAGAAGAAACAUAUAAACAUGCUCACUCCUUAGUAGCUACAUCUAUACAUAGUAGACACGUAUGAGUAAUUGAGCAUCAUUAUUGGCAAUGGAUAGUGCUAAUGUAACACAUGAAUCAUAAACCUGGACAAGAUUCUCUUACUGGGCCUCUCGAGAGAAUGAAUUUGAGUUUAGAAAUAUGCAGCAGCUCCCUACUUGUAUCACGCUACAGUAAUCAAUCAUUGAAACUGGAAACUACUUGUAAGUGUAUAUCUAAGAAAAUCAAUGAAAUGCAAAUGCAUAAUAUGUUUUCUCAAAUCAUCAUAUCAUAUAAUCCUUUCAAUUAAAAAAGUUUAAGUUGUUAGGAGAAAAUCUCAAAAUAUAUAAUUUAUAGUAUUUUUUAAGUCAUCAUGAUCUUUUUCACCUCAAAUUAAUGCCCCAAUUUCAAGUGAAACGAUAGAAGAAAACAUUGAAACGUUGAUUGUCCUGAUAAAAAUUAAUAUAAGGAUUCCUAAAUAUCUUCUUUCUGUCUCCUAAAGCUUAAGAUCUGUACAAGUGUUUCGCUACAACGUUUUCAAAAUCAAAUAAAAUAAAUAUAAAUUCACAGAGCUCAUCAUUCUCAAUAAUUUUAAAUUAAAUCUCAAAUCCUCAACAAAUGAACGAAUAUUUUUCUUAUGGGAUAUAUUUCAGGAGCUUACUCAGACUUCCCUAAGCUCCAUCCAGGUAGAUUGGCUGCAUCCGUCAAAGCGUCACUGAAGCUCUGCACUUCUUCCAACGUCAGAGCUUUAUUCCUUAUAAGUCUAGCAAAUGCAUCCCCAAACCUUCCUGUUUGAUUUCUUACAUGGGAUUGAUCCACCUGGUAGAACACAGGAAUAACUAUCUGUCCAUUGUUUUUUGCACGCUCAAUAAUCUUUGCAAGCUCCUCCAAGCACCAUUUGGAAGACGCAUAGUUUUCAGAAAAAACAAUCACAGAAAGCUUGGCCUCUUCAAUUGUUUUCAGAAGUGACGCCGAGAUCUCAUCUCCUCUCACAAGCUCAUAAUCUAUGAAAGUUAGGAUUUGUUUCCGGUUCAAAGCAGCAUAGAGGUGGCUGGUAAAAGCAACACGAGUGUCUUCUCCCCUGAAACUAAGGAAGACAUCAUAUUUAAUUACUUGUGGCUGGGCGGUGGUUAAGGUGGAAGGAGAAGAUGGGGAUGGAGACAUCAUAUUGUUUUGUGGAGAGACAGUCGAAGAAACAAGAGUAAGACUCUGGUGGUAAGGUAGGUCUGGAGGGAGAGAACGGAAGUAACUCAAGGAAAAAAGAUGAGGCUGAUUUUGAAACAGUAGCUUAGCUUGAUUUUUGAAACAGUAGCGAGGAGAUGGCAUCAAAUCCCAGAAUUUUCUUAGGCAUUACGGAAGUAACCAUUUGUUGAUUUCCUGGAAAUUCCCCAGUUACAAAGUGAUUUUGAAUCAGUAGCUUAGGCUUUACGUGUUUAAGACCCUGCCUUAGGCAUAUGUAUAAUUUAUAAUAAUGGGGGCAUCAAAUCCAAGAAAUUUCUUAGAACAUUACACGAUUGCACAUUGUUGAUUUCCAUUGUUAAAAAUCAAAAGCAUAUAUAUUCUUGUUUAUCAUAUCACAGCUGUGGCCUGUGAUAGAUAACUUUUUUAAUAAUUCAAAUGUAUUAGGUAUUCACUUGGCGGAGUAGCUGAUCUUUUGUUAUUUUCUCUUUUUAACUUUUUUAUUAUGUAUGUUUUUAAAACACUAAACACUUCUGUCCCACGUCAUUCUUUAGUCUAUUAAUUUUUACUUCAAAUUCUUUUAUAAUUUUCCUGGAAAUUACGAAUUUCUUGUCAAAAUGUGUCAGAACACAUUUUUGAAAUAUACUGUUUUUUUUUUAAAAAAUUAAUAUUCUUAUAUUUUUAAAUUAUUUUAAUAUAUUAAAAUUAAAAAUAAUUUUUUAAAAAAUAAAAAUAAUAUUUUAAUACAUUUUAAUUUCCCGUAGCAGCCCAAUGGAGCUGCCAUGCACAUGGAAGGAAAGGCGAUUUUAUCUUUGCCUAUAAACAAUGUUUUUAUAAAUUUUUAUUUUUUUAAUUUUUUAUUUUAAGAUUAAUUCGUUUUAGUUUUUUUCGGUUUGUUUUAAUAUAUUUGUCUUAAAAAUAAUUUUUUAAAAUAAAAAUAUAUUAUUUUAAUGUAUUUUAAAAUGAAAAACACUUUAAAAAACAAUUGUUAUCAUACUCAUAAACACUUUCUAUAUCUUCAGUCCAAGUAUUUGCCUCGCGGAGGACGCUUUUGCCUUUAUAUUAUAUUAUAAUGGUUAUUAUGAUUUAAUUGAAAAGAACUUGUUAGAGAGUCUGUUUGAUAUUAUACUAGUAGUUAUUUUUCAAUUUGUUUAUUAUAAAUAUAUUAAAAUAAUAUUUUUUAUAUUUUAAAAUUUAUUUUUGAUAUUACAAAGUCAAAAAAAUAUAAUUAAAACACAAAAAAAUUAAUUUAAAGUAAAAAAAAAAAAUCAAAUUCAAGUAUUUUCUCAGGGCAUUACAGAAGGUGCCCAUUGUUAGCUUCCUGGAAAUUUUCCAUGCACAAAAGGCUUCAAGUCUUGUUAUUUGUGAUGCCGUAGGAAAAGACAUUUAGGCUUUUGUUUGUCUUUGCUAUGUAAACAAUGUUUUAAUAAAUUUUGAAAUUUUUUUAUAUUUUAUUUUAGAUUGAUUUUUUAUGUUUUAACAAAUAACAAGACAUUAAGCCUUUAAUAAAUGUUUUUUUUUUUUUUAGGAAAAGACAUUUAGGCUUUUAAUCUUGUUAUUUUAGAUUGAUUGACAUUUAGGCUCUUGUUAUUUGUUUUUUAUUUUUGUGAUUUUGUAGGAAGGGCAUCGAGUCUUCCUUAAGUCAUCUGCCGAUGAUAGAUUAUGUGUAAUGAGCUGGAAGGAAUCAUGUAAAAAGAAGAAAUAAUUAUAAGCCAUAUUGAUGGGGACGACGACUUCAUCUCAAGUCUUCCUUUAAAUUACGUGUUUCCUUUUUCCAAAUAUUUUCUCAUGUACAGAGGUGUUGACUUCCCGGAAAUUUCCUAUGUACAAGUCUUGUUCUUUGUUUAUUUGUGAUUUGGUAGCAAUGAUCUACACGCAACGAUCAAGUGUUUGUUAUUUGUUUUUUUUUUAUCUGCAUCGGUUAAAAACCAGACCAGCAAACCCGUUUGACCUACAAGGUCAACUCCUAGAUUUGAUUUAAUAAUUAUAUAGGAUACAUUCCUAUUAAGACGAAGCUACUUUGUUAGGCUUGAAACAAUUGAACUCUUAGAGCAAUUGUUUUGUCUCUUUUUUACAUGCUUCAAAAUACUAUUUUAUCAUUUAAGAUCAUUGCUUUGUCCAUGAAAAGGGUUUAGACAACUUGCUAUGUCUUCUAAUUAAAAUUUUUAAAACUAGGAUUGAUGGGUGUUUCAGUCUUUUAAUGUUUUAAUAGUAUAGUGAAAUAACUACAUUUGUUCUUAAAAGAAAAAUAAAAUAAAAUUAAUAUUUAGGGGUUUUUUUAUAUUUUUUUCAAGGCUUUUUAGUUAUAAUAAAUGUAAAUUAAAGGCAAUUUAGUCUUUUAAAAAAUAAAAAUAUAAUUAAAAAAUAAAAAUUAAUUGAUAUGUGUGUCUGGAUGACAUCCAUGCUCUAUGAGUAUCGCAUGUAACAUCUCUCAAUAGACAAACACUUUUUUUGUGAUAGAGCUGAAAGUGUCACAACAUCAUCUAAUUGCUAAUGACACAACAAUCAGCAAUAAAUAUUUUCUCAAGUAGAAGGACAUACAGGAACAACAAUCAGCAGAUGUUCCAGAUGUUUAAUAAUUUUUUUAAUUAAUAGAAACAAUAAAAAUGUUACCAAAAUACUAUGCAUAUAGACCAAAAAAAAUAACUAUUUAUUGCGACAGUUUAAUUAUAUUUUUCCACUUCUAAGAAAAAACCCAAAAGCUUAUGAGUUAAGGGCAAUUCAAUUUUUUGGCAUCGGUCAAUUAAUUAUUUGACCGGGAAACAUGUAUGUAACCAAAAGCUUUCGAGUUGAGGGCAAUUUUUUGACUAGGACAUAUGUAACUUUUGUAUUUUUUAUGCAUGAUAAAAUGAUUUUUUCAAACCCGGUAUAAAAAAAAUCUAAUGUUGUUUAUUAAGGAUAUUUAGGUUUUUUAGAUACAGUAAAAAAAACAUAUUUGCUCUUGAAAAUCAAGAAAAAAUCAAUCAUUAGUCUAGAGAUUUUUUUUUAUUCAUAUAGGUUUUUUUUUUAAUUCCAGAACUAUAAAGAACAAUUUAAUCCUUUUAAAAUAAUUAACUAAUUUUUAAAUUCAAAAACUUAUUGAUACAUACAAUUCACAUGUCAUCGCAUGGGAGACACUUGUACUCUUUGGACGAUGUGCUCGUGUCUCUAGUGGUCAAAUCUACCCUUUUAGUGGAGGUUAGUUUAUUACUGAUAAGUCAUUUUUUUUUCUUUUCUCUUUUCUCUUUUAAAAAUUAAAGGUUGGUCAUUUUUAUUAUUGAUAUUUUAGUUUUGAUCUUCAUUCUUUCCAUAUUUAAUUAUUUUCUUUAACAUUUUGUAAGAGUUUUAUUUGUUUUCAAUUUAGUUCUUCAAUUUCAAUUUAUCAUAUAUUAUUUUUUUCAAUUUGAUCCUUGUUAUUUGAUUUCUAAAUUUUUUCAAUGCCCUGUUUGUGAAAGUUUUAUUGUUUUUUUUUUUAAUUUCUUCAUUCAAUCCAAUUUUAUGGUGUAUUAUAUUUCUAGUCCAGUCCUCAUUCUUUUGAUUUUCCCCUUUUGUUAAAAUUAUUUUUCAUUUCAAUUUAACGCUUUAAUAAGAAAAUUGGUUUCGCCUUCUAAUUUAUUUAUUUUUUCAAUUUCAUCCUCAUUCGUUUAAUUACUAUUUUAAAUUUUUUUAAAAAAUAUUUUGCAUUAAUGAUUUUUUUAUUUCAUCAUUCAAUAUUUAAUUUGUUAGGGACAUGGUUCAUGAUUUUUUCAUAUAAGGUAUUUUUUGUCUAAUGACCUAGAUCAUGAGUUUAAAAGGUUAACGUGGACUAACAUCCUAUUUUUAGCUUAUUGUUUUUCUUAUUUCAUCGUUUGAUAUUAGUUUUGUUUUCAAAAAAUAAAUAAUAAAAAUUUCACAUUCAACAUUAGUUUUUUUUCCUUCUUCUAUUUUUUUUAUUGCUAUUUGUUUUGUUUUUUAACUUCUUUUGAUUUAUUCUUAUAUUUGUUUCUAAUUAUUUGAUUUAAUUUGAUUUUUUAUAUCAAACCUAGUUUUCACUCUUUAGAAUAUUUUAUCCUUUUAUUAAUUGAGUUUUUGUUUUUUUUUUUUACUUUCAUCCUUAGCAUUUGAUUUCAAUUUUUUUAUGUCGAAUUUUGUCCUCGUUCUUUUUAUUGAUGUUUAUUUUGUUUAAGAUCCUUUUUUUUAUUGCAUUUUUCUUUGUUAAUUUUAUCCCUCAUCAUUUUUAUGGAGGAUUUUGCUUCUUUUUUUUCCACCUUCUAUGAGGUUAAUUUUAGCCUCAUGACUAGGAUCAUGAGUUUUGAAAAUUGACAUGAGGUGGCUUUGGGUUUUUUUUUUUUAUGUGCCUCAACGUUAGAUUUUUUAGAAUUGGUCUUCUUGCUUCUUCUUUUUUUUUUAAUUUUUUUUAUGUGGAAUUAUCUCAUUCUUAUAAAUAUGGUCACAAGGUUAACGUGUUCCCCGGGUUAACUCUAACAACUCAAAUCUUAUUUUAUUUUAAUUUUUUUUAAUUUAAUUGGAGGCAUCUUUUUAUUUCAAAUUUUGUUUUGUUAUUUUUUAGUGUUUAUCUUCUAUGCAGUCGAUCUCCUCAAUUUUCGCUUCAGUCAUGAUCAUGAGUUUCAAAAGUUCACACGUGUAGAUUUUUAUCUUUUUAGUUUUUUUUUAUAAUUAUUUUUUUAAAAUUUCACCCCUAAUAUUUAUUUUCUAAGGAAAAGAUCUUUGUCCUUUUACUUUUUACUUUUUUUUACAUUUAAGUUUUUGGUGUUAUCAAAUAUAUUAAUUCUAUUUAGUUAUUUAUUGAUCAAAUAUGAAUUUAUAUAACUUAUUGUAUAUAUAAACAUUUUAAUUUAUAAUUAGAGAUUUUUUAUAUUAAAAAACUUUAAUUUUUUUAUUAAAAAAAUCUAAUUCAUAGUAAAACAUGAGUGAAAUAUCUAAUUUGUUUUUUUGAAAACAAUAUUUUUUUAGUUUUUAAAAUAAAACUAAAACCAAUUAGUUUCGAAAUUGACUUUGCUCAAUCGGCCAAUCAGUUAAUCGGGUUUUGGAUUCGAUCAGACACGGGCCCGUAUGAAAUCUAUGGUCAGUCCCCACCUGAAGAAACGAGAGGCAGAGAGAAACCAAAGAGAUGAGGUAACGGCAUCGACAAGCCACACGAUUCAAUUCUCUACCAGGAUAUAUAUUGUUUCCUUUGAUAAGUCACAACACAAAUUCCACUACUCAUUUUCAGUGUCCUAGAUUUGAGUAAGUUUUAGUUCUUUUUCAAAGUGGGUGGUUUGAUUUAGCUUAGCUUACCGUGUUGUAAAUUAUCAUCUUUUUUGUUGAAUGCUGUACUUGGACGUCACUUUUUGUAGUAUCAUGGUGUUAGUGAUUGUAUUGUGAGGAACCCAGUUGGGGAAUUGGUUCAUUUGUUCUAAAUCUCCAGUUUGGUUUGUUUUAGCUUAGUGUGUUUUACUUACUUGUGAGUUAUACACUUGAAUAUGUUGUUUUGUGGAACGAGUUCUUUGUUUUUCAUGAUUUUGUUUAAAAAUGGAGCUCGAGCUUGAGUUUCUAGAAGCCAACUUAAGGAGCGUUCAUCUUGGUAUAAUGAAUUGAAGCGGUCAUGAUUCAGUUUUGCUCAUUUUGAUCCAUUUCUCACUUGUCUUUCGUAGUUUUGAUCCACAUUGAUGCCAUUUGUUUUCACUAUUCGAGAAAGAGGUUACUUUUUUUUUAAUGUCAAGGAAUCCUCUUAAUCUGAUUACUUACAUCAGAAUAUAAAAUUAAGAUAUGAGGUCUGUAAGACUCUUCAAUAUACAAAUUCCUUGUCCACCUUUAAAUAACAGAAUUUGACAAUUUUCAGUGAGCCUUGCAGGCAGUAACUUCCAUGCACAUCGGUUAUCAAUUCACCAAGUUUUGUGUUAUCAUGUCACAUAUUUCUUCAUAUACCUCUGGUAUAGUAUUUCUAUUGUAAAAAAUUUCAUUCAUGUAUUUGAAACCACAACUACUACAGAUAACAUUCCAUGGAGGUUUGCAACCAUUUUGCUCAGUCUGGAAGGAUUUCGAGUCCAUAUGUAUGUCGUAGACAGGGUACUUUUGGGAAUGUCAAAUAUAACACAUCACCAAAGAAUUUUCUUCAAAACACAAGCUAUAAAGUCUUUCUACUCCAAUUUUAUUGAAAGCUUUGCUUUCAUUAAUGAUCAUUCUUGCCCAAAUGAACUAGGCAACAUUAAUUGCAACUUUUAUAAGGAUUGGGAUUCUUCAGUUGGAGCAAUAGAUGAACUGCACCCACACCCUAUGGGAGGUGGUAAAUUGAAAUUCUUAGAAAGUUAUAACAUAUCUGAUGUUGAAGAAGGACCUUUGAACUUUGCAGACCAGUUUGCUGAUAAUACAGAUAGUUUAAUACAACUUGUGGAACCUGAAAUAACAUCAACUAUUGAUAUGACACCAUUGAAUCCCAAUUUGCGAUCUGAUUCCCUAGAAAUGGAUAACGAUUCAUUAUCUAGUGCAAAGGCUGGUUUGAUGAUUUUUUGGGCGAGGCUAGGGACUCCAUCAACACUUCAGUAAAUAAUGGAGGAAAUGUUGUGCAAAGCUCACUAGGCACAAUUACUUCUUCAAUAACAUCGAUUAAGAAAGGGGCUUCAGAAGCAGUAGAUGGUGCCUUGAGUAAAGUAUUCUCUACUUUUGAUCAAACAGAAGAAUUAGAUGCCAAAGAUUGACUAGCUUUUCAUCUAGUUUUAGGGAAGCCACACAAAAAGCAACUGGCACUUCUGUUGAUGUGCUCAGAGUUGCAAUCGUUGCAGUGGAGGAAUCUAUAGCAAAAGGGGCUUCUUUUGUUGAUUAUUCUUAUAGGCCUGCCAAGGAUUUGCUUCCUCUAGAGAUAAGGGAUGCACUGAAUUUGUCUGAAGAAAGGGUAACAGAGAUUUUGAGGCCAAUUGGUCCUACUUUUCAGCAGGUACAUUAUGCUUGGCACGUUUUACUUUGAUGGCCAUUGUACUCUCGUUUAAUUGUAUGGACUUGGAAAAAAAAAUCUCCUGCAAAGAUAUAUUUGGAUUAUUUUAGAAAUCUUUUUAUUGGAGACAUCAGUCACUACUUUCAGCUUACAGGACUUCUAGUUGAAAACUCAAUUGCGUCCAUCUCUGUUACACUUCUUAAUUAUGUGCUGAUCUAACUAAUUUAUGAUCCAAAACCAAAGCUAAAUUUCCUAAACCUGCUUUUACACCUUAAGCAGGUUUACAUUGCAAUUGAGGGGCUGGAGAAAAGUCUUGGCUUGGAUCCAAAUGAUCCAGUUGUGCCUUUAGUUCUUUUCCUUGGAACCUCAGCCACUUUGUGGUAUGGUUGUCCUUUUGUGCAUGAAGGAUUUGUUUAUUUAAUCUGCAUUACAUGGGAAGCUUAAGUUUUCUAUUAGAUUUGUGCAGGGGUUUUUAUAGGGUGUGGGUAUAUGGUGGUUACUCUAGAGAUUUGUCUUCGCAAUUAACUUUGGAGCUCUUGGCAGGGAAGGAAGACACCUUAUUGAUGUCCGGCCUGAGGCAAGAGAGUAAAUUUUCUGGCCUUUUAUGUUCCUAAGUUUCUUUUUUGUUAGAAAUUUUAUUACCUCAAUGAGAGACACUAAAGCUGACUGCUCAGACAUUUUUUACAUCACAGUAAAAAAAUCUCAAAUCUGGCACCCUCAUUAAUUUCCUUUUUUUGCUCCUUAACUUGGCAUUGAACUUGGUGGACAUUGUUUAUAUGAAGGUUCUUAGAGAAAGAGAUGGCAUUCCUGAUCUUAGGCGAGCUGCUCGGUUUCGCUAUGCAAUUGUAACUCUACUAGAGGUUGGUUUUAUUUGAUAAUACUAUUCAAAAGCUAUGAGUGGAGAGGUAUUGCUAUUUGGUAUGAGGAUGAUAGUUUAGAACAAUUACUUUGUUUCUAAAUGUCAAAUAACUCUUUGAACCAACAAUAAAAAAAAAUAAAACAAGAAUUGGAGCUUGAAUAUAUCCCUUUUUCAUAACUCUGUCUUAUAUUCUUCAACUUUAUUCAGGUUGAUGGCCCAGGAAGGAAGCUUUUAAAGGGUGGACGAGAUCUUGAUGACAUCUUAAUUGAUGCAGUCAUUCGAAACUUGAAAGCUAUACAGGUAUAGCUUUAUGUUUUAAGAGCUUCGAUAUAACUAUUGUUAUGCAUGCCAUCUUUAUUUCAAGACAUUCAGAAAAAUGAGAAUUCUGAGUAGUGCAAGAAAGAAAGGAAAUUCUCGAGGGGAGGGGGUUUGGGCUUGGUUUCAUCAAUGUUGUGUGUUUUAGCAUCAGUGGCCUCUGAGGCCACAAGAAAUUGUUUUGGUAUUACCAUAUGCAGUACAGUUGCUACAUCACAAUCUCCUGAGUGUUCCAUGUUUAAAUCCUGAAGCAGGAACAUUGUCUCAAAUUUACCAGGUAAUAGUUAUGGAUGUUGAUGGUUCUCGCAUUGCUAGAUCCUUGAGAAAGCUUGGGGUUAAGGCAGGUAUUUAGAAUCUCUAAGAUUUUUUUUUUUAUCACAUAAAAGCCUAAACAUGUAAUUCAUCGUGGAACUAUAAGGGCGAAAUGAAUUUAUCCACUCUCCCUUAGUCAAGUUUCUUUGGGAUAAAAACCAUUUCUGAGAGUUUUUCAGUAUCAGUAACCUUAGAAACAAAUAACAAUAUCCAUAUUAACCAGAUUUGGGAAGAGUACAUUAAUGUCUUUUGUGCAUUUACAAUGUUGUUAAGUCAAAAAUUGUUACUCCAUAUGCAUGUUUUUCUGUCUUAUAAAUGCUGUAGAUAGAACCCAAUUUUCAUUCAUGUUGUUCUCAAGUGGUAUAAUUCAGAAAGCACAUUAGUAUUACAUCUAACAUGUGUCCUUAAAAUAUCUCUCUCUCUAAAAAAAAAAAAAGUCUUUACAUUGCUUCAAUGGGAAGUUGCAAUGUAUUAAUCAAUUUCAAUAUUCUUUUAUUUCAUUCCAUAGAUUGCUGGGCUGUAUUGUUGUGUAAAUGACUUGCAAAGAAACAAGUUAAAUGCAUGAAUUCUAGAUGAUAUCAUGGUUCAUUCCUGGACUAAUCAUAUAAUUUACAUACAGAAGAUAGUAUAAUUUUGCAGAAUUAAACCUUGUGACCUGCAUUAUAAGAAAAUUUGAACUACCAGGUGAGUCUAUUGUUAAUCUGGAACCACAACCUAUUGUAUCAUAUUGCUAAUUGUUUGUUUGCAAUUUUAUGUGACAGAGACCAUACUUGGUCCAAGGUGGCUUCCAGUCUUGGGUAAAACAAGGUAUCCAAGCCAAGGAGCUUAAACCUGAGACAGUGCUAACCAUACUUAAUAAGGUAAGGUUAUUGCAUGACUUGCAUAUUCUCCUAACUAGUAUAAAGUUCUAGAAAUACAAAAUUCUAUUUGCUAAAAGCCAUCGAUCAACUCAAAGUAUAUGUGUGGAAAAUGACAAGCUAUAGAUUAUAUAAUAAUAUAUUCAGCCAGCUGAGAUAAAACUAGAGAAUUGAUUAAUUUGACAUUUGUUUCAAAAACACAUGGAAAGAGUGAAAUUUCUUUGUUGGGUGCACAAUAUUGGUGCCCAAUGGAUACUAUCAAAAUGGUAUCCAUACAGCACAGAACAACAUGCACACACAGAGGCAUAUGAGAUGUACUUGUGUCUGUGUAGUGCGUGUGUAAAUUUACGUGGAGAGACUUGUUUCAAAAACAAAUAAAAAGAGUGUGCUAUGUGCACUCACACUUGUAUGAACAUGUGCAUCAUGAGUGUUUGUAUAUAUGUAAUUGAUGGGCUACCAUAAACUGGGUAUGCAGGCCAUAGGAAUUGUGUAUGUUUCGAAGCAUGAGAGAGAGAGAGAGAGAUUUCAAAAAAAUAAAAAUAAAAAGAGCGUGCUAUGUGCAAUCACACUUGUAUGAACAUGUGCAUCCUGAGUAUUUGUGUAUAUGUAAUUGAUGGGCUACUAUAAACUGGGUAUGCAGGCCAUAGGAAUUGUGUAUGUUUCGAAGCAUGACGGUGCACAGAUUUAUGAAGUGAAAUUAUGCACAGUAUCCAAGUAUUGAUUCUUGAGAAAAAUGAUUACUUUGUCUUUAAGCAAUCUAAUGGUGUUAGAAUUGGCAUCUCUUGUUAAAGACUUUUGGUUCAGAUUGAAUUAUUUCUUUGGUGAACUAGAUUGAAUUAUAUGGAAUUCAAUUGGAGAAGUGAUUGUUAUUCGAACUGUAGUUUUCAUAAAUUUUUCGACGUGUUAGGUGCAAUUGAUUAAAGAACUCUUGAAGCUGUUGUGCAGAUAAUGUAGUAAGAAAUCAACAAGAGGUUGUAUCCCAAGUAUCUGAGCCCAAGUCUACAUGAACGUUUUGAAACAUUCAAUCAAACAAGUUGAUAUGAUUCAUUACAACUCAGAAAGUUAUUUUGAUAUAUGCAACAAGCUGACUUGGAUCAUUUUACAAUCUGGGAGGAAGGUUGUUCUCCUUGUUCAUACAAAUCAACAACCUUCAGAUUUCAAUCAACAUUUUUCUUGUUGCUAAGACCAUUUGGUCGUGUAGGAUUUACAUUCAAUAUGCUUUGUCAAUCUAUGCUAUUCUUUUCAUGGAUUGCAAAUUAUAAUUACAAGUAUUUUCUGGAAGUGCUUGAUUUUCUUGUGCAAGAUCUAAGCUUUUCACAAUAUACUUGAUAGUUGUGACAACUUGGCAUCAUUUCAGGAGGCUGAAGCAAUUCUAGAAGAUAUCAGACCUUUGCUAGUGCAAACACUUGGGUAUGGUGUGGUACGUGUUGGGCGGAAUCCGGCGACCGGUGAUGUACUGAUAAUUGCUCAACGGAGGGAAAGAACACUAAGACACAAUAUUUUACGUGGUUCGGCAAAACCGCCUACAUCCACGGGAGAGAGUCAUUUUAUUAUAGAAAGAGAAGGGAUACAAUAAAUACAUGGAGGAGGAGGCACAUCCACUCAACUCAACUCACUAUUCACGCAGCUGCAAUGGCUACAGGGCUGCUGCCCAUGGCAGCAGCUCUUUCUCUCCUCUUUCUCUUCACUUCAUUCUCAUGUUCUCUCACACCUUAGCUCUCAAAACAUGCCUCUUUUAUAGGCAAUGCUAGCACCAACUCCAGCUACUUUUCAUCAAUAAUGGCUGCUGAAUUUUGACAAUUGAGAAGGCUGCACAUGGGAGUCAAUGGUGGCUGCUCUUCUUCAACAAAGGUGGAUGGUCAAAGUCAAUGGUUAGGCACAUUAAUGGCAACACACCUAACAAUCACCCCCUUUGACAUUUAUAUGGGCAAUUGUCCUCUUGCUUCUUCAGCACAAUCUUGCAUCCUGCAGCUCUUCCAAGCUUACCAUUCCGAGAGCGUCUCUGGCCAAGUUUACAGGUACUCGCCAAACCUUUCAAUCACCAGAGUCACCAAAGCACACCCUUGCUUACACCAAAGGAUCACUUCAACCAGAUGGUCUCACACAUCACAUCUGAAGAGUGUUAACGCUUGUCUCUGGGAACAUUCCCCUUCGAGCGUAUCAACCAUGCUCGGUCCGGAAUGAUUUAUCAAGCCUCACACCAAGGCUUACAACACCCCCUCAAACGGAUAUUCCAAGUGCGACAGUCAUUAUCUGAGUAUCUCAAUAUGAUCACAAGCCCACCACUCUUCCAAGAGUCUACUCAUCCAGGAGUUGCGCCUGCCCUCUGUUCCACCGUAGGAACCACGCCUUACUUCUCCGUGAGUCUCUCGCUCUUAGUCGUAAGAGUCCAGGUAGCUCUCCACCUUUAACCAUGGGGGCAACCCAUUAAAGGUUGAUCCAUAUCUGUCUUCAUACUCUGAGUAUUACAAUGCCAUCUCCGAGCUCACCACCUUGACAAGAGUCAACUCGUUCCCGGAACCUGCGCAUGCCCUCUGCUCCUUCAUAGCAGCCGCGUCUUAAUGCUCCACAAGUCACCACUUAUUGUCCAAGGCAAAUGUCUUCUAGCUCAUUGAUCUUUAGCAUGGGGGCAAUAUCCAUGAAAGUCAAUCCUGCAUUUGUCUUCAUACUCAUCAUAGCCACUUCAUUGGCUAUCCACCUGUCCACUCAUAUCUAGCCAUCACAUUGGCUCUGGGGCGUUCUGAACUGGGCUCAUAUCGUGGCCCACACACCUUCUCCUUAGGUGUCUCCGCUCGUCGUCAUGCGGCGGUCUGAAAUCUGGGCUCAUAUCAUGGCCCUCACACCUUCCAUCCGAGGUGUCUCCGCUCGUCGUGGAGCGGUCUCAUCCUCCUUCAUCGGGAUGACUCAAGUGGCUUCAAGAUUCUCUACCACCAUGUGGACUUGGGAGAGAUUACUGCCACUGACUACAUAGAAAGAGAAAAUUGCGGUAUACUCCUCGCAAUCCUCCACCUUGAUUUCUAUGUUUGGAGCUUCUAUGCCUUUCUGCUUGACAGCUCCACCUACACCAACUCUCUUUGGUGGCUUCGCCUUUCAUCAUAGGCGGUCGCCUUUUAUCACAGGCGUUUGCACCCCCUCAAUUAGGUGCCUCUGCAACAGCUCAUCUUUCCAUCCUUGCAUGCAUUGGAAAGGUCCUCGCUUGUUGUCUUUAUCAAGAGCAUAAGAGACUUCAUGUUGUACAUUCUUCACACAGUCUCUGCUCUGAGCUUCAUCUGGGAACUCUUCUUCUCCUUGCACCUGUUGUCUCAUUACAGUACCUCGUUGGAUCCCUCGGGUACUCUUGCACAAUCUCGUGUGCCCUCGUGCAAUUACUGUUCUCCAGAUUUCUCCCUAUUCCUUGCUUAUGUUUGACAGCAGCUCAUCCCGUCACAACACCUGUCCAAGUCAAAAUAGGGUGCCAAUCUUUAUCCCCUUGCUGUAUUUCUCUUCCAUUAUCAGGGUCUUCAUCAAUUCUCCCUCGAGAAAUCACAGUCACCGAAUCUGCUUCUUUGGAGAAAUCACCACUCCAUCAGAUCCUUGAUCAUGCGGAACCCAACUGUUCCCCUUGUGCCGUCAUCCUGCUAGUCUUCAACCGUUUCAUUACAAACUGCUAUAUAUACGAAAAUAGUACCGUAUGGAUAAUCCUUCCACUAAGCAAGUUCCCAGGAAAGAUUGGAGGGGUCACAACGGUCCCGCUUAAAACCCAAUCUCCUAGACAGAACUUCUUAGGCCAUAUCUAUCCAUCGUACUGUCUCUCCGUAUAUACAACCAUUUGCUAGCUUUGUUGCGGCUUUCCUUUACAAGUGAUCUGGAAUAUACAGGUUUAAUACAUGAUUUCUCAACAUCUAGCGAGACUACUAGUGCUUAGAUUCGUCAAGAUUGGUCUUCGUCAAUUUCCACUCUCCACCUCAAAUCGUCCACAUAACCGGGUGUCCAGAGUGUCCCAAUUUUGCCUUCCAUCAAGGCAUUAAAUUUAACCAUUUAACAGUUCAGCACAUGUAAUUGGGUAAACAUGUGCACCUUCUUCUUCUUCAUCUCCAUCGACCACUAUGAUGACCUUCAGAUGCCUCCUGAUCGGGCAAUCUCUCUUUAAUAAUUCACCACCGCCAUUUUUGGUCUCGAAUCUCAACGAUCGGACCGUACCAUUGCAUCCGGAAUGAUAAAAUUAGCUGGAAACAUGUCUUAAAUCGUCCAAAUCACACUUCAGACGGCUAAGCUUUGAUCAAAACAAUUCUGGCAUGAUCAACGGCUCAGAUUCAAUCUCAGAUUCGGUUGCACGUAGGAUCAGCUACACUGGAUCCUAUCCCUCGGCUCGGCUCAACUCGGCUCGCGGCUGAUGACGUGGCAGGUGGGCCCCCUAUGCUGACACGGAUGUUGACUAGUCAAUUUCUUGUUGACUGUGUAUGAUGAUGUCAUCCUUGCAUCAUGCUGAUGUCAUCCUGUUCAUGAUACCGUCACUAUUCAUGUCUACUGUUCACAUUGGUCGGGUCAACUGGUAUUCGGGUCGGGUCAACUCAUCCGGGUGAAGAAGAUGCGUGGGGCGCGUCUGUGCGCGUGGGCAGACGCCUUGCCGGAGAGUGAUGGAGAGUGCGGCCAUGUCCGACGUCCGAUUUUGACGCCGUUUUCACCGGUGGCUUCGUAUCGUCGUCCUCUACACAGUGGGAUGGUCAAAACACCAUUUGGACAACUUUCAUUUUUGAGCAAAAAAUCAAACACCACUUAAACCAUUUGGCUCUGAUACCAAUUGUUGGGCGGAAUCCGGCGACCGGUGAUGUACUGAUAAUUGCUCAACGGAGGGAAAGAACACUAAGACACAAUAUUUUACGUGGUUCGGCAAAACCGCCUACAUCCACGGGAGAGAGUCAUUUUAUUAUAGAAAGAGAAGGGAUACAAUAAAUACAUGGAGGAGGAGGCACAUCCACUCAACUCAACUCACUAUUCACGCAGCUGCAAUGGCUACAGGGCUGCUGCCCAUGGCAGCAGCUCUUUCUCUCCUCUUUCUCUUCACUUCAUUCUCAUGUUCUCUCACACCUUAGCUCUCAAAACAUGCCUCUUUUAUAGGCAAAUGCUAGCACCAACUCCAGCUACUUUUCAUCAAUAAUGGCUGCUGAAUUUUGACAAUUGAGAAGGCUGCACAUGGGAGUCAAUGGUGGCUGUCAUCUUCUUCAACAAAGGUGGAUGGUCAAAGUCAAGGUUAGGCAUAUUCAAGCAACACACCUAACAAUACGAAAUCAGAUUGCUUUUUUGUGAUACUGCACUAUGAUUAGUCUAUUUCAAUCAUUUCUACACUUGGAUUUCUUUUCCCCAAAAUCCAUCUUUUUUUUAAAAAAGGAUAUCUUGUGUCUAGAGAGAUGUGUUUAAGGGAUGGGAAUGAUCUUUUUAUUUUGUAGCAAGGACAUAAAAUAAUUACAGGUUGAUUUCUCUGUUUUGAAUGUAUGCUUCUGUAUGGUCUAGAGACAUGCUUCCAUAAAUAUGUGUACAUGAUUAACUAGAACUAUUCAUGCUGUUUACAUCAGGUCUUCAUUAAUCAUCAAUCCAUGAUUGAUAAAUAUCUAUUGCUUACCAUGCAAAUGUCCAGUGCAUCCUUUACUUAUACUAUAUUCACGCUGUGGACAGGGUUUUGCUGCAGCAUCAUAUGCAUUGCUAGGUUUGUACAUUUUCUUUUCUUUUCUUUCUUGUUGCUUUCUUCACGUUCUUCUUGCCAACCAAGCUUGAACUUUGUUUCAGAGUGGGAGAAGACCAUACAAUUUAUUGACAUCAUUGGCUUCAGUCAGGUAUACUUUUAUUUGUUAUAUUGCCCUGGUUAAUGUUCCUUUCACACACACAUAGAUGUUGAUUUCUAAGCUGAUAAUGAUUAAAACAAACUUCACACAUUCUGAUAUUGUGCUAGUACUCAGAUCCUUUGAUGUAAUCCGUGAAAAUAACAUGUAUCCUUUGAUAAUAGAUCUCCUUUGUCUAUUUUGCAUGUGUCCUAGGGAAAGCUUUAUGUCAUUGCUAAAUUUAGUUAAGUGAACAUUGAGUUUCUCUAAUUAUUGGUUUCUCAUACUCUGUCAGACUAUUGAUCAGCGGGUUGCUUCUUACAAUGGCCCUGAUGAUUUUAAGCAAGCUGUGAGGUAUAAAUUAGUUUGCUUAGGCUAGUUUUGAGUUUAUUUGAAAGAGUUAUAAAAUGUACAAUAAUAAAAUCUUGAAUUUAAAGUUUUUAUGUACUUACUGUUUUUCUUGAAUAAAUGCGCUAGAUGGUUGUUAUAGUUAGUUGAGGAAUUAGUUGAAUAACAGAAAGUUAGUUCGUUAGUCAGUUGCAAGGGAAGAACAAUAUUUACAACUAUCUUGAAAACCAAGUAAUAAUUGAAGAUCAAUUUGCAGUAAUUACAGAACUCUCUCUCCCUUUCUAUUUUCUUUUAUAUCUCCCAAAAUUUUCUUUUGAACUUUUUGUCCGCCGGUAUAUUUUCAUCAAAGUGCAGAUACACCCCCCAGCUUUUCAACUCCAAAGGCCUUUGGAUAUAAUGACCUACCUCCGUAACUCCAAGGUUGUAGAAAUUAAAUGUAACUUCAUUGCCAGAAUAUUGAUGUAAAUAAUUUCCCAAUUGGCGCUCGUAGUGUAGAAUCAUGUGAUAGGAGUCACAUGACACCAAGACAUCUGUUGGAAUCUGGUCUACCCCUAAAACAAAGUCGUAGACUUUAUCGUUUUUACACUUAACAUAGCAAUCACAAUAUGCCCUAUGAAAGGGAAGAGGGCCUAGAAAGACAAGGCAGAAAGCAAUUCCCUUGAGCGGACGACAAUUUGAGGGCAACUGUAUGGUGACUGAAGAUCCAAUUCCUUUGUCACCGAACCAUUCUGGAAUUUCACUCCCCGGUAGAACCAUAUCAAUUCUGCCAUUUAGGAUCUCCUCUCCGGACUGUAAUACAAAAGUCACAUUUCGAAAAUGUGAUGAAGCAAGCAAGAAAGAGAGAAGAAAUAAAGACGGGGUUAAAAGGGAUACCUGAAUUCUCAAAUGCAUUGCCUCUAUCAGUUGUUUCUGAUCCAAUUUGAAGCAAUUUCUAAAAUCCCAUUUGAAGCAGAUAUUGAUAGUUGAUGUCACGGUUUUUAGUGAUGCACAGUCAUGUGCUUUUAGAGUCUUCAGCGAAGGGGGAAGUUCAGGUAGCUCUUUAAUAGGUGUUCUACUCAAAGUCAGAUAUUCCAAACAUACCAUAUCUUUGAUUGACAAGGGUAGCUCUUUAAUAGGCGUUCUAUUCAAAGUCAGUUCUUUCAAACAUACCAUAUGCUUCAUUAAUGAUGAGGGUAUCUCUUUAAUGCCUGUUUCACCCAAGUGAAGAUAAGUCAACGUUUUGAGUCUUGUGAGAAACUGGAUUGAUGAUGGCACCUCUUUAAUAGCAGUUCCCUUUAGAUUUAAGCUUGUUAUAUCCCCUGAAAUCUCUGGAAACUUGGUGAUCUCCCGGCAACCACUUAGAGAAAGAUGAACCAAAUUGCCAGUAACUGAUUGUGGAACUUCUUUGAUAGAAGUUUGUUCCAACUCUAACUGUGUCAUAUUUUGUGAAAUCGUUGGACACGUGGUCACAUUUAGGCACCGACUUAUUACAAGGUAUAUGAGAACCUUUGAAUCAAGCAUUGGAAAACUUCUAAGAUUAUAGCAACCAGUGAGAUCAAUAACUUCCAGCUUGUCAAGAUAUUGAAGAGAUGACGGAACCUCGGUUAACCUUUUACAGUUACGAAGUCUUAAGCACUCUAAAUUGUUGGCCUUUGAUAGAUCUGGCAAUUCCGUCAAAUAUGGAGAGUCAGAUAGGUCAAUUGUUCUUAAAUUUCCAACAUCCUGUCAACAGAAAAAGGCAUAAUUAGAAAGUUAGCACCUCCAACUUCAUAUUUCUGAUCAUAAAUCUGUAGCAAUUAAAUCAUACCUUUACUACUGUCCAAAGUUUUACAAGCUUGCUUUUGCGUAGGCGAAGCUCGACAAGGUGUUCAGCACGAAAAGAUGGCGGCAAGGAUUUCGAAGGGAAUCCAUCCCAUCGCAAAUAUCUCAGCUCAUUAGGAAGAUAUUCGAGGCCAGUAGGAGGAAGGUGCAUUUUAUUUUCUAGGGAGAAAAAAUCGUGAGAGAAAUUGAGAAAUCUAAGACCAUCCAUCAUUGCGAAGGCAUCAGAUUUCAAGUGUAUGUCUCCCGAGAAUUCGGACAUGUCCAAAGAUAUGCCUUUAAUUUUUCGAGUUCCCUGUUAAACAAGAAUAAAGAAUAAACAAACAAUAAUACAAUCUACGCAAACACAUCAACUUUUGAGCAAAUACAUGAUCGACAGUUAAUGGCUGUAGCUUUCACCUUAUUUUCCUCCAAUACUUGAACGACAUCAGGAGGAUGACACAACCAGCUACGUUCGCCAGGAAAAUCAGAUUCUGCACGAACAAUGUUAAAUGCCAUUUCUUGUAGUAAAUCAUGCAUUUCUAGCCAGUAAUGAGUUGGAGUUAUGAGACACUUAUCAAUGAGCAUGCUUAUAUCGAACUCCACAGACCGAUCAUAUAAGCCAUCUAAUAACAUUCUUGUUACUUCUUCUGGCUCCCUCCUAUUGAAGAAGAAAUGUGCUAUGUCAAGAAAUAUGGAUUUUUGUUCUGAAUCCAACCCAUCGUAACUAAUUCUCAACGCCCUUUCGAUUUGAGGGUGCUGAGCUAGUUUAUUCAAUGCACUGCGCCAUUCUUCGAUGCUUUUACCAUAGAGAGAGGAACCCAAAACUUUAAGAGCCAACGGAUUGCCUUGUACAUGCCUUGCAAUCUGUUCUAUCAAGUCUCUUUGAUCAAUUGUGGGGAUGCAAUUCUUCAAGGCUUUCGAGCUAAAGAGUCGAAUAGCUUCUUCAUCGUUCAACCCCUCAACCUCGUAUGUCUCAUCAACUACAUUACUAAGCACUUGCUUGUCCCUACUUGUUAUGAGAACUUUACUGCCCGGACCAAAUGAACUGUUUCGUCCAUCAAGCAAAUCUCUCCAUUCUUCCAAACGCAUUAAAUCAUCCACAUCAUCCAGAACAAUAAAAACCUUUAUACGACGAAGUCUAUCCCUCACAAAAGAAUCUCGAAAACUCAAGUAGCCCAUAGUGUUCAGAGUUUCUUGGCCAAGCAGCCGUUUAAGAAAUUUUCUUCGCAAAUCAGAUUGUUGCCUAAAGUUUUCAAAAAAGAUUCCUUCAAAUCGAGAACAAACCUUGCUGCACACAGCUUCAGCAAUCGUUGUCUUACCGAUACCACCCAUUCCCCAUAUCCCUAUAAUGAGAACAUCUGGAGAAUUUAUAUUUAACAAAGACUCAACUUUGCUAACACGAACAUCAAUUCCAAAUAGACCAGCCGUAGUGUGACAUGACUCGAUAGAUCCGGAGGAAGACAUGGCAUGCAAUUUUUUCAAAACAUCUCCAACGAUUUUCUCAAUAAAUUCAGACUCCGGCCUGACAAACAAGAAGAACACACAUAAUUGUUAGUCAAAAUGGACCGGACAAGAAGAAACAUAUAAACAUACUCACUCCUUAGUAGCUACAUCUAUACAUAGUAGACACGUAUGAGUUAUUUAGCAUCAUUAUUGGCAAUGGAUAGUGCUAAUGUAACACAUGAAUCGAUGAUAACAUUGAGUUGAGUGAUAUGUAAAAAUACAUGACAUUCUUCAGUGAUAUGCAUGUAACACAUGAAUCGAUGAUAACAUUGAGUUCAGUGAUAUAUAACACGUAAAAACUGGAAACUACAUGUAAUCGGUGUUUAUCUAAUAAAAUCAAUUAAAUGCAAAUGCAUAUGAUGUUUUCUCAUGCCAUCCUUUUCACCUCAAACAAAUAGAAUAUUAUUUAACGACAAAAGAAAACUUUGUCUGUCCUUGUAAAAUUUACCGUAAGGAUCAAAAAAAUAUUUUUUAAAAAUAUAUUAUUUUUUAUAUAAAUACAUCAAAAUAAUCUUAAAAGACUUAAAAAAAUAUUUAAAAAAAAAAUAAUUCAAAAAUAUAUUUUUUUUGAAACAAAAAAAUAAACAACCACUUAAUAUCAAUACAAGCCUUAAUAUUUAUACAAGCGUUCCCCUACAAAUAAUUUUUUUUUCAAAAUUAUUUUUAAUAUAAACAUAUUAAAAUAAUUUAAAAAUACUAAAAAAAUUAAUUUAAAAUAAAAGCAAUUUAAUUUUUUUACAAAACAUUUUAAAACACAAAACAAACAACCACUUAAUAUCUAUACAAACAUUUUAUAUUAAAUAAUAAUUUUUUAUUUUUUAAAAAUAUUUUUUAAUAUACACACAAAUAAUAUAAAAACACUAAAAUAAAAUAAAAUUUUUUUAAAAACAAUUUUAAAACACAAAACAACCAACCACGUAAUAUCUAUCCAAGUGCUUCGCCACAACGUUUACAAAAUCAAAUAAAAUAAAUAUGAAUUCACAGAGCUCAUCAUUCUCAAUAAUUUUAAAUUAAAUUUCAAAUCCUCAACAAAUGAACGAAUAUUUUCUCAUGGGAUAUAUUUCAAGAGCUUACCCAGAAUUCCCUAAGCCCCAUCCAGAUAGAUUGGCUGCAUCCGUCAAAGCGUCUCUGAAGCUCUGCACUUCUUCCAACGUCAGAGCUUUAUUCCUUAUAAGUCUAGCAAAUGCAUCCCCAAAGCUUCCUGUUUGAUGUCUUACAUGGGUUGGAUCCACCUUGUAGAAUACCGGAAUAACUAUCUGUCCAUUGUUUUUUCUACACUCAAAAAUCUUUACAAGCUCCUCCAAGCACCAUUUGGAAGAUGCAUAGUUUUCAGAAAAAACAAUCACAGAAAGCUUGGCCUCUUCAAUUGUUCUCAGAAGUGAUGCCGAGAUCUCAUCUCCUCUCACAAGCUGAUUAUCUAUGAAAGUUAGGAUUUGUUUCCGGUCCAAAGCAGCAAGGAGGUGGCUGGUAAAACCAGCAAGAGUGUCUUGUUCGCUGAAACUAAGGAAGACAUCAUAUUUAAUUCCUUGUGGCUGGGCGGUGGUUAAGGUGGAAGGAGUAGAUGGCGAUGGAGAUAUAUGAUGGUUUCGUAUGAUGAAUCUCCAGAUAUAAGCAAACAUUUCGAAGAAACAAGAGUAAUUAGACUCUGGUGGUAAGGUAGGUCUGGAGGGAGAGAGCGGAAGUAACUCAAGGAAAAAAGAUGAGGCUGAUUUUGAAUCAGUAGCUUAGGCUUUACGUGUUUAAGACCCUGCCUUAGGCAUAUGUAUAAUUUAUAGGCAUCAAAUCCAAGAAUUUUCUUAGAACAUUACAAGAUUGCACAUUGUUGAUUUCCUGGAAAUUCCCCAGUUACAAAGUGAUGUGAUAGGAACAGGCAUUUAUACGUUGUUUUGUUUUUAUGGUAUUGACAGUCAGGGGCGGAGUUAGGAUUAUUUGUUAGGGGGAGCUAAAUUUAAUAUAGCAAGAUAUAAUAUUUGUUUUAAUUUAUUGUACAUGAGUUGUAAAACAAAGGUAAAAUAUUUGGAGUAAUAUCAAAUUAAAUCAAAGCCAUAAUGUUAAUUUCAUCUUAAUAAUAUAUCUAUUACUUUAAUGUUGUUGAUCUUUAUAUCUAUCAAAUAUAAACAUACAAAAUAUAUAAAAAACACUAUCUAAAACGAAGCAUUAUUUAUGUUUGAUAAACUUUAAAAUAAAGGAAAAAAUAAUAAAGAAUGAUUUUUACAUAUUUAUUUUAACUGUGCUCGUCGUUCUUUCAUAGAAUAGAAAUCAUCGAUUAUCAUAUCAAUUGUGAAUCUUUCAGCAAUUUUUUUUCUAUAUAGACAAUCAAAUAAUUUGUAAGAAAAUCAUCCUCCAUAUGAUGGAUUGCGAAGUCUUAUUUUAACAAUUGUUAUCACUGAAAAAGUUCGUUCAAUAUGAUGUGAAUUAUCAAUAUUUUUUUUAAAAAAAAUCAAUUCUUCUUAUUUUGUUCAUGUUUCAACCUAAAAUCAAAACAUUUAUCAUAAGAAAAAAUUGAUAAUUUUGGUGGUUCUGCUCUCUCUCUCUCUCUCUCUGUCUCUGUCUCUCUCUCUCUCUCUCUAUAUAUAUAUAUAUAUAUAUAUAUAAUUCAAGCACAAUCAAAACAAACCAAUAAAAUAUAUCUAAUUAAUUAGAAAAAAAAUCAUUAUAACAAGAAUUCAAAAAAAAUAAUUGGUAGAACUAACAAAUCUGAGAAAAAAAGGAGAAAAAAUCAUAGAAUUAUAUAUAAAAAAACAUUAUCAAAUUAUUAACAAACGUUUCAAAACAAAACAAAAUUAGAUUUUAAAUUUAAGUUGUCUUGUUUUGUUUGAUGAAAAACAAAUUAAUUGGUGGCUCUGCAUCGAUCUUUUUGUAGAAAAAUUUUGCUCGUAAUUUAUGUUUUUAUUUAUGUUUUUGAUCAGCUGCAAGAUUUAUAUUACGGUAAAUUGGUGUCUUUGUUUUUUAUUUUACAAAAUAAUACUCUUAUAUUUUUUCCCUUCCCACGUAGUAAAGAGUAAAUUCAAAAGAAAUCAAAAAUAAAAUCACACUUAAUUUAAAUUUAAAGCUCACCUCUUUAAAAUAAAAAAUAUAGCAUCUCCUCACAUUUAAUUACUAAUACCCAGCAAUUAAAAAAACAUUGUGUUGCAGGGGGGGCCCGGGCCCCUGCUAGCCCCCCCUUGCUUCCGUCCCUGUUGACAGUGUUUUUAUAAAUUUUGAUUUUUUUUUAUUUUUUUAAAAUUAUUUUUUUUAUUAUUGUAAUAUACUGAUAUAAAAAUAAUUUUUAAAAAUAAAAAAACAUAUAGAUUCUUGUUUAUCACAUCACAGCUGUGAUAGAUAACUUUUUUCAUAUUUCAAAUGUAUUAGCUGUUCCCUUAGCGGAGUAGCAGAUCUUUUGUUAUUUGAUCGAGUGCAGUAUAACCUUUUUAAUGAAGUUUAUUUGUUAUUAUCGUAUUGAUAGAGAAUAAAUUAAUUUUUUAAUAUUUUAUAAUUAUAAUAGAAUUAUUUAAAUAUUCUUAAAAAUAAAAAAUAUGAAUUAGAGGUUUAAUAUGUUUCAGUCUUUUAAUGUUUUAAUAGCAUAAUAAAAUGAUUUCAUUAUUUUUAAAUACAAAAUAAUUAAAAUUGAUGUCCAAGUAUUUUUUUAAUAUUUUUAUCGUAGCUUUUUAGUUAUAAUUAAUAUGAAUUAGAGGUAAUUUAAUAUGUUAUCACUUAUAAUUAUAAUUAGAGGCAAAUGUAUAAUUAUAAUACGGGGGUUAUCAAAUUCAAGUAUUUUCUCAGGACAUUACAGAGGGUGCACACUGUUGAAUCCAUAAAUUUCUUAUGUACAAAAAGCUUGAGGUCUUGUUAUUUGUUUUCCUGUGACUUGGACGGAAAGGGUAUUUAUGCUUUGUUUGUCUUUGCAGUAUAAACCAUGUUUUUAUAAUAUAUUUUUUUAUUUGAGAUUAAUUUUUUUUAGUUAUUUUGGAUGUAUGUUAGUAAAAAAAAAAUAUAAAAAAAAAAAAAAAUUAUCUUAAUAUAUUUUCAAUUAAAAAAUACUUUAUAAAAUUAUUACCAACUUGUAAACACUCUCCAUAUAUUGGGUCCAAAUGUUUGCGCGCGGUGAGGCUUUUUUUGCCUUUACAUUAUAUUAUAAUGGUUAUAUUGAUUUAAUUGAGAAGAAAUUGUUAUAAAUUAAUUUGAUAUUAUAGUAACGGCUGGUUUUUAAUAUAUUUUUUUAUUUUUUAAAUUUUAUUUUUAAUAUCACACAUCAAAAUUAUAUAAUAACAUGAAGAAAAAAAUUAAUUUAAAAUAAAAAAUAAAAUCCACAUAUUUUCUGGAGACGUUACAAGGGGGCGCAUUAUUUACUAUGUGGGAAUUUCCUGUGUACAAAAGACUUUAAUGUCUUCGUUCCAAGAAUUUGCUGGCACUUUGUAAUUUGUUGACUUCACAUUAUAUUAUACUAACGCGUUGAAAUGCCCGUGUGUUGCUGCGGUUUUAUAAAAUAAAAAUACUUGAUAGUGUUAUAAUUGUAAAUCACCACUAAAUAAAUAAUAAAAACUAAAGGUAUAAUAAAAUAAAUAUUUCAUGACGGAAAAAAAAGUUGUGUUGGUGAUCAAAAAUUUAGAGACUGAAUAAAAUGAUUUGCAACAAUCUACAGUGUUUUGUGAGAAAAGAUAUAAUGUUUUUGUCACAUGAUUUAGCUUUUAUGUUAAUAAAAAAGUAGAAAAAAAAUGCAAAGCUAAAUUCUCUACCAACUUAAUAUAUAUAAAAAAACCUUACAAAGAUAAUUUUAUAAGGAAAAAAACCCAUGAAAAAAAACAUUGUAGCAAUUGACAAUGUUUUGUACUAAUAUAUCAAAAACAAUGUUUUCCCAAUAAAAUAAAAUAAAAAACCAUUUAGAGAAAUAUUGUAGCAAUCCACAAUGUUUUGUGAGAAAAACUAUAACAUUUCCUCAUAUGAUUUAGCUUUAUUGUAAUUAUAAUUCUUAACCAACUCAAUAUUAAAAAAAAUCAACAAAGAUAAUUUUGGAAAAAAAUCAUAAAAAAAUCAUAUGGGAAAACACUGCAACAAUUCACGUGUUUUAAAGAAAAAAAUUACAAAACUAAAUUCUUAAUUAGCUCAAUAUUAAAAAAAAACGACAGGACAAUCUUAGAAAAAAAUAACAAAAAAAACACCAAAAAAGAGGGAAAAAUCAUGUUGGAAACAUUGUAGCAAUUCACAAUGUUUUUGAUGAAAGCUACAGUGCUUUCCCCACAUGAUUUAGUUAUUUUAUAUAAUUGUAAUUUUAAAACAACUUAAUAUUAAAAAAAUAAAAUUGACAAAGAUAAUCUGAAAAAAUUAUAAGAAAAAAAAACCAUGUGAAGAACACUGUAGCAAUCACAAUGUUUUGUGAGGAAAGAUACAGUGCUUUCCCCACAUGAUUAAGCUUUAUUACAAAGUUAAAUUCUAACCAACUCAAUAUGAAGAAAAAAAUUAACGAAGAUAAUUUUGGAAAAAAUAUUACAAAAAAAGAAAAUACAAAAAAAUUUGGAAAAAAAACCACGCGAGGAAAAACUGUAUCAAUCCAUAAUGUUUUGUGAUGGAAAACUUGUAUUUACUUGUAAUUGCAAUUCUUAACCAGCUUAAUAUUUAAAAAAUAAAAUUAAAAAAGAUAAUUUUAGAGAAAAACAUAACAAAGCAGAAAAAAAACUAUGUGGAAAAAAACAUUAUAGCAUCCACAAUAAUUUGUGAAGAAAGUUACAGUGAUUUCCUCACAUAUUAUAACUGUAAUUUUUAACCAGCUUAAUAUUAAAAAAUAAAAUAAAAAAGAUAAUUUUAGAGAAAAUAAAAAAAAACCAUGUGGAGAAAUAAUGUAGCAAUCAACAAUGUUUUAAAGAAAAAAAUUACAAAACUAAAUUCUUAAUUAGUUCAAUAUUAAAAAAAAUCGACAAAUAUAAUUUUAAAAAAUAAAAAAAUAAAAUAGAAAAACUAUAUAAAAAAAAUACCGUAGCAAUUCACAAUAUUAUUUUAAAGAAAAAAAUUUCAAAGUAAAAUUUUUAAUCAAUUCAAUAUUUAAAAAGUAAAAUUAAUUCAAAAUUACACACAAUCUAUUCAAAUAAAUCCUUAGAUGCCUUUUCCUUUUAUAUAUAUUUAUUUAUUGUGAAGAAGAAGAAGAAAAAGAAGUCGUCUUGAAGGAUGAAGGAGAGAGGAAGGGACGGGGGAUUGGCCAAUCCUCUUCUUCAUAUUGACGGGGACGACGACUUGACCGUAAGUACUCUUCCUGGCGAGUGCUAGGGCAGCGUGUUCCGGAAGCUGAGUUUAGAAAUUACGUGUUUCUUUUUAUAUGCUUCCUUCCAGCUCAUUACACACAAUCUAUUCAAAUAAAUCGGCAGAUGCCUUUUCCUUUUUCCUUUUAAAGGGAUCACCGGCCGUCGGUGUUGUUUGAACAUAAACAAUUGAACAUUGGAAGAAAUAAAUAAUUUCCCCAUGCUUAAAUUACGGCUACUAUUCUUUUCAACUCCUGCCAGACAUCAUAGGGCUUUAAUGUCUUCGAUCCAAGUGUUUGUUGGUACUGUAUACUUUGUUGACUUCACAUUAUAUUAUAAUGGUUAUGAUGAUUUCAUUGGGAAAAACUUGUUACUCUGCCCAAUAAUAGGAAUUUUUUAAAAAACAAAUUGAUACAGUUAGAGAAAUAUAUAAUAUGGUUUAAUUUUUUUUUUAAAAAAAACUGCUAUUUUAAAUUACGAUUUAAAUAUAAAAGCGAUUCAAAUAACAAUCGUGGUUCUGUUUAUUGGCAUGCAGCCAUGUAUAUUAUAAUUACUUCUUCUUUUUACAUGCUUCCUUUUUCUUUAUAUAUAUAUAUGCUGUUUGUCUUUUUGGUAUAAAUAGUGUUUUUAUAAAUUUUUUAUUGAUUUUUUUAAUAUUUUUAUGUAUUAAUAUCAAAAAUAAUUUUUUUAAAAUAAAAAAUAUUAUAUAAAUUUUUUAAUAGAAAAAACAAGAACUACCUACUACACUUACAGAAGAAACAUUCCAUGUAUUCAGUCGUUUGCGCGUGUCGAGGACCUUUUUUUGCCUCCCAAUAAUUAGUGUUAUUUGUAUUGUAACUUUUUUAAUAUUUCAAAAGGAUUAGCUAUUCCCUUGGCUUGGCGUAUUAGCAGCUUUUGUUAUUUUCUCUUCAACUUUUUUAUUAUAUAUUUUCUUUACACAGUAAACACUUAUAUCCCGGGUCAUUCCUUAAGUACAUUAACUAGUGUAUCGGCAUGCGAUUCACAACAGGGUUAAUAUUAAUCUUUUUAAAAUUAAAAUAACAAUCAUGUCAGCCUAAGCAUUUUGCAUCUAGAAUAGUAAAAAGUCUAGAAUAAUAUAUAUAUAUAUAUAUAUAUAUAUAUAUUAAAGAACUCUAAAAGGCGGGGAAGUACUGUAGCUUUCCACGCCUUUUAAUUACACUUAUAUAUAAUAAUAAUAAUAAUUAUAUUAUUAUUAAGUAAUAUACUAAAACGCGUAGCUUUUUCAAUGUAGCUAAAGCUUUUAUUUUUUGUUUUUUCUUCUGUGGUAUUUUUUUUUUGUAGCAGUUUUUUUUUAAUAUGUGGGUUUUUCACUGUAGCAGCUUUGUUUUUUUUUUUCUCGCUUUUGUUUCUUCUGUUUUUUACAUAUAAUUAAGUAAUAUACUAAAAUGCGUAGCUUUUUCACUAUAUCUAAAGCUGUUUUUUUUUUUUGCAGUUUUUUUUUUCUUCUGUGGCAUUUUUUUUUCAUUUUUGGUUUUUUUUUCUGUAGCAGUUUUGUUUUUUUUUUGCUUUUGCUUUUGUUUUUUUUAAAAUGUUUUUUCACUGUAGCAGUAAUUUUUUUUUUAUUUUUUUUUCACAUGUGGGUUUUUCAUUGUAGCAGCUUUGUUUUUUUUGUUUUUUACCUAUAAUGUAUCACUAUGUACACAGUGAAACACUUGACUUUCUUUGUUUUUUUUUUGUCGUUUUGCCCAUGGGUUUUUUUUUUUUGCUUUUUUCUUUGUUUUUUUUCUUUUAAUGAAUUCUUUUUUGUUUAAUUUAGUUUGUUAAUGUAAAAAAAAUUUAAUUUAGUUAUCAUAUUUUCAUUACACGGAUCUUCGUUUUUAUAUAUAUAUAUUAAGCUGGUUGAGAACUUAGCUUUGUAGCUUUUUUUAAAAAAAAAAUACUAUGGAUUACUACAGUGUUUCCCUUACAUGAUUUUUGUUUGACUGUAGUGUUUCCCCCACAUGUUUAUUUUUUAAAUUAUCUUUGUUAAAUUUAUUUUUUUUAUAUUGAGUUGGUUUAGAAUUUAGCUUUAGUUUUAGCUUUCCCCAUGCUUUUUAAUUAUAAUUAUUAUUAUAUUGUAUUAUAUUAUAUGACUGUUUUUUUCUUUUUAAUUUUUUUUAAUGAACUGUUUAUGUUUGAUUUAAUUUGUUAAUGUUAAAUUUUUUUUUAUUUAGUUAUCAUAUUUUCAUGAUACGAAUCUCGAGUUUGAUGGGUUAACCUGAUUUAACAAGUUAUUUUUUUUAUUUAGUUUAGUUUGUUAAAGUUAAUUUUCUUUCUAUUUAAUUAUCAGACUUUCAUGACACGUAUUAUGGGCUUGACAGGUUAACUUGGUUUGAUGGGUUAACCCGGUUAAUUCUAGGUAAACCCGUUAUUUUUUUUUUCUAUUUAGUUAUCAAAUUUUCAUGAUGCAAAUCUCAGGUUUUACGGGAUAACCUGGUUUAAAGGAUUAACCCAAUUAAUUCAAUUUUUUUUUCUUUUUCUUCAUUAGUUUUUUCCUUUCUGUUGAUUUUUUUCUUUGUUUUUUUUAAUUAAUCUAUUUAAUUAUCACACUUUUAUGACACGAUCUUAUAGCCAGACCCACAUCCACUAUUCUUGGAUCCGGUGUUACAGUCAGACUCACUUAAACUUGGGUCAUACAAGUUUAAUUUUAUUAUUAAUAUUAUAAAUAUUAUUCUUAGGUCAGGCGUUGCAGCCAAACCCAAGAUUUUUGGGUAUAACUUUAUAGAAAAACCCAAAAUUUUAAAUUUUUAUUUUUUAAAAAUAUUUUUUAUACAAAAAAAUGACUCGCAGCAGCGCGCGGGUAUCAAAGCUAGUAUAUAUAUAUAUAUAUAUAUGCUGUGAGGAAGAAGAAGUCUUGAAGGAGAGAGGAAGGGACGGGGGAUGGGGCCAAUCCUCUUCUUGAUGCUCGGGCAAUAAUAACCAUGUUGAUGGGGACGAAGACGACUUGACCUUUAGUCUUCCCGGCGAGUGCUUGGGCAGCGUGUUCGGGAAUCUGAGCUGCCUUGACAUUACGUGUUUUCUGGAAAUUACGUUUUUCUUGUCUUAACGGUGGCUUUAGAUAAUGUUCGUUCUUGAUAUUUAUAGGAGAUAAAUCAAAUUUUAAACGUUUUGAAGCACUUAGGAAUGAUUUAAAUAUUCUUAAAAGUAAAAUUUUAAAACUAAGGAUUCAUGGGUGCUUCUAUUUUUUAAUAUUUUCAUAGCAUAGUAAAAUGACUAUAUUAUUUUUAAAAAUAAAAAAAAUUUUAAAUUUUAAAUUCAAGUAUUUUCUCGGGAUAUUAUAAAAAAUAUUAUUUUAAUGUAUUUUUAAUUAAAAAAUAAUUACAAUAUUUUUACUAUCACAUCAUAUUAUAAUGGUGAUGAUGAUUUGAUUGAGAAGAAUUUAACUUGUUAGAGAACCUGUUUAAUAUUAUGGUAACAAUUGUUUUUUAAAGUGUUUCUUUUAGAAAUAUAUUAUAUUAAAAUAAUAUUUUUUAUUUUUAAAAUUUUAUUUUUAAUAUCAACACAUCACAAUAAUAUAAAACUAAAUAUAUAAUAAUUUAAAAUAUAAAAAAAAUAAAAAAACUCAAAUCCAAAUAUUUUCUUAGUACAUUACAGAUGGUUCACAUUAUUGACUUCCUAGAAAUUUUCAUUAACCACAAAAGGCUUGUUAUUAUUAUUAUUAUUUUGUAAUUUGGCAGGGAAAAAAAAGAGUGAAGAAUCUGUUUAUGGCAAGACUUUGAACAGCAAGUCUUCCAUCCAAGUGCUUGCGCGUAAAAGGGGAAAAAAAAAAGUGUUUGCGCGUAAACUUUGUUGCCUUUCACAUUAUAUUAUAAUUUAGUAGGGAAGGGCAUGAUUAUUAUGAGCUAGUUUAUUCAAUGCACUCUUCGAUGCUUUUAUCAUAAAGAGAGGAACCCAAAACUUUAAGAGCCAACGGAUUACUUUGUACAUGCCUUACAAUCUGUGCUAUCAACUGUCUUUGAUCAAUUGUGGGGAUUCAAUUCUUCAAGGCUUUUGAGCUAAAGAGUUGAAGAGCUUCUUCAUCAUUCAACCCCUCAACCUCAUAUGUGAUAUAUUAUCAUGGUCAAUUUGUCAUAUUAAAUGAGAACAAAUUAGUUUUAAAACAUUUCAAAAACGAAGUAAAAUAGUUUAAAUAUCCUUAAAAGUAAAAUUUUUAAAACUAGGAUCCAUGGGUAUUUUAGUCUUUUAAUGUUUUGAUAGUACAAUGAAAUUACUAUAUUGUUCUUAAAAGCAAAUAAAUUAAAAUUGAUAUUUAGGGUUUUUUUUUUUGUAUCUUCACCAUGGCUUUUUAGUUAUAAUCAAUGUAAAUUAGGGGCAAUGUAGUUAUAAAUAUGAUUCAAAAAAUAAAAAAUGGUUAAGGUGUGCGUUUGGGAAGCGUCUAUACUUUUUAGACAGCGCGCGCAACAUUUCUCAGUGGGCAAACACUACCUUUUGUGACAACAUUGAAAGCAUCACAACAUCCUCUUUCUAAUGGUCAGGGAUGUAUGCAUAGUAGCGUAGUGAUUGGGCUACAAUACAUUUUUUUUAUUUUCCUCCCUCUUUUCUCUCUCCUAGCCUCGAGUUUCAUGUCAUCACUUUUAAAAAUUAAAUGUGUUAUGUUCAAUUUGUAUUUGUAUUCAUUUUGUUCUCAUUAUUUUAAUCAUUACUUGUUUUGUUUUUAAUGCUUUUUUAAAGUUGAUAUUUUUUCAAUUUUAUCUUUUGACAUUUUAUUUUAUUUAGUUUUUUUAUUCAAUUUGGUUCUCGUUCUUUUAAUUGCUAUUUUUUUUUUAUCAUUUUUCUUGAUAUAUUUUUUUUAUUUCAUCCAUUGUAAUUUUAUUCACUUGGCGGAGUAGCUGAUCUUUUGUUAUUUUCUCUUUAACUUUUUUAUUAUAUAUUUUUUUAAAACACUAAACACUUCUGUCCCACGUCAUUCUUUAGUCUAUUAAUUUUUACUUCAAAUUCUUUUAUAAUUUUCCUAGAAAUUACGAAUUUCUUUUCAAAAUGUGUCAGAACACAUUUUUGAAAUAUACUGUUUUUUUUUUAAAAAAUUAAUAUUUUUAUAUUUUUAAAUUGUUUUGAUAUAUUAAAAUUAAAAAUAACUUUUUAAAACAUAAAAAUAAUAUUUUAAUACAUUUUAAUUUCCCGUAGCAGCCCCAUGGAGCUGCCAUGCACAUGGAAGGAAAGGCGAUUUUAUCUUUGCCUAUAAACAAUGUUUUUAUAAAUUUUCAUUUUUUUGAUUUUUUAUUUUAAGAUUAAAUCGUUUUAGUUUUUUUCAGUUUGUUUUAAUAUGUUUGUGUUAAAAAUAAUUCUUUAAAAAUAAAAAAUAUAUUAUUUUAAUGUAUUUUUAAAUGAAAAACACUUUAAAAAAUAAUUGUUACCAUACUCGUAAACACCUUCUAUAUCUUCAGUCCAAGUAUUUGUCUUGCGGAGGACGCUUUUGCCUUCGUAUUAUAUUAUAAUGGUUAUUAUGAUUUAAUUGAAAAGAACUUGUUAGAGAACCUGUUCAAUAUUGUACUAGUGGUUAUUUUUCAAUUUUUUUUAUUAGAAAUACAUUAAAAUAAUAUUUUUUUUAUUUUUUAAAAUUUAUUUUUGAUAUUAAAAAGUCAAAAUAAUAUAAUUAAAACAUAAAAAAAAUUAAUUUAAAGUAAAAAAAAAUUCAAAUUCAAGUAUUUUCUCAGGGCAUUACAGAAGGUGCCCAUUGUUAGCUUCCUGGAAAUUUUCCAUGCACAAAAAGCUUCAAGUCUUGUUAUUUGUGAUGCCGUAGGAAAAGACAUUUAGGUUUUUGUUUGUCUUUGCUAUGUAAACAAUGUUUUAAUAAAUUUUGAAAUUAUUUUAGAUCAAUUUUUUUAUUAUUUUUUUUGGUUUGUUUUGAUAUAUUUGUGUCAAAAAUAAUUUUUUAAAAAUAAAAAAAUACAUAUAUUAUCUUGAUGUAUUUUCAUGCAAAAAAACAUUUUAAAAAUCAACUGUUAUUAUACUCACAAACACCCUUUAUAUCUUCAAUCCAAGUGUUUGCACAUGUUUGCAUUAACGUUAUAUUACCACACUUGCUUUGAUAGAUUUGUGGUAUUGUGAUAACAGUUGUUUUUCAAAUUAAUUUUUACUUGAAAAUAAAUUAAAAUAAUAUAUUUUUUUAUGUUUUAAAUUUUAUUUUUUAUUCAGUCCAUUGUAAUGAUAUAAAAAUUAAUUUAAAAUAAAAAAAAUCAAAUCCAUGUAUUUUCUUGGACGUUACAGAGGGUGCACAUCUACGUGGUAAUUUCCUGUGUAUAAAAAGGCUUAAUGUCUUGUUAUUUGUUUUUUCUUUUUGUGAUUUGGUAGGAAGGGCAUCGAGUCUUCCUUAAGUCAUCUGCCGAUGAUAGAUUGUGUGUAAUGAGCUGGAAGGAAUCAUGUAAAAAGAAGAAAUAAUUAUAAGCCAUAUUGAUGGGGACGACGACUUGAUCUCAAGUCUUGCUUUAAAUUACGUGUUUCCUUUUUCCAAAUAUUUUCUCAUGUACAGAGGUGUUCACUUCCCGGAAAUUUCCCAUGUACAAGUCUUGUUCUUUGUUUAUUUGUGAUUUGGCAGCAAUGAUCUACACGCAACGCAAGUGUGUGUUUUUUGUUUAUUUUUUUUUUUUUUAUCUGCAUCGGUUAAAAACCAGACCAGCAAUUAGCCCAGCAAACCCGUUUGACCUACAAGGUCAACUCCUGGAUUUGAUUUAAUAAUUAUAUAGGAUACAUUCCUAUUAAGACUAAGCUACUUUGUUAGGCUUGAAACAAUUGAACUCUUAGAGCAAUUGUUUUGUCUCUUUUUACAUGCUUCAAAAUGCUAUUUUAUCAUUUAAGAUCAUUGCUUUGUCCAUGAAAAGGGUUUAGACAACUUGCUAUGUCUUCUAAUUAAAAUUUUUAAAACUAGGAUUGAUGGGUGUUUCAGUCUUUUAAUUUUUAAUAGUAUAACUACAUUGUUCUUAAAAGAAAAAUAAAAUAAAAUUGAUAUUUAGGGGUUUUUUUAUAUUUUUUUCAAGGCUUUUUAGUUAUAAUCAAUGUGAAUUAGAGGCAAUUAGUCUUUUAAAAAUAAAAAUAUAAUUAAAAAAUAAAAAUUAAUUGAUGUGUGUUUGGAUGACGUCCAUGCUUAUGCAACGCAUGUAACAUCUUCAACAGGCAAACACUCCUUUUGUGACAGAGCUGAAAGUGUCACAACAUCAUCUAAUUGCUAAUGACACAACAAUCAGCAAUAAAUAUUUUCUCAAGUACAAGGACAUGCAGGAACAACAAUCAGCAGAUGUUCUAGAUUCUCACACAUUUGAAAUGUUAAUCUGUACAACAGGGAAUGAUAAUCUCAAAGCAUUGUUUUUAACAGGUGGUUGGACAUAAGCAUAAAGAAUAAAUAUAAUGAACACAAUAAUGAAUUAAGAUAAUUUUAAACUUCAAUUCACUCAACAACCUGGAAAGGAAAUUUAGCUCCGAACCCAGUCAGUUGAGAGAAGAAACAUAAAAGCAGCAGAGAUGGUAACUUUUACAGGGUAAUUGACUUCUCUAGAUUCGAGGUCUCACCAGCUGGUCCCUUUUUCUGCCCAUAACAACCAUCGGGUGGCGAUAUUAAACCAGCUCUCAUAAGAAUGCACGCACAGUGUCUGUAGGCUGAGCACCGAACAGAACCAACACCUGCAAAGCAAGUAGAAGAAUAACCAAAAUCAACUAAACAAGAUGAAAGACAUUGCGCCAACCCAUUUAAUCAAGCAGCAAAUAGAAGCAGCCAUACAAGAGCUUCAUGCAAACUAAAGAUUGAUCCAUCAGUUUUCUCCUCCUUUAAUUCAAAAUUGGCAAAAACUGAACAGAUAACUCUCUCAUUGUGAAGUUAUCUCCUGCCUAAAAUAGAUGUUUAGCAAUUAAGAAUCAAAAGCUAAACAUGUUUAUCUUGCUAAACCUCCAGCAUUACCCACGACACCUUAAACUCCAAUCUCCAGGUUAAACUUAGAUACUAGGAUAAAUUUUUAUUACCCCAAAUACCAGAAACACAUAUACAACAAAAACAAGAAGUGAAAGCAUAUAGCUCAUAGAUAAUACAGCAUAAAUUGAACGUGAUAAGAAAAAGAGAAAAACUUACUUCACAAGGUCAACAUUAAGACCCAAUCUUCUAGCAUCGCCCUUGGCUGCCAAAAAGAAAAGCAAAAAUGUAAAAAUAAUUAAGCAACUUCCCCUAACAUCAAAGCUAAAAAUUAAGCAUGAUUAGUGCUUUAGUGACGAAAGGGAUCGUACUUUGUUUCGUUUUGAGACUUUAACUGAUGACAGAAUAAACUAUGAACAAUCAGUGCUAUCAAUGGUAAUAUUAAACUACAUUUGCAUAAGAAAAUAAAAUUACAAAUGCAUCCUAUUUUGCAAAUGCAUUUCCCCACGAAGUUUAGGCCUUUGGCAUUGCGGUCUAAAAGCGUUUUUUAAAAAAUUUGAAUUUUUUUUUUGCUUUAAAGUAAUAUGUGUUUGAUAUUUUCAAAUCAUUUUGAUGUGCUGAUCUCAAAAAUAACUUUUUAAAAAUAAAAUAAUAUUAUUGACAUGUUUUUCUGAAUGAAAAACACUUUGAAAAGCAACCUCAACCACACUCCCAAACACCUUAAUCCCAUUUUGCAAAUGCAUUUCCCCACGAAGUUUAAGUCUUUAAUAACAAAGUUAUCUACACAUACAAUGCAAUGCGAACUUGAAAACAAACCCUAUAAGCCUUCAAAGUGCAGGCCUUUGAAAUUAGAAAAAAAAAAAAUCUCCAUGUGAACUGAGCAUGUGAAAAUAAUAUGAGAAGGGUAAGAAAAAGAAGAGGGAACCUGCUAAGGGGUCGUAGAAACCAACAACUCGAAGGUGUUUGCCAUCUCUUGGAGUAUGGCUAUUAGCAACAACAAUUCUGUAAAAUGCCCUGUUUAUGCAUCCCAGCCUAGUUAAACGAAUCUUCACCGCCAUUUUCUUGGGCUGAUCUUCUUCAAGUGAGAAAUGUGAGAGUGAAUUGCAGAGGGAGGGAGGGACGGGUUUUUAUUAUGGAUAAGGAGGAUUGGGAUGCGGAUAUGGGCUUUUGUACUUCUUUCUUGUCAAAACUAUGCAGUUUUACCACAUUGGGCCUAAUUGAUCCCUCUGUUUUUUUUUUUUUUUUUAAAUUGUCCCUUUUGCAAUUGUUCGUUUUCGUGCAAAUCAAGAAAAAAUAUACUAGAUGUGACUGUACAUCUGUAGUAUUUAUUUAUUUCUUUUUUCAGACUGGCAGAAACUAAUGAACACUUCCUAUUGUUGUUUUCUUCGGUGUCCAUCGAAUUUUUUUCAAAGAAUAACAUGUUCAGGGGAUGAAGAAGAACCUCAUCCUCAUUCCUUCUGCAAUUACCACGAAGACAUCUUUCAGUGAUCACCUACGUCUCUCACUUUUGGGGAUUGAUAACAGCCUUUUCAGCAUUAGCUGCACGGUAACCAAUGACUAUCUCUCUUCUCUGUCGGGCGCGUAAUAAUACUUCAUAGAAACUCAAUUCCUCGCUUUCACUGAGGUAAAGAUCUGCUUGCCUUAUUUGUAGCUCAUUUCCCUGAUGAAGGCAAAAUGUUUGUGAAUGAUGAGUUAACUGAUUAAAGGAUCUUAAAUUCCAACAUCAUCAAUAGCAACAAUUUCACUAACACAACAAAGGAAUCACUCUGAUCAAUGCUCGAGGGUUGUUCUAAGCAGUAAAAGAGAGAACAUGCCAGCAAACCCUUUGCUGUUGUGGUCCAACAUAUUAACCAGCUUAAUUUAUCACAACCAUAAUGAUUAUUUGGAUGCUACUUUCUCAAUAUAAGAAGCAGGGCAUCUAAAUACACCAGGGAACGAAGCUAAUGAUAUACGAAGCAGUCAUUAUAAUAUAUGAUUUGAAGGAGUGGCCAACUAAAUAAACCAGGGAACGAAGCUAAUGAUCACCUGAUGUGUUUUAAGAUUUCAUCCUUUAGUUUAGCUAGCAAAGUUUCAUGGGCUCUAUAGUAUACGUGAUUGUUAAAAGUGCUUUCAAUAUCUUCCCUCCCUCAAGCAAGAGUUGGGCAAAAAACGGAUUUAAUGUGAUUGUUGGAAUUUUCUAUUGCAAUUUUGUAAGCCUACUGAGUUUGAAGGAAUGUAGGGAGAAACAAGAAAAACAUUGCCAUUGUUUUGAGGAGAAACGGUUGAAGAAAACAUUUUGUUUGGCAGUCUGGUUGUGGUUGUAUUUAUUUUUUAAAUAAUUUUUCGUGUCAAAAUGUAUGUCAAUGAUGUUUUUUUAUUUUUAAAAAAUUAUUUUUAAUAUCAGCACAUCAAAAUAAUUUGAAAACAUUAAAAACAUAUUAAUUUAAAGUUAAUAAAAAAUAAAAAAAUUUUAAAUUUUUUUAAAAUAUAAAAAUAAAGAGGCAGGGGUAAAUAUGCAGGGAGAGAAGGGAAGUAACUCAACGAAAAAAGAUGAGGCUGAUUUUGAAUCAGUAGCUUAGACUUUAUGUAUAAUUGUAAUAAUGGUUGUUUCAAAUCCAAGUAUUUUCACAUGUACUGAGAUGUUGAUUUCCUGGGAUUGUGAUAAUUAUGAUGGUUUAAAGUAUUUUUUGUUUAAAAAAAUAUUAAAAUAAAAAAAAUUUUAUUUUAAAAAAAUUAUUUUUAAUAUUAGUACAUUAAAACUAUCUAAAAACAUAAAAAAAAAUUAUUUUAAACAAAAAAAAUAAUCAACUUUUAAAAAAAUAAUUUCCACCGCAUUUCCCAUCACAUUCAACAUUCACUUUAUCGGCGAAGUAAACGUGCGAACUGAAACACCCUAAUUUUCAACUGGAAAUGAAAAAUAUUAAAUCAAUUAGGAGGGGCAAGAACAAAAAGGAAGGUUGAGGUACUCUAGGCGUUCCUUACGAUUUUUAAAAGUAGAAAAAUAUUUUAAAAUAAUUUUUUUAACUUGAUUGUUUAUUAUAUAUAUAUAGUCCAUUCAUAUAAAUUGUUUUUAAAAUUUUUUAUAUAAAAUAUUAAAAUUUAGAUAAUUUUUUUAACUUUUUUUAGAUUAACUUAACCAAUAUAAUCCAAAACAUUGCCUUAAUUUUGACCAAAUCAACCUUAGAUUUGGUUUCAAAUCCAAAUAUUUUCUCAUGUACAUAGGGUGCACAUUGUUUGAGCAGCACAUGCAAUAUUUAUCAGCGGACAAACACUGCUUUUUAUGACGGUGUUGGAAGCAUUACAACAUCCUUUUUCAAGUGGUCAGGUAUAUAUGCAUGGCUUUUUUUUUGUUUCCUCCCUCUUCUCUUUUUCCUAGCCUCAAGUUUCAUGUUGGCUCUUUCAAAAAUUAAAUGUGUCAUGUUCAAUUUGUAUUUAUAUCAACUUUGUUCUUAUUAUUUUUAAUUACUAUUUGUUUUGCUUGAAAUGCAUUUUAAAGUUGAUUUUUUCUUUAAUUUUUUCUUUUAACAUUUUAUUUCUCCUAGUCUUUCAAACAAUAAAGUUAGGUUGUCUUUAUGGUAUAAACAAUGUUUUUAUAAAUUUUUAUUUUUUUAGUUUUUUUUGUGUGUUUUGAUGUGUUGUUGUAAACAAAUAUUUCUUUAAAAAUAAAAAGAUAUUAUAUUAAUGUAUUUUUAAUAAAAAAACACUUUAAAAAAUAAUUAUUAAUUUUUUUAACGUUAUAUUAUAAUGAUUAUGAUGAUUUGAUCGAGAAGAACUUGUUAGACAACUAAUUUGGUAUUGUAGUUAUAGUUAUUUUUUAAAGUAUUUUUUAUUUAAAAAUCUAUUAAAAUAAUAUAUUUUUUUAUUUUUUUAUAUUAAUUUUUAUAUUAUAACAUCAAAAUAUUUUCUCAUGUGCAUAGGUUGCACAUUGUUGACUCCUGCGAAUUUAAUAUGUACAAAAAGCUUCAGGUUAUUUUUUUUUUGUAAUUUGGUAAGGAAAGGCAUCAAGUCUUCAAUCCAAGUGUUUGAGCGUACAGAGAACUUUGUUGAGUUUCACAUUAUAUUGUAAUAGGAAUUUUGUUUUAAAAACCUGCUAUUUUAAAUCAUGAUAUUAAUAUAACCAUGAUUUUGCAGAAUCACAAUCUAUCCAAAUAAUUUGGCAAUGCCUUUUCUUUUUAUAUAUAUACAAGCAUAUUGGUAUACACUCCGCAACAACAAAUCAAUAGCAAUUGUUUUUAAAAUAUAAAAAAUAUAAAGAAUAAAGAGAAUAUAUUAAAUGUCUUGGGUCUGAUAACAACCCAACUCUAUGUGGUCCUGAUGGCAGUAAAUCCCAACACUAUUAGAUCAUAACAAAGAUAGGGUUUGACCUUAUUGGAUCCUGCCUUACAGCAUGGGCCAAAAGUAUUGAGUCUUGAUAGGCAGCAGAAUCCAACGCUAGCAGAAAAAUAUUCAACUAACCCAAUCUCAAAUGAAAAAAUAUAUAUAUAUAAUCACCCAACUUUUGAACGAUAUACAAAAAGUCUCAUCAAUUUAUUUUAAUUUUAUCAUAUGAAAAAAAAAUUACAUAAGUAAAAAGAAAAACAAUCUAAAAAGCCAAAAAAAUAAAAUUGGAUAUAUCUAGGUUUGGCUAUGAACUAGAUCCCAUAACUAUAUAUGUUGUAUAUAAUUAAGUUUAAAGGAUUAUUUUUGAAAGAUUUUUAUAUCACAUUAGAAAGAAACUAUCUUAUUCUUAUAAGUCGAACAUAUAAGUCUCUUAUUGUGAAGUUAUUUCCUGCCUAAAAUAGAUGUUUAGCAAUUAAGAAUCAAAAGCUAAACAUGUUUAUCUUGCUAAACCUGCAGCAUGACCCCCGACACCUUAAACAAGAAGUGAUCAUCUCAUAGCAUUGUCUUUAUCAGGUGGUUGGACAUAAGCAUAAAAAAACAAAUAUAAUGAACACAAUAAUGAACAAGAGAAUUUUAAACUUAAAUUCAUUCAGCAACUUGAAAGGAAAUUUAGCUCUCAACCCAUUCAAUUGAGAGAAGAAACAUAAAAGCACCAGAGAUGGUAACUAUUACCAGGGUAAUUGAUAUAUAUCAGGAGAUCAAAAUAAUUUUAAAAAAAAACAAAAAAUAAUUUAAAAUUAAAAAAAAUUCAAAUCCAAGUAUUUUCUCACAACAUUAUAGAGGGUGCACAUUGCUGACUUUCAUAAAUUCUUAUGUACAAAAGGCUCAAGGUCUUUUUAUUUGUGAUGUGGUAGGAAAGAGCAUUUAGUAGCUGUUUGUCUUUAAGACAUAAACAAUGUUUUUAUAAAUUUUGAUAUUUUGAUUUUUUUUAGAUUAAUUUUAUUUAGUGUUUUCGGUUUGUUUUAAUGUGUUGAUACAAAAAGUAAUUUUUUAAAAUUAAAUAAAAUAAUAUAUUGAUAUAUUUUAAAUUGAAAAACAUUUUAAAAAGUAACUGUCAUGACACUCAUAAACAUCUUCCAUAUCUUGACUCCAAGUGUGUGUGUGCCGAUGACAGUUUUGCUUUCAUAAUAUAUUAUAAUGAUUAUGAUGAUUUAAUUGAGAAGAACUUGUUUGAGAACCUAUUUUGUAUUGUGUCAACAUUUAUUUUUUAAAGUUUUUUUUACAUGAAAAUAUAUCAAAAUAAUAAUUUUUUUAUUACUUUUUAAAAUUUAAUUUUGAUAUUACCACAUCAAAAUAAUAUAAAAAUAACAAAAUUAAUUAAAAAUAAUUCCUAAAAAUAUUCCAUGUACAAAAUGCUUCAUAUCCUGUUAUAUGUAUUUUUGUUUUGUUUUUUUUAUUUGGUAGGGAAGGACAUCAAGUCUUGGAUCCAAGUGUUUGCUCGUACUGAGGACUUUGUUGACUUCACAUUAUAUUAUAAUGGUUAUUAUUAUUUCAUAUGGAAGAACUUGUUGUGCAUAGCUUUCGAACCUGUAUAAAGUGUUGCGUGGAUAUCGCCGGCGAGAAGGAAAAGAUUAGCCAGCGGAGACAGAGGAGAUAAAGUUGUUGAUCUCUUGAGCUCGUCAAAUGCCAUGUCAAAUCUCUUCCAAGGUUUAUCUGGACAUUGAUGAUUCCAGGUUGUAGUUCUAGUGUUGUGAUCAAUAUAAUACGUUUUCCCUGAUGCUGCAUCAGAUCGCCUCUCCCAGCCUGGUGGCAAUGGAGCACUAUAUCCACCAUAGUUAUUGACUGACUGAUAACAGUAAGCCAAUUCACUAUCAAGUGAUUGGCCAACCUCCUGCAUUGCUCCAUUUUGAUGUGAUCGUAUGCAGAAAGCACCAGCAAAAUCAUCGCUGUAGAUGAUUUCACCCCUGCAAUCCUAUUCUUUAAAUCAUAAAAACAUGACACGCUAUGAAAAUAAAAUAAAAUAAAUUAAAAAUUUUAUCCUUUUAAUUUGAUUAAGAAAGUCAUCCUACAACUAUUUUACAUUUAUUUAAAGCAAGUUACAAGACAUGCAUAAACUCUUUUGUAAAAUUGCAGGUCUCCAUUCGGCCAGGCCAGCACUAAAGGAUGGUGAGAAUUGAGAAGAGUCGCAGCAACUCAGACAACAAAUAGAAAAUUACAAAGAAUUGAAGGGGUUAUGGCUAACUCCACAAGAAUAAAGAGCCACCGCAAGAAAAUAAUACUAUAAAAGAAUCAAAUUUAAAAAAUUGAUCCCUCACACGUAUAUUAAACUUGGCGGACUCUUGACGGAUUAAUUGGGGACUUCUUGACUCCAAAUGUAAUUUGGGUUAGAGUUUUUUUUUUUUUGUCAAAUCAACAUAUAUCAAUUCACUCACGAUAUGAUUAGCUUUAUCAAACCUAAAUGAGAUUCAAACGAGUUAAUUUUAAUAUUUUUUUUUAAUUAAUAGAAACAAUAAAACAUGUUACCAAAAUACUAUAGAGAAUACUAUGGAUAUAGACUAAAAAAACUAUUCAUUGGGACACUUUAGUUACAUUUUUCCCCUCCUAACAAAAAACCAAAAGCUUAUGAGUUAAGGGCAAUUCAAUCUCUUCGCAUUAGUCGUUAAUUAUUUAACUGGGAAACAUAUAUGUAACCAAAAGCUUAUGAGUUCAGGACAAUUUUUUUACUAGGACAUAAGUGAAUUAUUUUUUAUGCAUAAUAAAAUGAUUUUUUUAAGGGUAUUUAAGUUUUUUAAAAACAGUAAAAAAAACAUAUUUGCUCUUAAAAAUCAAGAAAAAAUCAAUCAUUAGUCUAGAGAUUUUUUUUGUUUGUUGACAUCAGUUUUUUUUGUAAAUUCCAAAACUAUAAAAGGCAAUUUGAUCAUGAUUAACUAAUUUUUAAAUAUUAAAAGUUAUGGACAUAUGUAGUUCACACGUCAUUGCAUGAGAGGUAUUUAUGCUCACGAUGUGCGUGUGCCUCAUGUGGUUAAAUCUGUCCUUUUGGUGAAGAUUAAUUGGUUUUGUUACUUUUUUCUUCUUUUGUGCUUUAUUUUACUGUUUUUCAUAUUUAUUUUUUUGUAUAUCAAAUAUUUUAAUUCUAUUUAGUUAUUUAUUUAUCAAAUAUUAAUUUAUUUAACUUCAUGUAUAUUUAAGCAUUUUAAUUUAUAAUUAGAAUUUUUUAUAUUAAAAAACUAAUAAAAAUUCUAUAUAUUUAAUUUUUUAUUAAAAAAAUUUAAUCCAUAACAAAUACUAGUUAAAUAUUUAAUUUGUUUUUUUAAAAUAAUAUUGUUUUAGUUUUAAAAAUAAAACUAAAAAUAAUUAGUUUUAAAAUUAACUUUGCAAUCGGCCAAUCAGCGAAUUGGGUUUUGAAUUCGAUCAAACAAACCUCAGGCCCAUAUGAAAUCUAUGAUUGGUACCCACAUGAAAAAAUGAGAGGCAGAGAGAAACAAAAAAGAUGAGGUAAUGGCAUCAACAAGCCACACGAUUAGAUUCUCUACCAUGAUAUAUAUACAUAUUAGCACAAGUCCAUUUCUAAAAAUUCAACAAAACCCUAAUCUCUGCUUAAUUUAUCGCUUUACACAGAAAAAAAAAUGAUAUUUCUAUCGUAACCAAAGCUUUUUAAGACUAAUAAAAUGAAAUCUAAAAACAGUUUUUUUUUUUUAAGAAGAAAUUAAAGAACACAUGUAAUGUAGUUGAAAGCUAGGGUUUUGAGAGUCACCAUUGUAGAAGCUUGAUCUGGGAGAGGGAGAGAGGGAGAAAGGGAGACGGCUGGUAGGGUUUGAGGGAGAGGUGUGAGAGAUAUAAUGGAACUUGUUAUAAACCCUAUUCCCUAUUGGCUCUUCAGAUGAACGGCUGAGAUUAUAUUUUUUAUAGCAGCAAGGGUUUUGUUGAUUUGUGACUGGAUGGCGUUUUUGUCAUUUCGCCACCAGUUUAAGCAUACAAAGCCCAAUUCGUUACUGAAGACCCAAAAUCCAUGGAGUCAAUAAAGAAACAAAAUUUCUUGGGUGAAAUAGAACAUUGGAAUCAUAGUUAUGGAGUCAAUAAAAGAUUUAAUUUUUUCUUUUAUUAAUAUAAGUAUUUGGAUUAAUUUACACCUAAACUAUUUUGUUUCUAAAUUUAUUUUUUCUUAACAUGGAAGACAUGAGGACAUCUCCCCUUUUUCCCUAACAUCUCCGUCACCUCAUAAGAUUAAUCACUGUAACCGAGAGCCUGUAGUUUCCACGUUAAGUGACUAUCAUGCUAUAAGCGUAGAUCGAGUGGAGAGAAAUGCAGACACAGGGUUAGCUAUGGCAACACAAGAGGGACAUUUCCAGGACUUCGUAUUGUAUCACUCUGCAGACAUUUUUAACUGCCAUCUAUUUUAACAGUAAGCUUCAGUUCUGUAGAAUUAAGACUGCCAUAUCCAAGAAGAAAUACACGGCUUAAAAAUCCGCCGGUCGGGACUUUGAGACCAUGUAUUGGCAGCCACAGGGUAGUUCCAUGCUUCAUGUUUGAGCUUCAUCUCCCGUGACGACUAGGAAUUUGUAGUGAACGAGGGAGGGGGGGAGGGGGAGGGGGAGGGGGGGAAAUUUAACAUGUCUAUGGAGGAUAGAGAUCCCAACCAAAUGGGGAAAAACUGAAAUCUACAGAAACGAAGAAUUGCUGUGUUCUUACAGAAUUUAUCAAGGCCUUUUGACAGCUUCACAGUUGCUCCAUUCAGAAGCCAACGCUUUUUAGAAUCCUAGUCUAUUUGGUAGGGGGAAAUUACCAGAGGAAGAUGUAAAACAACAGGGGUAGCAAAACGAAGGAAAAGUUCUUGGUCAAAAACAAUAACAGAGAAGAAGGGAAGCCAAAAAUCCAAUGGCCGCACUCUAUUUCCUCUCUCGCAGAGUAGAAAGAACAUGAAAAGAGAAGAAAAAAACGUAGAAGAGGAUUUUUCAACUUGAAAGAUAUUGUGUGAGUUUCAUAACUUGCAUAUCAUUUACUUGUGAUGCUAGGAAUAAGCAGAUAAUUACCCAUAUCAAGUCUUUUCUCUUGAAACUCAGAGGACUUGAUCCACCAUUGGAACUUGGACUCAUGAUAGGAACUGGCUUGAGAAGGAAACCAGAAGGCCGAGAAGGCACCAAACCAUGAAUUGGAUUUAAUACACAACUAAAUUGAGUACUUUAUGAGCUGAUUGAGAGAGAUCUUGGCACCAAACCAUGAAUCUGAUAUUUUCAUUCCAGAAAUGUUUCCAACACAAGUUUUGAGGUAACAUAGAAUGAUAAGACACAUGAGCACAUCCUAGUUAAAGAACAUGGAGUCAAUGGAAAGUAUAUGAACGAAAACAACAAGUGUCAGACAUGAUAAUGUUAUCAAAUUCGAAAUGCUUUGGGAUUUAAUUGCGAGGUGCUCUAAGCAAGGAUUAUGGAUAUAAAGGUGCACAACAGAAACUCCUUCCCUUCUAGAAAACAAGAUAAUGAGGAAUAGAGCUAGCCAACAAGUGACUUUAUGGUCCUAGUGAAACUGGUAUUGCUGCUUUGACAGGAGCAAAGAAUCUACAAAAGAAAACAUGGGUUGCGCGAAGGAAUCCCAGAAUAAAAAGCUGAUACAGAGAAUACAAACACAUACAUUUAGAGGUUGAACUGGAACUGAUGGAAGAUGCUGGAAAAGUCUCGUCCCAAGAAACAUUUCCAGCUGCUUCUGACGAGAGCUAUCUUUACAAGUACAUUUUUAUAUCUUCUCUGUAAAGUGAUUUGAAGAUUCUGAGCUACAGAAAACUGUUCAGAUUUUCCUGCUUCUUCAUUGAAUAUGUUUAGAAUUUGGCUAUGCAUAGCUUUUGAACCAGUAUAAAGUGCCAGCGGAGAUAGAGGAGAUAAAAUUGUUGAUCUCUUGAGCUCGUCAAAUGCCAUGUCAAAUCUCUUCCAAGGUUUAUCUGGACAUGGAUGAUUCCAGGUUAAAGUUCUAGUGUUGUGAUCAAUAUAAUACGUGUCGUUUUCCCUGUUGCUGCAUCAGAUCGUUUCUCCCAGCCUGGUGGCAAUGGAGCAGUAUAUCCACCACCAUAGUUAUUGACUGACUGAUAUAUAACAGUAAGCCAAAUCACACUAUCAAGUGAUAUGGCCAACCUCCUGCAUUGCUCCACAAAACAUUGCAGAACAUCAAAAUAACUAGAAACAUUCCAAGGAAUAUGCAAAAAUUAAAACGAUGACUCCAUUUUGAUGUGAUCUUAUGUAGAAAGCACCGGCAAAACCAUCGGUGUAGAAUUGAGAAGAGUCACAAGACUCACAACAACUCGGACAACAAAUAAAAAAUUACAAAGAAUUGAAGGGGUUAUGACUAAUUCCACAAAAAUAAAGAGCCCCACAAGAAAAUAAUACUACAAAAGAAUCACAUUAAAAAAAUUGAUCCCUCACACAUAUAUUAAACUUGGUGGACUCUUGACGGAUAAAUUGGGGACUUCUUGACUCAAAAUGUAAUUUAGGUUAGUGUUUUUUUCUUUUUUUUGUCAAAUCAACAUAUCAAUUCACUCACGAUAUGAUUAGCUUUAUCAAACCUAAAUGAGAUUCAAACGAGUUAAUUUUAAUAAUUUUUUUAAUUAGUAGAAACAAUAAAACAUGUUACCAAAAUACUAUAGAGAAUACUAUGCAUAUAGACUAAAAAAACUAUUCAUGGCGACACUUUAAUUACAUUUUUCCCCUUCUAUGAAAAAAACCAAAAGCUUAUGAGUUAAGGGCAAUUCAAUCUUUUCGCAUUGGUCAUUAAUUAUUUCACCGGGAAACAUAUAUGUAACCAGAAGCUUAUAAGUUAAGGGCAAUUUUUUUACUAGGACAUAUGGGACUUUUCUAUUUUUUAUGCGUAGCAAAAUGAUUUUUUAAAUCUUCAUAUAAAAAAAACUAAUUUUUUUUUAUUAAGGAUAUUUAAGUUUUUUAAAUAGAGUAAAAAAAAAUUAUUUGCUCUUAAAAAUCAAGAAAAAAUCAAUAAUUAGUCUAGAGAUAUCUGUGUUUGUUGACGUUGGUUUUUUUUUAUUAAUUCCAAAAAGGCUAAUUUGAUCAUUGAUGAAUAACUAGUUUUUAAAUUUAAAAAGUUAUUGAUGGAUGUAGUUCACAUGUCAUUGACACUUAUGCUCUUUGAGUGAUAUGCACGUGCCUCAUGUGGUCAAAUCUACCCUUUUGGUGGAGGUUGGUUAGUUUGUGGAUGACGAGUUAUUUUUUUUGCUUUCUUCUUUUUCAAUAGUUACAAGUUUGUUUUUUUUAUUAUUGGUAUUUCAGCUAUGAUACUUAUUCUUUUGAUAUUUAAUUCUUUUUCUUAACCAUUUUGCAAAAGUGUCAUUUAUUUUCAAUUUAGUUCUUCAAUUUCAAUUUGCCAUAUUUUUUUUUUAAUUUGAUCAUUGUUCUUUGAUUUUUAAUUUUUUUUGCUUGCCCUAUUUUUCAAUUUUAUUAUUCAAUCCAAUUUUAUGGUAUAUUAUUUUUCUAAAUCAAUCCUCAUUCUUUUGAAUUUUUUCUUUUGUUGAAUUAUUUUUCUUUUCAAUUUGACUCUCUAAUAAAAAAAAUUUGGUUUCGCAUUCUAAUUUAUUUUUUAUUUCAAUUUUCUCUCUCAUUCGUUUAAUUACAAUUUUUAUUUUUAUUUUUUUUGCAUUAAUGAUUUUUUAUCUCAUCAUUCAAUAUUUAAUUUGUUGAGUAUAUGGCUUCAUGAUUUUUUUCAUGUAUGGUACUUUUGGUAUUAGUUUAAAAUGUUAACAUAGACUAACAUUCUUUUUAUUUAGCUUGUUGUUUUUCUGACAUUAAUUUUGUUUUCAAAAAAUAAAAAAUAAGAAUUUCACGUUCACAUUAUUUUUUUUCCUUCUUUAAUUUUUUUAUUGUAGAUCAUUAAUUUUGUUUUGUUUUUUAACUUUUUUUGAUUUAUUUUUUCUUCAAUUUUUCUUCUAAUUAUUUGGUUUAAUUUUAUUUUUAUAUCAAAGUUGAUCUUCAUUCUUUAGAUUUUUCUAUCCUUUUUAUUAAUUAGGUUUUUUUUUAGUUUCAUCCUUAGCAUUUGAUUUCAAUUUUUUUAUGUCAAAUUUUGUUUUUAUUCUUUUUAUCGAUAUUUAUUUUGUUUUGGAUCCUUAUUUUUUAUUGUUUUUUUCUUUGUCAAUUUUUUCUUUAAUUAUUUUUUUAUGGAGGGUUUAGCUUCUUUUUUCCCCACCUUCUGUUAUGUUAAUUUCACUCUCAUGGUUAGGAUGAUGAGUUUUGAAAAUUGACAUGAGAUGACUUUGGUCAUUUUUAUGUCUCUCGGCGUUUGAAUUUUUGAAAUUGAUAUUCAUGGAUUUUUUUUUCUUUUUCUUAUGUGGGAUUGUCUUAUUUUUAUGCUUAUGGUUACAAGGUUAAUGUGUUAACUCGAAUCACUCGAAUUUUUUUUUUCUUUGUUUUUUUUUUUCAAAUUAAUUGGAUGCAUCUUUUUAUUACAAAUUUUGCUUUUUUAUUUUUUAGUGUUUAUCUUCUAUGCAGACGAUCUCUUCAAUCUUCGCCUCAUAGAUGACCACGAGUUUUAAAAGUUUACACGUGUAGAUUUUUACUUUUUUUGUUUUUAAUUAUUUUUUUAAUUUCAUCCCUAAUAUUUAUUUUUUUAAGAAAUGAUCUUCUUGCUUUAUUUUAUUUUUUUCGCAUUUAUUUUUUUGUGGUAUCAAAUAUCUUAAUUUUAUUUAGUUAUUUAUUGAUCAAAUAUUAAUUUAUUUAACUUAAUGUAUAUUUAAGCAUUUUAAUUUAUAAUUAGAAGUUUUUUAUAUUAAAAAACUAAUAAAAAUCCUAUCUAUUUUUUUAUUAAAAAAAUUUAAUUCAUAGCAAAACACUAGUUAAAUAUCUAAUUUUUUUUUUAAAUAAUAUUGUUUUAGUUUAAAAAAUAAAACUAAAAACAAUUAAUUUUAAAAUUGACUUUGCUCGUAUGAAAUCAGGUUUUGGAUUCGAUCAGACCCCAGGCCCGUAUGAAAUCUAUGGUCGGUCCCUUCCUGAAGAAACAAGAGGCAGAGAGAAACCAAAGAGAUGAGCUAACAGCAUCGACAAGCCACACAAUUCGAUUCUCCACCAUGCUAUAUAGAUUGCUUCCAAUACAAGAUUUCACAGGUUUACCGACGGAAAUAUUCCGUCGGUGUGUGACAGAACGUUCGUCGGUAAAGUAUUUCACAUGCCGUCGGAAUACCUUUUGUCGGUGAUUUCACAUUCCGUCGCUAUAUCGGUCGGUAAUAAAAAAAACACAUUUACCGACGGUUUUACCGACGGCCCGUGCGCGCCAAAAAAAAAAGUUUCCCGCUUGGAAUAUACCGACGGAAUAUAUUCCAUCGGUGUUAUGUAAAUACCGACGGACUACCUCCGUCGGCAAAAGUGUCGGUGAUAUUUCAUACCGACCGAAUAAAUCCGUCUGUAAAUUCGUCGGUAUUUUUAUACCGACGGAUUAUUUCCGUCGGUGAAUAUGUCGGUAUUUUUAUACCGACGGAUUUAUUCCGUCGGUAAAUCCCUGUGUAAUUUUUUUUUUUAAUUAUUUAGAAAACAUAAUAUAAAUUAAUAGUAAUACAAACCAAUUAUGCAAAUAAAAUUUAUAUUAAGCAACAAAAACUCAAAGUUAAAUAAUAUUCAUUACAAAAUGAAUGUGUUUUAAAAAAAAACAAUUAAUAUAAAGGUGGAGGAGGAGGAGGAGGAGGAGGAGGAGGAGGAGGAGGGUGGGGGUUAGGCGGCCAAAAAGGAUUCGGCGCACAUGUUCCGCCUUGUGUCAUGUUCAUGACCAUUUGACGAAGCUCUUCAUAGGCCGCUCUUUGUUGUUCAGACUCUGCUCUGCGUUGUUCGUCCGCCAAUCUAUGUUGUUCGUUCGCCAAUCUUUGCUCUUCUUUGAGUUGUGUGUACGCCUCUGAUAAGUGGUCGCACCUUUGCUGCAAGGCCACAAACUCCUUAGAUUGGGAGCUCGAUACAAAUUGGGAGCUCCCACCGGUUGAAGCAGUACCGAUCGACCGCAACUUGGCAGCGGUAGUGUUGGAGAGCCCGUAAACCCGAUUUUUAUCGGGUCCACCUGACGAUCCAACCUCCAUCCACAAAUCCGGAUCGAAUUCUGGAUGGGUCGAAGGAUCAUCCCCGUAUCUCUCCCUCAACCGAUUAUUAUAGGUCUCCUGAAAAAAAAAUAAUCAUAUUCAAUUCAAUAAACAUAAUAAUAACUUACAAAAUAAAAUGGUUGAACAAACACACCACAAACUGUUGAGCACGGUUGUCAACGAACUGUUGCGUCCCCUUUUGACGGUCAUGACUCCGCACGUGCGUCUCCACAAACAACUCCAUAGGGCUCGGCUCACGUCCAAGAGACGUAGCCUAUAUAUAAUGAAAAAAAUGUAUUAACAACAAAUUAAUUGAAUGAUAUAUUUCAUUUAAAUUAAUCUUACCAUCCGUUUCGCAUGUGCAGCAAACGGAACGGAGCCGCCGGUGUGCGUUGUAACCGAGCCAUGAAUUUGCCGAUUCCGGUUGCCGGCACCGGACUGUGAGCGUCGAGUGAACCGCUCAGACGUCAUGUGCUGAAGAUAGUGCGGCCAUAUAUCUUCCGGGAUGUAUAUUGGUUUGAAAUCCCUCCAAACCGCAACAUCGUUCCAGCCUUAUAACCCCUUAUCCCUCGCUGUUUUUUUUGCUUUUUUCUAGGCGUCAUACCAAAAAUCACGCAACCUAAUUCACGCACGAAAAAAUUACAUUUCAAAACAUAAAUAAUUAUGUAAAAAAAAGUCGUAUUGUUUUCGAUGUUACCUAAUUGCCGCGUGAUUUUCCCACACCCUCCUCACAACACUGUCAUGUUCAUCGUCCCAGCAGAAUCGAUGCUGUAUAUAAAAAAAUAAUUUUUUAAAAUGUUAAUAAUUUAUUUACAAUUAUAACAUGAAUUUAUAAUUAGAAAUAAGCUGAAAAUUAUAUAUUAACACGAACCUCAAAUCUACGAAACCAUGCAUUGAUUUGAGGCAUCCAUUCAGGAUGUCUGGAUAUCUGACUCCAUUGAAACAAUGGAAUCUCCAUCGACGCUUUAAACGCCGAUGAUAUUAAUCGGGCGGCCUCAAUGUUUGUGAACCUGAAAAGAAAUGAAAUUAAUUUGUGAUUACUUCAUAAAUUAUGUUUUAAAUUUGUUUUUUUUAUAUAAAAAAAAACUAAAACAUUAACAAACUUACAUUGAAAGAUCGUCCUUCCACUGUGCCUCGAACUGGCGGGUAAAUUGAUUCCGCUUCGAAGGCAUGCCGCGUCUGCGAUGUGAAACAUCGCUGGAAGAGGCAGCAUCGGUUGACGGCGCAGGUGGUGUAGGUGCCUCUUCUUGAGAGGCACCUAAGGAAACAUCAUCAUCGCUGCUAGACGAACUUGAUUCGACUGGACGACCAGCUCUGGUUUUUAUUUUGCGCAUCUAAACAAUUUUAUAUUAAUAAUUGUAAAAUAAAAUUCAAAAGUUAAAAAAAAAUCGGCAGCACCUCCCCUAUACUGGAUACUACCCAAAUCCACAAACCUGCAAAUAUUAACAAUAGCCACAACCAAUCGAACCAAUCUAUACUAAUUAUUCCAACAUAUUCAACUAUUAAUCCUAAGAUAAAUUCAACGUUAACAAUUACAAUUCACAAAUUAAUCAAUAAUUAUAUUCAAAACAAUAAAAAAUAUAACAAAAAAUAAAGUCAAUAAAUUCAACAAAUUAUACUUCAACAAAUUAACAAUUACAAUUCAACAUUAACAAUUAUAAUUCAACAUUAACAAUUAUAAUUCAACAAAUUCAAAAACUUCAAAAAAAUUCAAAUAUUCAACUUUAACUAAUUCUAAGUUAAAUUAACUAACAACAAUUCUAACAACACAACAACAAAAAAUAUUCAAUAAAUUCAACAAUUAAAUUCAAUUAUUCAACAAUUAAAUUAACAAAUAUUCAACAAAUUCAAAAAAUUCAAAAAAUUCAAAAAAUAUUCAAAUAUUCAACUUUAACUAAUUCUAAGUUAAAUUAACUAAUAACAAUUCUAACAACACAACAACAAAAAAUAUUCAAUAAAUUCAACAAUUAAAUUCAAUUAUUCAACAAUUAAAUUAACAAAUAUUCAACAAAUUCAAAAAAUAUUCAAAAAAUUCAACUUUAACUAAUUCUAAGUUAAAUUAACUAAUAACAAUUCUAACAACACAACAACAAAAAAUAUUCAAUAAAUUCAACAAUUAAAUUCAAUUAUUCAACAAUUAAAUUAACAAAUAUUCAACAAAUUCAAAAAAUUCAAAAAAUAUUCAAAAAAUUCAACUUUAACUAAUUCUAAGUUAAAUUAACUAAUAACAAUUCUAACAACACAACAACAAAAAAUAUUCAAUAAAUUCAACAAUUAAAUUCAAUUAUUCAACAAUUAAAUUAACAAAUAUUCAACAAAUUCAAAAAAUUCAAAAAAAAAAGGAACGAAAUAUACAUACCUUAAUAAUGUGUCAAAUUCAAAACUUUAUCUACAUUGCAACAAAAAACACCAACACAACAAAAAUAAAAACAACUAAAAAUAAAAUAAAAUAAAAUAAAUUAGAAAAAAAACACAUACCUUUUAAUAUAAUGAAGAUUUACAACACCAAAUCUUGCUAGAGAUUAAAGGUGAAAGUGUUUAAGGAUUGAAGGGAAAAAAAUGAAAAAUCUAAGGUGAAAAACGGAGGAGAAGCGAAGCGGCGGGGAGAAGAAGAAAAAAUGAGGCGAAGCGGCGGGGCUGAAACUUAUAGGUCAAUUUUACCGACGGCAUCACCGACGGAAUUAACAUCCGUCGGUAACAGGUCAAAAUUCCGUCGGUAUUUUUCGAAUUUCGCCCCGAACUUUUAAAAGCCCUCCAAAUUUUUCGCAGUCCGUCGGUGAUCUGAAAAGUUCAGAGGCGCAUUAAUUAACGCACUUUGGAAAACGCGCGGUCCGUCGGUAAUUCUGUCGGUAAUAUGUGUAACCGACAAAUUACCGACGGACCGAAGCCGUCGAUAAUCUCGUCGAUGGUGGUGUUAUGUUUUCGAGCUUACUGUGAGAUGCCGACGGAUGUUAUUCCGUCGGUAUGGGCGUCGGUGAUUGUGGCAUUUUAUUGUAAAUAUUUUCGAACUCUCUGUGAGAUACCGACGGAUCACCAUCCGUCGGUAUGGACGUCAGUGAUUAUGGCAUUUUGUUGUAAAUAUUUUCGAACUCUCUGUGAGAUACCGACGGAUCACCAUCCGUCGGUAUGGACGUCGGUGAUUAUGGCAUUUUGUUGUAAAUAUUUUCGAACUCUCUGUGAGAUACCGAUGGAUCACCAUCCGUCGGUAUGGACAUCGGUGAUUUUGGCAUUAUGCAUGAAAGGUUGUCUUUGUAUUGCCUGUUUACCUUCCUGCAAUAACUUAACUGAUAAACUGUCUAUCACAUAAAACAAUAACCACAUUGCUUAAACAAUAAAUAUUUUGUUUUACAAAAUACAUCAUCAAUAAUCUAAAUUACAUGAGACAAAUGUUUUUACAUAGGGCUUCAUUUUCAUAAUUAGUCGGAAUUUUCUUCUUCUUCCUCAUCAAUUGAAUUGUCAUCAUCUUCAUCGCAAUCUUCAAUAUGGAUAUCAUCUUCUUCAUCGACAUUUGGUUGUCCGCUAGAGCUGAGAACAACAUUCAACUCCUCUCCGUCAAUAUCAACAAGACUAUCAUCGAGAACUCGAAAAUUUGAAUUUUCUUCCAAUUCAAUCGAAGGAGCAACUCGAUAUGGUUCAACCAACUCACGAACUUGAAAGACUUCAUCUCGCACACUUGUGUCUUCGUUCUCAUCCUGAACAACCUCGACACGACCCCGUGGUUUCGUUUUUAAAACGGACAACCAAUCAACUCUUGAACGAUCCUUUCUAAAUGAAGGGGUGUAUGUGUAAUAAACUUGUUGACAUUGCUUUGCGAAAACAAAGACAUCGUUUAUGUUGCGGAGUCUAGCUUUUGAGUUGAUUUCGACCAGACCAUGGUGCGGAUCAACUCUGAUUCCUCUGUCCGUCGUGUCAUACCAAUAGCAUUUGAAUAAAAACACUUUAUUCUGCUCGCUAUGAUAUUGCAGUUCGACGACCUCUUCUAAUCUACCAUAGUAGUCAACUUCUAACUGGCUACUUGUGGAUCCCUUAACACAAACACCGCAGUUGUAUGUCUUUCUUCCUUGCCCGUAUUCUUCAGUAUGGAAAACAUAUCCAUUGACAAAAUACCCGUUGUAGCACUUAACUUUUCUUUCAGGGCCGAGGCUUAGUGAAGACAAUGACUUGGGCGCACUCCUUCCCAUUUGAUAAACCUUGUAAAUAUAUGUAAUUAAAUGUACAUCAAUACACGGUAAAUGAACGAGAAUCUCGUAAUGACAUGCAUACGUUAGAAUGAGUUUGUGAUAGUGCUUACAUGUGUUCUGAACCAUGUGGCAAAUUGUUCAUCUUGUAAUUGAAAGAUCUGGGAUUCGGUCAGCUGCGAGUUAUUGGAGAGCAAAUAUUGUCGAUGUUGCCUGCAAGUGAUAAUGAGUGUAUGAUAUUACAAUAUAUAAUUAACAGUAUAUUACUGACAAAGUUUAAUUACUAUUACACAUAUAUAGACUUACUGAAUAAAUGGUCUCAGCUCAUCACAGUUAAAUAGAACAUAGUUGUGUGCUUGUUUGAAUUCUAUUUCCGACAAAUAUCUUCCUCUUACGGCAUUUUUAGGUGUGGGUCGUCCAGUAUUGGAGAAUAUUGACAAGUUCCCACUGGAAGGCACUUCACCGCCAUCGUCAUGCCGUGGAACGCGAUUGAUUCUUGUUCUCAGAUGAGGUUCGAAAUAGUACGAGAUAAAUGUUGAUAUCUCUUCAACAAUAUAGGCCUCAGAUAUCGAAGCCUCAACAUGCGCCUUGUUCUUAACCUUUUUUUUUAGAUUAAACAAGUACCUGCAUUGAAGUACAAUUCAAGUAUUUUCAAAUAAGAAAAACAUAGAAAAUACUUUAAGAUAUGAAUUCCAUUGCAACUGUAAUAUCUCACCGUUCGAAUGGGUACAUCCAUCUAUACUGGACCGGUCCUCCAGCUUUUGCCUCGAACGGUAGAUGUAUAGGGAGAUGCUCCAUUGAGUCAAAAAAUGAAGGAGGGAAUAUCAUCUCAAGUUUGCAUAGUGUCUCGAUGAUAUUCGUUUGAAGCAUCUCAAUGUGCUCAACAUUCAUCUUGCUGGAGCAUAUAUCUCUGAAGAAAUGACUGAUCUCCGUUAGUGCAUCCCAUAUUCCCUUUGGCAACAAAUCACGAAAAGCUAAUGGGAUGAGUGUUUGCAUAAACACGUGGCAGUCAUGGCUCUUCAUUCCAUACAAUCUGCAGUCCUCUAUGUUAACAAGCCUUGAUAUGUUCGAUGCAUGUCCAUCCGGGAAACGCAGACUCUUAAGCCAUUUGUAGACUAGCAGUUGUGCGUUUUUCUCUAACACGAAGCUUGCCCUUGGUUUUGCAACCCGUGACUCGUCAUAAACCAACUCCAUAUUUUUACGGUUACAGUAUAAAGCUAUAUCCAAUCUAGCCUUCAUGUUGUCCUUUGUCUUCCCCUUCACAUCCAUGACGGUGUUGAAAAUAUUCUCAAACACGUUCUUUUCGAUGUGCAUGACGUCAAGGUUAUGGCGGAGAAGAUUAGUCUUCCAAUACGGAAGCUCCCAAAAGAUACUUCGCUUUACCCAAUUAUGGGUCAAACCAAAACCAGGAAACUUUUGCUUACCUGAUUGAAGGCCAAACACAAUGUCACCGUACUCUGAUACAACAUGAUGCAAUUCUUCACCAGAAAGACGCGGGGAUGCAACAUCUUUUUCAACUCUACCAACAAAGAAAUCUUUUCUGUUCUUUCUGAACCUGUGAUUAAGUGGCAAGAAGCGACGGUGACAGUAAAAAAAGAAGCUUUACCUCCGUUUGCUAGCGUGAAUGCCUUGUUGUUUUCCAUGCAGUAUGGACAUGCGAGUUUCCCAUGCGUGCUCCAACCAGAAAGCAUUCCAUAAGCUGGAAAAUCACUGAUAGUCCACAUCAAAGCCGCCCUCAUAAGGAAAUUUUGUUUCCUAGAUAUAUCAUAAGUCAGAGAUCCGGAGGACCACAACUGCGCCAGCUCAUCUAUCAACGGUCGAAGACAAACAUCUAUAUUCCGCCCCGGGCUGCUUGGACCGGGUAUGACAGUAGAUAGAAACAUGAACUCCGGCCUCAUACACAUUCCCGGUGGCAAGUUAUAAACUGUGAGAAUGACCGGCCAACAAGAAUAGGGAGCAGCAAAUGACCCAAAUGGGUUGAACCCGUCUGUACACAACCCAAGUCGAACAUUCCUUGAUUCAGCAGAAAAGUCAGGAUGAACACUGUUAAAGCGUUUCCACGCUUCGCCGUCAGAAGGAUGCACCAUCACACCAUCAACGACAUCGUGUGUUUGGUGCCAUGUCAUGUGCUCAGCAGUCCUUGGUGACAUAAAUAACCUCUGCAGUCUAGGUGUGAUCGGGAAAUAUCUAAGUUUUUUAUAUGCCACUAGAGUCUUCCCCCUGCCAGUUCUGGGUUUGUAACGGGAAUGCCCGCAUGUCAUGCACUCGGUCAUCACAGCAUUUUCAAGGUAGUAUAACAUGCAGAAGUUAGGGCACAUGUCAAUUUUCUGGUAUCCUAAACCGAGGGGUUUCAUCAUGGACUUCGCAGCAUAGAAGUUCUCUUUGAGCCUGUUCCCUUCUGGUAAAAUGCUUCUUGCCCAAUCAAUAAUUUUGUCAUACCCGGCCUCACUCAACCCGUGAUCUGACUUGAUGGUGAACACCUGUGCCACAGCCGAUAAUUUACUGUGGUUUGUGCAGCCAUCCCAUAAUGGUUCGUCAGAAUCUUUCAACAAAUCAAAAAACCUAGCUGCCUCUGCAUUAGGUUCUUCUUCUACGAUUGGACAUUGAUUGACAUUAUCUUGAUUCAUUCUCAUUGCAUCCAUAACCAUGUUUCUGUAAGGAUUAGUGUUGUCAUUUGCCGCUUCAUGCACGUUGCUAGCACUAGAAGUUGACCCAACCACCGUUUCUCCCAUUCUCCUAUUACUAACAAAUACCUCUCCAUGUGCAUACCAACACUCGUAAUCCUCCACAAACCCUUUGUGUAGAAGAUGCAUCAUUACAACAUCUGGAUGCAGAUACUUUUUAUUUUGACACUUCCUGCAUGGACACCUAAUACCGCCUCCAGUAAAAUUUCUGGGAAUAGAUGUUGCGAAAUUAAUAAAACCCUGAACCCCGUUACAAUAAUCCAUCCUCCGCAAUCCUUGGGGUGAAUCUAGAUACAUCCAUGAACGAUCAUCCAUGACUUCUAUCGAACCUCUAUAAAAAGGACCCAUUAAUUAAGCAAGCUCUUAAUUAUUUCAAAACAACAUGUAAUUCGGUAAUUCUACAAAUUAAGUUUUAACAAUUUUCAAACAAAUACAAUCUUACAAAAUCUAAAACAAACCAUAACAAGUAUAAAAUUAUACAUUCAUAUACUACAAGUUUGUUUGAGAAAUAACAAUAAAACAUGUACAUCUACUAAAAAAAAUAAUACAUAUACUAAAAAAACAAUAAAAUUAACAUUUAAAUGUUAAAAUUUUAAAAGAUAGAAUUACUUACAAAAAAUGAUAAAAUCCGUCGGUAAAUCAGAACACGGAUGCUGUGACCACAAAACAAAUACAACUUGUUGUGCUGAGAUGAGAAGAUUUUUGUUUUGGGGCGAGGGGGGGCUGGUUAUUUUGCAGAUGGGGAGGGUUAGGAUUAGGAAGAAGAAGGAGAAAUGGGGGAGGAGAGUGUCGGCAGAGGGGCCAUAUAUUCACUUUUGCCGACGGACUUACCGACGGUCUUUAUUCCGUCGGUAAUUCUGACGGGCAAUCGACACGUCACCGCACGGACCUGCUAUUCAAAUCCCUCGGUGAUUCCGUCGGUAUUUUUAACGGUGCACCCGUCACGUCACCGGUACGGAUCUGGCAUUUCAAAUCCGUCGGUGAUUCCGUCGGUAUUUUUUGACGGUGAAUAGGUCCCAUCACGCGUACGGGCCCCAGUUUUUAAUUCCGUCGGUGAUUCCGUCGGAAAAAUCACCCGCCAAAACCUCCGCGCCACUGCCCGCCCUUUUUUCAUUAAUUCUGAAUUUUCGGUCGGUAAUUACCGACCGAAUUACCGACGAAUAUUGUCCGUCGGUGAUUUGGGCCGAAAAAUACCGACAGAAAAAAUUCCGUCGGUAUGUCCGUUGGUAUUUAGCGAAUUUCUGGUAGUGUUCCUUGGACAAGUCGCAACACAAAUUCCAAAACCCAUUUUCAUUUUCCUAGAUUUUGAGUAAGUUUUAGUUCAUUUUCGAAGUGGGUGGUUUGAUUUAGCUUAGCUUAUCGUGUUGUAAAUUGUCAUCUUUUUUGUUGAAUGCUGUACUUGGACAUCACUUUUUGUAGUAUCAUGGUGUUAGUGAUUGUGUUGUGAGGCCCAGUUGGGGAAUUGGUUUAUUUGUUCUGAAUCCACUCUUGUUUGGUUUGUUUUAGCUUAGUGUGUUUUACUUGUGAGUUGUACACUUGAAUAUGUUGUUUUGUGGAACAGGUUCUUUGUUUUUCAUGAUUUUGUUUAAAAAUGGAGCUUAAGCUUGAGUUUUUAAAAGCCAACUUAAGGAGGGUUCAUCUUGGUAUAAUGAAUUGAAGCGGUCAUGGUUCAAUUUUGCUCAUUUUGAUCCAUUUCUCACUUGUCUUUCAUAGUUUGGAUCCACAUUGACGCCAUUUGUUUUCACUAUUCGAGAAAGAGUUUACUUUUUUUUUUUGAAUUUCGAGGAAUCCUCUUAUAAGUUGAUUGCUUGUCAGAAAUGGAAAUAACCCUUAUUCAACUUAGCUUGGUUUAAUUGCUGCUCUUUUUUUCAUGGGCCAAUUUGGAGAUUGAACUGUAUUUUAAUUGUAAAGUUUUACUUUCAUGCAGAACAUGGAAGCUUGGUGAUUUUGAUAAAGUUUAUAUUGAGUUAACAAAAGAUGUUGCCUGUUUGCUCUGCCACUCAGUGUUGUUCCUCUCAUUUUCAGGUGAGUUUCACUUCCUAGACUGUAAUUUAAUUCGUGUUGUUGCCAAGUUUCUAUCAUCCUUGUACCUUGGAUUUCAUCUAUGCCCUUAGUUUAGGGGAUGCAUGACCUCUAAUUAGGUGAAGAACAAGCCGGGACUGUAAUUGAACUUUUGUUAAAGAGAAAAAUUCUGGUGUCAAAAAUAAAAGAAAAAAAAAAUGUUGCAACUAGAAAUGUCCGCCUCUUUAUAAAAUAUGUUUGAUGUAUUUGAGUUGAAAAAUCUUGGGUGCCUAAGUGAAGGUUUUGAAUGAAGGUAUCAAUUAAGCUUCAACUGUUUAAGCGUAAAGGUCAGUAUGACAUCAUGUAGAGCUUAUGUGCCUAAGUGAAGGUUUUGAAUUGAUUCUCAUGCUCUAGCAUGGUAUCAUAGUCCAGUGCAGUUUUCUCCUUUUUCUUAGGCCUACACAUCAGAGGGAUGCUGGUUAAACCCCUUAACAAUCUAGCAGAAAGUUUUGCAUUGGCCUAAUAAUUGGCUUGUACACUCCCUUUAGUAGUUUAAGCUUGUCGGUGUGAUUCUCUGGCACCAACUUCCUUCUCAUCUGCAGUGGAUUAUGAUGGCAUUUUCUCUUCACUUAGAGCGUGUUUGAGAUUGUGGUCAAAAUAACGUUUACUAAAAAUUUAAUAUUUUUUGUUUAAAAUUAAUUUUUUUAGUGUUUUUGAAUUGUUUUGAUGUGCUGAUGUCAAAAUAAAUUUUAAAAAUGAAAAAAACCUUGUUUUAAUACGUUUCCGAACGAAAAACACUUUGAAAAGCAAUAGUUACCACAAUGUCAAACAUGCUCUUAAUCUAAUUACUUGAAUCAUAAUAGAAAAUUAAGAUAUGAGGUCUGUGAGACUCCAAUAUACAAAGUCCUUGUCCACCUUUAAAGAACAAAAUUUGACAAUUUUCAGUGAAGCCUUGCAGGCAGUAACUGAUGUGCGGAAUCCGGCGACCGGUGAUGUAUUGAUCUUUGCUUAUAGGAGGGGUAAGCACACUGAGACACAAUAUUUAACGUGGUUCAGCAAAUUGCCUACAUCCACGGGAGAGGUUCAUUUUAUUUAGAGAUAGAGAAAGAAUACAAUAAUACAUGAAGGAGGAUCUCAUCACUCAACUCCCAUCUCUCUUUGCUACAUAGGGCAGCAGCUGCUGGUGGCAGCAGGGCUGCUGAUGGCAGCCCUUCUCUUUCUUUCUCUCUUCUUCUCUCUUUUGUAGCUCUUCUACAAGACUCUCUCUCUCAUUUUGUGAUGCACUCUUGGUGUCUAUUUAUAGGCUUCAAUGACAGCUCCUCUUGCUACUUUGUCAUCAAUGGUGGCUGCCAAACUCAUCUCUUCUUCAACAAAGAUGGCUACCAAAGUCAAGGUUGGUGGUUGCCACCAACAAGCCUCCUUCUUUGACAAUGUCAACAUAAUUGGCAAUAUUCCAACAAUCACCCCCUUUGCCAUUUAUGUGGGCAAUUGUCAUUUUGCUUCUUCAGCACACGCUUUCUGGAGCGUUCUUGACCUGGGCUCCUUUCAUGGCCCUCACACCUUCUCUAAGGUGUCUCCGCUUGUCGUUGUGCGACGGUCUAAACUAGGGCUCCUAUCGUAGCUCAUAGUUUGGCACAUAUAAUUGGGUAAACAUGUGCACCUUCUUCUUCUUCAUCUCCAUCGACCACCAUGAUGACCUUUAAAUGCCUCCUGAUCGGGCAAUCUCUCUUUAAUAAUUCACCAUUGUCAUUGUUGGUCUCGAAUCUCAACGAUCGGACCAUACCAUUGCAUCCGGAAUGAUCAAAUUAGCUGGAAACAUGUCUUGAAUCGUCCAAAUCGCACUUCAGACGGCUAAGAUUUGAUCAAAACAAUUCUGGCCUAAUCAACGGCUCAUAUUCACUAUCAGAUCCGGUUGCACGUAGGAUCAGCUACACUGGAUCCUAUCCCUCAGCUCGCGGCUCGGCUCCAACUCAGCUCGGCUCCACUCGGCUCGGCUCGCGGCUGAUGACAUGGCAGGUAGGUCCCACUAUGCUGACAUGUCAGUUGACUAAUCAAUGGCUUGCUGACUGUUUAUGCUGAUGUCAUCCUUGCAUCAUGCUGAUGUCGUCCUUUGCAUGGCACUGUUCAUGAUAGCGUCACUGUUCAUGUCUGCUGUUCAUACUGUAUUCGGGUCGGUCAACUCAUCCGGGUGAAGAAGACGCGUGGGGCGCGUCUGAGCGCGUGGGCAGACGCCUUGCCGGAGAGUGAUGGAGAGUGCGGCCAUGUCCGACGUACGAAUUUGACGCCGUUUUCACCAGUGGCUUCGUAUCGUCCUCCUCUACACAGUGGGAUGGUCAAAACACCAUUUUGACAACUUUCAUUUUUGAGCAAAGAUCAAACACCACUUUAAACCAAAAAAGCUCUGAUACCAUUUGAUGUGCGGAAUCCGGCGACCGGUGAUGUAUUGAUCUUUGCUUAUAGGAGGGGUAAGCACACUGAGACACAAUAUUUAACGUGGUUCAGCAAAUUGCCUACAUCCACGGGAGAGGUUCAUUUUAUUUAGAGAUAGAGAAAGAAUACAAUAAUACAUGAAGGAGGAUCUCAUCACUCAACUCCCAUCUCUCUUUGCUACAUAGGGCAGCAGCUGCUGGUGGCAGCAGGGCUGCUGAUGGCAGCCCUUCUCUUUCUUUCUCUCUUCUUCUCUCUUUUGUAGCUCUUCUACAAGACUCUCUCUCUCAUUUUGUGAUGCACUCUUGGUGUCUAUUUAUAGGCUUCAAUGACAGCUCCUCUUGCUACUUUGUCAUCAAUGGUGGCUGCCAAACUCAUCUCUUCUUCAACAAAGAUGGCUACCAAAGUCAAGGUUGGUGGUUGCCACCAACAAGCCUCCUUCUUUGACAAUGUCAACAUAAUUGGCAAUAUUCCAACAGUAACUUCCAUGCACCCUAUAGGACGGGGUAAACUGAAAUUCUUAUAUCUUAUGUUAAAGAAGGACUUGUGAACUCUGCAGACCAGUUUGCUGAAAAUAUAGAUGGUUUAAUACAACUUGUGGAACCUGAAAUAACAUCAACUAUUGAUAUUACACCAGAGAAUCCUUAUUUGGGAUCUGAUACCCUGAAAAUGGAUAAUGAUUCAUUAUCUAGCGCAAAGGCUGAUUUUGAUGAUUUUUUGAGCAGGGUUAGGGACUCCAUCAACACUUCAGUAAAUAAGGGAGGAGAUGUUGUGCAAAGCUCACUAGACACAAUUACUUCUUCAAUAAAAUCGAUUAAGGAAGGCGCCUCAGAAGCAGUAGAUGGUGCCUUGAGUAAAGUAUUCUCAACUUUUGAUCAAACAGGAGAAUUGGUUGGCAAUAGAUUGACUAGCUUUUCAUUUGGUUUAAGAGAAGCCAUAAAAAAAGCUACUGGCAUUUCUGUUGAUGUGCUCAGAGGUGCAAUCGUUGCAGUGGAGGAAUCUAUAGCAAAAGGGGCUUCUUUUGUUGUUUAUUCUUAUGGGUCUUCCAAGGAUUUGCUUCCUCCAGAGAUCACGGGUGCACUGAAUCUGCCUGAAGAAAGGGUAACAGAGAUAUUGAGGCCAAUUGGUGCAACUUUUCAACAGGUACAUUAUACUUGGCAUGUUUUACUUUGAUGGCCGUUGUACUCUUAUGUAAAUUGUAUGGACUUGAAAAAAAAAAAUAUCCUGCAAAGAUAUAUUUGGAUUAUUUUAGAAAUCUUUUUGUUAGAGAUAUCAGUCACUACUUUCAGCUUAUAGGACUUCUAGUUGAAAACUCAAUUGCGUCCAUCUUUGUUACACUGCUUAAUUAUUUGCUGAUCUAACUAAUUUAUGUUCCAAAACCAAAGCUGAAUUUCCUACACCUGCUUUUACACCUUAAGCAGGUUUACAUUGCUAUUGAGGGGCUGCAGAAAAGUCUUGGCUUGGAUCCAAAUGAUCCAGUUGUUCUUUUCCUUGGAACUUCAGCCACUUUGUGGUAUGGAUGUCCUUUUAUGCAUGGAGGAUUUGUUAAUUUAAUCUGCAUUACAUGGGAAGCUUAAGUUUUCUAUCAUAUUUGUGUAGGGGUUUUUAUAGGGUGUGAGCAUAUGGUGGUUACUCUUGAGAUUUGUCUCCGCAAUUAACUUUGGAGCUCUUGGCAGAAAAGAAAGACGCCAUACUUAUUGAUGUUCGGCCUGAGGCGAGAGAGUAAAUUUUUUUGGCCUUUUAUGUUCUUAAGUUUCUUUUGUUAAAUUCUAGUACCUCAAUGAGAGACACUAAAGCUGACUGCUCAGACAUUUACUGAAGGGUCUGUACUGUUUUUCAACUCUGUUCAUUAAUACUUUAUAUCUUUUAGCUACCCCAUUUCAUAUUUUCAAUAUUUAAUUUCUUUUCACUAGGAAAUAUUACUUACCAUCAACCUAUCAACCCCAUUUCUUUUACAUCAUAGUCAAAGAAUCUCAAAUAUGGCACCCUUAUUAAUUUCCUUUUUCCCCCUUAACAUGGCAUUGAACUUGGUGGGCAUUGUUUAUAUGAAGGUUCUCAGAGAAAGAGAUGGCAUUCCUGAUCUUAGACGAGCCGCUCGGUUUUGCUAUGCAAGUGUAACUCUACCAAAGGUUGGUUUUAUUUGAUAAUACUAUUCAAAAACUAUGAGUGGAGAGGUAUCGCAAUUUGGUAUGAGGAUGAUAUUUUAGAACAAUUACUUUCUAAAUGUCAAAUAACUCUUUGAACCAACAUUAAAAAAAUAAAAUGAGAAUUGGAGUUUGGCUGUAUCCUUUUUUCAUAACUGUGUCUUAUAUUCUUCAACUUUAUUCAGCUUGAUGGCCCAGCAAGGAAGCUUUUAAAGGGUGGAAGAGAUCUUGAUGACAUCUUACCUGCUGCAGUCAUUCGAAACUUAAAAGUUGUACAGGUAUAGCUUUAUGUUCUAAGAGCUUCAAUAUAACUAUUGUUUAUGCAUGCCGUCAUUGUUUCAAGACAUUCAGAAAAAUGAGAAUUCUGAGUGUCGCACGUGUGCGGCGGCGCGACGAUCUUUCACCCUCAAGGAAAAAAAAAUCGGAAUAUUUAUUCCUGAAAAAUAGUCAGAGACAAGGAAUUCUUGUCUCUACAAGUAAAAAAAUGGACUGGGAGUCACCACCUAGUAUUCUGGUUACUAGGAACCUUAACUGGUCUUUAGAGAUCGGGUACGGAGACUGGUUGCGUAAAGGGAAGGUAUUAGCACCCCAACUAUGCCCUACCUAAGGUAGGCUGCAUUGUUUUAAUGUCUGAUAACAUCUAAGGUCGUGUUUGUGGUUUUUAAUUUUAUUGUUCGGAAUACGCAUUACAUGUAAUGUCAUAUCCCAAGUUCUAUUAAAAUAUAUAUAUAUAUAUAUAUAUAAUUAAAUUAAAUAUCCGGAAUAUGUAUUACGUAUAAUGUCAUACCCCGAAUAUUAAAAGAUAAACAAAAUAAAAUUUUUUUGUUUUUUUGAAAUUUUGGCCAAUAUUCUCUUGACUUUAAUAAACUGGUUAUUAAAGCCAAAAUGCAUGCUAAAACAUUGUUUUUUUUUUGUAUGAAAAAUACAAAAUGAUUUUUUUUUUAGACAUAUGGCCGUAUGCACAAAAACAUUUUUUUUUUUAAUUUGGUUUUUUGUAUUCUUGAAAGUCGAAAACCGGUAAUUUCAGUAUCGGAUUUGUAUUUUACAACAUAAAAAUAUUGUCCGAUAUUACAUAAAAAUGACAUAAAAACUACGCGGAAAAAUGAUAAAUGAAACAAGUAUUUUUGAUUUUUUUUUUAUGGGCCGGAUGAACAGUACCACGGGACGAAAACGGGGUAUUUUAAUACCGGAUUUAUAUUUUUACGAUGUAAAAUACAGACGAUAUUAAGCAAAAUGAUAGAAGAAAAUGUGCUUUUAAAAAAAAAAAUAAAAAAUUAUAACAAAAUAAUAAUAAUAAUAAAAAAUAAAAAAUAUGGGCCGGAACAGGCCUAAAUGCAUGGGCUGGGCCGACCAAGCCUAUUUACAUGGGCUGGGCCGACGGCCCAGCCCAAGCCCAAACGGGCUGGUUACUGUGCAUCAGCACAGUAACCAGCCCUUCGUUAUUUGCAGAACGUGAAUUAAUUCACGUUCUGCAUGAAGGCGCAGCAGAAAAAAGGGGCAGAGGCGGGCAACGAUGGCGUACCUGCGGUGGCGUCGAGGCGGUGCUGCUGGCGGCGGAGGCACGGUGGCCGGCGGUUUUCCUUUCUCUCUCUCCUCUGUUUUUGUUCUCUUCUCUGCCGAUCUCUUUCUUCUUCUUUUUUUUUUUCUUUCUGUUUCUCUCGUCUCUCUCUACCCUCUUUCUGUCGUGCAAUCCUUCUCCUUCUCCCCUCUUUUUUUUUUUUUUGGUCUCUUCCCCUGUUUUUAUAGGCAAAAAAGGGGAAGACGUCACGUGGUGGGGCGGCCACUGUUGGCCGCCCCUCCACUAUCGUUCAGUGAAAAAAGGAGGCAAGUGGGCGUCGAAUGGUGGGCGUCUUAUUGCGCAAAAACGGGGAAAGAAGUUAGGCGAAAAGGGAGAAGAAAAAUCUUCUUCUUCCCCUGCCUCGCGCGUCCAGGGGAAGAAGAAGACCUACAGUGCCGUCAAAACGGCACCGUUUUGGGCUUCUGUUUUUUUUUUUUUUUUUUUUGCAACAGUGAAUGAAACGGCGCCGUUUUGGUCAAAACGCGCCGUUUCAUUUAAAAGAAAAGGCGCCAAAAGCGUCAGAUUUCAAAGAAGGCCCUCAAAUUGCGCGCGUUUUACAAUUUCGUCCUUGGUCUCGGAUUUCUUCAAUUAGUCCCUAAUUGGCCAUUAAACUUCAAUAUUUAUGCAAUUAAGCCCCUGAUUUGACCAAAUUAACUUUCUUAAAAAAAUAAUUUGACCCCAGAAAAUUAAUUUCUUCCAAUUAAAGCCCAAAAUAACUUCAAAAUCAAUUGUUUUUUGCAAUUAAAACCUCUAUAAAUUCAAUUAAACCUUCAAUAAAAUUUAAUUGAGUCCAUAAACUUCUAAUAUUGCAUUUUUCUUCCUCAAAUUGAAUUUUCUUUAUUAUCGGGGCUCGCAUCAGUCAAUGAUAUACUGUCAAGUUUUAAUUUUAAUUUUUUUUUUUGAACAUCCUCAAUCAAUUUUUGAAUAUUUUUAAGGCGUUCUGGCAUUUUUUUUUCACUGUUAUAUUUUUUUGAUAAUAUAUUUUUUUGAAUUUUUUUGAAUUUUUUUAGGUGAAGACCCAAAAAUGGGUUAUAACACUGAGUAGUGCAAGAAAGAGGAAAUUCUCGGGGGGAGGGAUUUGGGUUUGGUUUAAUCAAUGUUGUGUGUUUUAGCAUCAAUGGCCUCCGAGGAUGCAAGAAAUUUUUUUGGUAUUACCAUGUGUAGUACAGUUGCUACAUCACAAUCUACUGAGUAUUCCAUAUUUAAAUCCUGAAGUAGGAACAUUGUCUCAGAGAUUUUUUUGUUCUUAUACUUGUAGGACAGGUACCAAGUAAUAGUUAUGGAUGUUGAUGGUUCUCGUUCUAUAGACAUUGCUAGAUCCUUGAGAAAGCUUGGGGUUAAGGCAAGUAUUCGGAAUCGCUAAGAUUUUUUUUAAUUACAUAGAAGGCUAAACAUCUAAUUCAUCAGGGAACUAGAAGGGCAAAAAGAAAAUUUAUCCACUCUCCCUUAGUCAAGUUUUUUUGGGAUAAAAAAACAUUUCUGAUUGUUUUUUCAGUGUCAGUAACCCUUAGAAACAAAUAACAAUAUCCAUAUUAACCAGAUUUGGGAAGAGUACGUUAGUGUCUUUUGUGCAUUUACAAUGUUGUUAAGCUGAAAACCGUUACUCCUUAUGCAUGUUUUUCUUUCGUAUAAAUAUUAACCAGAUAGAACCCAAUUUUCAUUCCUAUUGUUCUCAAGUGGUACAAAUCAGAAAAUGCAUUAGUAUUACAUCUAACUUAUGUCCUUAAAAUAUAUAUCUCUCUCUAAAAAAAAAUAGUCUCUACCUUGCUUGAAUGGGAAGUUGCAAUGUAUUAAUUAAUUUCAAUAUUCUUUUAUUUCACUCCAUAUAUUGUUGGGUUGUAUUGUUGUGUAAAUGGCUUGGAGAGAAACAAGUUAAAUGCACGAAUACUAGAUGAUACCAUGGUUCAUUCCUAGACUAUCAUAUAAUUUAGAUAGAGAAGAUAGUAGAAUUUUGCGGAAUUAAACCUUGUGACCUGCAUUAUAAGAAAAUUUGCACUGUCAGGUGAGUCUAUUGUUUAUCCGGAACCACAACCUAUUGUAUCAUAUUGCUAAUUGUUUGUUUGUAUUUUUAUGCGACCGAGACCAUACUUGGUCCAAGGUGGCUUCCAGUCUUGGGUAAAACAAGGUAUCCAAGUCAAGGAGCUUAAACCUGAGUCCGUGCUAGCCAUACUUAAUGAGGUAAGGUUAUUGCAUGACUUGUCUAUUCUCUUAACUAGUAUAAAUUUCUAGAAAUACAAAAUUUUAUUUGCCAAAAGCCAUCGAUCAACUCAAAGUAUAUGUGUGGCAAAUUACAAGCUGUAGAUUAUACAAUAAUAUAUUCAACCAGCUCAGAUAAACCUAGAGAGUUGAUUAAUUUGACAUUUAUUUCAAAAACACAUGAAAGGAGUGAAAUUUCUUUGCUGGGUGCACAUUGGUUUCCAAUGGAUACUAUCAAAAUGGUUUCCAUAUAGCACGGAACAACAUGCACACACAGAGGCAUAUGAGAUGUACUUGUGUCUGUGCAGGGCGCGUGUAAAUUUACAUGGAAACACAUAAACAGAAGUGUGUGUGUGUGAUGGAUACUUAUUUCAAAAACACAUAAAAAGAGUGCCAUGUGCAAUCACACUUGUUUGAACAUGUGCAUCCUGAGUGUUUGUAUAUAUGUAAUUGAUGGGCUAUCAUAAAUUGGGUAUGCAGGCUAUAGGAAUUGUAUGUUUCGAAGCAUGACAAUCCAUAGAUUUAUGAAGUGAAAUUAUGCACAGUAUCCAAGUGUUGAUUGUUGGAUAAUUAAAUGCACCAAAUCUGAAGCAAUUUUGACAAAAAUUAUUACUGUCUUUAUGCAAUCUAAUGUUAGAAUUGGCAUCUCUUGUUAUAGACUUUUGGUUCAGAUUGAAUUAUUUCUUUGGUGCACUAGAUUGAAUCAUAUGGAAUUCAGUUGGAGAAGUGAUUGUUAGUCAAACUGUAGGUUUGGUAAAUUUUCCAACAUGUUGGGUGCAAAGUGGUUAAAGAACUCCUGAAGCUGUACUGCAUAUAAUGUAGUAAGAAAUCAACAUGUGUUAUGUCCCAAGUAUCUGAGCCCAAGUUUACAUGAACGUUUUGAAACAUUCAAUCAAACAAGUUGAUAUGAUUCUUUACAACUCAGAAAGUUAUGUUGGUAUAUGCAACAAGCUAACUUGUUGGAUCAUUUUACAAUCUGGGAGGAAGGUUGUUCUCCCUGUUCAUACAAAUCAACAACCUUCACAUUUCAAUCAACAUUUUUCUUUUUGCUAAGACCAUUUGGUCGUGUAGGAUUUACAUUCAAUCUGUGCUAUUUUUUUCAUGGAUUGAAAAUUAUAAUUACAAGUAUUUUCUGGAAGUGCUUGAUUUUCUUGUGCAAGAUCUAAGCUUUUCACAAUAUACUUGUGAGUUGUGACAACUUGGCAUCAUUUCAGGAGGCUGAAGCAAUUCUAGAAGAUAUCAGACCUUCGCCAGUGCAAACACUUGGGUAUGGUGUGGUAAGAAAUCAGAUUGCUUUUUGUGAUACUGCACUAUGAUUAGUCUAUUUCAAUCAUUUCUGCUCUUUUGGAUUUCUUUUCCCCAACUAAAGCCAUCUUUUUUUUAAAAAAAAAAAGGAUAUCUUGUAUCUAGAGAGACGUGUUUAUGGGAUGGGAAUGAUCUUUGUAUUUUGUAGUAAGGACAUAAAAUAAUUACAGGUUGAUUUCUCUUUGUUUUGAAUGUAUGCUUCUGUAUGGUCUAGAGACAUGCUUCCACAAAGAUGUGUAUAUGGUUAACUAGAAUUACUCAUGCUGUUUACAUCAGAUCUUCAUUAAUCAACAAUCCAUGAUUGAGAAAUAUCUAUUGCUUACCAUGCAAAUGUCCAGUGCAUCCUUUACUUAUACUAUAUUUAUGCCGUGGACAAGGUUUUGCUGCAGCAUCAUAUGCAUUGCUAGGUUUGUACAUUUUCUUCCUCAUGGACAGGCUCUCUAUUACUUUUCAAGAACAACUCCCCAAAAUGUUGAAGAGUUUGAAAUACUUCAGUUGUAUUAUACAGAACAAAUGAUAUAAAUUCUGGUUUUCUUUUUCUUUUCUUUUUUGUUGCUUUCCUCACAUUCUUCUUGCCAACCAAGCUUGAACUUUGUUUCAGAGUGGGAGAAGACCUUACAAUUUAUUGCCAUCAUUGGCCUCAGACAGGUAUACUUUUAUUUGUUAUAGUGCUCUGGUUAAUGUUUCUUUCACACACAUAGUUGGUGAUUUCUAAGUUGAUAAUGGUUAAAACAAACUUCACACAUUAUGAUAUUGUGCUAGUACUCAGAUCCUUUGAUGUAUUCCGUAGAAAUAGCAUGUAUACAACCGUUAAGCUAGAUUCCCUUUGUCUAUUUUGCAUGUGUCCUAGGGAAAGGUUUAUGUCAUUGAUAAAUUUAGUUAAGUGAACCUUGAGUUUCUCUAAUUAUUGGUUUCUAGCACUGCGCCAGACUAUUUAUCAGCGGGUUGCUUCUUACAAUGGCCCUGAAGAUUUUAAGCAAGAUGUGAGGUAUAACCUACUUCGAAAAUCUUUUGUCCUUAGUGUAUUUAUGGUGUAAUUGGCACAAUUUUGUAAAUCAUAAUAGAACCAGGUUUGAAAUCAAGUCUAUGUUUAUUCAUGCACAAUGAAUUAUAUAAGACGCACCUAGUAUCAUGUUAGAUAGAUAGGUGUCAUAUGUUAGUACAACAUUAUUUAGCAACCCAAAUCACAUGUUUACUGGGACGAUGAGUUUUUAUUAACAAAAUGAACCAAACUCUUCUGUAAAGGGCAUGAAAAAAUUUAUAUAUAGCAAAUCGCAUCUGUGUCUAAAUGUUCUUUCAACACUAGGUUCUUGACCAUGUUCUGAUUAUGUCAGAAGUUUGAGUCGUGUCGAUAACCAAACUACCUAUGAAGUUUUAUAAUGAGGGUGGUUAGUUGUAAAGGUCACGAAUUCAUCUAAAUUAGUUCAGGAAUUCGUUAUAACUUUCAGACUCCGUAGAUUUUGUCAAGAUCUAGUUUUAAAAUGAGGUUGGUUAGUUAUAAUCUAGAUUUUUGAGUUUAUUUAUAAUCGGCUGAGAUCUAGAAUUUUUCUAAAUUAGGUUAAAAAAAUAUUGUCUGAGCUAAUUUUGUUAUUUUUCAUUUUCAUUUUCAUUUUCUAUUUCUUAGUUUGUUUAGGCUAAUUUUGAGUUUAUUUAAAGAGUUAUAAAAUAUACAAUAAUAAAAUCCUGAAUUUAAAGUUUUUAUGUACUUACUGUUUUUCUUGUAAUUUGGUUAGUAAAUAGUAAUCAAAGAUCCAAAACAUGACUAAAUGUACUUAUUCUGCAUGUGCAAGAAUAAAUGCGCUAGAUGGUUGUUGUAGUUAGUUGAGGAAUUAGUUGAAUAACAGAAAGUUAGUUCGUUAGUCAGUUGCAAGGGAAGAACAACAUUUACAGCUAUCUUGAAAACCAAGUAAUAAUUGAAGAACAAUUUGCAGUAAAUACAUAACUCUCUCUCCCUUUCAUUUUCUUUUAUUUCUCCCUCAAUUUAUUUUCUUCUGAACCGUUGUUUGUUAACGGGUAAAUAUCUUUACCCGUCAGUGUCCGUCGGUAGAUUUUCAUCAAAUUGCAGAUACACCCCCCAGCUUUUCAACUCCACAGGCCUUCGGCUCCUAAGACCUCCCAUUUCAUCCAGGUAGAAUUUAAAUGUAACUUCAUUGCCAGAAUAUUUACGCAAUUUAUUUACCAAUUCGAGCGAGUAGCGUAGAAUCAUGUGAUCUGAGUCACAUGUCUCCAAUAAAAAUAAUGGAGCAUGUCUUUUCUGGGAAGCGAAGAUGACUUCAUCAUCACCAUCAUUUUCACCGUUUUUACUCUUAACAUGGCAAUCAAAAUAUACAUUUGAGGGCAUGUAUCCCGUUUGAAAAAGACCAUGGGAGGGAAGAGGGAGUAGAAAGACAAGACAGAAAGCAAUUCCCUUGAGCUGAUGAUAAUUUGAGGGCAACUGUAUGGCGAGUGAAGAUCCAAUUCCUUUGUCACCGAACCAUUCUGGAAUUUCACUCCCCGGUAGAACCAUUCGAAUUCUACCAUAUGGGAUCUCCUCUCCGGACUGUAACACAAGAGUCACAUUUCGAAAAUGUGAUGAAGCAAGCAAGAGAGAGAGAAGAAAGAAAGACAAGGGGGUUUAGAGAGAUACCUGAAUUUUCAAAUGCAUUGCUGCUACCAGUUGUUUCUGAUCCAAUUUUAAGCAAUUUGUAAAAUUCAAUUGAUGCCAUAAUCUACCGAUAUUUAUGAUUGAUAUCGCGGUUUCUAGUGAUGCACAGUUACGUGUAUGUAGAUACCUCAGCGAAGGGGGGAGCUCAGGUAACGCUUUAAUAGGCGUUCCACUCAAAUUCAGGAAGUCCAAACAUACCAUAUCUUUGAUUGACAAGGGUAUCUCUUUAAUGCCUGUUUUACUCAAGCUAAGAGUGUGCAAAGAUUUCAUAUCCUCUAAAUUCUCCGGAAACUUGGUCAUCUUUGAGCAACCAUCUAGACAAAGCCAUUUCAACCGGCCAGUAACUGAUUGUGGAACUUCUUUGAUUGAAGUUUCCGCCAAACAUAAGCUUUCCAAAUUUUGUGAAAUCGUUGGACACGUGGUCAUAUCUAGGCACCCACGUAUAGAAAGUUUUCUGAGAACCUUUGAAUCAAGCAUUGGAAAACUUCUAAGAUUAUAGCAACGAAGGAGAACAACUUCUUCCAACUUGUCAAGAUAUUGAAGAGAUGACGGAACCUCGGUUAAGCUUGGACAGUCCACAAGUCUUAAGGACACUAAAUUUUUGGCCAUUGAUAGAUCUGGCAAUUCCGUCAAAUAUGGAGAGUCAGAUAGGUCAAUUUCUCUUAAAUUUCCAACAUCCUGUCAACAGAAAAGGGCAUAAUUAGAAAGUUAGCACCUCCAACUUCAUAUUUUUGAUCAUAACUCUGUAGCAAUUAAAUCAUACCUUUACUCCUGUCCAAAGUUUUACAAGCUUGCUUUUGCGUAGGCGAAGCUCGACAAGGUGUUCAGCACGAAAAGAUGGCGGCAAGGAUUUCAAAGGGAAUCCAUCCCAUCGCAAAUAUCUCAGCUCAUUAGGAAGAUAUUCGAGGCCAGUAGGAGGAAGGUGCAUUUUAUUUUCUAGGGAGAAAAAAUCGUGAGAGAAAUUGAGAAAUCUAAGACCAUCCAUCAUUGCGAAGGCAUCAGAUUUCAAGUGUAUAUGUCUCGAUAACAUGGACACGUCCAAAGAUAUGCCUUUAAUUUUUUGAGUUCCCUGUUAAACAAGAAAAAAGAAUAAACAAACAAUAAUACAAUCUACUCGAACACAUCAACUUUUGAGCAAAUACAUGAACGACAGUUAAUGGUUGUAGCUUUAACCUUAUUUUCCUCCAAUACUUGAACGACAUCAGGACGAUGACAUAACCUGCUACGUUCGCCAGGAAAAUCAGACUCUGCACGAACAAUGUUAAAUGCCAUUUCUCGUAGUAAAUCAUGCAUUUCUAGCUCGUUACAAGUUGCAGUUAUGAGACACUUAUCAAUGAGCGUGCUUAUAUCGAACUUCACAGACCGACCAUAUAAGCCAUCUAAUAUUCUUGUUGCUUCGUCUGGCCCCCAUCUUCUUGUGAAGAAAUGUGCUAUGUCAAGAAAUAUGGGUUUUUGUUCUGAAUCCAACCCAUCGUAGCUAAUUCUCAAUGCCCUUUCGAUUUGAGGGUGCUGAGCUAGUUUAUUCAAUGCACUGCGCCAUUCUUCGAUGCUUUUACCAUAGAGAGAGGAACCCAAAACUUUAAGAGCCAACGGAUUGCCUUGUACAUGCCUUGCAAUAUGUUUUAUCAAGUCUCUUUGAUCAAUUGUGGGGAUGCAAUUCUUCAAGGCUUUCGAGCUAAAGAGUUGAAUAGCGUCUUUAUAGUUCAACCCCUUAACCUCGUAUGUUUCAUCAACUACAUUCUUGAGCACUUGUUUGUCCCUACUUGUUAUGAGAACUUUACUGAAUGGACCAAAUGAACUGUUUCGUCCAUCAAGCAAAUCUCUCCAUUCAUCCAAAAGCAUUAAAUAAUCCACAUCAUCCAGAACAAGCAAAGCCCUUAUGCGACGAAGUCUCUCCAUCACAAAAGAAUCCCGAAAACUCAAGGAGCCCAUAGUGUCCAGAGUUUCUUGGCCAAGCAACCAUGAAAGAAAGCUUCUUCGCAAAUCAGAUUGUUGUCUAAAGUUUGCAAAAAAUAUUCUUUCAAAUUGAGAACAAACAUUGUCGCGCACAACUUCAGCAAUCGUUGUUUUACCGAUACCACCCAUUCCCCAUAUCCCUACAAUGAGAACAUCUGGAGACUCCAUAUCUAACAAAGACUCAACUGCACUAACACAAACAUCAAUUCCAAAUAGACCCGUCAUAGUGUGACUAGAAGACAUGGCAUGCAAUUUUUCCGAAACAUCUCGAACGAUAUUCUUAAUAAAUUCAGCCUCUAGCCUGACAAAUAAGAAAAACACAUAUAAACAUACUCCUUGGUAGCAGGCACGUAUGAGUAAUUGAGCAUCAUUAUUGACAAUGGAUACAGUUAAUCAAUCCUUAAAAUUGGAAACUACAUGUAAUCGGUGUUUAUCUAAGAAAAUCAAUGAAAUGCAAAUAUAGCAAAUUAAGUUGGCAUAUGAUAUUCUUUUCUCAUAUCAUCUUAUCUUAUAGAAUCAUCUCAAUCAGUAUUAUUUUUUUAAUAUAGCAUUCUCCUUUUCACCUCAAAUAAACACUCAAAUAAAUAGAAUAUUAUUUAAGGACACAAGAAAACAUUGACUGUCCUCAUAAAAUUUAACGUAAGGAUUCCUAAAUAUCUACUUUUUAUCUUAUUCAAGAAAAAAUUUAAAAAUAUAUUAAAAAAUAUUUUUUAAUAUAAAUACAUUAAAAUAAUCUGAAAAAACUAAAAAAAAUAGUUUAAAAUAAAAAGAAUUAUUUUAAAAAUAUAUAUUUUUAAAAAACAUUUUGAAACACAAAAACAAACAAUCACUUAAUAUCAAUACAAACCUUAAUAUCUAUACAAGCAUUUCACUACAAAUAACUUUUUAUUUAAAAAAAAAACAUUUUAAAACAGAAAAACAAACAACCACUUAAUAUCUAUACAAGCAUUUCACUAGAUAAUAUAUUUUUUUAUUUUUUAAUAUAAACACAGUAAAAUAAUCUAAAAACAUUAUUUAAAAAAAAAUUAAUUUAUAAAAAAACAUUUUAAAACACAAAAACAAACAACCACUUAAUAUCUAUACGUACAAAGAUUUAGCUACAAAUAAUAUUUUUUUUUAUUUUUUAAAAUAUUUUUUAAUAUAAACACAUCAAAAUAAUCUAAAACAAAACUAAAAACAAUUAAAUUUAAAAGAAAAUAACAUUUUAAUACAUAGAACAACCAACCACAUAAUAUCUAUACAAGUGUUUCGCUACAACGUUUUCAAAAUCAAAUAAAAUAAAUAUGGAUUCACAGAGCUCAUCAUUCUCAAUAAUUUUAAAUUAAAUUUAAAAUCGUCAACAAAUGAACGAAUAUUUUCUCAUAGGAUAUAUUUCAAGAGCUUACCCAGAAUUCCCUAAGCUCCAUCCAGAUAGAUUGGCUGCAUCCUUCAAAGCGUCUCUGAAGCUCUGCACUUCUUCCAACGUCGGAGCUUUAUUCCUUGUAAGUCUAGCAAAUGCAUCCCCAAAGCUUCCUGUUUGAUGUCUUACAUGGGUUGGAUCCACCUUGUAGAAUACCGGAAUAACUAUCUGUCCAUUGUUUCUUCUACACUCAAAAAUCUUUACAAGCUCCUCCAAGCACCAUUUGGAAGAUGCAUAGUUUUCAGAAAAAACAAUCACAGAAAGCUUGGCCUCUUCAAUUGUUCUCAGAAGUGAUGCCGAGAUCUCAUCUCCUCUCACAAGCUGAUAAUCUAUGAAAGUUAGGAUUUGUUUCCGGUCCAAAGCAUCAUAGAGGUGGCUGGUAAAACCAACACGAGUGUCUUCUCCCCUGAAACUAAGGAAGACAUCAUAUUUAAUUACUUGUGGCUGGGCGGUGGUUAAGGUGGAAGGAGUAGAUGACGAUGGAAACAUUGGGGCUUCGUAUGAUGAAUCUCCAGAUAUAAGCAAACACUUUGAAGAAACAAGACAUCAAAUCCAAUAAUGGAAAUUUUCUUAGGCUUUACGUGUUUAAGACCCUGGCUUAGGCAUAUUUAUAAUUACAAUAAUGGGGGCAUCAAAUCCAAGAAUUUUCUUAGAAGAUUACAAGAUUGCACAUUGUUGAUUUCCUGGAAAUUCCCCAGUUACAAAGUGAUGUGAUAGAAAAAGGAAUUUAUACGUUGUUUUGUUUUUAUGGUAAUGACAGUGUUUUUAUAAAUUUUAAUUUGCUGGUAUAAAAAUAAUUUUUUAAAAUAAAAAACAUAUAUAUAUUCUUGUUGAUCAUAUCACAGCUGUGAUAGAUAACUUUUUUAAUAUUUCAAAUGUAUUAGCUAUUCACUUGGCGGAGUAGCAGAUCUUUUGUUAUUUUCUCUACGACUUUUUUUAUUAUAUAUUUUAUUAUAUAUCUUAAUAUAUUUUUAAAUAAAAAAUAUUUAAAAAAACAACUCUUACUAUAUUUGUAAACACUCUCUAUAUCUCCGGUACAAGUAUUUGCCUUAUAGAAAACUAUUUUGCUUUCAUAUUAUAUUAUAAUGGUUAUGAUGAUUUAAUUGAAAAGAUCUUGUUAAAUAACUUGUUUGAUAUUGUACUAUUGGUUAUUUUUUAAAUUAUUUUUUUAUUAGAAAUAUAUUAAAAUAAUAUUUUUAUUUUUAAAAAUUUUAUUUUCAUAUCAGAACAUCAAAAUAAUAUAAUUAAAACAAAAAAAUUAGUUUAAAAUAAACAAAAUUCAAAUUCAAGUAUUUUCCCAAGGCAUUACAGAGGACGCACAAUGUUAACUUCCUGGAAAUUUUCCAUGCACAAAAGGCUUCAAGUCUUGUUAUUUGUGAUGUGGUAGGAAAGGGCAUUUAGGCUUUUGUUUGUCUUUGCUAUAUAAACAAUGUUUUCAUAAAUUUUGAAAUUAUUUUAUAUUUUAUUUGAGAUUAAUUUUUUUUUUAGUUUUUUUGGUUUGUUUUGAUAUAUUGGUGUCAAAAUAAUUCUUUAAAAGUGAAAAAAACAUUAUCUUGAUAUAUUUUCAAGCAAAAAAUAUUUUAAAAAUCAAUUUUUUGCAUUCACAUUAUAUUAUAAUAGUUAUGAUAAUUUAAUUGAGAAGAACUUGUUAGAAAACUUGUUUAGUAUUGAGAUAAUAAUUAUUUUUCAAGAUAAUUUUUAUUUGAAAAUACAUUAAAAUAAUAUUUUUUUAUUUUUAAAAAUUUAUUUUUAAUAUCAAUAUAUAAAAAUAAUAUAAAAAAAUUAAUUUAAAAUAAAAAAUCAAAUCCAUGUAUUUUCUCGGACGUUACAGAGGGUGCACAUCUACUUGGAAAUUUCCUGUGUACUAAAAGCUUAAUGUCUUUGUUGACUUCACAUUAUAUUAUAUUGAUUACGAUGAUUUCAUUGGGAAAAACUUGUUACUCUGCCCCAGUAAUAAAAAAUAAUUGAUAUAGUUAGAGAAAUAUAUAAUAUGGUUUAAUUUUUUUUUUUUUUAAAACCUAAUAUUUUAAACUACUAUUUUAAUAUAAAAGCAAUUCAAAAUCACAAUAGUGGUUCUGUUUGCUACUUUUGGCAACAUAAUUGGCAUGCAGCCAUGUAAUUAUAAUUACAUCUUCUUUUUACAUGCUUCCUUCCACCUCAUUAUACAUAAUCUAUCCAAAUAAAUCGGCAGAUGCCAUUUCCUUUUCCUUUUUCCUUUUAUAUAUAUAUAUUGGGCAGCGUGUUCGGGAAGCGGAGCUGCCUUGGCAUUACGUGUUUCCUGGAAAUUACUUGUUGCUUGUCGUUUUCGUUUGGCAUUGGGGUUGUAAUUUUUUUUUGUUCAAUCAUAAUUUAUAAUUGUUUGAUUAAAUAUUUAAAAGUAGAUUUUAAAGAUGAGUUCCACUAAAAAUUGAGUUCAUACCACCUAUGGCUUUUGGUAAUGUUCGUGUAUUUCCUUGAAAUUACGUGUUUCUUGUCGUUUUUAUUUGGCAUUGGGGUUGUAAUUAUGUUUUGUUUACUCAUAAUUUAUAAUUGUAUGGUUAAAUAUUUAAAUAUAGAUUUUAAAGAUAAGUUCCACUAAAAAUUGAGUUCAUACCACCUGUGGCUUUUGGUAAUGUUCAUGUAUUUCCUUGAAAUUACGUGUUUCUUGUCUUAACGGUGGCUUUUGGUAAUGUUCAUGAUAGAGAUAAAUCAAUUUUUAAAAGUUUUAGAAUCACUUAGGAAUGAUUUAAAUAUUUCUUAAAUUAAAAUUUUUAAAACUAAGGAUUCAUGGUGUUUCGUUCUUUUAAGAUUUUUAUAAUAUAGUAAAAUGAUUAUACUAUUUUUAAGAAUAAAAAAAUUAAUAUAAAAUAAAAAAAUAAAAAUUUCAAAUCCAAGAAUUUUCUCGGGAUAUUAUAAAAAUAUACUUUUAAAAAUAAUUAUUGCAACACUUAUAAACACCUUCCAUAUCUUGAGGACAAGUGUUUUAGCACGUCAAGAACAUUUUUCCCUUCAUAUUAUAUUAUAAUAAUUUGAUUAAGAAAAACUUGUUAAAGAAUUUAUUCAGUAUUAUAAUAGUGAUUGUUUUUUAAAAUAUUUUUUUAAAUAUAUUACAAUAAUAUAUUUUUAUUUUUUAAAAUUUAUUUUUGAUAUCAGUAUUUUAAAAUAAUAUAAAAAUAAAAAAAAUAAUUUAAAAUAAAAAAUAAAAAAACUCAAAUCCAAGUAUUUUUUAAAAAACAUUACAGAGGUGGACAUUAUUGACUUUCUAGAAAUUUUCUAUGUACAAAAGGCUUCAUGUCUUGUUAUUUUUUUUUUUUGUUUUUUUUUUUUGUAAUUUGGUAGGGAAGGGUAUCAUCAAGUCUUCCAUCCAAGUGUUUGCGCGUAAACUUUAUUGACUUUUACCUUAUAUUAUAAUGGUUACUGUGAUUUCAUUGGGAAGAACUUAUUAUGUAUUUUCUUGGACAUUACACAGAGGGAGUGAAAGAUUGUUCACACGCACACGGUGUAGCAGUCGAUACCUACACCAGCCUUGUUCUUUGUUUAUUUUUAAUAUAUUAUAAUGGCUGUGAUGAUUUGAUUGGGAUGGGAGGAACUUAUUACUCUACCCCAGUAAUAGACACGCAACAAUCAAGUGUUUGAAAACACAGUGAAAUAAAUUAAAUAUUUCUUAAAGAAAAAUUUUAAAUAAAUUAAAUUAAUUUUAAAUAAAUAAAUUAAAUUGUUAUUACUUCAGUAUAUUAACUAGUGCGAUUCACAGUUGGGUUGAUAUUAAUCUUUUUAAAAUUAAAAUAUCAAUCAUGUCAGACCUAAGAAUUUUAUAUCUAGAAUAGUAAAAAGUCUAUAUAUAUUGUGAAGAAGAAGAAGUCUUGAAGGAGAGAGGAAGGGACGGGGGAUGGGGCCAAUCCUCUUCUUGAUGCUUGGGCAAUAAUAACCAUGUUGAUGGCGACGGCGACGACUUACCUUAAAUCUUCCCGGCGAGUGCUUGGGCAGCGUGUUCGGGAAUCUGAGCUGCCUUGACAUUACGUGUUUUCUGGAAAUAGCGUUUUUCUUGUCUUAACGGUGGCUUUCGAUAAUGUUCAUAUUGAUGGGAAAUAAAUCAAUUUUUAAACGUUUUGAAGCACUUAGGAAUGAUUUAAAUAUUUUAAAAAUAAAAUUUUAAAAACGAAGGAUUGGGUGUUUUUAUUUUUUACUAUUUUGAUAGCAUAGUAAAAUGAUUAAAUUAUUUUUAAAAAUAAAAAAAAUCUCAAAUUCAAGUAUUUUCUCAUGAUAUUAUAAAAAAUAUUAUUUUGAUAUAUUUUUAAUUAAAAAUAAUUAUAAUAUUUUUGCCUUCACAUUAUAUUAUAAUGGUUAUGAUGAUUUGAUUGAGAAGAAUUUGUUAAAAAACCUAUUUAAUAUUGUGAUAACAAUUGUUUUUAUUUUUUUAAAAAAUACAUUACAUUAAAAUAAUAUAUUUUUAUUUUUAGAAAUCAAAUCUUGAGUACAAGUGUUUUUCCAUGUCAAGUAUAUUUUUGCCUGCACAUUGUAUUAUAAUAGUUAUAAUGAUUUGAUUGAGAAGAACUUAUUAAAGAAUUUGUUUAGUAAUGUGGUAGCUAUUAUUUUUUAAAGUAUUUUUUUUUUAAAUGCAUCAAAAUAAAAUAUUUUUAUUUUAUAAAAUUUAUUUUUAAUAUCAGCAUAUUAAAAUAAUAUAAAUAAAAUAAUUUAAAAUAAAAAAUAAAAAAACUCAAAUCCAAGUAUCUUCUUAGGACGUUACAGAGGGUGCAUGUUAUUGACUUCCUAGAAAUUUUAUAAUGUACAAAAGUCUUCAUGUCUUGUUAUUUUUUUAUUUAUUUUUUGUAAUUUGGAAGGAGCAUCUAGUCUUCCAUCCAAGUGCUUGCGCGUAAAAGAAUAAUAAUAAAAAAAAAGUGUUUGCGCGUAAACUUUGUUGACUUUCACAUUAUAUUAUAAUUUGGUAGGGAAGGGCAUGAUUAUUAUGAUUUCAUUGGGAAGAACAUGUUACUCUGCCCCAAUAAUAGGAAUUUUGUUUUAAAAAAUAAUAUGGUUUAAAUUGUUUUAGAAAAACAACAUAUAAUUUUAAAAAACCUGCUAUUUUAAAUCACGAUUUUUAAUAUAACCGUGAUUUUGCAGAAUCAUAAUCUAUUCAAAUAAUUUGACAGAUGCCUUUAUAUAUAUAUAUAUAUAUAUAUAUAUAUAUAUAUAUAUAUAUAUAUAUAUAUAUUGAAGAAGAAGAAGAAGAAGUCGUCUUUGGAAGUGUGUUUGGGAAGCUGAGUUGCCUUGACAUUGAGUAUUUCCUGGAAAGAAUGCAUUUCUUGUCUUAACGGUGGCUUUCGAUAAUGGUCAUAGCACUGCUGCAAGGCCGGAAAAUGAACACAGUUUACAACAACUGGUGAUUUUGGACCUGUUUUUGAACCUCGCCAUUUCAUGAUGUGAGCUUGCAUCUCAUUUUACGCCUACAUCCAACCUUAAGCGGAAAAACGAAAGAGGAAAGAAAUACUCUUUCUUAAAACCUUAGUUCUGACUAGAACUAUGAACAUAUUUUUGAGACUUCAACUGAUGACAGAAUGAACUAUGAACAAUCAGUGCUAUCAAUGGUAAUAUUAAAUUACAUAUACAUAAGAAAAUAAAAUUACAAAUGCAUUGCCCCCACAAAGUUUAAGUCCAGGUCUUUAAAAUUAUGAUAUACCAUGCAAUGAUGAUAUAACCUGAAAAUAACAAAGUCAUCUACACAUACCAUGCAAUGAUGAUAUAACCUGAAAAUAAACACACUAAGUCUUGAAAGUCCAGGUCUUUAAAAUUAGAAAACAAUGUUUUCAUGUGAACUGAGCAUAUGAAAAUAAUAAGAGAAGGGUAAGAAGAAGAAGAGGGAACUGCUAAGGGGUCAAGGAAACCAACAACUUGAAGGUGUUUGCCAUCUCUUGGAGUAUGGCUAUCAGCAGCAACAAUUCUGUAAAAUGCCCUGUUUUUGCAUCCUAGUCUAGCUAAACGAAUCUUCACCGCCAUUUUCUCUUUAUUUCGAAUGUAUGCUUCUGUAUAGUCUAGAGAUAUGAUUCCACAAAGAUAUGUAUAUGGUUAACUAGAACUACUCAUGCUGUUUACAUCAGGUCUUCAUUAAUCAUCUAUCCAUGAUUGAGAAAUAUCUAUUGCUUACCAUGCAAAUGUCCAUUGCAUCCUUUACUUAUACUAUAUUUACGAUGUGGACAGAAUUUUGCUACAGCAUCAUAUGCAUUGCUAGGUCAGUAUAUUUUCUUCCUCAUGGGCAGGCUCUCUAUUACUUUUCAAGAACAACUCCCUAAAAUGUUGAAGAGUUUGAAAUACUUCAGCAGUAUUAUAUGGAAACAAUGAUAUAAAUUCUGGUUUUCUUUAUUUAUUUUUUCCUUUUCUUUGUUGUUGCUUUUCUCACAUUCUUCUUGCCAAACUGUUACCAUCGUUGGCUUUAGACAGGUAUACUCUUAUUUGUUAUAGUGUUUGAUCAAUGUUUCUUUCACACACAGAGAUGUUGAUUUCUAAGAUGAUAAUGGUAAAAAAAAAAAAAAAACUUCACUCUUUUCUGAUAUUGUACUAGUACUAAGAUCCUUUGAUGUAUUCCAUAAAAAUGGCAUGCAUUCGACCAUUAAACUAGAUCCCCUUUGAUGGAAAGUUUUAUGUCAUUGUUAAAUUUAGUUUAGUAAACCUUGAGUUUCUCUAAUUAUUGGUUUCUCACACUCCACCAGACUAUUUAUCGACUGGUUGCUUCUUACAAUGGCUCCAUAAGUCUUUUGUCCUACAUGUAUUCAUGGUGUAAUUUGGUAAAUCAUAAUGGAAACUUAGAUUCUUCACAAUGCUAAAUGCCAAUGCUAAAUGCCAUUUCUAGUAUGUUAUGAGAAGUAGUUAUGAGACACUCAUCAAUGAGCAUGCUUAUAUUGAAAAUCACAGGCUGACAAUAAAAGCCAUCUAAUACUCUUGUAGCUUGGUUUUGCUCAAAUCUUCUGAAGAAAUCACAGGCUGACAAUAAAAGCCAUCAAGAAAUAUGGAUUGUUGUUCUUGAUCCAACCCAUUGUAACUAAUUCUUUACGUAUUUUUUAUUCGAGGGUUCUGAGCUAGUUUAUUUAAUGCACUGCGCCAUUCUUCGAUGCUUUUACCAUAAAGAGAGGAACCCAUAACUUUAAGAGCCAACGGAUUGCCUUGUACAUGCCUUAUAAUCUGUGCUAUCAAGUGUCUGUGAUCAAUUGUCGGGAUGCAAUUCUUCAAGGCUUUUAAGCUAAAGAGUUGAAGAGCUUCUUCAUCGUUCAACCCCUCAACCUCAUAUAUCUCAUCAACUACAUUAUUAAGCACUUGCUUGUCCCUACUUGUUAUGAGAACUUUAUUGCCCGCACCAAAUGAAUUGUGUCGUCCAUCAAGCAAAUCUUUCCAUUCUUCCAAAGGCAUUCAAUCAUCCACAUCAUCCAGAAGAAUAAAAACCUUUUUACGACAAAGUCUAUCCCUCACAAAAGAAUCUCGAAAACUCAAGGAGCCCAUGUUCAGAAUUUCUUGGCUAAGCAGCUGUGAAAGAAAGCUUCUUUGCAAAUCAGCCAUGGAACCAGUUUUUAAUUCUUGCCUAAAGUUUGCAAAAAAGAUUCCUUCAAAUCGAGAACGAACCUUGUUGCACACAACUUGAGCAAUUGUUGUCUUACCAAUACCAUCCAUUCCCCAUAUCCCUACAAUGAGAACAUCUGCAGACUCCAUAUUUAACAAAGACUCAACUUUGUUAACAUGAAAAUCAAUUCCAAAUAAACCUGUAGUAUGACUUGAAGGCAUGCCUUGCAAUUUGUUCGAAACAUCUCCAACGAUUUUCUCAAUAAAUUCAGACUCCAGCCUAACAAAUUAGAAGAACACACAUAAUCGUUAGUCAAAAUGGACCAGACAAGAAGAAAUAUAUAAACAUACUCACUCCUUAGUAGCUACAUCUAUACAUAGGAGGCACGUACGAGUAAUUGAGCAUCAUUAUUGGCAAUGGACACUGCUAACAUAACACAUGAAUCAUAAACCUCGACAAGAUUCUCUUACUGGGCCUCUCGAGAGAAUGCAUUUGAGUUCAGAAAUCUACAGUUAAUCAAUCCUUGAAACUGGGAACUACUUGUAAGUGUAUAUCUAAGAAAAUCAAUGAAAUGCAAAUGCAUAAUGUCGCACGUCCAAAAAACCCCGCGCGCGGCUUCGGCUGGUGAUUUUUCGUUGUUGCGUAGUGUUUGCUUGAAUUUGGAGUUGCCACCUAGUAAUUGAUUUCGGGCUACUAGGAAACCGGAUGUACUGGUCUUGUCAGAGAUUCGCGGGUAAGGGACUAGUUGUGGUUAGGGAAGGUAUUAGCACUCCUAACGCACCCUACCUGAGGUAAGCUGCUUCGAGCUUUGACGUGUUAAAGAAGUUUUAAUAAUUGUCUUUUCAUCGGAAAUUAGAAAUAUCACUUACAUAUAAGUUAAUAAUUCUUAACCGUGAUCCGAUCAAAAUAUUAAAUUCUUCUUUAAUAUAUUUGCAAUUUUAUCAUUAAAAAAUAUAUACAAAUAAAAAAAACAAAAUACAAGCACACACAUACACUUUCACUAUUUUAUUUUUGUUUCUUUUCUUUUCUUUUCUUUUCUUUUACAUCCAUAUUUACAAAAUACAAAUAAAAAUUCAAUACUAAAUAAAAAAAUUACAACAACUCAAAAUUACAAAAUAAUCCCUAAAAUUCAAGAAACACAAAUCUGAAAAGCAUUCUGGGUCUGCCUGAACAGUGUUGAGGGAGGCUGCUAGGCGCGUGAACAGUGCUUGGACAGCUGCGGCACGUGGGUUCACGCGCCGCCGCGAGAACGCCGGAAAAAAGGGUUGGCCGCUUCUUCUUCCUUUUCCCUCCCCGCAGACGGUAAGAAGCCACAUCAUCUACAACAAAAAAAACAAACGCACAAACAGUCGAUUUUAAGCUUUUAUUUCUUUGUUUUUUCGGAUCUGAUUUUUAUUCUUUCUUUCUUCUCCGAUCUGCUCCUUCCUCUUCUUCUUCAGAUCGUCUUCUCCCCGGGUCAGUUCGUUAGGGGUUCCGUCUUCUUCUCCUCUGCUUCGGGUGCCAGAUCAGGCGCUACAAAGGGGGGUCACAGCUGUGGUCGUUGCUGCUGUCGUCCGUCCGGAGGCUGAAGCCACAGUGGAGAUGGGCUUGAUGUCGAUGUUCAGGCGGAGGAAUGGACUGAUCGAGGUCGGUGGGCGUCCCUGUUGGAGGCGGUGAGCUGGGUCUGAUGGCUUGUGGGUUGUUGCUGUUGGCGAUUCUACUGGCGUUCGACGAGCCCGCCGCUGCUACUGGAGGCCGAAUGAAGGGGAGGACUUGCGUUGUGUGGCCGGCGGCUGGUCUGUGAGAAGGAGAAAAAAUGAGUAGCCGAGAGAGGGGGUCGUGGGAGGCUGAACAAGGGCUGAGGCUAGUUGGUGAGCAGAAGAGAGGAAAAUUAAUCACCAAGAGUGGGGGGCGUCCGAUGGCUGGUUUUUUUUUGGUGAGGGAGAAGACCAAAGGGGGAGAAGGGGAGGAUCUGAAAUGGCGUGGGGGAGAAAAGGGAAAAUGUCAGGUGGCCGGGGGUUCAAAAAAAUUUAAAACCGGAGGGGGGGGGGCGGCUCCUUUAGGUAGAAUGAGGGAGGUUUUUUUUGUUUAGGGUUAGGGUUUUUUGUAUUUUUGUCUUUUGAUAAUUUCAAAAUUACCCCCCUCCUUUAAAAUUCAAUGUAGCAUUGUAUUUAUAGGAAAAGUUUUGCUAGGUUUUCAAACUAGUCCCUCAACUUUUUCUUUCCUUCUAUUUUCCUCUUUUUUUUUUGUAAAAUUUCAUUUUUCUUAUUGUUUUUGGAUUUUUUUGAAAACGAGCAAUAUCAACGUCGACUCGAUGAGGAAAAUCAAUGAUUUUAAAAAUGGUGCGUGAAAAGUCGAACGCGUUCCGAAAAACCUUUGAAAAUUUAAAUUCUUUUUUUUUAGACGACGUUGAAAAUGCUAAAACGAUGCAAAUAUAUUAAAAACAUAUUUUUUGGAUUUUUAUUGUUUUUUGCUAUUUUUGGAUUUUUCAAAAAUUUUAUAAAAAUAUGGGUCAAAAAUUGGGUAGCAACAGUUGCCCCCUCUUUACAAUGCUUACGAAGCAAAACUCCUCAAAAUUUUGCAUAGUAAGCUUUGUAGAGAAAACAAAAGGAAAAUGAUUUCAUUAUCUUGGGCGACCUGCCCACACACUCACACUAAUCUAUUUUCACGGGCGACCUGCCCACACAUACUCAAAGUGGUCUAUUUUCAGGGGCGACCGGCCCACACACUCACACUGGUCUAUUUUCACGGGCGACCUGCCCACCCAUACUCACUCUGGUCUAUUUUCACGGGUGACCUGCCCACACAUACUCACUCUGGUCUAUUUUCACGGGCGACCUGCCCACACUUUCACACUGGUCUAUUUUCACGGGCGACCUGCCCUUUUAAUUGGGUUUACCUAAGAUCCCAUCUGACGAUCUAACAAGAACAAAAGUUGGUGUGUAGCUCGGUUAAACUGAAAUCCCAUCUAGCGAUUCCCUUUAACCAAAGCUAAAUGAGAUCCAUCUGGCGACCUCAUUCAACUGGAACAAAAAUAUUGUGUAACUCGAUUAACCUGAAAUCCCAUCUGGCGAUUUCCUUUAACCAAAGCUACAUGAGAUCCCAUCUGGCGACCUCAUUCAACUGGAACUAAACUGUGUGUAACUCGGUUAACCUGAAAUCCCAUCUGGCGAUUCCCUUUAACCAAAGCUACCUGAGAUCCCAUCUGGCGACCUCAUUCAAUUGGAACGAAAAUAUGUGUAACUCGGUUAACCUGAAAUCCCAUCUGGCGAUUCCCUUUAACCAAAGCUACAUGAGAUCCCAUCUAGCGACCUCAUUCAACUGGAACGAAAAUAUUGUGUAACUCGGUUAACCUGAAAUCCCAUCUGGCGAUUCCCUUUAACCAAAGCUACAUGAGAUCCCAUCUGGCGACCUCAUUCAACUGGAACGAAAAUAUGUGUAACUCGGUUAACCUGAAAUCCCAUCUGGCGAUUCCCUUUAACCAAAGCUACAUGAGAUCCCAUCUGGCGACCUCAUUUAACCAAAACAAAAGAAUGUGUAAAAAACGGUCUCAUUGUAAUGGGUGACCUACCUAGGUGGAAAGAAUAUGAAAAAAACGGUCUCAUUAUGAUGGGUGACCUACCCAGAUGGAAAGAAUAUGAAGUGCAGUCUUAUUAUAAUGGGUGACCUACCCAAUGGAAAAAAUAUGAAGUGGUCUCAUUGUAAUGGGUGACCUACCCAGAUGGAAAAAAUAUGAUGAAGUGCGGUCUCAUUGUAAUGGGUGACCUACCCAUGGAAAAAAAAAUGAAGGUCUUGUAUGAUGGGCGACCUACCCAGAUGGAAAAAAAUGAUGAAGUGCGGUCUCAUUGUCAUGGGUGACCUACCCAGAUGGAAAAAAUGUGAAAAACGGUCUUAUUAUGAUGGGCGACCUACCCAGAUGGAAAGAAUGUGAUAUGACAAGUGUGAAAAAUAGGACUUACCUGGCGAAGUCCUGAGGGGAUGACAGAAGAAGGGCUGGAAAACUUGGUGCUUCCUGAUAAUUCCCGAUCAUAGGGUUUGAAAACUCGGUGUUUCCUGACUGCAAGGGUUGAAAACUCGAGGCUUCCCGUUGCAAGGUUGAUCUAUUCAUUUCUUUGGGAUUUUCCUAAUGGUAGGGUUCAUCCCAUCGUCCUUUUAUUCCAUGAUCAAAACCGAUUCUUUAUUAUCAUCACCACAAUGCUUCUUUCUUUUCCACCAUCUUGCUGGACCUCAUUAAGGAUUUUCCUGUAACAAUUCAAAAAUAUGUGCAAAUGGUUUUUUUUUUUUUUUUUUAGGUUAGAUGAUAUGCAUGCAUCCUUACCUGAUUUGAAAUAUAGGUCCCCCUCUCUUUGAUGCUCCAUCGUCAUAGGGUGCCCUUGUUUGCAUUCCCAAAGCUUUCUUUUUCUUCCGAUGCAUUGGCUCAUUCAUGUGCUAGCCAUCCACUCAGCUGUAAAUGCAGUGCCCAUCCCGGGCUGUCUUCGACAAUUACUGCUGCAUCGUUCAUCAAGCUUGACCCUGCCCCCAAGUGUGGUGCUGCUUGAUUCAUCAUGAAGGAUUUUCUCUCCUGGAUUCUUCUGAGAAUUAUCCUUGAUUGAUUGUGUGCAUCAUGCCAACACCCAUCAAGAUUGUUAAUCAGUCAUGAACUUGCCUUCGGUUGAAACACCAUUCAAGUAUAUAUGGUCAUCCAUAAUCAUGGAACUGCCAGUCAUCCGACAUGCAUCUCAUACUUUGCAGAAAGCUCAUUGUUGUAAGCUCAAUGUUUUCUCUAGUUCUUCUCAGCAUCUAAUCAGAUCUUGAAAAGAAAUGUAUUGGCAUCAUCAAUGAUGUUCAUGUUAUCACCCAUAUUCAUGCGGUGAAGUGUGCAUUUGAGCUUCAAAACAAUGGUCCCACAGUCAGUCUUGGUGGGUGCAUCCUUCCAGCAUUCAUGCACAUGCAACUAUGUGAUACAUCGUCAAAAGUCAUAACCAUUUGAAGAUGAUAAACCAAGAUGAAGAUAUGAAAAUAUCCUUCUAGUGCAGCGUUGCUCAUCAAUUGCUGCUGAAGUGCACUAGAUCAUGGAUUGUCUUUGAACAACAUUGCCCCAAUAUGAUCUGAAGGUUCGUUCAUCGGUUUAUACUCAAGAAGGUUUUUCCUUUGUCAUUGUCAGAUGCUAAACAUAACUUUGAUGAACUUUGACGACUCAUCAUCUGAUUCUUUCUUUGCCCCCAGCUGAUCAGAAUGUUGUUUGUUUUUCUUCAAGGGUCCACUGUAUUGCCCCAGGUGGUCAACGUUUCAAGGAGUGUCGAGAAAUGUUGAUGUCAUUUUUGUCAAGGAUUUUGCAAACUCAAUUGAUGUUCUUGUUUGAAAUCUUUCUUGUUCUGGAAUCAAAUCUCAUUUCAAAGAUCAUGUCUAUUCAAGUCUAAUUGUUGAAAUGAAAUCAGAGAGAUAUCAGUUUUUUUUUUUAAAGUUUUUGAAAUUCAAAGCUUCUUUGGUCAAAGACCCAACACACUAUUCAAUGCAGUCCUUGAUUGUCUUGUAUUUUGAAAACAGAAAUGACCCGUUGUAAGAUUAAAAUGGUUUUCAUGGUUCUUUGUGUCCACUUUAAACUCUGAUUUUGGGUAUAUCUUUUGAUGGUCUGCGAUGAGGUGACCUUUGUGAAUUUCAAAAACAAAGGCUCAAGUCAAAACUUGAGGAUUCAUAAGGAAAUUUUGUUUUUUAGCAAUUUAUUUUAUCAACAUGCAUAAACCAGUAGCUUAAUUCAUGAAGUCACGACUCUUAUGGAAAACUCUUCAAGUUUUGAGAGCGCCAUUUAUCGGUUCAAGUUGCUUGCUUGAUUAAAAAGGGCUUUUAAAAGCACGUAAUGCAGGCUAUGGUUCAUGGCUAUGAAAGAAAGAAUUUCAAAGGCUCAAAAGGUGUUUGAGGGUUUCAAAACCUAGGAUCAACAUCAAUUAUUCAUCAACUCUUUUCUAUUGUUGUCUUUGUAGAGAAAUGACAUAUAACCUUGUUAACCUCAAAGAUCAACUCUUAACAUAGGUCAUAAUGCAAAUCCAACUUUUUCUUUGAUGAAUAACUAAUCUAAUUUUUGAAGACAUUAGAGGCUCUAUCCAAGACACACCAAAAGAUAUGAAGCAUCGAUUUUUCUAGUGUUGACUUUUGGCAUUUGCUGUCUUUUCUCAAUUGAAAACUGUCUUGCCUCUCUUAGAAUUGAUAGGCAUUCUCCUUUCCUUUAUCUUUAACUUGUCUUUAAGUGAAGGCAAUUUCAACUCAUAGCCUUCCUCAAAAUUUUCUUAUAUGCCCCCAGUCUAUGUGUUUUCUUUUAGCCUUCUCUCAAUCAUUGGACUUUUGUUCUAAGCCUUCCUUUAUCCAUUAAUGUCUUCAAAAUAUCUCUCAUUUCCCCCAGUGUGGGGUGUGAUCCUAGUCAGGGUUUCUUUUGAAAAGAAAUAUUCUAUCAGGCUCAAAUGGGGACCGCAAGGGAUAAUAUUUCAAGAAAUGUGAAGGAUAACAAAAUGGCCUUUUCUCAUUUCAAGCAAGGUCGGUUAGAACCGAUAAAUUUUGACCUCAUCUAGUGUAAUGAUUAGAACUUGUAAGAGUCAUGAUUCACGAGUCCAUAACUAUUGAAUCCACUACAUGUCAUUAUGCAUAUUGCUAAAACUUAGCUAUAUGAUGUGUGGUUCAAUUUAUGUGUGAGCUCAAAAUUUGUUCAGUCACCUCAUGUCAUUUCAACAAGAAUCGAGUCAUUUCUGUAAUCAAAACACUUUUAAUCUUCAGGAUUGAUUAACCUUUAUCGCAUGUUGGAGUUUGAUCAAAAUAUUUUGUCAGAAUAAAAUGCUAAACCUCUGUUGAUUUCAAAACAACAAAGAGACAAAAGCAAGACAUGUUUCGGUAAAGGAUGAGAUGUGAUCCCAAAACAAAAUGAAGAAUUUCAUAACAAUAUGAUUGACAUUUCAUCACCAUUCUUGAAUCAGCUCUUCUGGCAAUAUUUGUGUUUUUCCAAGCACCUUCGAUCACAUGUCAUUCUGAGGAUGUUCUGGCGACAACAUGAUUGAUGACAUCAUCUUUCACAAACUCAGCUCGAUUCUUGAAACUCUUGUGUCUGUUCAACUGAAAUGGUCCACGAACCCUCCAUGAUAUUCACAUCUGGUUUGAAUUAUACCACGGUGGUUGCAUGCAAUUUGUCUAUCUGGCAGAUGCUGGUAAAUAAACCCACAUGGCAAAGGAAUGUCUAUCUUUGGCAAAGACAUUGGAGUAGUUGAUGCUUGAGCGAGACUUAACUAGGCAAAAUAACUGAGGUUUCUCAAUCGAGAGUCAUCUUUUGAUUCAACUCUCUUCACAGUUCUGGAAUCCAUAACAAAACCUUCAAUCCUUCCCUUCUUCAUAGCUUGCUCAAUUCUUUUGAUGAUCUUCACAACAUCAUGUCAAUCUUCCAAUGUUGUUGUGGUUGGUUGAGGGUUAUUGGAAAACUUCUACCAGCUUGGUAAUCUUGGUAGCGCACAACACCACCGCUACCGACACGUGGAAUCAUGCCUUAUCUCUUCUAUGGGAGAAAAUGAUGGACAUGAAUCUCCUCUAUUUCUUCUUCGAUUCCUCUCGAACGGUGCAGCAAACAAGCACCAAUAGAGGUUCUGCUCUAUGGAAGUUUCAGUCUUCUUCAUGUUUUUCAGUCUAGGCAUGUCUCUUCUCUCUACUUUUGCGUUUUAAUACUGACACUGUUGGAGGAAAAUCAUUUCAAUUAAAAAAGUUUAAUUUGUUAGGAGAAAAUCUCAAAACCUAUGAUUUCUAUUAUUUUUCACUCAAAUAAAUAGACUAUUAAUGACCCAAUUUCAAGUGAAACAAUAGUAGAAAACAUUGAUUGUCCUAAAAAAUUUAACAUAAGGAUUCCUAAGCAUCUUCUUUCUGUCUCCUAAAACUUAAGAUAUGUACAAUGUUGCGCUACAACGUUUUCAAAAUCAAAUAAAAUAAUUACGGAUGCAUAGAGCUCAUCAUUGUCAAUAAUUUUAAAUUAAAUUUCAAAUGCUCAACAAAAGAACGAAUAUUUUCUCAUGGGAUAUAUUUCAAGAGCUUACUCAGAAUUCCCUAAGGUCCAUCCAGAUAGAGUGGCUGUAUCCUUCAAAGCGUCUCUGAAGCUCUGCUCUUUGUCCAUCGUCAAAGCUUUCUUCUUUAUAAGUGUAGCAAAUGCAUCCCCAAAGCUUCCUGCUUGAUUUCUUACAUGGGAUGGAUCCACCUUGUAGAAUACCGGAAUAACUAUCUGUCCAUUAUUUUUUCUACGGUAAAAAAUAUUUGCAAGCUCCUCCAAGCACCACUUGGAAGAUGCAUAGUUUUCAGAAAAUACAUUCACAGAAAGCUUGGCCUCUUCAAUUGUUCUCAGAAGUGAUGCCGAGAUCUCAUCUCCUCUCACAAGCUGAUAAUCUAUGAAAGUCAGGAUUUGUUUCCGGUUCAAAGCGGCAUAGAGGUGGCUGGUAAAAUCAAAACGAGUGUCUUCGCCUCUGAAACUAAGGAAGACAUCAUAUUUCAUUCCUUGUGGCUGGGCGGUGGUUAAGGUGGAAGGAGUAGAUGGCGAUGGAGAUAGAUGAUGGUUUCGUAAGAUGAAUCUCCAGAUAUAAACAAACAAAAAGAUAGAGAGAAACAAGAAAAACACCGCCGUUGUUUUGUGGAGAAACAGACGAAGAAACAAGAGUAAGACUCUGGUGGCAGGGUAAGUAUGUAGGGAGAGAACAGAAGCAACUCAAAGAAAAAAGAUGUUGACUUCCUGGAAAUUUCCGGUCUUGUUCAUUGUUAAUAAUCUUUCGUUAAAUAAUGUUUUUAUAGAGGAGGCUCGAUCAUUGGUUGAUUUUCUUUGAUAAGCACAACUUUGGUGGGCCAUCUACGCGAUUCGGGUGAUCUUACAUGAUAAUAUCGGCAUCCCUUCAAUCAACCAACAAAGGAAGGAGCUCUAUGGGAUGAAUUUGAAAAGAUGGUGGGUUGCAGAGGCGCAAGGGUUUCUCCACUAAUGGAGGGAGACACAUGUGAGGAGGGUAAAGCUAAGGGGCCUCUCCCUGUUUUGACAAACUACACUAGGACCCACCCCUCGAUGGGGUACAAUGGGACCGCAUGUGCAAAUUUGUUGGAAAGAGUUUUAAGCAGCUUAGCUAGAGUGGGUAGGGUGGUGAAAGAAUUGUCCAAUCAUACUUUCACCAUCUUCUUCCCUCGCUAACAACUGUCCUCUCUACGAAGGUUUCCUUUUUCCUCCUCCUUUGUUAAUGGGUGAUUGAAGGGAUGCCGAUCCUAUAAAAACACUUUGGGGCCUUAAUCAUGCUUACUUUGUUGGUUGAUUGAAGGGAUGCCGAUAUUAUCAUGUAAGAUCACCCGAAUCGCGUAGAUGGCCCACCAAAGUUGUGCUUAUCAAAGAAAAUCAACCAAUGAUCGAGCCUCCUCUGUAAAAACAUUAUUUAACGAAAGAUUAGUUGUGCCAGUUCUUGUCAUUAAAAGCAAUACAGUCUUUUCAUGUGAUCUAUUAUCAUUGUCAUAUUAAAUAAGAACAAAUCAGUUUUUAAAGUAUUAAUGCUGCAUCAUCUAAUUGCGAAUGACACAACAAUCAGCAAUGAAUAUUUUCUCAAGUACAAGGACAGGAACAUCAUGACGCAGAUGCUCCAGAUUCUCACACAUUUGAAAAUGUAUGAAGCCCUUUUAACAGUUAAUCUGCAUUACAGGAAAGUGAGCUCAGAAUAGGAAAAAGAUGUGAAUUUAAGAAGAAGCGCAGCCUAUCAUACUAGACUGAGCAAUAUUAAGCUGUACAACAAGAAAUGAUCAUCUCAUAGCAUUGUCUGGAGCAUUCAAGUAGAAGAAUAACCGAAAUCAACUAAACAAGAUGAAAGACAUUGCGCCAACCCAUUUAAUCAAACAGGCAAAUAGAAGCAGCCAUACAAGAGCUUCAUUAGCUUCAUUACCUAUAACGUAAACCGUGUGUGGGAGAAACACUGUGAGAAAGCUUCAUGCAAACUAAAGACUGAUCCAUCAGCUUUCUCCUUCUUUAAUUCAAAAUUCGCAAAAAGUGAACAGAUAACUCUCUCAUUGUGAAGUUAUCUCCUGCCUAAAAUAGAUGUUUAGCAAUUAAGAAUCAAAAGCUAUAUAACUUAUAGAAGUAAUACAAAUGUAAUAAGAAAAAGAAAAAAACUUACUUCACAAGGUCAACAUUAAGACCCAAUCUUCUAGCAUCGCUCUUGGCUACCAAAAAGAAAAGCAAAAAUGUUAAAAUAAUUAAGCAACUUUCAAUAUUCAAGCCAUUGCAAAAGCUAAGCUAACUAAUCAACAUAUAUAUCUUCCCCUAAUAGCAAAGCUAAAAAUUAAGCAUGAUUAGUGCUUCAGUGACGAAAGGGAACGAACUUUGUUUCGUUUCUAGGUUUAUAGACUGGAUUCAGUCAGCAUUACGACAUAAUCAAAAGGAAGGAGUGAAGUUUGGUUACCGGAAUGGACUAAAUCCAGUUAUUUUACUUGAUGAUAUAUAGGCAGUAGUAUAAUUAGUCCUAUCAAUAAUGUUGGUCUAAACCCAAUAUAAUGGUUAUUACUAUUUCAUUGGGAAGAACUUGUUGUGCAUAGCUUUCGAACCUGUAUAAAGUGUUGAGUGGAUAUCGCCAAACAACCACAAUUACAAUAACACUAUCCAUCAAUAGCCGGUCACCUUAAUUCGUCAUUGAUGCCUUUUCUUUUGACGUCCGGACAUCCUUAUUCCUUAAAGUUGACAUAAUCUAUUAUUAAGUUAUUAAGAUGGUGAUUAAUAUUACCGUUGUAAUUAUUUUUAAAAAAGAAUUUUUUAUUUUAAAAUAUAUUAAAAUAUUUUUUUUAUUUUUAAAAUUUACUUUUAAUAUUAACAUAUUAAAAUGAUUAAAAAAUAUUUUAAAAAAAUUAAUUUAAAGUAUAAAAAAAUUCAAAGUGCAGUUUAACUAUAAAAAUAAACAAUAUCUAGGUUAAUUUAUGGGGUUGCUGAAUCAAUUUUAAUUAAUUAUUUUUAUAAAAAUAAUAUUUUUUUAGAAUUAAUCAAAAUAAAUCAAUUAUGUUAUUAUAAAUUUAAUCUGAUGAAUAAAAUUUUACCAAAUUAAUAUUUUUACCUUUUCAAAUAAAAACUUAACUCGCUUAAAGCUUCUCAUCACGGAUUUUCAAUUCAACCCACUAAGAAAAGUGGGGUUUAAUAACUAUAAUAAAUACAUUUCUAUUAUGCAACCAAAACUUCAACGUCUUCUUGAACCAGCCUGGAAAAUCAAGUCCUCCUGUCAUGAUUUUAAAUACACUUCUCUCAGUGGCAUGACCUUGUAAACUAUUUUGUUUCUGAAUUUUUUUUUCUUAACAUGAAAGACAUGAGGACAUCUCCCCUUUUUCCCUAAUAUCUCCGUCACCUCAUAAGAUUAAUCUCUGUAACCGAGAGCCUGUAGUUUUCACGUUAAGUGACUAUCAUGCUAUAAGCGUAGAUCGAGUGGAGAGAAAUGCAGACACAGGGUUAGCUAUGGCAACACAAGAGGGACAUUUUCAGGACUUCGUAUUGUAUCAUGUGAUCAGAAUACACACUCUGCAGACAUUUUUAACUGCCAUCUAUGUUAACAUGUCUAUGGAGGAUAGAGAUCCCAACCAAAUGGGAAAAAUUGAAUUCUACAGAAACGAAGAAUUGCUGUGUUCUUACAGAAUUUAUCAAGGCCUUUUGACAACUUCACAGUUGCUCCAUUCAGAAGCCAACGCUUUUUAGAAUCCUAGUCUAUUUGGUAGGAGGAAAUUACCAGAGGAAAAUGUAAAACAACAGGGGUAGCAAAACGAAGGAAAAGUUCUUGGUCAAAAACAAGAACAGAGAAGAAGGGAAGCCAAAAAUCCAAUGGCCGCACUCUAUUUCCUGUCUCAUAGAGUAGAAAGAACAUGAAAGAGAAGAAAAAAACCUAGAAGAAGAUUUUUCAACUUGAAAGAUAUUGUGUGAGUUUCAUAACUUGCAUAUCAUUUACUUGUGAUGCAAAGACUAAGCAGAUAAUUACCCAUAUCAAGUCUUUUCUCUUGAAACUCAGAGGACUUGAUCCACCAUUGGAACAUGGACUCAUGAUAGGAACUGGCUUGAGAAGGAAACCAGAAGGCCGAGAAGGCACCAAACCAUGAAUUGGAUUUAAUACACAACUAAAUUGAGUACUUUAUGAGCUGAUUGAGAGAGAUCUUGGCACCAAACCAUGAAUCUGAUAUUUUCAUUCCAGAAAUGUUUCCAACACAAGUUUUGAGGUAAAAUAGAAUGACAAGACACAUGAGCAGAUUUAUAUUCAAUCUAUGCUAUUCUUUUCAUGGAUUGAAAAUUAUAAUUACAAGUAUUUUCUGGAAGUGCUUGAUUUUCUUGUGCAAGAUCUAAGAUUUUCACAAUAUACUUCUGAGCUGUGACAACUUGGCAUCAUUUCAGGAGGCUGAAGCAAUUCUAGAAGAUAUCAGAUUUUCUCCAGUGCAAACACUUGGGUAUGGUGUGGUAAGAAAUCAGAUUGCUUUUUGUGAUACUGCACUAUGAUUAGUCUAUUUCAAUCAUUUCUGCUCUUUUGGAUUUCUUUUCCCCAACUAAAGCCAUCUUUUUUUUAAAAAGGAUAUCUUGUAUCUAGAGAGACGUGUUUAUGGGAUGGGAAUGAUCUUUUUAUUUUGUAGCAAGGACAUAAAAUAAUUACAGGUUGAUUUCUCUUUGUUUUGAAUGCAUGCUUCUGUAUGGUCUAGAGACAUGCUUCCACAAAGAUGUGUAUAUAAUUAACUAGAAUUACUCAUGUUGUUUACAUCAGGUCUUUAUUAAUCAUCAAUCCAUGAUUGAGAAAUAUCUAUUGCGUACCAUGCAAAUGUCCAUUGCAUCCUUUACUUACACUAUAUUUAUGCUGUGGACAGGGUUUUGUUACAGCAUCAUAUACAUUGCUAGGUUUGUACACUUUCUUCCUCAUGAACAGGCUCUCUAUUACUUUUCAAGAACGACUCCCCAAAAUGUUGUGGAGUUUGAAAUGCUUCAGCUGUAUUAUAUAGAACCAAUGAUAAAAAUUCUGGUUUUCUUUAUUUUUUUUUCUUUUUUGUUGCUUUCCUCACAUUCUUCUUGCCAACCAAGCUUGAACUUUGUUUCAGAGUGGGAGAAGACCUUACAAUUUAUUGCCAUCAGUAGCUUCAGUCAGGUAUACUUUUAUUUGUUAUAGUGCCCUGGUUAAUGUUCCUUUUACACGCACAUAGAUGUUGAUUUCUAAGCUGAUAAUGAGUAAAACAAACUUCACACAUUCUCAUAUUGUGCUAGUACUUAGAUCUCCUUUGUCUAUUUUGCAUUGCUAAAUUUAGUUAAGUGAACAUUGAGUUUCUCUAAUUAUUGGUUUCUCACACUCUGCCAGGCUAUUGAUCAGCGGGUUGCUUCUUACAAUGGCCCUGAAGAUUUUAAGCAAGAUGUGAGGUAUAAAAUAGUUUGCUUAGGCUAGUUUUGAGUUUAUUUGAAAGAGUUAUAAAAUGUACAAUAACAAAAUCUUGAAUUUAAAGUUUUUAUGUACUUACUGUUUUUCUUGAAUAAAUGCGCUAGAUGGUUGUUAUAGUUAGUUGAGGAAUUAGUUGAAUAACAGAAAGUUCGUUAGUCAGUUGCAAGGGAAGAACAAUAUUUACAGCUAUCUUGAAAACCAAGUAAUAAUUGAAGAUCAAUUUGCAGUAAUUACAGAACUCUCUCUCCCUUUCUAUUUUCUUUUAUAUCUCCCAAAAUUUUCUUUUGAACUUUUUGUCCGCUGGUAUAUUUUCAUCAAAGUGCAAAUACACCCCCCAGCUUUUCAACUCCAAAGGCCUUCGGAUCUCAUGACCUACCUCCCUCCCACAAUACACUCCAAGGUUGCAGAAAUUAAAUGUAACUUCAUUGCCAGAAUAUUUACGUAAAUGAUUUCCCAAUUUGAGCUCGUAGUGUAGAAUCAUGUGAUAUGAGUCACAUGACACCAAGACAUCUGUUGGAAUCUGUUCUUCCCAGAAAGCAAAGACGUCGACUUCAUAAUGCUUAUCGUUUUUACCCUUAACAUGGUAAUCACAAUAUACCUUAUGGAAGGGAAGAGGGCCUAGAAAGACAAGGCAGAAAGCAAUUCCCUUGAGCUGAUGACAAUUUGAGGGCAACUGUAUGGUGACUGAAGAUCCAAUUCCUUUGUCACCGAACCAUUCUGGAAUUUCACUCCCCGGUAGAACCAUUUGAAUACUGCCAUCUGGGAUCUUCUCUCCGGACUGUAACACAAGAGUCACAUUUCGAAAAUGUGAUGAAGCAAGCGAGAGAGAGAGAAGAAAGAAAGACAAGGGGGUUUAGAGAGAUACCUGAAUUUUCAAAUGCAUUACUGCUACCAGUGGUUUCUGAUCCAAUUUGAAGCAAUUUGUAAAAUCCAAUUGAUCAUGCCAUAAUCUACCGAUAUUUAUGAUUGAUAUUGCGGUUUCUAGUGAUGCACAAUCAUUUGUACGUAGACGCCUCAGCGAAGGGGGGAGCUCAGGUAACGUUUUAAUAGACGUUCCAUCUAAAUAUAGAGUUGUCAAAGAUAUCAUAUGCUUAAAUGAUAUCAAAGGUAUCUCUUUAAUGCCUGUUUUACUCAAGUCAAGAGCCCGCAAAGAUUUCAUAGGCACUGUGAUUUCUGGGAAGCUCUCAAGUUUUGAGCAACCACUCAUAUCCAACUUUUGGAGUCUUUUGAGAAGCUGGAUUGAUGAGGGCACCUCUUUAAUAGCAGUUCCCCUUAGAUUUAACCGCUCUAUAUCCUCUAAAUUCUCUGGAAACUUGGUCAUCUUUGAGCAACCAUCUAGAUUAAGACGUUCCAACUUGCCAGUAACUGAUUGUGGAACUUCUUUGAUUGAAGUUUGGUCCAACUGUAACCAUUCCAUAUUUUGUGAAAUCGUUGGACACGUGGUCACAUCUAGGCACCGACUUAUUAAAAGGUCUCUGAGAACCUUUGAAUCAAGCAUUGGAAAACUUCUAAGAUUAUAGCAACCACGGAGAUCAAUUUCUUCCAGCUUGUCAAGAUAUUGAAGAGAUGACGGAACCUCGGUUAAGCUUGGACAGUCCUCUAGUCUUAAGCGCUCUAAAUUUUUGGCCAUUGAUAGAUCUGGCAAUUCCGUCAAAUAUGGAGACUCAGAUAGGUCGAUUGUUCUUAAAUUUCCAACAUCCUGUCAACAGAAAAAGGCAUAAUUAGAAAGUUAGCAAUUAAAUCUGUAGCAAUUAAAUCUGUAGCAAUUAAAUCAUACCUUUACUCCUAUCCAAAGUUUUACAAGCUUGCUUUUGCGUAGGUGAAGCUCGACAAGGUGUUCAACAGGAAAAGAUGGCGGCAAGGAUUUCAAAGGGAAUCCAUCCCAUAGCACAUAUCUCAGCUCUUUAUGAGGAAGGUCCAUUGUAAAUUCAUCAGUGGAGGCAUUAGAUUCCAAGUUUAUGUUUCUCGAUAACUCGUCAUUGUCUAAUAUUCUUGUUGUUUCUUGGUCGUGCAUCCAUCCUUCGAAGAAAUGUGCUAUGUCAAGAAAUAUGGAUUUUUGUUCUGAAUCCAACCCAUCGUAACUAAUUCUCAACGCCCUUUCGAUUUGAGGGUUCUGGGCUAGUUUAUUCAAUGCACUCUGCCAUUCUUCGAUGCUUUUACCAUCAAGAGAGGAACCCAAAACUUUAAGAGCCAACGGAUUGCCUUGUACAUGCCUUACAAUCUGUGCUAUCAAGUCUCUCUGAUCAGUUGUGGGGAUGCAAUUCUUCAAGGCUUUCGAUCUAAAGAGUUGAAUAGCGUCUUUAUAGUUCAACCCCUCAACCUCGUAUGUCUCAUCAACUACAUUACUAAGCACUUGCUUGUCCCUACUGGUUAUGAGAACUUUACUGCCCGGACCAAAUGAAUUGUUUCGUCCAUCAAGCAAAUCUUUCCAUUCUUCAAAACGCAUUAAAUCAUCCACAUCAUCCAGAACAAUAAAAACCUUCAUACGACGAAGUCUAUCCCUCACAAAAGAAUCUCGAAAACUCAAGUAGCCUAUAGUGUUCGGAGUUUCUUGGCCAAGCAGCUGUUUAAGAAAUUUUCUUCGUAAAUCAGAUUGUUGCCUAAAGUUUUCAAAAAAGAUUGCUUCAAAUCGAGAACAAACCUUGCUGCACACAGCUUCAGCAAUCGUUGUCUUACCGAUACCACCCAUUCCCCAUAUCCCUAUAAUGAGAACAUCUAGAGAAUUUAUAUUUAACAAAGACUCAACUUUGCUAACACGAACAUCAAUUCCAAUUAGACCAGCCGUAGUGUGACUUGAUCCGGAGGAAGACGUGGCAUGCAAUUUUUCCAAAACAUCUCCAACGAUUUUCUCAAUAAAUUCAGACUCCAGCCUGACAAACAACCACUUAAAGCCUUAAUAUUUAUACAAGCAUUUCGUUACAAAUAAUAUUUUUUUUCAAAAUUAUUUUUAAUAUAAACAUAUUAAAAUAAUUUAAAAUACUAAAAAAAUUAAUUUAAAAUAAAAAAAUUUAAAGUUUUUACAAAACAUUUUAAAACACAAAACAAACAACCACUUAAUAACUAUACAAACAUUUUACAUUAAAUAAUAAUAUUUUAUUUUUUAAAAUAUUUUUUAAUAUAAACACAAAUAAUAUAAAAACACUAAAAAAAAUAAUUGAAAAAAAAACAAUUUGAAAACACAAAACAACCAACCACAUAAUAUCUAUACAAGUGCUUUGCUAUAACAUUUUCAAAAUCAAAUAAAAUAAAUAUGAAAUAAAUAUGAAUUCACAGAGCUCAUCAUUCUCAAUAAUUUUAAAUUAAAUCUCAAAUCCUCAACAAAUGAACGAAUAUUUUCUCAUGGGAUAUAUUUCAAGAGCUUACUCAGAAUUCCCUAAGCUCCAUCCAGAUAGAUUGGCUGCAUCCGUCAAAGCGUCUCUGAAGCUCUGCUCUCUGUCCAUCGUCAAAGCUUUCUCCUCUAUCAAUCUAGCCAAUGCAUCCCCAAAGCUUCCUGUUUGAUGUCUUACAUGGGUUGGAUCCACCUUGUAGAAUACCGGAAUAACUAUCUGUCCAUUGUUUUUUCUACACUCAAAAAUCUUUACAAGCUCCUCCAAGCACCAUUUGGAAGAUGCAUAGUUUUCAGAAAAAACAAUCAAAGAAAGCUUGGCCUCUUCAAUUGUUCUCAGAAGUGAUGCCGAGAUCUCAUCUCCUCUCACAAGCUGAUUAUCUAUGAAAGUUAGGAUGUGUUUCUGUUUCAAAGCAGUAUGGAGGUGGCUGGUAAAACCAAAACGAGUGUCUUCUCCCCUGAAACUAAGGAAGACAUCAUAUUUAAUUACUUGUGGCUGGGCGGUGGUUAAGGUGGAAAGAGUAGAUGGCGAUGGAAACAUUGGGGUUUCGUAUGAUGAAUCUCCAGAUAUAAGCAAACACUUUGAAGAAACAAGACAUCAAAUCCAAUAAUGGAAAUUUUCUUAGGCUUUACGUGUUUAAGACCCUGGCUUAGGCAUAUUUAUAAUUACAAUAAUGGGGGCAUCAAAUCCAAGAAUUUUCUUAGAAGAUUACAAGAUUGCACAUUGUUGAUUUCCUGGAAAUUCCCCAGUUACAAAGUGAUUUGAUAGGAAAAGGCAUUUAGACGUUGUUUUGUUUUUAUGGUAUUGACAGUGUUUUUAUAAAUUUUGAUCUUUUUUAUUUUUUAAAAAAUUAUUUUUUUUAUUAUUGUAAUUUACUGAUAUAAAAAUAAUUUUAAAAAAUCAAAAGCAUAUAGAUUCUUGUUUAUCACAUCACAGCUGUGAUAGAUAACUUUUUUCAUAUUUCAAAUGUAUUAGCUGUUCCCUUAGCGGAGUAGCAGAUCUUUUGUUAUUUGAUCGAGUGCAGUAUAACCUUUUUAAUGAAGUUUAUUUGUUAUUAUCGUAUUGAUAGAGAAUAAAUUAUUUUUUUAAUAUUUUAUAAUUAUAAUAGAAUUAUUUAAAUAUUCUUAAAAAUAAAAUAAAAAUUAAAGUAGAUGUUUCAGUCUUUUAAUGUUUUAAUAGCAUAAUAAAAUGAUUACAUUAUUUUUAAAUACAAAAUAAUUAAAAUUGAUGUCCAAGUAUUUUUUUAAUAUUUUUAUCGUAGCUUUUUAGUUAUAAUUAAUAUGAAUUAGAGGUAAUUUAAUAUGUUAUCAAUUAUAAUUAGAGGCAAAUGUAUAAUUAUAAUAUGGGGUUAUCAAAUUCAAGUAUUUUCUCAGGACAUUACAGAGGGUGCACACUGUUGACUCCAUAAAUUUCUCAUGUACAAAAAGCUUGAGGUCUUGUUAUUUGUUUUCCUGUGACUUGGACGGAAAGGGUAUUUAUGCUUUGUUUGUCUUUGCAGUACAAACCAUGUUUUUAUAAUAUUUUUUUAUUUGAGAUUAUUUUUUUUUUGUUAUUUUGGCUUGCUUGAUGUAUUAGUAUAAAAAAUAAAUUUUUUUAAAAAAAUAUAAAAAUUAUUUUAAUAUAUUUUCAAUCAAAAAAUACUUUAAAAAAUUACUACUACCAAACUCGUAAACAUCUCCAUAUAUUGGGUCCAAAUGUUUGCGCACAGUGAAGCUUUUUUUGGCUUUACAUUAUAUUAUAAUGGUUAUAUUGAUUUAAUUGAGAAGAAAUUGUUAUAAAUUAAUUUGAUAUUACAGUAACGCUUGGUUUUUAAAAUGUUUUUUACAUAGAAAUAUAUUAAAAUAAUAUAUAUAUUUUUUAUUUUUUAAAAUUUAUUUUUAAUAUCACACAUAUUUUAAUAAUAUAUAAUAAUAUAUAAAAAAAUUAAUUUAAAAUAAAAAAUAAAAUCCACAUAUUUUCUGGAGACGUUACAAGGGUGCGCAUUAUUUACUACGUGGGAAUUUCCUGUGUACAAAAGACUUUAAUGUCUUCGAUCCAAGAAUUUGCUGGCACUUUGUAAUUUGUUGACUUCACAUUAUAUUAUACUGACGAGAUGAAAUGCCAGUAUGCUGCGUGAUUUUAUAAAACAAAUAUAUUUGAUAGUGUUAUAACUAUGAACCAGCACUAGAUGAGCAAUAAAAACUAAAUAUAUAAUAAAAUAAAUAUUUCAUGACGGAAAAAAAAAAGUUGUGUUGGUGAUAAAAAAAACUUAGAGAUUGAAUAAAAUGAUUUGCAAUAAUUUAUAGUGUUUUGUGAAGAAAGAUAUAAUAUUUUUGCCACAUGAUUUAGCUUUUCUGUUAAUAAAAAAAUAAAAAAAAAUUACAAAGCUAAAUUCUCUACCAACUUAAUAUAUAUAUAAAAAAACCUACAAAGAUAAUUUUGUAAGGAAAAAAACCCAUGAGGAAAAACGUUGUAGCAAUUGACAAUGUUUUAUACUAAUUUAUCAAAAACAGUGUUUUCCCCAAUAAAAUAAAAUAAAAAACCAUUUAGAGAAAUAUUGUAGCAAUCCACAGUGUUUUAUGAGAAAAACUAUAACACUUUCCUCAUAUGAUUUAGCUUUAUUGUAAUUAUAAUUCUUAACCAACUCAAUAUUAAAAAAAAAUCAACAAAGAUAAUUUUGAAAAAAAAUCAUAAAAAUAUCAUAUAGGAAAACACUGCAACAAUUCACGGUGUUUUAAAGAAAAAAAUUACAAAACUAAAUUCUUAAUUAGCUCAAUAUUAAAAAAAAAAUCGACAGUGACAAUCUUAGAAAAAAAAAUAACAAAAAAAACACCAAAAAAAAGGGAAAAAUCAUGUUGGAAACAUUGUAGCAAUUCACAAUGUUUUAUGAAGAAAGCUACAGUGUUUCCCCACAUGAUUUAGCCUUAUUUAUAAUGACUUGUAAUUGUAAUUUUCAAACAACUUAAUAUUAAAAAAAAUAAAAUUGACAAAGAUAAUCUGGAAAAAAUUAUAAGAAAGAAAAACCAUGUGAAGAGACACUGCAGUAAUACACAAUGUUUUGUGAGGAAAUAUACAGUGCUUUCCCCACAUGAUUAAGCUUUAUUACAAAGUUAAAUUCUAACCAACUCAAUAUGAAGAAAAAAUAAAUUAACGAAGAUAAUUUUGGAAAAAAAUAUUACAAAAAAAGAAAAUACAAAAGAAAUUGAAAAAAAACCACGUGAGGAAAAAUUGUAUCAAUCCAUAAUGUUUUGUGAGGGAAAACUUGUAUUUACUUAUAAUUACAAUUCUUAACCAGCUUAAUAUUUAAAAAAUAAAAUUAACAAAGAUAAUUUUAGGGAAAAAUAUAACAAAGCAGAAAAAAACUAUGUGGAAAAAAACAUUGUAGCAUCCACAGUAAUUUGUAAAGAAAGUUACAGUGAUUUCCUCACAUAUUGUAACUGUAAUUUUUAACUAAUUCAAUAUUAAAAAAUAAAAUAAAAAAAGAUAAUUUCAAAGAAAAUAAAAAAAAUCAUGUGGAGAAAUAAUGUAGCAAUCAACAAUGUUUUAAAGAAAAAAAAUUACAAAACUAAAUUUUUAAUUAGCUCAAUAUUAAAAAAAAUCGACAAAUAUAAUUUAAAAAAAAAAAAUAGAAAAACUAUGUAAAAAAACACCAUAGCAAUCCACAAUAUCUUUUUUAAAAAAUUUUAAAAUAAAAUUUUUAACCAGUUCAAUAUUUAAAAAGUAAAAUUAAUUCAAAAUUACACACAAUCUAUUCAAAUAAAUCCGUAGAUGCCUUUUCCUUUUUCCUUUUAUAUAUAUUUAUUUAUUGUGAAGAAGAAGAAGAAGAAAAAGAAGUCGUCUUGAAGGAUGAAGGAGAGAGCAAGAGACGGGGGAUGGGCCAAUCCUCUUCUUCAUAUUGACGGGGACGACGACUUGACCUUAAGUACUCUUCCUGGCGAGUGAUAGGGCAGCGUGUUCGGGAAGCUGAGUUCAGAAAUUACGUGUUUCUUUUUACAUGCUUCCUUCCAGCUCAUUACACACAAUCUAUUCAAAUAAAUCGGCAGAUGCCUUUUCCUUUUUCCUUUUAAAGGGAUCACCGGCCAUCGGUGUUGUUGGAACAUAAACAAUUGAACAUUGGAAGAAAUAAAUAAUUUUCCCGUGCUUAAAUUACGGCAACUAUUCUUUUCAACUACGGCCAGACAUGACAGGGCUUUAGUAGAAUGCCUUUUUUCUUCUUCUUCCUCUGUCUUUUGGAGAAAAGAUGGAGAAGUUUAUUAAAAUUCAUGGCAAGUUUAUUAAAAUUAAUGGAUGCUUUUUCGAAAUUACGUGUUUCCUUUUUCCUUCUAUAUAUAUAUACAAGGAUAUAUAUUAUAUAAUAAGCUAAAGUGGGAUUGUGACAUUUCUGUAUGAUGUAUCUUUGUUGGUGUGUAUAUAUAUACCAACAUAAUUGGUUCUGUUUACUGCUUUAGGCAACAUAAUUGGCAUGCAGCCAUGUAAUUAUAAUUAUUUCUUUUCCUUCCAGUUCAUUACACACAAUCUAUUUAACAGAUGCCUUUUCCUUUUUCCUUAUAUAUAUAUAUAUAUAUAUAUAUAUAUAUAUAUAUAUGCUGUUUGUCUUUUUGGUAUAAAUAAUGUUUUUAUAAUUUUUUUUUAAUAUUUGUAUUUACUAAUAUCAAAAAUAAUUUUUAAAAAAUAAAAAAUAUUAUAUUAUUUUUUUUAAUAAAAAAAUAAGAACUACCUACUACACUUACAGAAGAAACAUUCCAUGUAUUGAGUCUUUGCGCGUGAGAUGACUUUUUUUGCCUCCCAAUAAUUAGCGUUAUUUGUAUUAUAACUUUUUUAAUAUUUCAAAUGGAUUAGCUAUUCCCUUGGCUUGGCGUAUUAGCACUUUAGGAUCUUUUGUUAUUUUCUCUUCAACUUUUUUAUUAUAUAUUUUCUUUACACAGCAAACACUUAUGUCCCCGUCAUUCUUUAAGUACAUUAACUAGUAUAUCGGCAUGCGAUUCACAGCAGGGUUAAUAUUAAUCUUUUUAAAAUUAAAAUAGCAAUCAUGUCAGCCUCAGCAUUUUGCAUCUAGAAUAGUAAAAGUCUAGAAUAAUAUAUAUAUAAUGUGAAGAAGAAGAAGAAGAAGUCUUGAAGGAGAGAGGAAGGGACGGGGAUGGGCCAAUCCUCUUCUUGAUGCUCGGGCAAUAAUAACCAUGUUGAUGGGGACGACGACGACUUGACCUUAGUCUUCCCGGCGAGUGCUUGGGCAGCGUGUUCGGGAAUCUGAGCUGCCUUGACAUUACGUGUUUUCUGGAAAUUAUGUUUUUUUGUCUUAACGGUGGCUUUCGAUAAUGUUCAUAUUUAUAGGAGAUAAAUCAAAUUUUAAACGUUUUGAAGCACUUAGGAAUGAUUUAAAUAUUUUAAAAGUAAAAUUUUUAAAACAAGGAUUCCUGAGUGUUUCUAUUUUUUAAUAUUUUGAUAGCAUAGUAAAAUGAUUAUCUUAUUUUAAAAUUAAAAAUUUAAAAUUUUCAAAUUCAAGUAUUUUCUCGGGAUAUUAUAAAAAAAUUUAUUUUAUAUUUUUAAUUAAAAAAUAAUUAAAUAUUUUUACCUUCAUAUUAUAUUAUAAUGGUAUGAUAAUUUGAUUGAGAAGAACUUAUAGAAACUGGUUAAUGAUUGUUUUUUAAAUGUUUUUUUCUUAUAAAUAUAUUAUAUUAAAAUAAUAUAUUUUUAUUUUUAAAAUUUUAUUUUUUAUUUCAACACAUCAAAAUAAUAUAAAAAUAAAAAUAAUAAUAAUUUAAAAUAAAAAAAUAAAAAAACUCAAAUUCAAAUAUUUUCUUAGUACAUUACAGAGGGUUCAAUUAUUGACAUCCUAGAAAUUUUAUUAACCACAAAAGGCUUCAUCUCUUCUUAUUAUUAUUAUUAUUUUGUAAUUUGGUAGGGAAAGGCAUCAAGUCUUCCAUCCUAGUGUUGCGUGUAAAAGAAAUAAUAAUAAUAAUAAAAGUGUUUGCGCGUAAACUUUGUUGAAUUUCACAUUAUAAUAUAAUGGUUAUUAUGAUUUCAUUGGGAAGAACUUGUUACUCUGCCCUAAUUAUAGGAUUUAAAAAAAAAUGAUACUAUUAAAGAAAUAAUAUGGUUUAAUUUAUUUUUUUUUAGAAAAAACAACAUAUUUUUUAAAAACCUGCUAUUUUAAAUCAUGAUUUUAAUAUAACCGUGAUUUUGCAAAAUCACAAUCUAUCCAAAUAAUUUGGCAGAUGCUUUUAUAUAUAUAUAUAUAUUGAAGAAGCUGAGUUGCCUUGACAUUGAGUAUUUCCUGGAAAGUACGCAUUUCUUGUCUUAACGGUGGCUUUCGAUAAUGGUCAUAGCACUUUCGGUUUGUUUUUGACCGAAAGAGGAAAGAAAUUUUUGACCGAAAAAUGAACACAGUUUACAAUAACUGGUGAUUUUUGGGCUUGUUUUUUACCCUCACCGACUACACAUACCAUGCAAUGAUGAUAUAAGAACCUGGAAAUAAACCCAGUAAGCUUUCAAAGUCCAGGUCUUUAAAAUUAGAAAAAUAAUCUUCAUGUAAACUCAGCAUAUGAAAAUAAUAAGAGAAGGAUAAGAAGAAGAAGAGGAAACCUGCUAAGUGGUCGUAGAAACCAACAACUUGAAGGUGUUUGCCAUCUCUUGGAGUAUGGCUAUCAGCAGGAACAAUUCUGUAAAAUGCCCUGUUUUUGCAUCCCAGUCUAGCUAAACGAAUCUUCACCGCCAUUUUCUCUUUAUUUCGAGUGUAUGUUUUUGUAUAGUCUAGAGACAUGAUUCCACAAAGAUGUGUAUAUGGUUAACUAGAACUACUCAUGCUGUUUACAUCAGGUCUUCAUUAAUCAUCAAUCCAUGAUUGAGAAAUAUCUAUUGCUUACCAUGCAAAUGUCCAAUGCAUGCUUUACUUAUUGUUGUAACCCAAUUUUGACCCACUUAUUGUUAAAUUAAUUUUAAGGAGGGUAAAUCUUGAAAAUUAAAAGACCAGGGGUUUGAAUGCAAGGAUUUAGAAACUUCAAGGACCAGAUUGGAAAUAACCAUUCUCAGCCCCAAAACAGCACCGUUUCAAUCAGGUGAUGUCCGUCAUCUUCGUCUCCAAAGCACCGAACGUCCGCCUGCAAAGAAGGAAACGAAAGUGUGAAACACCAGUAUCCUAGCCCAUUCAAAAUACAGAAAAGCAAUAUUUAUCUUCACGAUAAUUACAACCCGACGAGAUAAAGAUUGCACUUCGCAUCCGAGUCCUAGUAGGAACCGUCUCCCUCAGCCGUGCUUAUCAAGAGGAGAGACGUGAGGCUGAGGGAGAGGAGGAUUGAUCCCUAUAAAUACCCAACAAUUGACAACCCCCAGGGGAAGAGGGGGAGAAGGAGAAAGGGAGAAAAAACCGAGUAAAAAAGCCAGAGCAAAACAGAGCAUAAAAAUCACAGAGAGGAAUCAGUUCGGCCUUUGCCUUCAUCCUUACAUAAAACGACCAAAAAAAUCAAUACCCACAGAAGCCAGCAGCUUCGUUCUCGUUUCUGAAAACAGAGGGAAAGAGAUCAGCCAGGUGAAAGUCAUCAAUAGUCGUUCCAGCCCGAGCUUCGCCAUCGUCUCCAACGCUUCUAAUAGAACAGGUACACUCUGUUUCUUCUUCUUUUGUCACAAUUAAAUGGUAUUUUACACGAGGCAAGUGAAUUAAUUCACUUGCACAGUGUAAUUCACUAGCCCAGCCAGGCCACCGGCUUGGGCCAGUGGCCAGGCUGGGUUGGCUGGGUCUAGCCUAGCCCAUGUGGGCUGAGCUAGGCCCAGCCCAAAAAUGUAUAAAAAAAUAUAUAAAAAUUGUGUAUAAAAAAAAUAUGAAUUUAUUGUUUUUUUUAUUUAUUCUUUGACUUCAAAUUCAGAAUAAAAAUACCCAUUCAAAUUUAUUUCAUUGUAUUUUAAUAAGUUAUAUAAAAUAAAAAAUGUGUGAACCAAUAAUAAUAAUAAUAAUAAUAUAAGAUAAAAUAAAAUAAAUUUAUUUGGCAUAUUCACUGACGCCAGAGUCAGGAAUAAAAAAAUACUAAUGUAAAUUUAUUUUAUUUUAUUUUAUCUUGUUUUUAUUUAGCUACAUAAAAAAUAAAAAUGCGUAUGCGUAAAAAACAAAUAAAUUGAUUUUUACUUGUUUAUUAACUAAUGCCAGAGUCAGGAAUACAAAAAAUGAUGAUUUAAAUUUAUUUACUUUGAUACCUACGUAAUAUUUACCAACGCCAGAGUUGGAAAUAUCCGUAGUUGAAUAAUAUAAGAUAAAAUAAAAUAAAUUUAUUUGGCAUAUUCACUGACGCCAGAGUCACGAAUAAAAAAAAUACUAAUGUAAAUUUAUUUUAUUUUAUUUUAUCUUGUUUUUAUUUGGCCACCAAAAAAUAAAAAUAAUGCGUAAUAUUUUAUUUACUUUGAUACCUACGUAAUAUUUACCAACGCCAGAGUUGGAAAUAUCUGUAAUUGAAUAUUCACUGGCGCUAGAGUCAGGAAUAUUACGCGCAAACAACCAUAGUAUAAACCAACAAAAUGUUAGCAAUUAAUGAUAAAUAUUAGCAAUGCAGCCUGCCUUAGGCAGGACGUUUAAUGGGUGAUAAUAUCUUCCCUUUUACGUAACCAGUCUCGGACCAUAUAAUCUCUGCUGACCAGUUAGGGUUCCUAGUAACCGUAAUACUAGGUGGCGACUCCUUAAACAAAGAAUAUCCCAUUUAAAGAAUAGGAUGUCAGAAAUUCGUUCUUUUCAAAAACUUAAUUUUUAAGGCUGCCGCGAUGUCGGGUGCGACAGAAUGGCGACUCCACUGGGGAUCUAAGACUAAGCUUUGUCUUUAUUUGUUAAAAUUGCUACAAAUUCUUGUUGUGUUGUUUGUUUAUUUUUUGUUUAUUUUUUAUUUAUUUUGUUUUUUUGGUUUAUUUUAUUUAUUUAUACGGCUUUAGCAUCCAUAUUUAUUCAUGUCAUCAUAUAUAUUGGAUAUGCAUUGAUGCCUUCACACACCACGCAUUUCAUAAUAAAUAUCUGUUAUAUAAACUUUAUGUUAAGUGGGAGAGUAGCGGUACCCCAAUGGUUUUAGCCUGGGUAAGACUCGUGAAACCAUCCAACUUUCGCUUAAUUGUUUACUCGAUAGUGGUUGAUAUGCCUAAACUGAUAUUACUCAGGGCCUCUAUCUUCACGCUACUUGUAAGCCUCAUAUCAACCUUUCGAGGAAGAUCAUUGAGCAUGUGAAAGACCUUUCAAAGACUAGAUAGCAACCUACCCUGAGCAUUUAAUAACUAGAACUUACCCUUUAGGUUGUUUCCUAUGUAAGUUUCACUAAGCAAAGGUGUAACAUAUAUCAUUUCAUUACAGGAUUAUUAUUUCUGGGUGACAUAAUGGUUGUUAAUAGAGAAGUCAACACUGUUGAGUAUGGGCUUGAAUCUGAAUCAUUGCAUAUGACUGAGGGAGAUUGCCCUAGACUGGAUGAUAGUGGGAUACCGCUGCUAAAAGAUGUGAGAUGUGUAAUAAAUGAUGCCAUUCGUUUACUUCCACUCACCAAAUACUUGGCUGAUGUGACAGAAUUUACUAAGAUGUAUGAGAGAGUUUUGCAUCUUCUAAAUGUGCCAGUAUUGCCAUUGGCCAUAAGAGCUCUGAUUCAUUUUUGGGAUCCUGAUUAUCGAUGUUUUACAUUUGGGGAUGUCGAUAUGGUUCCUACCAUUGAAGUAUGGUGUUUUGACAGAAUUUCCUGAGGAUAUACAUAAGGUUACUUUCAUCAAAGACUUGAGGAUACUAUAGAGGAGCUUGCUAAGUAUUGGGAAUCCAGCAAAUGAGUUUGUAUAGAGAAAAAAAUAAUUCGGGGGUUUGAGAUGGAAACGGCUAGAAGAGUUGUUGAUUGCUAAAAAGUCUAAUCCAUGUGCUAAAGUAGAAGUAUACAGAAUAUUGGCUUUGGGAAUAUUUGGGUUGAUUUUGUGCCCUUCAUCUGUUGGAAUUGUUAGUUUAGAGGCAGCUAAUUUGUUUGUUAAGUAUGAGAAGACCAAAAUUAAUCCUUCUGCUGUGAUCUUGGCUGAAACUUUUUUGUCCCUCAAUCAUUGCAAAAAGACUGGAAAAGGUUCUAUGAGAUGUUGUGUUCCAUUAUUAUUCAUUUGGAUGGUAAGUCACAUAGAAUCCAAGACACCAAUAUUCCGGAAUUUUUGGUGGUUUGAUCAAAGGCCACUCGAAUUAUUUGUAUCAAAUGAAAUGGAAAUUUUUUUCUGAAGAUGACUGGAGGAUAAAACUACAAGGAAUUCCACGAAGCAAUUUUAAUUGGAGAGCUCCUUGGAUGAGAAAUGUAACGUACUUAAUGGGUUGUGGGAAGAAGCCUUGGGUACCUUUGAUUAGAGUGACUGGAUAUAUUAGCUAUGCGCCUGCUUUAGUUGCAAGAAAAAUUAAAGACCGUACAACUUAUGGGAAACCAAAAAAUGAUAAAGCAACAUAAUCAAACAUUGGAUGAUGCCAAUAACUUUUUGUCUAGAAACAACUUGAUGCAUACUGAGAGGAUAGAGGAACUACAAGAUCAGAUUAAUCGAGCAGCUGCAGAAGCCCAUUUAUUACGAGUGGAAGCUCGUCAAUUGGGAGGAGAUAUAAUGAAAUAUCGAAGGAGCAUGGAUAACACCGAUCUUUUUUUGAAAGCAAUAGCUACUAGAGGCAGUGUUUUUUCUCCUGUAAUAGAUUAGAUUAAUUUUUACUGUAAGUUUCUGAAUAAGUAAUAAGAGGGCUGAGACCCAUAUUUUUCAAUGCAAAGAUAUGUGUAUAUAGCUGAAAGCCCAAAUGUCAAAAAGCUAAGCAGAUUUCUUCUCGGCAUCGCAACAAUGAUAUCAAGUUCAAGUUCAACCCAUAUAUCCAAAGAAUGACGGCCAUAUGUCACCAACAAAAGCGAAUCUAUAUCCAAUAUGUGGCAUUCACAUUCAUGCAUCACAUACAUUUGCUUAUAGAUUGUCAUAUUCUGCAUAUAACAGGUGAAAUAUAGGUCCCCAACCUAAACGUAUUCAUAAUACUCGUUCACGAAAGAAAAUGGAAAAUGAAGAGAGAAAUCAGUUAGAAAUUCAACACCAAAGAGAGUUGGAAAGCCUGAAAGAGGAUGUAGCAAGGCUUACCAGCCUGCUUGAACAGGCUUUGAGGCCUAGAGUUGGAGAAGGGACAUCUUCUCAACAAACAUUUACACCUCAACCUCCGCCAUUUGAACCUUAACAUGCUGCUCCUUUCGCACCUGCUCAAGCAGCACAUCCAAUGAGGGUCCCCCACACUGUGUUGAUAGAAGAAGAACCUCAAAGGAACAAGAUCGUAGAGGAAAAUGGUCAGGAAAAACUAGCUGCUUUAGAAGAAAGAAUGAAGGCAAUAGAGGGGAAUAGUUUGUAUGAUCCGGUAAAGGCUGCUGAAAUGUGUUUAGUGCCUAAUGUGGUUAUUCCCAGAAAAUUCAGAGUUCCAGAAUUUGUUAAAUAUACUGGAACUCAAUGCCCAAUCACCCAUCUUAAAGCAUACUGUAAUAAGAUGGCUGAAGUAGUCCAUGAUGAGAAGUUAUUGAUCCAUUUCUUUCAGGAUAGUUUAAGUGAUGCUGCUCUUGCUUGGUAUAUGCGUUUGGAUAAUACCAAGAUUAAAGGAUGGAAGGAUUUGGUUGAAGCUUUUAUUAGACAGUAUAAGUUCAACAUGGAUAUUGCCCCAGAUAGAUCAAGUCUGCAAGCCAUGGAAAAAGGCAAUAAAGAGUCUAUAAGAGAAUAUGCUCAAAGGUGGCGUGAAUCAGCCGCACAAGUAAAUCCUCCAUUGUCAGAAAGGGAGAUGACUGGUUUAUUUUCCAACACUUUCAAAACCCCGUACUUUGAAUACUUGGUGGGUAGUGCUGCACAAAAUUUAUUUGAUUUGGUUGUCAUAGUUGAAAGGAUCGAACAAGCUGUUUGGACGGGUAGGAUUGUGGAUCCUACUGAAAAAAGAGGUUUUAUUGGAAAAAAAAAGAAGCGGAAGUUCACAAUAUUGAAAGGGAAAGUAGAGUGAAGAACACUUACCUAGAUAAUUACAGAUCCAAAAGUAUUACACCUACCCCCUCUAUAUCCAAUAUAAAAUUCUCUUCACCUACAAACACCCAAAAUAACCCAAUAAACAACCAAACCAAUAAUGCCUACCGCCCGAGAAGAAAUUUUCCAAUACAUCAAGUGCAGCUUCCACCAUUACCCAUGUCUCUUACUGAAAUGCACCAAAGAUUGCUUAGUAUUGGUCAGGUAGCACUUGUUCCCUUAGAACCUUUACAACCACCAUUUCCCUUUUGGUAUAAACCCGAUCAAAAAUGUGAAUACCAUGCUGGUGUUGUUGGUCAUCAUAUUGAUGGAUGUGUUGCAUUCAAAGGAAAAAUCCUUCAGCUCAUCAAAGCUGGGUGGAUUUCUUUUGAUGAGUCUCCAAAUAUGAAUUUUAACCCUCUACCAAAUCAUGCUUCUGGAGUUGGGGGAGUUAAUAGCUUGGAGAUAGGAAAGGGAGGUACAACAACUUUAAGGGUGACUAUGGAUAGAUUGUAUGGGAUGUUAAGGCAAACAGAUUAUCUAAAGACACCAGUCAAAAUACAAGCUGUAAGGAAUGCGAAUGAAUAUUGUAAAUAUCAUCAGCAGCUUGGGCAUGAUAUUGACUCGUGCGAGGAGUUUCAUUUAGAGGUAGAAAAUAUAAUGGCGUUGGGAAUGUUAAGAUUGAUGAAACCCAAAGAAGAUGAGUUAGUAGGAACAAUGACUGGUUGUAACAAAAAAGUGGAAGUUUAUAGAUAUAUACCAACCGAAAAGGGUCCACCAAAAAUGAUCCUAACCAAGCCUAUAAAUACUGUUAACGGAAGCUAUAAUGCCCAACCCUAUAAUUAUGGUUAUUCUUUUCACAGCACAAAUCCUGCCCCUGUUUUCCAUGCUGAAAUAGGGGGACUCACUCGGAGUGGGAGAUGUUUUACUCCUGAAGAGUUGGAAAACCAUAGAAAAGCCAAAGGAAAGGACAUGGUGGAAUUGGCCAGGCUGGGUUGGUUGGGUCUAGCCCAGCCCAUGUGGGCGGAGCUGGGCCCAGCACAAAAAUGUAUAAAAAAAUAUAUAAAAAUUGUGUAUAAAAAAAAUAUGAAUUUAUUGUUUUUUUAUUUAUUCUUUGACUUCAAAUUCAGAAUAAAAAUACCCAUUCAAAUUUAUUUCAUUGUAUUUUAAUAAGUUAUAUAAAAUAAAAAAUGUGUGAACCAAUAAUAAUAAUAAUAAUAAUAAAAUAAGAUAAAAUAAAAUAAAUUUAUUUGGCAUAUUCACUGACGCCAGAGUCAAGAAUAAAAAAAUACUAAUGUAAAUUUAUUUUAUUUUAUCUUGUUUUUAUUUAGCUACAUAAAAAAUAAAAAUGCGUAUGCGUAAAAAACAAAUAAAUUGAUUUUUACUUGUUUAUUCAUUGACGCCAGAGUCAGGAAUACAAAAAAUGAUGAUUUAAAUUUAUUUACUUUGAUACCUACGUAAUAUUUACCAACGCCAGAGUUGGAAAUAUCCGUAGUUGAAUAAUAUAAGAUAAAAUAAAAUAAAUUUAUUUGGCAUAUUCACUGACGCCAGAGUCAGGAAUAAAAAAAUACUAAUGUAAAUUUAUUUUUAUUUUAUUUUAUCUUGUUUUUAUUUGGCCACCAAAAAAUAAAAAUAAUGCGUAAUAUUUUAUUUACUUUGAUACCUACGUAAUAUUUACCAACGCCAGAAUUGGAAAUAUCUGUAGUUGAAUAUUCACUAGCGUCAGAGUCAGGAAUAUUACGCGCAAACAACCAUAGUAUAAACCAACAAAAUGUUAGCAAUUAAUGAUAAAUAUUAGCAAUGCAGCCUGCCUUAGGCAGGACGUUUAAUGGGUGAUAAUAUCUUCCCUUUUACAUAAUCAGUCUCGGACCAUAUAAUCUCUGUUGACCAGUUAGGGUUCCUAGUAACCGUAAUACUAGGUAGCGACUUCUUAAACAAAGAAUAUCCCAUUUAAAGAAUAGGAUGUCAGAAAUUCUUUCUUUUCAAAAACUUAAUUUUUAAGGCCGCCGCGAUGUCGGGUGCGAUCCUUAUACUAUAUUUAUGUUGUGGACAAAAUUUUGCUGCAGCAUCUUAUGCAUUGCUAGGUUAGUACAUUUUCUUCCUCAUAAGCAGGCUCUCUGUUACUUUUCAAGAACAACUCCCUAAAAUGUCGAAGAGUUUGAAAUACUUCAGCAGUAUUAUAUGGAAACAAUGAUAUAAAUUCUGGUUUUCUUUAUUUAUUUUUUCCUUUUCUUUGUUGUUGCUUUCCUCACAUUCUUCUUGCCAAACUGUUACUAUCGUUGGCUUUAGACAGGUAUACUCUUAUUUGUUAUAGUGUUUGAUCAAUGUUUCUUUCACACACAGAGAUGUUGAUUUCUAAGCUGAUAAUGGUUAAAAAACCAAAACAAAAAAAAAAACUUCACUCUUUUCUGAUAUUGCACUAGUACUAAGAUCCUUUGAUGUAUUCCAUAAAAAUAGCAUGCAUUCGACCAUUAAGCUAGAUCCCCUUUGAUGGAAAGUUUUAUGUCAUUGUUAAAUUUAGUGUAGUAAACCUUGAGUUUCUCUAAUUAUUGGUUUCUCACACUCCACCAGACUAUUUAUCGACUGGUUGCUUCUUACAAUGGCCCCAUAAGUCUUUUGUCCUGCAUGUAUUCAUGGUGUAAUUUGGUAAAUCAUAAUGGAAACUUAGAUUCUGCACAAUGCUAAAUGCCAUUUCUAGUAUGUUAUGAGAAGUAGUUAUGAGACACUUGUCAUAACCCAAUUUUUGAUCAUUUUAUUUUAAUUAUUAUUAUUAUUUUAUUUACUGAAAAUGAUAAAAAAAAAUGAUGAUGAAAAAAUAAUAAUGAUGAAAAAAUAAGUAAAAUGAAAUAAAGGAAGAAUGAAUUAAAAUUUGGGUUAAUGGCAAAAUGAUUGAAAGUUUUGGGGUUUAAUUAAACUUUGAAAUUAAUCUAAUUAAGCUUGAAAUUAAUUUAAUUAAUCCAAUUAAGGGUUUUAUUGGAGAAUUGAUAAGUUUUGAGACUUAAUUGAGCUUGGAAUUAAUUUAAUUUAUCCAAUUAAGGGUUUAAUUGGAGAAUUGAUAAGUUUUGAGACUUAAUUAAGCUUGGAAUUAAUUUAAUUAAUCCAAUUAAGGGUUUAAUUGGAGAAUCGAUAAGUUGUGAGACUUAAUUGGACUUUGGAUUUAAUUAAAUUAAUGAAAUUAGGGACUUAAUUGAAGAAUAUCAAAGUUUAGAGUUUAAUUGGGGUCCAAAUUGCAAAACUUAAAAUCCAAGGACCAGCUUGAAAAUGGCGCGGAAAUACAAGGAUCCAAUUGCAUUUUAUCCAGGGGCUUGAUUGCAUGAUUUCAGAACUUAAAGGACCAAAAUGCAAAUGGCCAUUAAACACAGCACUGUUCAUCGCCUUCUUCUUCAGGAGCCGUUUCUGGCAGUAAUGGCCUUGAAGUCGUUUCAAAUGGUUGGUAUUCUCUGGCUAUAAAGCCAGAGAAGAUGAGAGAGCGCGGGAGAGAAAAUAACAGAAACAAAGAGAGUGGGGAGGGGGGGAGACAAAAAACAGAGCCACAAACGGCAGAAAUAAGGAGUCACGGAACCGGUGGAAAACAAAUACCCAGAGGAAAGAAAAGGGAGCAGAACCGGGUAGGGAGACUGUACAGAGGGGAGCAGAAUUUGUGCCUUUGUUUUCUUCUAAAAGAGACAGAGGCGCUUGGCGCCAUUCUCUGGUAAGCUAGAGAAGGCCAUAGAGAAGGAAACAAGUAACUCAGGGGGCAGCGCCUUCCCCCCUUCACAACUGAACUCGCAGACGAAGAAGAAAAGGCAUCAGACCACGAAACCCAGGCAAGGAGGAAGAAAACAACGACAAGCACACAGACGAAGAAGGAAAUAAAGAAAGCAAGAACCAGAGGAGUAGACGGAAACAGAAAUAGAGGAAGAACUGAAAAUAAUCGAGGAAGAGACCAAGAACCACAGAAAAAUGGACGACGAACCGUGACCAGAACCAGUGUCACUGCUGCCUUCGGUUUUGCCAGCGCCAGGUAAGUAGCGUUUUCCUUCCUUGCAUUUUAAUUACAUGUUCCUGUAGGUAAAAACAGAAAUAAUGGCCAGCCGGGUCAAGCCUUGACCCGGCUAGGCCUGCUGGGUCCAGCCCAGCCAUGUGGGCUGAGCUGGGCCCAGCCCAAAAAAUUAAUAAAAAAAAUUAAAAAAUUAAAAAAAAAACAGAAAGAUAAAAAACAGAAAAAAAAUAAAAAAUAUGUAUGCAUGAAUAAAAAUAAUAUAAAUUUAUUGGUUUAUUCACUGACGCCAGAGUCAGGAAUAAAAAUACCGGUUUAAAUUUAUAUUAUUUUUAUUCUUUGUAUUUUUUAUUUUGUUUAGCUAAAAAAUAAAAAAUGUGUGCAUGCUUAAAAAAUAAAUUUAUUUUUAUUUAUUUAUUCACUGGCGCUAGAGUAGGGAAUAAAAAAAUAUAUUGAUCUAAUUUUUGUCGUAGCUACGAAUUUUUACCAACGCCAGAGUUGGAAUUAUUCGAGCUCGAAUAUUCACUGGCGCCAGAGUCAGGAAUAUUAUAAACAAAUCAUCACAGCAUAAACUAAUAAACAUUUAGCAAUUUAAGACAAAACCAACAAUGCAGUUUGCCUUAGGCAGAACGUUUAAGGGGUGAUAAUAUCUUCCCUUUUACGUAACCAAUCCCGAAUCAUCGAAUCUCUAUUGACCAGUUAGGGUUCCUAGUGACCAUAAUACUAGGUGGCGAAUCCUUAAACAAGGCAUUUUUCCCUAAAAGAAUCGGAUGCCAGAAAUCUGUUCUUUUUCCAUAAUUCAAGAGAAUUAUUUUUUAGGGCUGCCGCGACGUCGGGUGCGACAACACUCAUCAAUGAGCAUGCUUAUAUCGAAAAUCACAGGCUGACAAUAAAAGCCAUCUAAUACUCUUGUAGCUUGGUUUUGCUCAAAUCUUCUGAAGAAAUCACAGGCUGACAAUAAAAGCCAUCAAGAAAUAUGGAUUGUUGUUCUUGAUCCAACCCAUUGUAACUAAUUCUUUACGUAUUUUUGAUUCGAGGGUUCUGAGCUAGUUUAUUUAAUGCACUGCGCCAUUCUUCGAUGCUUUUACCAUAAAGAGAGGAACCCAUAACUUUAAGAGCCAACGAAUUGCCUUGUACAUGCCUUAUAAUCUGUGCUAUCAAGUGUCUGUGAUCAAUUGUCGGGAUGCAAUUCUUCAAGGCUUUUAAGCUAAAGAGUUGAAGAGCUUCUUCAUCGUUCAACCCCUCAACCUCAUAUAUCUCAUCAACUACAUUAUUAAGCACUUGCUUGUCCCUACUUGUUAUGAGAACUUUACUGCCCGCACCAAAUGAAUUGUGUCGUCCAUCAAGCAAAUCUUUCCAUUCUUCCAAAGGCAUUAAAUCAUCCACAUCAUCCAGAAGAAUAAAAACCUUUUUACGACAAAGUCUAUCCCUCACAAAAGAAUCUCGAAAACUCAAGGAGCCCAUGUUCAGAAUUUCUUGGCCAAGCAGCUGUGAAAGAAAGCUUCUUUGCAAAUCAGCCAUGGAACCAGUUUUUAAUUCUUGCCUAAAGUUUGCAAAAAAGAUUCCUUCAAAUCGAGAACGAACCUUGUUGCACACAACUUGAGCAAUUGUUGUCUUACCGAUACCAUCCAUUCCCCAUAUCCCUACAAUGAGAACAUCUGUAGACUCCAUAUUUAACAAAGACUCAACUUUGUUAACAUGAAAAUCAAUUCCAAAUAAACCCGUAGUAUGACUUGAAGACAUGGCUUGCAAUUUGUUCGAAACAUCUCCAACGAUUUUCUCAAUAAAUUCAGACUCCAACCUGACAAACAAGAAGAACACACAUAAUCGUUAGUCAAAAUGGACCGGACAAGAAGAAACAUAUAAACAUACUCACUCCUAAGUAGCUACAUCUAUACAUAGGAGGCACGUACGAGUAAUUGAGCAUCAUUACUGGCAAUGGAUAGUGCUAAUAUAUGUAACACAUGAAUCAUAGACCUGGACAAGCUUCUUUGACUGGGCCUCUCGAGAGAAUGCAUUUGAGUUCAGAAAUCUAUAGUUAAUCAAUCCUUGAAACUGAAAACUACUUGUAAGUGUAUAUCUAAGAAAAUCAAUGAAAUGCAAAUGCAAAUGCAAAAGAUGUUUUCUCAUAUCAUCAUAUCAUAUAAUCAUUUCAGUUAAAAAGUUUAAGUUGUUAGGAGAAAAUCUCAAAACAUAUGAUUUAUAUUAUUUUUCAAGGAAUGUGAUCUUUUUCACCUCAAAUAAAUAGACUAUUAAUGACCCGAUUUCAAGUGAAACAAUAGAAGAAAACAUUGAUUGCCCUAAUAAAAUUUAACAUAAGGAUUCUUAAGUAUCUUCUUUCUGUCUCCCAAAACUUAAGAUAUGUACAAGUGUUUCGCUACAACGUUUUCAAAAUCAAAUUAAAUAAAUACAGAGAUCAUCAUUGUCAAUAAUUUAAAAUUAAAUUUCAAAUACUCAACAAAAGAACGAAUAUUUUCUCAUGGGAUAUAUUUCAAGAGCUUACUCAGAAUUCCCUAAGGUCCAUCCAGAUAGAGUGGCUGUAUCCUUCAAAGCGUCUCUGAAGCUCUGCUCUUUGUCCAUCGUCAAAGCUUUCUUCUUUAUAAGUCUAGCAAAUGCAUCCCCAAAGCCUCCUGUUUGAUUUAUUACAUGGGAUGGAUCCACCUGGUAGAAUACCGGAAUAACUAUCUGUCCAUUAUUUUUUCUACGCUCAAAAAUCUUUGCAAGCUCCUCCAAGCACCAUUUGGAAGAUGCAUAGUUUUCAGAAAAAACAAUCACAGAAAGCUUGGCCUCUUCAAUUGUUCUCAGAAGUGAUGCCGAGAUCUCAUCUCCUCUCACAAGCUGAUAAUCUAUGAAAGUUAGGAUUUGUUUCCGGUUCAAAGCGGUAUAGAGGUGGCUGGUAAAAUCAAAACGAGUGUCUUCUCCUCUGAAACUAAGGAAGACAUCAUUUUUCAUUCCUUGUGGCUGGGCGGUGGUGAAGGUGGAAGGAGUAGAUGGCGAUGGAGAUAUGUGACGGUUUCGUAUGAUGAAUCUACAGAUAUAAACAAACAAAAAGAUAGAGAGAAACAGUCGAAGAAACAAGAGUAAGACUCUGGUGGCAGGGUAAGCCUGUAGGGAGAGAGCGAAAGUAACUCAAAGAAAAAAGAUGUUGACUUCCUGGAAAUUUCCGGUCUUGUUCAUUGUUUAUAUGUGAUAUGGUAGGAAAGGGCAUCAAGUCUUCGACCCUAGAGGACUUCUUUGCCUUCAUAUUAUAGUGAUGAUUUGAUUGGGAAUAACUUGUUACUCUACCCCAAUCAUUUAUUGUACAUUAAAGACAUAUAUAAUUGUGGAUUGAAAUAAUAAAGUAAUACAUGCUUUUUAUGUGAUCUAUUAUCAUGGUCAAUUUGUCAUAUUAAAUAAGAACAAAUCAGUUUUUAAACAUUUUAAAAACAAAGUAAAAUAAUUUAAAUAUCCUUAAAAGUAAAAUUUUUAAAACUAGGAUCCAUGGGUAUUUCAGUUUUUUAAUGUUUUGAUAGUACAAUGAAAUUACUAUAUUGUUCUUUUUUUUUUUUUGGUUAAUAGUCGAAAUUUUAUUAAGAAAAAGGCUACAAAGAUAAUAGCCUAACUUACAUCAGAUGAACAAGCAGAGGAUACUAUAUUGAUAUUUAGGGGUUUAUUUUUGUAUCUUCACCAUGGCUUUUUAGUUAUAAUCAAUGUAAAUUAAGGGUAAUUUAGUUAUAAAUAUAAUUUAAAAAAUAAAAAAUGGUUAAUGUGUAUGUUUGGGAAGCGUCCACAUUUUUUGAACAACACAUACAACAUCUCUCAGUAGGCAAACGCUACUUUUGUGACGACAAUGGAAGCAUCACAACAUCCUCUUUCCAGUGGGCAGGGAUGCGUGCAUAGUAGCGUAGUGAUUGGGCUACAAUACACUUUUUUCUUUACCUUUCUCUUUUCUCUCUCCUAGCCUCGAGUUUCAUGUCAUCUCUUUUAAAAAUUAAAUAUGUUAUGUUCAAUUUGUAUUUGUAUUCAUUUUGUUCUCAUUAUUUUAAUUAUUACUUGUUUUGUUUUUAAUGUUUUUUUAAAAUUGAUUUUUUUUUAAUUUCAUCUUUUGACAUUUUAUUUCAUUUAGUUUUUAUAUCCAAUUUGGUCCUCGUUCUUUUAGUUGCUAUUUUUUUUUUUAUCAUUUUUCUUGAUAAUUUUUUUUUAAUUUCAUCCUUUGUAAUUUUAUUUCAUUUGCUUUUUUAUGCAAUUUGCUACUCAUUCAUUUGAUUGCUAUUUGUUUUUUUUUCUUUAUUUAUUUUACUUUUUAAUUUAGUCCCUCAUUAUUUUAUUUCAUUUUAUUUUUAUAUAAAAUUUGGUUCUCAUUCUUUUAAUUGCUUUUGUUUUUUUGUUUUUUAAUCUUGAAUGAUUAUGAAUUUUGCUUCGUCAUUUUUUGGUGUUUGUCUUCUAUGGAAUAAUCUUAGUCUCAUGACCUACGUCACGGGUUUAAAUAUUAACCUGAUUUAACCUUGAUCUUUUUUAGGCUCUUUUUUAUAAAUUAAUUUUUUUUUUAAUUUCAUCGUUCAACAUUUAGUUAUUGGACCUUGAAAUUCAUGAUUUGUUUUGCUUUUCUUUCUGUGAGGUUAUUCCAAUCUUAUAUUUUAAAUCACGAGUUAAUCAAGUUAACCCGGAUUGACUUGAUAUAUAUAUAUAUAUAUAUAUCUCUUCCCCUAAAAGCAAAGCUAAAAAUUAAGCAUGAUUAGUGCUUCAAUGACGAAAGGGAACAAACUUUGUUUCGUUUCUGGGUUUAUGGACUGGAUUCAGUCAGCAUUACGACAUAAUCAAAAGGAAGGAGUGAAGCUUUGGUUACCGGAAUGGACUAAAUACAGUUAUUUUACUUGACGAUAUCUAGGCAAUCGUAUUAGUCCUAUCAACAAUGUUGGCCUAAACCCAAAAAAUUGUAACUAAAAUUUAUUCUUCCCUAUACCUGAUGACCUUUGUGCUUUAAUAACAAAUUUUUGAGACUUUAACUGAUGACAGAAUAAACUAUGAACAAUCAGUGCUAUCAAUGGUAAUAUUGAAUUACAUAUACAUAAGAAAAUAAAAUUACAAAUGCAUUACCCCACAAAGUUUAAGUCUUUAAUAACAAAGUUAUCUACACAUACAAUGCAAUGAGAACUUGAAAAUAAACCCUAUAAGCCUUCAAAGUUCAGACCAUUGAAAUUAGAAAUAAAAAAAAAUUCUCCAUGUGAACUGAGCAUAUGAAAAUAAUAAGAGAAGGGUAAGAAGAAGAAGAGGGAACCUGCAAAGGGGUCGUAGAAACCAAUAACUUGAAGGUGUUUGCCAUCUCUUGGAGUACGGCUAUCAGUAGCAACAAUUCUGUAAAAUGCCCUGUUUUUGCAUCUUAGCCUAGCUAAACGAAUCUUGGGCUGAUCUCCUUCAAGUGAGAAAUGGGAGAGUGAAUUGCAGGGGAGGGAGGGACAGUGUUUGUGGAUACGGGUUUUUAUAUGGAUAGAGGAUUGGAUGGUUUGCGGAUAUGGGCUUUUGUACUUCUUUCUUGUCAAAACUAUGCCGUUCUAACCACAUUGUGCCUAAUUGAUCCCUCUGUUUUUUUUAUAUAAAAAAAAUUGACGCUUUUGCAAUUGUUCGUUUUCGUUCCCAAAGGUUUUUCAUUUCAAUUUCAUCUUCCUAUUAUGUUUGCAUGGUUUAAAACCUAAUAAUUGCUUUCAAUUUGUUUGACACAUUGUUUUCGUAAUGUCAAAAUAAGUCUCUGCUUGGGAUUGAAUACUAUUUUUAAAAAAUUAAAUUUUACAAUUUAUUAUCAUUUGUUUUUUAUAAAUCAUUAUGAUCUUUAACAAAUAUCCUGAUAAGCCAAUCUACCAACUUUGAAUGUGAUAUGGAUACGAUUGAGAUUUUAUUCUUUGGCUAUAAUAAGCUAAAGUGGGAUUGUGACAUUUCUGUAUGAUGUAUCUUUGUUGGUGUGUAUAUAUAUACCAACAUAAUUGGUUCUGUUUACUGCUUUAGGCAACAUAAUUGGCAUGCAGCCAUGUAAUUAUAAUUAUUUCUUUUCCUUCCAGUUCAUUACACACAAUCUAUUUAACAGAUGCCUUUUCCUUUUUCCUUAUAUAUAUAUAUAUAUAUAUAUAUAUAUAUAUAUGCUGUUUGUCUUUUUGGUAUAAAUAAUGUUUUUAUAAUUUUUUUUUAAUAUUUGUAUUUACUAAUAUCAAAAAUAAUUUUUAAAAAAUAAGAAAUAUUAUAUUAUUUUUUUUAAUAAAAAAAAUAAGAACUACCUACUACACUUACAGAAGAAACAUUCCAUGUAUUGAGUCUUUGCGCGUGAAGAUGACUUUUUUUGCCAUCCCAAUAAUUAGCGUUAUUUGUAUUAUAACUUUUUUAAUAUUUCAAAUGGAUUAGCUAUUCCCUUGGCUUGGCGUAUUAGCACCUUUAGGAUCUUUUGUUAUUUUCUCUUCAACUUUUUUAUUAUAUAUUUUCUUUACACAGCAAACACUUCUGUCCCACGUCAUUCUUUAAGUACAGUAACUAGUAUAUCGACAUGCGAUUCACAGCAGGGUUAAUAUUAAUCUUUUUAAAAUUAAAAUAGCAAUCAUGUCAGCCUCAGCAUUUUGCAUCUAGAAUAGUAAAAAGUCUAGAAUAAUAUAUAUAUAAUGUGAAGAAGAAGAAGAAGAAGAAGAAGAAGUCUUGAAGGAGAGAGGAAGGGACGGUGGAUGAGGCCAAUCCUCUUCUUGAUGCUCGGGCAAUAAUAGCCAUGUUGAUGGGGACGACGACGACUUGACCUUAUAUCUUCCCGGCGAGUGCUUGGGCAGCGUGUUCGGGAAUCUGAGCUGCCUUGACAUUACAUGUUUUCAGGAAAUUAUGUUUUUUUGUCUUAACGGUGGCUUUCGAUAAUGUUCAUAUUGAUAGGAGAUAAAUCAAUUUUUAAACGUUUUGAAGCACUUAGGAAUGAUUUAAAUAUUUUUAAAAGUAAAAUUUUUAAAACCAAGGAUUCCUGAGUGUUUCUAUUUUUUAAUAUUUUGAUAGUAUAGUAAAAUGAUUAUCUUACUUUUAAAAAUAUAAAAAUUUAACAAUUUCAAAUUCAAGUAUUUUCUCGGGAUAUUAUAAAAAAAAUUUAUUUUAAUAUAUUUUUAAUUAAAAAAUAAUUAUAAUAUUUUUACCUUCAUAUUAUAUUAUAAUGGUUAUGAUAAUUUGAUUGAGAAGAACUUAUAAGAAAACUGGUUAAUGAUUGUUUUUUAAAAUGUUUUUUUCUUAUAAAUACAUUAUAUUAAAAUAAUAUAUUUUUAUUUUUAAAAUUUUAUUUUUUAUUUCAACACAUCAAAAUAAUAUAAAAAUAAAAAUAAUAAUAAUUUAAAAUAAAAAAAUAAAAAAACUCAAAUUCAAAUAUUUUCUUAGUACAUUACAGAGGGUUCAAUUAUUGACAUCCUAGAAAUUUUAUUAACCACAAAAGGCUUCAUCUCUUCUUAUUAUUAUUAUUAUUUUGUAAUUUGGUAGGGAAAGGCAUCAAGUCUUCCAUCCUAGUGUUGCGUGUAAAGAAAUAAUAAUAAUAAUAAAAGUGUUUGCGCGUAAACUUUGUUGAAUUUCACAUUAUAAUAUAAUGGUUAUUAUGAUUUCAUUGGGAAGAACUUGUUACUCUGCCCUAAUUAUAGGAUUUAAAAAAAAAUGAUACUAUUAAAGAAAUAAUAUGGUUUAAUUUAUUUUUUUUUAGAAAAAACAACAUAUUUUUUAAAAACCUGCUAUUUUAAAUCAUGAUUUUAAUAUAACUGUGAUUUUGCAAAAUCACAAUCUAUCCAAAUAAUUUGGCAGAUGCUUUUAUAUAUAUAUAUAUAUAUUGAAGAAGCUGAGUUGCCUUGACAUUGAGUAUUUCCUGGAAAGUACGCAUUUCUUGUCUUAACGGUGGCUUUCGAUAAUGGUCAUAGCACUUUCGGUUUGUUUUUGACCGAAAGAGGAAAGAAAUUUUUGACCGAAAAAUGAACACAGUUUACAAUAACUGGUGAUUUUUGGGCUUGUUUUUUACCCUCACCAUCAGGGGCGGAGCUAGGAUUAUUUGAUAGGGGGGACCAAAAUAAUAUAAAAAUAUAUAAUUUUUUUAAUUUAUUAUACAUGAAUUAUAUAAAAAAAAAACUACAUGAUUUAGUUUUAUUCAAAAAAGUAACUACAAAUAUAUAACAAUCUUUGUAUAAGAUAAGAAGUUUAAAACAAUACCAAAUUGAGUCAAAGCUAUGAAGUUAAUUUCAUCUUCAUAAUGUAUUCAUCACUUUAAUUUUGUUGGUCUUUGUACCUAUCAAAUAUAAACAUACAAAAUAUAUAAGAAACAUUAGCUAAAGCGAUACAUUAUUUAUGUUUGAUAAAACUUUAAAAUAAAGUAAAAAAUAAUAAAGAAUGAUUCUUACAUAUUUAUUUUAAUUGUGCUCGUCGUUCUUUCAUAGAGUAGAAAUCAUCAAUUAUCAUAUCACUUGUGAAUCUUUCAGCAAUUUUUUUUCUAUAUAGACAAUCAAAUAAUUUGCAAGAAAAUCAUCCUCCAUCCGAUUGCGAAGUCUUGUUUUAACAAUCUUCAUCGCUGAAAAAGCUCGUUCAGUAGUUGCUGUCGAAACAGGAAGAGUCAAAAUAAGCCGAAUCAACCUGUCAACGAGUGGAUAAAUUGUUGAUUUUUCUGUUUCAACCAAUCCUUGACAUAAUUCAGCAAUCGAUGACAUAUUCUUUAACUUUGGAUGAUUGGGUACAUCAAGCUCAUAAUGCUGCAACUGAAAUCUCAAAUGAGUUUUUUCUUGGUCAGAAAAGUCUUCAGGAUAGAACUUGUCAACAAGUAAGCAUAUAUCUUCAACACUGAAUAAUUUAUAAAUUAUUUUUAGGAUCUAAAGCUGUGCUCAACUUAAGAAGCUCGAUCGCCUGCUCAUUGAAUCUAUUAUUUAGCUCUUGCAACUGUUGAUCAACAAUAGCUGUAAAUAUAUCAACUCGAUAGUGAUGCUCAAUUGUUAUUGAUUCUGUUUUACGGCGAGAUCGUCCCACACUAGAAAAACAAGCAUCCAUAUCAGGGACUUCAAUGUCUUGAUGCUUACAAAAUGAUGUCACUUCUUCUAAAAGAGUUUCCCAACCAUCAUCUCUUAACUUCUGAAUUAAAGUCUUUGUGGUAGUCACCAAAUGCAUAGCAUUUAAAAUGUCUUGAGAUUUCUGUUGCAAAGCUUGGCAAAGCACAUCAGUAAUUCCCAUAACAUUUUUCAUUAUAUGCAAGAUGAAUGCAAAAUCAAAUGACAUUAGCAACUUAAAUGAAAAGGCCGCAUCACCACGUUGAGAAUAAGUAGAUCCAUCUAAAGAGAUGUUUUCAAGAACCAAGCAAGUUGCCCCAUACAUUUUUAUCAAACUGCAAAUUGAUUUGAAGUGCGAACUCCAUCUGCUAUCUCCAGGUCGUUGCAAACCACCUACUUGAUUAACUCCUUUACCCAUUUCAAUCUCACCAAUAUCAACUAAAUGUUCAAUUGUAGCUGCUUGAAAAGCCCGUAAUUCAUCAUUACGCUUGCAAGAAGCACUAACAAUGUUAAUAAGAAAAAUCAAGUUCUGAAAGAAAGUGUGAACAUCGGAUAUUUCUCUAGCUGCAGCAAUAAGAGCCAAUUGUAAUUGAUGAGCUAAGCAAUGUACAUAAUAUGCAUAAGGGCAAUCAUUAAUGAAUAAAACUUGCAAUCCAUUCCACUCUCCACGCAUAUUACUAGCACCAUCAUACCCUUGGCCCCUAAUAUUUUGAACAUCAAGAUUGUGAUGAGAUAAAAUAAAGGAAAUCUCUUUCUUAAGAGUUGAAGUAGUUGUAUCUUUGACAUGAACUAUAUCCAAAAAUCGUUCUCGUAUAAAUCCACUUCUAUCAACAAACCUUAUAACAAGGGCCAUUUGCUCUCUUCUGGAUUCAUCUCGAGCUUCAUCAACAAUUAAACAAAAUCUUGCAUCACCAAUCUCAUGACGAAUUGAAGACUGAACAUUUCUAGCAAAGACAUGCAAAAUUUCUUUUUGAAUUUGAUGCGAGGUGUAUUUAGCAUUUUGUGGAGCAUUAUCCAAAACAAGAGCACCUACUUGUUCAUUGUAUGAUGCUAAAAGUUCCAACAUUUCAAGAAAAUUACCUCGGUUUUUUAUUCUGGACGUUCAUCAUGUCCUCUAAAAGCACAUGCUUGAAAUGUGAGCCAACGAACAAUAUCUAUUGAAGCUUUAAUACGCAAUCGAUUAUUUAGAAUUUCUUGAGUAGUUUGCCUCUUAACUACCUUCUCAAUAUGACAUGACUGAUUUUUCAAAUUUUCCAAGCACCUGGUAGCAAAUCUAUGAGCUGAAUUCGGACUUUUUCCCAUAUGAGUUAAAAAAGCACAUCGUUCCCCAUCAUUAACUUUCUUCCAACAAUUGAAUCCUUUAACAGUAAAUGUGUCUGAUCCUGGCUUUCCAGAUGACUUACUUGAAAAUAGAUAGCAAGGGAAACAAAAUGCAGUAUUUUUCUCUGAAUAUUCAAGCCAUGGAUAACUUUUGAACCAAUGAGAUUGAAAUCGACGAGGAUGUUUCUUACCAGUUAGCGGAUAUUCAGACAUCAAAGGUUGAUAUGGCCCCAAAUUAAUGUAUGCCCUUCUAAUUUCAUCUUGUUGAUUAACCGGGUAUUCCCAAAUUUGAGGACGAUUGCUUGGAUCUCUAAUCAGAUGAGAAGUGUCAAUUCUAGUUGGAGGCUGCUCAUUAAUCAAUGCAGGUUCUUCAUAAACUGAAGCACAUUGGGGUUGUUCAACCAUAACUUCAACAUUACACAUUGGAGUUGAUUCACUAGGCUGUGAGUUAUCAAUAUUUUUCCUUUUUCUCAAAAAAAGAAUCAAUUCUUCUUAUUUUGUUCAUGGUUCAACCUACAAUCAAAACAUCAUAAAUUUUUAUUGUUUCCUAUUUAAAAAAUAAAUACAAAUAACGAUGUGUUGAAGCAAUAAUCAGAACCAAAAAUAAAUUUUUACAUGUAAACAACACUGACAUAUAAAAGUAAAAUUAACAUAUUAAAAAAAGAAAUUGAUAUAUAAAAGCAUAUCUAACAUUAAAAAAUGGGAUUACUGGUUCCUAAAUAAGAAAACUUACACUGAAUCAAAGUUGGGUAGACGCUCUUCAAAGAACUCAAUUUGGCUAAAGAUCGUGUCUAAUUGUAUAUUGGACCUGGUGAUAAUAAGGUACAUGUAAGAAAAAAUUGAUAAUUUUGGUGGCUCUGUUAAAAACAAAAUAUAAAAAAAUCCAAGCAUAAUCGAAACAAACAAACCCAUGAAAUAUAUCCAAUUAAUUAGAAAAAACAAUAUUCACUAUAACAAGAAAUAAAAAACGGUAAAACUAGUAGAUUUGAAAAAAAAAAUAGCAGAAUUAUAUAUAUAUAUAUAUAUAUAUAUAUUCUUAACAAACAUAAAAAAAAAAAAAAAAUUUACCUUGAUGAAGAAUUAAUUGGCAGCAGCUUUGCUUUAACUUUUGUGCUUUAUAUUAUUAGGUUAGGGAUGCAGUCUAUUAGAGUAUUAGGGAUGCAGUCUUGCAACAGAGAAGAAAAAGGAAGACACGGUAAAGGAAAACAAUAAAAUUAAAAAGCUGAGUUGGCCUUUUAUAUAGAGAUACGGAGAUACAAUAUUAAUAUCAAAUAUAACUAAUAAAAUAAUAAUUUAAUAUUAAAAGUUUAUUAUUUAUUAUAUUAAAAAAAAAAAAAAAUUUUGCAGGGGCCUGGCCUCCCCUUAGUUCCGCCACUGGAGCCUAUAAGUAAUAAGCUGAUGUAGUUAAAGGGGAAUAACUCCUCAUUCGGCGAAGCAAGAAUCCAGCUAGAAGCUAUUCAUUCCUUGUGCUGUCAGUUAUCAGUCUUGCAAAUCACAAAUGUUUCAUGCCAAGUAGAGCCUUCUUAUCAAUUUAGUGCUCCAAACACAUGUCCUGGGAAACGUUACAGCUCUUUCAUAGUUAGGUAGCGAGAAAAAUCCAUAACUUAGAGGUUGAGUUUUUGUACAAGAAAUAUACUAGAUGUGACUGUACAUCUGUAGUAUUUCUUUCUUUCUUUUUUCAGACUCGGCAGAAACUAAUAAACACUUCCUGUUGCUGUUUUCGUCGGUGUCCGUCAAAUUUUUUCAAAGGAUAUCAUGUUCAGGGGAUGAAGAAGAACCUCGUCCUCAUUCCUUCUCUGCAAUUACCACGAAGACAUCUUUCAGUGACCACCUACGUCUCUCACUUUUGGCAGGCGGAUUGAUAACAGCCCUUUCAGCAUUAGCUGCUCGGUAACCAAUGACUAUCUAUUGAAAGAAGGACAACAAAUUCCCACUCCAACACGGAUUGUAAAUCCCCCUGCAAUUCAGAUUGUAGAAUCUGACCUUAACACAACUUCCAGAGUUUUUAGUUUAACUCCAAAACAAGUUGCAGAGCUUCCCUCCUACUGCAAUGUUACGUUGCCCUGCAUACAAUUGUUAGGAUAAUAGUUAAUAGAGAUAGACUUUGAUUUGAUCGUAAACAUUACUUCCUCUGCUAGAGGAAUUAGUUGAAUAAAAGAAAGUUGGUUCGUUAGUCAGUUGCAACUUGCAAGGGAAGAACAAUAUUUACAGCUAUCUUGAAAACCAAGUAAUAAUUGAAGAACAAUUUGCAGUAACUACAUAACUCUUUUCUCCCUUUCAUUUUCUUUUCUUUCUCCCUCAAUUUAUUUUCUUCUGAACCGUUGUUUGUUAACGGGUAAAUAUCUGUACCCGUCCGUGUCCGCCGAUGGAUUUUCAUCAAAGUGCAGAUACACCCCACAGCUUUUCAACCCGACAGGCCUUCGGAUCUCAUGACGUACCUUCCUCGCCAUGUUGUUCCCUUCACGGUGGUGGAAUUUAAAUGUAACUUCAUUGCCAGAAUAUUUACGCAAUUGAUUUACGAAUAUGAGCUCGUAGCUUAGAAUCAUGUGAUCUGAGACACAUGUCUCCAAUAAAUAUAAUAGAGCAUGUCUUUCCUGGGAAACGAAGACGACUUCAUCAUCACCAUCAUUCUCACCGUUUUUACUCUUAACAUGGCAAUCAAAAUAUACAUCAUAAAAACCACAGGAGGGAAGAGGGAGUAGAAAGACAAGGCAGAAAGCAAUUCCCUUGAGCUGAUGACAAUUUGAGGGUAACUGUAUGGUGAGUGAAGAUCCAAUUCCUUUGUCACCGAACCAUUCUGGAAUUUCACUCCCCGGUAGAACCAUUUGAAUUCUGCCAAGUGGGAUCUCCUCUCCGGACUGUAACACAAAAGUCACAUUUCAAAAAUGUGAUGAAGCAAGCAAGAGAGAGAGAAGAAAGAAAGAGAAGGGGGUUUAGAGAGAUACCUGAAUUUUCAAAUGCAUUGCUGCUACCAAUGGUUUCUGAUCCAAUUUGAAGCAAUUUGUAAAAUCCAAUCCAUCCCAUAAUCUACCGAAAUUUAUGAUUGAUAUCGCGGUUUCAAGUGAUGCACAGUCUUGUGCAUGUAGAUACCUCAGCGAAGGGGGGAGCUCAGGUAACGCUUUAACGCAUGUCAUGGGAGGGAAGAAGGAGUAGAUAGACAAGGCAGAAAGCAAUUCCCUUGAGCUGAUGACAAUUUGAGGGUAACUGUAUGGUGAGUGAAGAUCCAAUUCUUUUGUCACCGAACCAUUCUGGAAUUUCACUCCCCGGUAGAACCAUUCGAAUUGUUUCAUCAAAUCCCUUGAUCUCCUCUCCGGACUGUAACACAAAAGUCACAUUUCAAAAAUGUGAUGAAGCAAGCAAGAGAGAGAAGAAAGAAAGAGAAGGGGGUUUAGAGAGAUACCUGAAUUUUCAAAUGCAUUGCUGCUACCAAUGGUUUCUGAUCCAAUUUGAAGCAAUUUGUAAAAUCCGUUCGAAACCAUGAACUGGCGAUAUUGAUGAUUGAUGUCACGGUUUCAAGUGAUGCACAUUCAUGUGUUGUUAGAGUCUCCAGCGAAAGGGGAAGCUCAGGUAAUGCUUUAGUAGACGUUCCAUGCAAAUACGGAACUCGAAAACAUACCAUAUCUUUGAUUGACAGUAGAUGUUCCAUAGGCACUGUGAUUUCUGGGAAGCUUUCAAGUUUUGAGCAAUCACUCAUAUCCAAUUUGCAGAGUAUUGUGAGAAACUGGAUUGAUGAGACGUUCCACUUAGUUAAAGGGGAAUAACUCCUCAUUCGGCGAAGCAAGAAUCCAGCUAGAAGCUAUUCAUUCCUUGUGCUGUCAGUUAUCAGUCUUGCAAAUCACAAAUGUUUCAUGCAAAGUAGAGCCUUCUUAUCAAUUUAGUGGUUUCUGAUACCUGAAUUUAGAGAGAUACCUGAAUUUUCAAAUGCAUUGCUGCUACCAGUGGUUUCUGAUCCAAUUUGAAGCAAUUUGUAAAAUCCAAUCCUUCCCAUAAUCUACCGAAAUUUAUGAUUGAUAUCGCGGUUUCAAGUGAUGCACAGUCUUGUGCAUGUAGAUACCUCAGCGAAGGGGGGAGCUCAGGUAACGCUUUAACGCAUGUCAUGGGAGGGAAGAAGGAGUAGAUAGACAAGGCAGAAAGCAAUUCCCUUGAGCUGAUGACAAUUUGAGGGUAACUGUAUGGUGAGUGAAGAUCCAAUUCUUUUGUCACCGAACCAUUCUGGAAUUUCACUCCCCGGUAGAACCAUUCGAAUUGUUUCAUCAAAUCCCUUGAUCUCCUCUCCGGACUGUAACACAAAAGUCACAUUUCAAAAAUGUGAUGAAGCAAGCAAGAGAGAGAAGAAAGAAAGAGAAGGGGGUUUAGAGAGAUACCUGAAUUUUCAAAUGCAUUGCUGCUACCAGUGGUUUCUGAUCCAAUUUGAAGCAAUUUGUAAAAUCCGUUCGAAACCAUAAACUGGCGAUAUUGAUGAUUGAUGUCACGGUUUCAAGUGAUGCACAUUCAUGUGUUGUUAGAGUCUCCAGCGAAAGGGGAAGCUCAGGUAAUGCUCUAGUAGACGUUCCAUGCAAAUACGGAACUCGAAAACAUACCAUAUCUUUGAUUGACAGCAGAUGUUCCAUAGGCACUGUGAUUUCUGGGAAGCUCUCAAGUUUUGAGCAACCACUCAUAUCCAAUUUGCAGAGUAUUGUGAGAAACUGGAUUGAUGAGACGUUCCACUUAGAUAAAGACGUUUCAACUUGAGAUUAACUGAUUGUGGAACUUCUUUGUUGGAAGUUUGCUCCAAAUGUAAGCGUGUCAUAUUUUGUGAAAUCGUUGGACACGUGGUCACAUUUAGGCAUAGCAAGUUCUUCCAGCUUGUCAAGAUAUUGAAGAGAUGACGGAACCUGGUUAAACUUGGGCAGUCCUUUAGUAUUUAGGGCUGGAAAGUGUAAUUAUGGUUAUUUUUUAAAGUAUUUUUUAUUUAAAAAUAUAUCAAAAUAUUUGAAAAUACUAAAAAAAAUUUAAUUUAAAAAAAAUAAAAAUUUUUUAAUUUUUUUCAAAAAUAAUUUUAAAACGUAAAAACAAACAAAACCUAAAAUUAAAGCACUCUAAAUUUUUGGCCAUUGAUAGAUCUGGUAUUUCCAUCAAAUAUGAAGAGUCAGAUAGGUUAAUUUUUCUUAAAUUUCCAACAUCCUGUCAACAACAAAAGGCAUAAUUAGAAAGUUAGCACCUCCAACUUCAUAUUUCUGAUCAUAAAUCUGCAGCAAUUAAAUCAUACCUUUACUCCUGUCCAAAGUUUUUCAAGCUUGCUUCCGCGUAGGUGAAGCUCGACAAGGUGUUCAGCACGAAAAGAUGGCGGCAAGGAUUUCGAAGGGAAUCCAUCCCAUCGCAAAUAUCUCAGCUCAUUAGGAAGAUACUCGAGGCCAGUAGGAGGAAGCUGCAUUUUAUCUUCUUGGGAGUAACGACGGCCAUAAAAAUUGAGAAAUCGAAGACCAUCCAUCAUUGCGAAGGCAUCAGAUUUCAAGAGUAUGUGUCUCGGUAACACGGCCAUGUCCAGAGAGAUGCCUUUAAUUUUUUGAGUUCCCUGUUAAAGAAAAAAGAAACAAUAAUACAAUCUACUCAAACACAUCAACUUUUGAGCAAAUACAUGAACGACAGUUAUUGGCUGUAGCUUUAACCUUAUUUUCCUCCAAUACUUGAACGACAUCAGGAGGAUGACAUAACCUGCUACGUUCGCCAGGAAAAUCAGAUUCUGCACGAACAAUGUUAAAUGCCAUUUCUUGUAGUAAAUCAUGCAUUUCUAUAUACAAGUAAUCAUCUACAGUAGUUAUGAGACACUUAUCAAUAAGCAUGUUUUUAUCGAAAAUCACAGACCGACCAUAAAGGCCAUCUAAUAUUCUUGUUGCUUUGUCCUGCGGCCAUCCUUUGAAGAAAUGUGCUAUGUCAAGAAAUAUGGAUUUUUGUUCUGAAUCCAACCCAUCGUAAUUCUCAACGCCCUUUCGAUUUGAGGGCCCUGAUCUAGUGUCUUCAAUGCACUGUGCCAUUCUUUGAUGCUUUUACCAUAGAGAAAGGAACCCAAAACUAUAAGAGCCAACGGAUUGCCUUGUACAUGACUUACAAUCUGUGCUAUCAAGUGUCUUUGAUCAAUUGUGGGGAUGCAAUUCUUCAAGGCUUUCGAGCAAAAGAGUUGAAUAGCUUCUUCAUCGUUCAACCCCUCAACCUCGUAUGUCUCAUCAACUACAUUCUUAAGCACUUGCUUGUUCCUACUUGUUAUGAGAACUUUACUGCCCGGGCCAAAUGAACUGUUUCGUCCAUCAAGCAAAUCUCUCCAUUCUUCAAAACGCAUUAAAUCAUCCACAUCAUCCAGAACAAUAAAAACCUUCAUUCGACGAAGUCUAUCCCUCACAAAAGAAUCUCGAAAACUCAAGGAGCCCAUAGUUUCCAGAGUUUCUUGGCCAAGCAGCCAUGAAAGAAAUCUUCUUCGCAAAUCAGAUUGUUGCCUAAAGUUUCCAAAAAAGAUUCUUUCAAAUCGAGAACGAACCUUGAUGCACACAGCUUCAGCAAUCGUUGUCUUACCGAUACCACCCUUUCCCCAUAUCCCUACAAUGAGAACAUCUGGAGACUCCAUAUCCAACAAAGACUCAACUUUGUUAACACGAACAUCAAUUCCAAAUAGACCCGUAGUGUGACAUGGCAUGAAAGAAGACAUGGCAUGCAAUUUUUUCAAAACAUCUCCAAUAAUUUUCUCAAUAAAUUCAGACUCCAACCUGACAAACAAGAAGAAACAUAUAAACAUACUCACUCCUUAGUAGCAGGCACGUAUGAGUAAUUGAGCAUCAUUAUUGGCAAUGAAAUGCAAUAAUACAUAUGAAGAAAUCAUUGACUAUCCUUCUAAAAUUUAAAGUAAGGAUUCCCAAGUAUCUACUUUUUAAUCAUCUCCUAAAACUCAGGUAUUCAAAAAAUAGUAAUGAUUAUAUUUUAAAAAAUAUUAUUUUUGAUAUAAAUAUAUUAAAAUAAUGUAAAAACACUAAAAACAAUAGUUUAAAAUAAAGAGAAUUAUUUAAAAAUAUAUAUAUUUUUUGAAACACAAAAACAAAAUGAACGAAUAUAUAUAAACACAUUAAAAUAAUCUAAAAAUACUAAAAAUUAAAAAAAAACAUAAUUUUUUUAAAAAACAAUUUAAAACACAAAAACAAAAACAAACAACCAUUUAAUAUUUAUACAAACAUUUCGCUACAAAUAAUACUUUUUUUAUUUUUUAAAUAGUUUUAAUUUAAACACAUUAAAAUAAUCUAAAAACAUUAAAAAAAAAUUACAAAAAAAAAAUAUUUUAAUACACCGAAUAACCAACCACAUAAUAUCUAUAGAAGUGUUUCGCUAGAACGUUUUCAAAAUCAAAUAAAAUAAAUAUGGAUUCACAGAGCUCAUCAUUCUCAAUAAUUUUAAAUUAAAUUUCAAAUCCUCAACAAAUGAACGAAUAUUUUCUCAUGGGAUAUAUUUCAAGAGCUUACUCAGAAUUCCCUAAGCUCCAUCCAGAUAGACUGGCUGCAUCCGUCAAAGCGUCUCUGAAGCUCUGCACUUCUUCCAACGUCAGAGCUUUCUUCUUUAUAAGUCUAGCAAAUGCAUCCCCAAAGCUUCCUGCUUGAUUUCUUACAUGGGAUGGAUCCACCUGGUAGAAUACCGGAAUAACUAUCUGUCCAUUGUUUUUUCUACACUCAAAAAUCUUUGCAAGCUCCUCCAAGCACCAUUUGGAAGAUGCAUAGUUUUCAGAAAAAACAAUCACAGAAAGCUUGGCCUCUUCAAUUGUUCUCAGAAGUGAUUCCGAAAUCUCAUCUCCUCUCACAUGCUGAUAAUCUACGAAAGUUAGGAUUUGUUUCCGGUUCAAAGCAGCAUGGAGGUUGCUGGUAAAACCAACACGAGUUUCUUCUCCUCUGAAACUAAGGAAGACAUCAUAUUUAAUUCCUUGUGGCUGGGCGGUGGUUAAGGUGGAAGGAGUAGAUGGUGAUGGAGACAUCAUAUUGUUUUGUGGAGAAACAGUCGAAGAAACAAGAGUAGAUGGCGAUGGAGAAACAUGGCGGCUUCGUAUGAUCAAUCUCCAGAUAUAAACAAACAAAAAGAUAUUGAGAAACAAUAAAAAUACCACCAUUGUUUUGUGGAGAAACAAGAGUAGGACUCUGGUGGUAAGGUAGGUCUGGAGGGAGAGAGCGGAAGUAACUCAAGGAAAAAAGAUGAGGCUGAUUUUGAAUCAGUAGCUUAGGCUUUACGUGUUUAAGACCCUGCCUUAGGCAUAUGUAUCAUUUAUAGGCAUCAAAUCCAAGAAUUUUCUUAGAACAUUACAAGAUUGCACAUUGUUGAUUUCCUAGAAAUUCCCCAGUUACAAAGUGAUGUGAUAGGAAAAGGCAUUUAUACUUUGUUUUGUUUUUAUGGUAUUCACAGUAUUUUUAUAAAUUUUGAUUUUUUUUAAUUAAUUUUUUUAGUUUUUAUUUUAUUUUAAUUUACUGAUAUAAAAAUAAUUUUUAAAAAUCAAAAGCAUAUAUAUUCUUGUUCAUCAUAUCACAGCUGUGAUAGAUGCCUUUUUUAAUAUUUCAAAUGUAUUAGCUAUUCACUUCGCGGAGUAGCAGAUCUUUUGUUAUUUUUUCUUCAACUUUUUUAUUUUAUAUUUUCUUUAAACAGUAAACACUUCUGUCCCACAUCAUUCUUUAAGGACAUUAACUAGUAUAUCGGCAUACAAUUCACAACAGGGUUAAUAUUAAUUUUUUAAAAAUUAGAAAAUAUUACAAGUGUUUAGCAAUAUCUAAAUGUUCCUGGAAAUUAUUUCUUGUAUUUGUUUUCUAAGGAACGGUUGCUUUGAUAUAUUUUUUUCAAAAUAAAAAUAACAUUUUGAUGUAUUUUUUCAAAAAUAUAUUUUAAAAAACAACUGUUACUGCACUCCUAAACACCCUCCUAAAAAAAAGUAUGUGAAAAAAAAACAUUAUAGCAAUUCACAAUAAUUUACGAAGAAAAUUAUAGUGCUUCCCCACAUGAUUUAGCCAUAUUUAUAAUUACUUGUAAUUGUAAUUAUCAAACAACUUAAUAUUAAAAAAAUAAAAUUGACAAAGAUAAUAUUAAAAAAAUUAUAAGAAAGAAAAACCAUGUGGAGAGACAUUGUAACAAUCCACGAUAUUUUGUGAGGAAAGAUACAGUGAUUUCCCACAUGAUUAAGGUUUAUUACAAAGUUAAAUUAUAACCAACUUAAUAUGAAGAAAAAAAAAUUAACGAAGAUAAUUUUGGAAAAAAAAUAUUACAAAAAAAAAAAGAAAACACAAAAGAAAUUGGAAAAAAAAAUAUGAGGAAAAACUGUAUCAAUCUAUAGUGUUUUGUGAGGAAAAACUUGUAUUUACUUGUAAUUGCAAGUCUUAACCAGCUUAAUAUUUAAAAAAUAAAAUUAACAAAGAUAAUUUUAGGGAAAAAAUAACAAAACGGAAAAAAACUAUAUGAAAUAAAACAUUGUAGCAAUCCAUAGUAAUUUGCGAAGAAAGUUAUAGUGUUUUCCUCCCAUAUUGUAACUGUAAUUUUUAACCAGCUCAAUAUUAAAAAAUAAAAUAAAAUAAAAAAAGAUAAUUUCAGAGAAAAUAAAAAAAAACAUAUGGAGAAACACUAGCAAUUAAUAAUGUUUUAAAGAAAAAAAUUACAAAACUAAAUUUUUAAUCAGCUUAAUAUUAAAAAAAUAAAAAUAUAUAAUUUUAAAAAACAAAAUAAAAAACUAUGUAAAAAAACACCACAUCAAUUCAAAAUAUUUUAAAAAAUGAAAUUUAAAGUGAAAUUUUUAAUCAGUUAAAUAUUAAAAAAAUAGAAUUAAUUCAAAAUUACACACAAUCUAUUCAAAUAAACCGGUAGAUGCCUUUUCCUUUUUCCUUUUAUAUAUAUUUAUUUAUUGUGAAGAAGAAGAAGAAAAAGAAGUCGUCUUGAAGGAGAGACGAAGGGACUGGGGAUCGAUGGGGCCAAUCCUCUGGGACGACGACUUGACCUUAAGUACUCUUCCUGGUGAGUGCUAGGGCAGCGUGUUCGGGAAGCUGAGUUUGGAAAUUACGUGUUUGUUUUUACAUGCUUCUUUCCAGCUCAUUACACACAAUCUAUCCAAAUAAAUCGGCAGAUGCCUUUUUCUUUUUCCUUUUAAAGGGAUCAUCGGCCGUCGGUGUUGUUGGAACAUAAACAAUCGAACAUUGGAAGAAAUAAAUAAUUUCCCCAUGCUUAAAUUAAGGCUACUAUUCUUUUGAACUCCGGCCAAACAUGACAGGGCUUUAGUAAAAUGCCUUUUUUCUUCUUCUUCCUCUGUCUUUUGCAGAAAAGAUUGAGAAGUUUAUACACACACCUAUAUACACCUAUAUACGUAUAUAGGUGUGUGUGUAAAUAUAUAUAAGGAAAAAGGAAAAAGGUAUAUAUUGGUGUGUGUGUGUGUAUAAAAGGAAAAAGGAAAAGGCACAUGGCAACUUUAUUAUAAUUAAUGGAUCGAGUAAAAUGUACAAGUUUCUUCGUAUAAUUUUAUUUUUUUCAAAUAGAAUAUUAAUUCGGAACUAAAAACAAUUAAAAAUUUCCAAAAUAUCCAUUUUAAACUGGGAUGAACCCCAGAAAAUAUUCGACUUUUAUCCAUAGUUUUAAAACCCGACCUGGUGGUCGACCCGGUCUUAUGACCGGGUCACGGGUCAGAUGGGUUGACCCGGGCUGACCCGGGUCAACCCAAAAAAAUCUAAUAAAAACUUCAAUAAAUACAAUUCCCCUCUUAUCCCUCUUUCUCAUCAAUCCACUUUUCAACUUUCAAAUUGCUUUCCAGCUUUCAAUCCACUUUCCAGCUUUUCAAUCGCAAAUAAACGUUCUUUUUUAAUCACCAGCAAAUAGGCAUUCUCUUUAAAUUGAGAAUUGAGAACACAUGGGCAUCAGAACAGAAAACAACAACAAUCAUGCAUCAACGACAACGCUGAUAUUCACGCACAAAACUUUGAAGAGGGGCUUUUCAAAUCAUGUCUUGAUGCAGGAUCUGAUCAAAAUCGGGUAUGCUGUCUUCAAUGGAAUCUACAUGAACGAGCAGGGAUCACUAAAAAGAGGAUGUCGUGUUUGGGGUGGAGGUGUAUUACGGGCAGUCGGGCAUAGGAGCUAUGCGAUUGAAAUUGCUUUUUCUUGUUAUCUUUAUCUGCAAUUUUGCAUCCUUCAUCCUUUAUCUGCAUAGUUUUGACUUUAAAUGGCCAAAACGAACGACGUCGUUUCGGACUCUGUAUGUAUAAAAAAACAAAGAGGCCGGGUCUCAGUCGGGUUUGUCCGGGUCGCCGGGUUCCGGGGGUCGACCGGGUUUCACCGGGCCAAUUCCUCGGCGGGUUUUUACUUAGACCCGGACCGGUCCUAGGCCCGGGUCGGCCGGGUCCCGGGUCGACCCGCCGGGCCGGUCCGGGUUUCAAAACUAUGCUUUUAUCCCCCCCUGCUGUCUAAUGUAAAAGACGGGUGUUUUUUUUCACUUGUCACGCUCCCCUGCAUCACCGGCUCAUGGAGGUAAAAAUCUUACGUCACAGCGACAUCAUCUUGUCCCCUGCAUUUUGUCCUCAGCUGGAAGACACGUGCAAAAAAGAGAGAGGUGAUCUAAAGUCAUUGUUGCGGACAAGCAGCAACCAGGAAGCAAUCCACUUGCCCCGGUGUCGUUUCACAAACAGUCAGUCAAAUUCACAGUCAAGGCAGAUGAUAAGGCUUUUGUAAAAUUUUGAGGUGGAUGGCAAUGAUGAUGUCUCAGACUUCAGAAAAUACAACAUUAAAAGAAGCAAAAACCUUAUCAUGAAAUUCGUUUUCCGGCCCUGAAUAAUAAUCAACAGUCAUGGCAUUGUUGAUCAUCGAAAGCCACCGUUAAGAUAAGAAAUGCGUAAUUUCAAGGAAAUAGAUUGCAGUCAAUCCAAGAGGUGGCAAGAAAAAGAGACCCAUCCAGUCAAAUUUUGCUUCCUUCCAGCUCCUUCCUGAAUAAUAAUAUAUUUUUUAAUAUUUAUAUGUAUUAAUGUUAAAAAUAAUUUUAAAAAAAUAAAAAAUAUUAUAUUUUUUUUAAUAAGAAAAACAAGAACUCCCUAUUACACUUACAGAAGAAACAUUCCAUGUAUUCAAUCCAAGUGUUUGCGCGUGUCGAGGACUUUUUUUGCCUCUCAAUAAUUAGUGUUAUUUGUAUUAUAACUUUUUUAAUAUUUCAAAUGGAUGAGCUUUUCCCUUGACUUGGCGUAUUAGCAGCUUUAGGAUCUUUUGUUAUUUUCUCUUCCUUUUUUAUUAUAUAUUUUCUUCACACAGUAUAUCGGCCUGCGAUUCACAUAUUCAGUUAAUAUUAAUCUUUUUAAAAUUAAAAUAGCAGAAGAACUUAUUAGAAAAUCUGUUUAAUAUUGUGGUAAUUAUUUUUUAAAAAAUAUUUUUUAAAAAAAAAAUACAUUAUAUUAAAAUAAUAUAUUUUUAUUUUUAAAAUUUUAUUUUUGACAUUAACACAUCAAAAUAAUAUAAAAAUAAAAAAUAAUAAUUUAAAAUAAAAAAAAUAAAAAAACUCAAAUCCAAAUAUUUUCUUACUACAUUACAGAUGGUUCACAUUUUCCUAGAAAUUUUCAUUAACCACAAAAAGCUUCAUGUCUUGUUAUUAUUAUUAUUAUUUUGUAAUUUGGUAGGGAAGGGCUUCAAGCCUUCCAUCCAAGUGUUUGCGCGUAAACUUUGUUGAGUUUCACAUUAUAUUAUAAUGGUAAAAAAAAACAAUUAUAUAUGAGUGUCCUCUCCCCUGAAACUAAGGUAGACAUCAUAAUUAAUUCCCUGUGGCUGGGCGGUGGUUAUGGUGGAAGGAGUAGAUGGGGAUGGAGAAAUAUGACGGAUUCGUAUGAUGAAUCUCCAGAUAUAAGCAAACAAAAAGAUAGAGAGAAACAAGAAAAACAUCGCCAUUGUUUUGUGGAGAAACAGUCGAAGAAACAAGAGUAAUUAGACUCUGGUGGUAAGGUAGGUCUGGAGGGAGAGAACGGAAGGAACUCAAGGAAAAAAGAUGAGGCUGAUUUUGAAUGAGUAGCUUAGGCUUUACGUGUUUAAGAACCUGCCUUAGGCAUAUGUAUAAUUUAUAAUAAUCAAAUCCAAGAAUUUUCUUAGAACAUUACAAGAUUGCACAUUGUUGAUUUCCUAAAAAAGAUUAGGCAUGUGAUAGAAAAAGGCAUUUAUAUGUUGUUUUGUUUUUAUGGUAUUCCCAGUGUUUUCAUAAAUUCUGAAUUUAAAAAUAAUAAAUUUUUUUAGUUUUUUUAUUAUUUAAUUUACUGGUAUAAAAAUAAUUUUUAAAAAUUAUAAGCUUAUAUAAAUUCUUGUUUAUCAUAUCACAGCUGUGAUAGAUAACUUUUUAAAUAUUUCAAAUGUAUUAGGUCUUCACUUGGCGGAGUAGCAUAUCUUUUGUUAUUUUCUCUUCGACUUUUUUAUUAUAUAUUUUUUAAAAACACUAAACACUUAUGUAUCUUCGGUCCAAGUAUUUUCCUUCCAGAGAUUUUUUUUUUUGCCUUCAUAUUAUAUUAUAAUGGUUAUGAUGAUUUAAUUAAAAAGAACCUGAUAGAAAGUCUGUUUGAUAAUGUACUUGAUUGUUUUUAAAAUAUUAGAAUUACAUUAAAAUAUUAGAAAUACUUGGUUGUUUUGUAAAAAAUUUUUAAUUAGAAAUAUAUUAAAAUAAUAUUUUUUUAUUUUUUAAAAUUUAUUUUUGAUAUUAGAAAAUUAAAAUAAUAUAAUUAAAAUAUAAAAAAAUUAAUUUAAAAUAAACAAAAAAAAUUCAAAUUCAAGCAUUUUCUCAUAGCAUUACAAAAAGUGCACAAUGUUAGAGAACCUGUUUGGUAUAGUGAUAAUAGUUAUUUUUUAAAAUAAUUUUUAUUUAAAAAUAUAUUAAAAUAUUUUUUUAUUUUUUAAAAUUUAUUUUUGAUAUUAGUAUAUUAAAAUAAUAUAAUAAUAUAAAAAUUAAUUUAAAAUAAAAAAAAUCAAAUCCAUGUAUUUUCUCGAACGUUACAAAGGGUGCAAAUCUACUUGGAAAUGUGUAAAGGAUUAAUGUCUUUUCCUUUUUAGAUGUCUUUUCCUUUUUCCGCGUUCCCAAACAGUGUCCCGCAGAUGCCUUUUCCUUUUGCCUUUUUUUAUCGGCAGAUGCCUUUUCCUUUUUAGAUAUUCUUAAAACAAAGUUCUUAAAACUAACAUUUUCAUAACAGGAAAAAGGAAAAGGAAAAGGCAUCUGUGUGUGUAAUUUCAAGGAAAAAAGAAAAAGGAAACACGUAAUUUAAAGGAUUGGCCCAUACCCCGUCCCUUCCUCUCUCCUUCAAGACGACUUGUGUACAGUGAUAAAAGUUAAAGGAAAAAGGAAAAGGCAUUUGCUAGAUUUUUGAGCGUAGAAAAAAUAAUGGACAGAUAGUUAUUUUUUACCAGGUGGAUCCAUCCCAUGUAAGACAUAAAACAGGAAGCUUUGGAGAUGCAUUUGCUAGAUUGAUUAAGAAGAAAGCUCUGACGUUGGAAGAAGUGCAGAGCUUCAGAGACGCUUUGACGGAUGCAGCCAAUCUAUCUGGAUCGAGCUUAGGGAAGUCUGAGUAAGCUCUUGAAGAAUAGUAGCCGUAAUUUAAGCAUGGGGAAAUUAUUUAUUUCCUCCAAUGUUCAAUUGUUUAUGUUCCAAAAACACCGACGGCCGGUGAUCCCUUCAAAAGGAAAAAGGAAAAGGCAUCUGCCAAUUAGCUGGAAGGAAGCAUGUAAAAAGAAGAAUUUAUUAUAAUUACAUGGCUGCAUGCCAAUUAUGUUGCCAAAAGCAGUAAACAGAACCACGAUUGUGAUUUUCAAUCGCUUUUAUAUUAAAAUCGUAGUUUAAAAUAGCAGUUUUUUUAAAACUAUUUUUUUUUAUAAAAAAAAAUCAAACCAUAUUAUAUAUUUCUCUAACUGUAUCAAUUUGUUUUUUAAAAAAAUUCCUAUUAUUAGGGCAGAGUAACAACUAACAAGUUUUUCUCUAACUUUAUCAAUCAUUAAAAUAUAAUGUGAAGUCAACAAGGUAGUAGUACGUGCAAACACUUAAUUUUUUACUGGGUUAGAUCCGGUUCAAUAUAUUUAUUUUUAGAUUGGAUUUGGUUUGGUCGGAAUAGUAGAGACAUGUUCUACUGUUCAUCAUUUUGCUGCUUUCAGUAAUCCUGCGUUUUCAACGCAGAUACUGAUAGGGGCCAUAAAAAGUAAAUUGAGUUUUAUUAAAAAAUAAAAUUAAACCAUAUAUUUCUCUAAUUGUAUCAAUUUGUUUUUUAAAAAAAUUCCUAUUAUUAAGGCAAAGUAACAAAAAGAAAAAACAAAUAACAAGACAUUAAGCCUUUUUGUACACUGGAAAUACAUGGAUUUGAUUUUUUUUUAUUUUUAUAUCAUUUUAAUGUACUAAUAUCAAAAAUAAAUUUUAAAAUCAUUUUGAAAAACAAAUGUUACCACAAUACCAAAUAGGUUUUCUAACAACUUCUUCUUCGUCAAAUCAUCAUAAUCAUUAUAAUAUAAUGUAAAAGCAAAAAAGUCUUUGGCACAUGCAAACACUUGGACUAAAGAUAUAGAAGGUGUUUGCGAGUGUGGUAAUUGUAAGACCCAAACUUGUAGCCCAAACCCAAGCUCAAGUCAACUCAAACCCAACAUAAGUUAACCUAGGUAUAUAAGAAAAAGUUGCGAGAGAAUUAAUUUUCUCUCUUCUAAAUCUUGUGGCCAUCAUGACCCUCCUCUAAUCAAACUAAGGAUUUCAGUUUGUGAUCUUGAGUUUUGGGUUUAAAAAAAGUGGAAGUAGCAAGUGGUUUUCUCUCAUGUUACUUUCGAUUAUGGUUUGUUUAUGGAAAGAUUAAAAAAGAGAUUACGGUUUAUAAGGAUUUGAAGUUUGUUUUGUUAAGAUUAAUUCAUGAUUAUUAAUGGUUUAAUGUUAAGUGGUUGAUAUUGAGUAUGUUGUUAAAAAUAAAGUUUUAUGAGUUGAUUUGUUUAAAUUAAUUUUUUUAUGGGUUAAGAAAUCCAUUUCAACCUUGUUGGAAAAUCUAGACAGAAUGGUCUUAAGGUUGAAGAUUAAAAAACUUUAUUUUGGUACUUGAUUUAUAAAAAUUAUAAUUUAGUCCCUCAACUUUGAAAAAUUAUAAUUUGAUCCCUGAUAUGUCUUUUGAGAUUUUGGACAGUGUUAUUAUGAGGUUAAGGAUGAUGAAUCUCAGUUUGAUAAUUGAUUUGAAAUAUUUUUAGUUUGGUCCCUUAAUUUUGGAAAUUUACAUUUUAGUCCUUGAACUUUUAAAAAAUUAUAGUUUGGUCCCUGUGUCAUUCUGGACAAAAUUAAGGAUGGUUUAUGAGUGAAAUUUCAAUGUGGUUAUGUAUUUAUAGUUUGGUCUAGUUUUGGUAAAAUUACUUUUUAGUCCCUGUUUUGGAUAAUUGUCGCUUUAGUCCCUAAACCUAGAAGACUAAACCUGGUUUUCUUUUAUGCAUUGGAAUCUAUUAUUUGUGUUGUUUUGAGUUGCUUUUGAGUAUAUUUUCUAUAUUUGUUAUAGGCUCUCCUAAUGAUCCUCAAUAGAUUUUACAAGUCUUUCAUCUGAUAUUCCUUUUAAUCUAUAUUUUUCCGGGUAAGUGGAAUAAUCUUUAAUGCAUAUAAUAUAAAUAAAUAUGUAAGUUGAUUAUAUGAUGAGUACGACUAGUUAAUCUCUUGAAUACUUAUAUAUGUUGCUAUAUUUUUUGAGUACUCACUUAUUCUUGAAUUUGCACCCGCUUUUUGUCAAACUAAAUUCUAAUCAAUAUGAUAUAUAUUUCUUUGAUGAUUCUGUGAAUAUCUAUUAUGUCUUGAUAUAGAACUUGUCAAUAACUCCAUGCUAAUGGAGAGUAGUUAGCCUUCACUCAUCUUCAGGGACAUUGUAAGAAACAACUUGGUCGAUAAAUAGUCUGAUGGAGUGUGAGAAACCAAUAAUUAGAGAAACUUAAGGUUCAAUAAACCAAAUUUAGCAAUGACACAUGCAAAAUAGACAAAGGGGAUCCAUCUUAUUGGUCAAAUGCAAGCCAUUUUUAUGGAAUACAUUAAAGGAUCUGAGUACUUGCACAAUAUCAGAAAAGUGUGAAGUUCAUUUUGAACAUUAUCAGCUUAAAAAUCAACAUUUGUGUGUGUGAAAGAACCAUUGACCAAAGCACUAUAACAAAUAAGAGUAUACCUGACUGAGGCUAAUGAUGGCAAUAAAUUGUAAAUUAUAAGGUCUUCUCCCACUCUGAAAACCAAGUUCAUGAGAGAUGGAACAAUUUCUACAAUGUUGUUGUGCUUCUUUAUUAAUCAACCAAGCUGUACAUAUAGGUUUAAGAGAAACUAAUCAACACCUAAAUACAAGGAAGGAUAAGAUGAAGACUCAUAGUCUUAAAGAAGUUUGAACUGAAUGAUUUAAUCUUCAUUCUGAUAGUUCAAGCUUGGUUGGCAAGAAGAAUGUGAGGAAAGCAACGAAAAGGAAAAGAAAAAAAAAUAUAUAGAAAACAUGAAUUUAUAUCAUUGGUUCUAUAUGAUAAUAAAAAAGCUCAUAAAAUUAGUCACAACCCAAUACUAAGAUAUAUAUUUUAAUAGAGAAAAUGGCAGUGAAGAAGAAUAGCCCAGGAAAUGGCGGCGAAGAUUCGUUUAGCAAGACUGGGAUGCACAAACAUGGCAUUUUACAGAAUUGUUGCUACUAAUAGCCAUACUCCAAGAGAUGGCAAACACCUUCAAGUUGUUGGUUUCUACGACCCCUUAGCAGGUUCCCUCUUCUUCUCUUAUUAUUUUCAUAUACUCAGUUCACAUGAAGAUUUUUUUUUCUAAUUUUAAAGACCUGGACUUUGAAGGCUUAUUGGGUUUAUUUUCAGGUUCUCAUAUCAUCAAUGCAUGGUAUGUGUAGAUAGCUUUGUUGAUGGGGACACCGAACCAGAAACAUUGGUUACAUACGCGUAUGAUCAUAGACGAUGGAGGAUAGCCCAAACCAUUGAGAAAUUGGGCUUUAGCUUAUGUUUUUUGGUUUAAUUUAUAUGAACUUUUAGUUAAGAUUUAUUAAUUUGAUUUUAUUUGUUGGGUUUGAUUUCUUUAUUGUUAGGUAUUUUAUUUAGUGGGCCAUAAGCCCAAACGCUUGUUCUAGUUAGGGUUUGAUGUGAACCUCGUGAUCACGUGGUCACGCAACCCACAAUCAAGAUUGAGAUCUAAUCCCGGAAAAACGAAAUAGGUCUGAUAUGAGUGCGACAUAAUGGAAACCUGCCCCAAGGCACCAACACUAUUGGAAUGAGUAGAAUGACGUCACAAAGCCAGUUAAUCUUCGAUAAGUCAGAUUGAGUUCGUUCAAGAACUGAAGAGUGCAAGAAUCACUCUCACAUGUUAAAACUGAAAAAUUCAGAAUAAUAAUCAUCAAAGCUGCCGAAAUUUUGGCUUACAUGAGUUUAAAUAGUUCUUGAAAAGUUAACCCUAAUGGACCCCUUAUGUGGACUUAUAUGAGGUCCACUCAAAACUGGCCCAAAACCCUAAAAUGAAAAGCCCAUAACCAGAUCCAAACAAGCCUUGGGCUGUAGCUAACAAAAUAAAAUAAAGCCCCUAAUAUUAAAUCCAUGUUCUGCCAUGAGAAUAAUAGAAUGAACUAAAAUAAUAUAGAAUUGAUUGAAGGCUUAUUUAUAGCCUUCCAUGCAGCCCUUUAAUCCUAGAAACAAAAGGAAAAGGUAGCCACCAUGUUGUUUCCAAGUUGUAGUAGGAUUAUUUUGUUUCCUUUGCUGUCCUCAUCUCAUGGCCCAAAUAAGGUUGUAUUGGACCCCUCUUGCACAUGGAUAAGAUGUACUAGGAUCUCCUCUUGAUACUCCAAUGGACCUUCCAAUUCUGACUUGGUGGAAACCUUCAAAACCAAUGCAUUCAAUGCGUCGUUCAAUGUCUUUGUCUUGGACCGAGUCAUUGGUCCAUUUGGAACAUGUAAUGGGUCCUUGCUGGUGUUUCUGGGCUGGUCCGCAUCAGGGUUUUAGUAUUUAUAUCCUACUUUUCAAAAUCUUAAACAGUUUUUGAUGAUUAAUAAAAAUAUUGCAGACUUUGCAUAUCUCUAAUCCCUUUUAUUCUCUUCUUUAGCUUCUUUCUUUCUCUAAACCUUCUUUUUUUUCUUGCUUUAAUCCUUAUUAUUUAUUGUCCCGCGUCAAAUUUAGUAUCAGAGUCAGGGUUUUAAUUGUUUUUACAAUUAAACGAUCCACAAUAUUUAUGCUAAACCCUAGAUCCGAUUUGAUCUUUUAAAAAAAAUUGUUCACUAUUUAAAAAAAAAACCUACUGUUCUAAUUGAAAAAAAAGAAGAAGAGGGAAACAUUGUUCAUCUUCUCCCCCAGCAAACCGCCGCCGCACAGCACGCCACCUUCGCCAGAGGGCAGAUCGGGCAUCCCCAACAACCACCAAAACCCACGACAGCUCUCUAUAGCACCUAAGGCGAAAGAUUUUCCUACAGCAGGCCGCUCUCCACGCCACUUGUAGUCACACCGAUUUACUACCUCUAAAACUCCUACAGCACCUCAACUUCCACCAAUAGCAACAGAUUAGUGGGUUACAAUAAUUGUAGCCCACGCCACCGUCACCAACCAACCCAGACAAUAACCCACAUCCACAACAAGUCACUCACACAAGAAGUAGUAGAUCUUCAUCGACGACGGCUCAUCUACCAGCUCAUCCUCUCCCCGCCAUCAGUAAGUCAGACAUCUAGCCACUACUUCGCUCCACAAGAAACCCACAGAGCCACACUGAAUUGUUAUCUCCAAAAUAAAUUUGUCUUUAGCCUCUUGCACCAUCUAGCGGCACCAACAAUAGCAUCACCCUCACCGAUUCUUAGAUAAAUCGCACCCUCCAGCAGAAGCAGCACCCGCCGCAGUCACAACUGGUCCUUCAGACCUAUUGAUACAGCAACAGUCAUGCCUCGCCACCAGCAAAUGACAAAAAAAGACUCGGUAAUUGCAGAACAGAAGAAGGGAUUUGAGGCAAAAUAAUUAGACCUGCCAUGUCAUUAACCACGCCAACAUAUUUAGCCAUGUCAACAUAUUCAUCCUCGCCAUCAAUGAAGGAAACCAGGAAACCAAAGAAGGCUCUCGAUGCAAAAUUAAUUAAGCAAACUGACCACAUCAUCUACCAUGUCAGCAGUCAAUUCCUCUAGUUUGCCACGUUAGCUCUAAAAAAUUCUAUCUUCCUCCCAGCACUCUAGUUAGUGAAUCACUCUCCCAUGUUAUUUGUUGAAGUUUAUUUUUUUUAUUUUUCACUUGUCAUUUAAAGUUAUUAUUAAUAUUACUUUUGUGCCUAGAAAAUUCUCAAAAAAAAAAAUUCUCACCUUACUUUUUAUUCGUUAAUUUGCUCAUUAACCUUUUUUUAUCAUUAAUAUCUAUUAUAUUGUCCUCUUUAAUAAUUGUGAGUCUUUGCCUUGACAUUGUAUUUGAUUAAUCAUUUACACUUGAGGGUUAAGCAUUACAUGCUUAUAAUCUUAUUGGUGUAAUUUGUUCUUGAUUAAUCUCCACAUUAAAAAAAUAAAAAAAAGAUAGGAUUAGCUUUAUUUUUGUAUUGUGACUUCACUUGCAAGAACCAUUUGUGAUCUCAAUUUCAUUUCUAAGUGAGUGUUGCAUGCUUUUGUGUCAUGAUCAUCUAGUGUUCAAGCUAACACUAUUGUAGACUCGACUAUUAGUGAUACUCUUAUGACCAUUUAAAGGGAACUGCAAACUUAGGUGAUCACCAUAUUUAAAAGAAUUGAGCCCCAAGAAAGUUUUAGAAUAAGGCACUCAAAGACCAAUAAAUAUCACAAGAAUAAUCAUUGUGGACAAGUUCACUCUGAGCGCCACCAGUAUGACUAUCAUUUAGGUUACUCUAAACACGAUGACUUUGAUGAGCUAGUCUUGAGUCCUAACAAAAUAGAAGCCCCCACUUUUGACGGUUGUCAUGACCUUUGGAUAUUUGAUAUGUGGAUUCGUGAUAUGGAUUGAUUCUUUGAGUGGCAUAACUUGUAUGAUAAUAAAAAAGUUAGAUUUGCUGAGAUGAAGCUUAUUGGUGAAACCAAAACUUAUUGGAGAGAAGUUGAAGAUUGUUUAGAGAUGAGAGGUAAACCUCCUAUAACUGAUUGGAUCAAAAAGAAACAAAACCUUCAAGAGAAGUACCUACCCCAGUCUUAUAGGAAUAAACUCUUAAGCCAAUGGAACAAUCUAAGACAAGGGAAUAAGUCUAUCAAUGAGUAUAUAACACAGUUUAAUGAUUACAUGAUGGGAUGAGCCAUAAGAGACAAUGAAGCCAUGACUUUGCGUAGAUUUUUUAAAGGCUUGAAAGAUGAUCUUAGAAGAGAAGUUAUAUUUCAAGGUGUAUCUACCCUUGACCAAGCUUAUACCUUAGUUAAAAACUACAAGUUGGUCACAAAGAAUCAAUGGAAGAAUCAGCAGGACUCUUAUAGUAUCCCUAUUAGGUCCCAAUUCAGAAGUAGUGAUUCUUUGUUAGGUGCUCCACCCCACAGACCUAAUCUUAGUAACUCCCAACUUUAUAAAAAAAGAUAAAGGCAAACGAGUUUUUAAUGAAUUGUCUAAGGUGAGUUCAAUGGUUAAGUAGCACUAAUUGUCUAGGUUUUGGUCAUAUCUAUUUAAAUUGUAGCUCUAAACCUUUAGCCAUCCAAAAAUAUAAGGAUAUAUGUAAAGAGGAAUAUUGUAGUGUGAUUAGUACUUAAAAGUGCAUAUUUAUCAAGGUUUUAUAGCAUCAUUUUGCACUUAAAGUAUCAAUAACUCCUUAACUAAAGCAUGGUUUAUAAUAAUAAGUCUAAUACUUAAAAUACCUUAAUAUAUGGUAAAUGUUCAUCUUAAAUGCAGGCAUAUCACAUAAAUCAAAGGAUUGAUUGAUGAAUUCAACUACUGAAAUUUGUGAAGAUAAGGAGAGGGUGAAAUUUAGAAAAGAGAUGUUGGUGCAGUUCAAACUGAAAUACUAUUCGGUAAUUGGGUCAUAUCUAGAGUUCUAUAUGUCCAAAUGAUAUCAUAUUUUUAAAAAGAUUCAGUAAGAGAUAGGCCUACAACUUUCAUGUUUUCAUCAAGAUCUAAGAAGGCCGUUUUCAAGUCCAAAUGAUAGCAACAACGGAGAAGUCCGAAUCUGUCCUGCAGCUCUAACACUGUUUAGUGUUUGGCCCAUAACUGGCGUUCUAGAAGUCCAAAUGACCUCCAUUUUUUUUCCUGGAAAUUUGAGUCAAUUUCCUACAACUUUCAUGUUUUCUAGUGGACCCAGUUCGGAAGCUAGCAUUUUUGUUUUAUUCAGACAAGAAGAUAAGGAUUUUCACCAAGUCAAAAGUUGGCCACCCACUCAACAAUUAGUUAUCAAAUCAAUAAUUCCGAAUUUUGGCCUAUAAAAGGAGGCAUUUGCCAUGUAUUCUGGGGCUUGGUUGUUCAGAUCAAGCUCAUGCUCUUUAUUUCUCUCUUUAUAUUUUUUUGUAAUUUUUAAGUUUUGCUUUCAUUAAUAUCUUGUUUAUGCUUUUCAUUUCUUUUCCUUUACUUAGUUAACUUGUAUUUUCUUUAUGUUCUUGUUUUGUUUAUUUAUGUUUCUCUUCUUCAUUAUGUUUAGCUAAGUUUAUUAUGUCAAGGUGAAAAGGUUACACUAAUGGUGUAAGAAUAAAUAUAGUGUAAACUCAACAUGGAUCUUAAUGUUUAAUAUUAACAUGUCUUAUCUUUUUAUCUUACUAAUUCUUAAUACCUUGCUUGUUAAAUGGUUAAUCUAGAUUUGUGUUGUAUAACACUUGGUACAGCAAAUGCUUGGCACUCUCAUAGCCCAACAGUAUGGUAUUACCUACACCUGGGCUAUGAAAGGAACUUGAUUUGUUGUUAACAUCAGUUAAUAUCAUGAAUCCUGACAAUAUUUAAAAGUGUGGUGUUAUGUAAUAAGAUAAUUAAUAUGAUCAUGUUAAAAUUUAUAAUGAGCUAUUAAUGAGAAAUCAUCCGAUUGGAACCUCCUUUUUAUGUGUGGUUUCCAUUGAGUAAUAAGAGUUUAUACUAUACUUGUUUGAAAUACCAUUGGUGGAUCCUCUAACCUUGACAUUUGUUUUUAUCAUUGUUUAAUCCUUACUUAAUCUUUAUCUCAAAGUUCUCAUUAAUUUCUUCUCUCUUAUUAUUAUUAUUAUUAUUAUUUACAUUCUGUUUAUAUUAUAUAAUAUAUAUCUUUGAUCUUUUCAUAAACUCAGUAUAUAGGCUGGAAACCUGUGACCCGAUCUUUUAGAUCAUUCUCAGGUAUAACAACGCCACGUACUGAGUAUUAUUAUUAUUUUAUUGUUGUUGUUGUUGUUGUCUUGUUAUUUAUAAUUUAUACAAUUAACCUCUCUGUGGUUCGACCCCGGUCUUGCCGGGUUAUUUAUUACUUCGACACUCCUGCACUUGGGAGAAGACAUCAAGCUUUUGGUCGUGUCAAGUUUUUGGCGCCGUUGCCGGGGAGGUAAAUUCUUGUAUAAAUUAUAAUAUUUAUUUAUUUUUCUACUUUUCAUUUUUUUCUUUUGUUUUGUUUCUUUUUUUUUUUCUUUUCUUUCUUCCUUUUCUUCUCUUUCUACACGUGCAUGAGAGUUUGGUCACGUACAUUAAAUGAUAACUUUGUAAAUACUCAUCUUUAGAAAACAUGGCCGAAGAAGAGGAUAAUCAAUCGCUUUAUAAUGAGAAUAAUCGGGUUAGAACACUUAGAGACUACAUGAAUCCACAAGAACAAUUGCGCGAUCAUGUAUAUUUUUUCCUCCUGAUGCAUCUCAUUUUAAUUUUAAGCCAGGCAUUAUUCAACUUUUACCUUCUUUUCAUGGCUUAGAUCUAGAAAAUCCAUACUUGCAUUUGAGAGAAUUUGAGGAAGUUUGUAACACUUAUAAUGACUCAAAUUGUAGCAUGAACACCAUUAGAUUAAAGCUUUUUCCUUUUUCUUUAAAAGAUAAAGCUAAAACAUGGCUACAAAAUUUGAGACCAGGAUCCAUUCGUGCUUGGGAUGAAUUGCAACAACAAUUUUUAAAGAAGUUUUUUCCAUCUCACAGAACAAACUCUUUCAAAAGACAAAUCACCACUUUCACUCAAAAACCAGGAGAAACAUUUUACCAAUGUUGGGAUAGGUAUCGAGACUUGAUUAAUACUUGCCCUCAUCAUGGUUUUGAAACAUGGAGAUUGGUUUCACAUUUUUAUAAAGGAUUAACACCUAAAGAUAGGCAAAUGGUGGAAUUGAUGUGCAAUGGAACUUUUGAAGAUAAAGACCCUAAUGAAGCAAUGGAGUACCUAGACUUGCUAGCUGAAAAUGCUCAAAAUUGGGACACAAUUUGAGGCACAGUAAAACUCAACCUCAUACAUCUAGUGGAGGUAUGUACAACCUUAGGGAAGAUCAUGACCUCCAAGCCAAUUUGCAUCUUUAGCUAGAAAAGUCGAGGCACUAGAAUUAAAAAGAGUGGUCAAUUAAAAUCUGUUCAAGACAUUGUGUGUCAAAUCUGUGAAACAAAUGAACAUGCAACCAAUGAUUGUCCAACUUUGCCUUCUUUCAAGGAAUGCCUCCAUGAACAAGCCCAUGCUUUAAACAGUUUCCAAAGGCCCAACCAUACUCGCAAACAUACAAUCCUGGUUGGAGAAAUCACCCAAAUUUUAGUUGGAAGAGUGAUAACAAUAAUGCACAAACUUCACAGCCAUCGUUUCAAGCACACCAUAAUUUCCAAAAUUCUCAUGGAUAUGCACCUCCUUAUGCUCCACCUCUAGAAGAAAUCUUGAGGAAACAUUGCAUUCAUUCAUUGAAAAGCAAGAGAUAAUCAACACUCAACUUGCUCAAAGCAUGACAGGUUUUAAAGAUACUCUUGCAAAGUUAACAUCUGCUCUCAGUUUUCAAGAGAACGGUAAGUUUCCAUCUCAACCACAGCAAAAUCCAAAGGAGAAAUACAAUGUAAAUGCAAGUAGUUCAGAAGUCAACACAUGGAUCAAGUCAAAUCAGACAUCACUCUUCAGUGGUAAGGUUAUUGAAAAACCAUUCUUGAACCUUGUGAGAAAGAUGAUGAGUCAAUCUCUGAGGGUAAGGAAGGGGUUGAAUCUGAACAUUGCAAAGAAAAGACUGAUUUCCCACCAGCACUUCCAUUUCCUCAUGCCAUGACCAAACAGGAAGCAAUCGAUGAUGAAAAAGGCACCGAAAAUGUUGUCGCGGAUCAUUUGUCAAAGUUGACAAUAGAUUCGACAUCCGACAUCACACCAAUCAAUGAUUACUUUCCUGAUGAAUCUUUACUUUCUCUUAGUUCAAUGCCUUGGUUUGCUAAAAAUAACAAUUUUCUUGCUUCAGGAUUUUUGACAGCUCAUUUGGAUAACCAAGAUAAAAGAAAGUUUUUGAGCGACGUGCAAAACCUUUAUUGGGAUGACCCUUACUUAUUCAAAUAUUGUCCUGAUCAAAUAUUUCAAAGAUGCAUUCCUGACAAUGAGGUAAGUAGUGUCAUUAAAUUUUGUCACUCUGAAGCAUGUGGGGAUCAUUUCUCGUCAAAAAAGACGACUGCAAAAAUCUUACAAAGUGAAUUUUACUGGCCCACCAUGUUCAAGGACUCAUAUGCAUUCUGCAAAACCUGUGAAAAUUAUCAAAAGGUGGGAUUUAUUUCAAAACAUAGAGAGUCUUUAGAUAAUCUUCCAUUGACUCUUAAGUCUCAUCACAGUGGAGAUGUGCAUAGUGCAAUACAUGAUUUAUGGCCCUAUUUUCAUAAAGAACAUGCUCAUCAUAGUCUUGGGAAUCUGACUAAAAAAAAGACAUUUUUUGCUAGUUUUUUAAAAAAACUGGAUGGGAAGCCUAUCCCCGACCCAUAGAGGGCGUUUAAGCCGUUUUUAGACGUAAAACCAAGGAAAGCUGUGAGCCACAAUCACAACUACCUGUACAUACACAUGCUUUUUCAAAAUAAAUAAAUAAAUAAAUAAAGAGAGAGAGUGUGUGAGACUACGACUGGCCUACAUAUAGGUGGUGUGAUUGCAUUUUCAAUUUCUCAUUUAUAAAUAUUUGCGUCUUUUGGUUUUAUUAUUGUGUUUUGUUGUUUCUUAUAUUUGUUUAAGUGUGUUUCAGGUUUGUUAGUGUUUGCUAUUUCAGGUGAUGUCUUCUAUACUCUAUCUUUCUACCUUAAGACAUUGAGGACAAUGUCUUAUUUUGGUUGGGGGGAAAGGGUAGUAGUUGAUAAUUAAAAAAAAAAAUUGUGUUUUCUAUUUCAUAAACUAUUUGCAAAACUGUUGUUACUAGGAUGGCAGAGUAAAAGGAGUUCUUUUGUUAAAGUGACUCUUGAGACGCAUCUUAGUAAACAUUCUUAACAGGUCUAUCAGAAUACUUCUUGAAAUAUUCAGGUUUACAAACUCUCGUAUUGGUAGCACUUGAUUCUGCUCAUAUGCUCAUUUAACAAGUAUUUUUAAAUCUUCAUUUUCACACACACACUUUAACAUAUGAUUGUGGGUUGCACAUUGGAUUAUUACAUUAUUUAUGUUCUUUUGUUAAAGGUAACAACUAAGGGAAAGGGAUAGUACAUAAUUUGCAAAAAAAAAAAAUGAUAAUAAAAAGGUAGAUAAGUUUGGUUUCGUAGCCUCCCUAACCUAAGCAAUUAAGCCCGAAGGGGUGUUUUAACACUUAAUACCCUAAAGUCAACUGACUUGGGAGCUAUUGGCCCAACGCUUGUUACAUGGGUUGAGGAGAAAAGCUUAAGGGAAUCAAACAUUGCACUAUCUACGUAUCAGUAUCUGCAACCCGAGUUGCUAAGCUCGUAGGGGUGUCUCAACACCUAAUGCCCUAAGACCAACUGGUCUGGGAGUCAUUAGCCUAAAACUCGUUACAUGGGUUAAAGACAUUGUGUUUCAAGUUUAUGUGUAUAUAAAUAAAUAAAUAAAAUAAAAAAAAUAAUAAUCCAACCAAGGAAGUUACCUUAAACAUUAGAACAAAAAUUUGUUUUUCUUCCAAGUAAAGCCCCAUAACUAUAUGUUGAUAUUUUGAGCAAAAAGAAAGGUUUAGUAAUAUCUUGUUUAAGAGGUAUUGAGCAGAUAUAUGAAUUUAAUGAGAGUUUGUUUAUCUGGAUAAUUAAAGUAAGUUGAAUGAUGAAUGCCUUGCUUUAUGGAAUUUGCAAAUUGUUUUUCUAUUUUAACGCUUUGAUUACUAGGGACUAGUAAUAAGCUGGUUGGGGGGUGUGAUUAGUACUUAAAAGUUAUUUAUCAAGGUUUUAUAUCAUCAUUUUGCACUUAAAGUAUCAAUAACUCCUUAACUAAAGCAUGUUUUAUAAUAACAAGUCUAAUACUAUAAAAUUAAUAUAUGGUAAAUGUUCAUCUUAAAUGCAUAUCACAUAAAUCAAAGGAUUGAUUGAUGAAUUCAACUACUGAAAUUUUGAAGAUAAAGAGAGGGUGAAACUUAGAAAAGAGAUGUUGGUGCAGUCCAAACUGGAACACUGUUCGGUAAUUGGGUCAUAUCUCGAGUUCUAGAUGUCCAAAUGAUUAUUUUACAAGAUUCAGUAAGACAUAGGCCUACAACUUUCAUGUUUUCAUCAAGAUCUAAGAAGGCCGUUUUCAAGUCCAAAUUAUAGCAACAACGGAGAAGUUGAAUCUGUCCUGCAGCCCAACACUGUUUCAUAUUGGAGUUCUAGAAGUCCAAAUGACCUCCAUUUUUUUUCCUGGAAAUGAGUCAAUUUCCUACAACUUUCAUGUUUCAAGUGGACCCAGUUCGGAUGCUAGCAUUUUUGUUUUAUUCAGACAAGAAGAUAAGGAUUUUCACCAAGUCAAAAGUUGGCCACCCACUCAACAAUUAGUCAUCAAAUCAAUAAUUCCGAAUUUUGGCCUAUAAAAGGAGGCAUUUGCCAUGUAUUUGGGGCUUGGUUGUUCAGAUCAAGCUCAUGCUCUUUAUUCUUUCUCUUUAUAUUUUUUGUAAUUUUAAGUUUUGCUUUCAUUAAUAUCUUGUUUAUGCUUUUCAUUUCCUUUCCUUUACUUAGUUAACUUGUAUUCUUUAUGUUCUUGUUUUGUUUAUUUAUGUUUCUCUUCUUCAUUAUGUUUAGCUAAGUUUAUUAUGUCAAGGUGAAAAGGUUACACUAAUGGUGUAAGAAUAAAUAUAGUGUAAACUCAACAUGGAUCUUAAUGUUUAAUAUUAACAUGUCUUAUCUUUUUAUCUUACUAAUUCUUAAUACCUUGCUUGUUAAAUGGUUAAUCUAGAUUUGUGUUGUAUAACACUUGGUACCAAAUGCUUGGCACUCUCAUAGCCCAACGUAUGGUAUUACCUACACCUGGGCUAUGAAAGGAACUUGAUUUGUUGUUAACAUCAGUUAAUAUCAUGAAUUCCUGACAAUAUUUAAAAGUUUGGUGUUAUGUAAAUAAGAUAAUUAAUAUGAUCAUGUUAAUAAUUUAUAAUGAGCUAUUAAUGAGAAUCAUCACCGAUUGGAACCUCCUUUGUGUGUGGUUUCCAAAUUGAGUAAUAAGAGUUUAUACUAUACUUGUUUGAAAUACUAUUGGUGGAUCCUCUAACCUUGACAUUUGUUUUUAUCAUUGUUUAAUCCUUACAUUAAUCUUCCAUCUCAAAGUUCUCAUUAAUUUCUUCCUCCUCUUAUUAUUAUUAUUAUUAUUUACAUUCUAUUUAUAUUAUAUAAUUUAUCUCUUUGAUCUUUUCAUAAACUCAGUAUAUAGGCUGGAAACCUGUGACCCGAUCUUUUAGAUCAUUCUCAAGUAUAACAACGCCACAUACUGAGUAUUAUUAUUAUUGUUAUUGUUAUUAUUGUUGUUGUUGUUGUUGUCUUGUUAUUUAUAAUUUAUACAAUUAAUCUCUCUGUGGUUCGACCCCGGUCUUGCCGGGUUAUUUAUUACUUCGACACUCCUACACUUGGGAGAAGACAUCAAUCUUUUUGUCGUGUCAUAGUGUUGAAAUGUAUGAGCCUAAUCUUGAGGAUUUUAGUGACCUAGAUGACAAGGGUGUGCAAGAAGAGAUACUUAAUAUAAUGAGUCCACGUGAGCUUGAGAAUGAUGUUAGGGAAGUGUCUGAUAAAUCUGCUUUAAUGGUAGAGGAAGUUUUAGGGAACUCUUUAGUGGAAUCGCCUAUAGAGAUAAAUAUGGUCUUAGAAGAGUCUCAUGAUAUUAGUUCUCCUAAACUACCUGAUUCCUCACCCCACAUGAUUGAUGUCCAGCACAUCAUAAGUUUAGAACAACAUGUUGAGCUUUCUGACCCCUUACCUCAUGCACAUGAUAAAGAAGAUGAAGAUAAUCUCAGUUUACUUGAUUGUGUCCAUACCAUGUCUACACAUGUUUCAAACAAUGUUUGUCUCAUUCCACACCCUCGAUCAUUUAAUAUUCAUAGUUAUAAACCCUGAGAAGCCUAUAGAACACCUUCCCAUAUCUUCUCAUGAUAAGAUGUCCAAGUCAAUUGAGUCGUUACCAUGCGGAGUUCAUAAUUUGCAUGUUGAGAUCAUGAAUCAAAUUCAAGCAAGUAAUGAAUAAUAUAAAUUUUGAGCUGAUUUACUUAAGUAUCAUGAUGCAUUUAAUGUUGGAGAUUAUUUCAUGAUACAGAUUAGACCUAAACGGUGUCCUUUGAAAACCGAUCAUAGAUUGCAAGUAAGUAGUGCUAGACCAUUCAAAGUGUUACAAAUGAUUGAAUCAAAUAAUUAUGUCAUUAAAUUGCCAUUAAACUUUGAUAUUAACUCUACUUUUAACAUGAAUGACUUCAUUAUUUAUAAAAUACAACAUAUCCUUGUUGCUCCUUUUGAUACCCCUACCUCAUUAUCCAUAUCUUUGGCACAAAGGGAACAUAUUAAUGUUACUUUGAAUGCACAGGUUGUUUUUACCAGGGAUAAUGAACUUCAACAAAUCCCAGUAUAUGGGCUCGACAACCAGAUUCAGACUAUACUUGGAUUAUCAAAGAGACAUCAUAACAACUUGAUCCUUAUCUUUGAGAGCAUUAUCGGAGCUACCUUGAUCCUAUACUCGAUAGGGUCAAGUUCUUCCAACCUAAGAGAAUUGAUAAGGACACCAAACCGGAAACAUUGGUUACGCACGCGUAUGAUCAUAGACGAUGGAGAAUAGCCCAAACUAUUGAGAAAUUAGGCUUUAACUUAUGUUUUUGGGUUUAAUUUAUAUGAAUUUUUAGUUAAGAUUUAUUAAUUUGGUUUUAUUUAUUGGGUUUAAUUUAAUUAUUGUUGGGUAUUUUACUUAGUGGACCAUAAGUCUAAACGCUUGUUUUAGUUAGGGUUUUAGUAUUUAUAUCUUACUUUUCUAAAUAUUAGAUAAUUUUUUAUGAUUAAUAAAAAUAUUGUAAACUUUGUAUAUCUUCAAUCCAUUUUCUUCUCUUCUUUAAUUUCUUUCUUUCUCUAAAGCUUCUCUCUUUUCUUGCUUUAAUCCUUAUUAUUUAUUGUCCCGUGUCAUUUGUUACUCAAGACUUAAACUCUGUGGGAUAAUGCAUUUGUAAUUUUAUUUUCUUAUGUAUAUGUAGUUUAAUAUGACCAUUGAUAGCUCUGAUUGUUCAUAGUUCAUUUUGUCAUCAGUUAAAGUCUCAAAAAUAUGUUCAUAGUUCAUAGUUCAUAGUUCAUAGUUUUAGUAGUUUUGUGGGUUAAUUUUCAUGUAUUUAAUUUAAAUCUAGUCCAAACCAAGGUCACUGGAUCAAGGUUUUAAGAAAGAGUAUUUCUUUCCUCUUUCGUUUUUCCGCUCAAGGUUGGAUGGAGGCCAGAAAUGAGAUGCAAGCUCACAUCAUGAAAAUGGGUCAAAAUUCAAAAACAUUCUAUCAAGUUGCCUAAGCCUGGGCCAAUCCUGUUCUUGAUGCUCGGGCAAUAAUAGUCAUAUUGAUGGGGACGACGACUUGACCUUUAAGUCUUCCUUGAAAUUACGUGUUUCCUUUUUCCUUAUAUAUAUAUAUGUAUGUAUGUAUGUAUGUAUGUAUAAAAGGAAAAAGGAAAAGGCAUCUAUGUAAAAGGCAUCUAUGUAAAAGGCAUCUGUGUGUGUGUAAAGGAAAAAGGAAAAGAGAAGUGUUUAGUGAAAACAAAGACAAGAAAUUCGAAAUUUCCAGGAAAAUUAUAAAAGAAUUUGAAGUAAAAAAUUAAUAGACUAAAGAAUGAUGUUGGACAGAAGUGUUUAGUGUUUUAAAAAAAUAUAUAAUAAAAAAGUUAAAGAGAAAAUAACAAGAAUAUAUAAUAAAAAGUGUUUAGUGCUUUUGAUUUUUAAAAAUUAUUUUUAUAUCAGUAAAUUAAAAAAAAAAACUAAAAAAAUUCAAAAUUUACAAAAACGAAUUUCCAGGAAAUCAACAAUGUGCAAUCUUGUAAUGUUCUAAGAAAAUUCUUGGAUUUGAUGCCUAUAAAUUAUACAUAUGCCUAAGGCAGGGUCUUAAACACGUAAAGCCUAAGCUAUUGCUUCAAAAUCAGCCUCAUCUUUUUUCCUUGAGUUACUUCCGCUCUCUCCCUCCAUGCCUACCUUACCACCAGAGUCUAAUUACUCUUGUUUCUUCGACUGUUUCUCCACAAAACAAUAUGAUGUCUCCAUCACCAUCUACUCCUUCCACCUUAACCACCGCCCAGCCACAAGGAAUUAAACAUGAUGUCUUCCUUAGUUUCAGCGAACAAGACACUCUUGCUGGUUUUACCAGCCACCUCCAUGCUGCUUUGAAACGGAAACAAAUCCUAACUUUCGUAGAUGAUCAGCAUGUGAGAGGAGAUGAGAUUUCGGCAUCACUUCUGAGAACAAUUGAAGAGGCCAAGCUUUCUGUGAUUGUUUUUUCUGAAAACUAUGCAUCUUCCAAAUGGUGCUUGGAGGAGCUUGCAAAGAUUUUUGAGUGUAGAAAAAACAAUGGACAGAUAGUUAUUCCGGUAUUCUACAAGGUGGAUCCAUCCCAUGUAAGAAAUCAAACAGGAAGCUUUGGGGAUGCAUUUGCUAGACUUAUAAGGAAUAAAGCUCUGACGUUGGAAGAAGUGCAGAGCUUCAGAGACGCUUUGACGGAUGCAGCCAAUCUAUCUGGAUGUCCCUUAUUAGGGAAUUCUGAGUAAGCUCUUGAAAUAUAUCCCAUGAGAAAAUAUUCGUUCAUUUGUUGAGGAUUUGAAAUUUAAUUUAAAAUUAUUGAGAAAGAUGAGCUCUGUGAAUCCAUAUUUAUUUUAUUUGAUUUUAAAAACGUUGUAGCGAAACACUAUUACGUGGUUGGUUGUUCUGUGUAUUAAAAUGUUUUUUAAAAAAAAAUUAAUUUUUUUUAGUGUUUUUAAAUUAUUUUGAUAUGUUUAUAUUAAAAAAUAUUUUUAAAAAAUAAAAAAUAUAUAUAUUAUUUGUUGCGAAAUGUUUGUAUAGAUAUUAAGUGGUUAUUUGUUUUUGUGUUUUUAAACAAAAAAUAUAUAUUAAAAUUUUUAAAAAACAAUUUAGUGUUUUUAGAUUAUUUUGAUGUGUUUAUAUUAAAAAAAUAUUUUAAAAAGUAAAAAAAUAUUAUUUGUAGCGAAAUGUUUGUAUAUUAUUUGUUUUUGUGUUUUAAAAUAAUAUUGAUGGAGAUGAUACUAUAAGAUAAGAUGAUAUGAGAAAACAUUAUAUGCAUUUGCAUUUCCAGUUUCAAGGAUUGAUUAAUGAUGCUCAAUUACUCAUACGUGCCUGCACUAAGGAGUGAGUAUGUUUAUAUGUUUCUUCUUGUCCGGUCCAUUUUGACUAACAAUUAUGUGUCUUCUUCUUGUUUGUCAGGCUGGAGUCUGAAUUUAUUGAGAAAAUCGUUGGUGAUGUUUUGAAAAAAUUGCAUGCCAUGCCUUCAAGUCACACCAUGGCCGGUCUAUUUGGAAUUGAUGUUCGUGUUAGCGAAGUUGAGUCUUUGUUAGAUAUGGAGUCUCCAAAUGUUCUCAUUGUAGGGAUAUGGGGAAUGGGUGGUAUCGGUAAGACAACGAUUGCUGAAGCUGUGACCAACGAGGUUCGUUCUAGAUUUGAUCAAGGAAUCUUUGUUGCAAACUUUAGGCAACAAUCUGAUUUGCAAAAAGAUUUCUUCAGGCUGCUUGGCCAAGAAACUCUGAACACUAUGGGCUCCUUGAGUUUUCGAGAUUCUUUUGUGAGGGAUAGACUUCGUCGAAAAGGUUUUUAUUGUUCUGGAUGAUGUGGAUGAUUUAAUGCUUUUGGAAGAAUGGAAGAUUUGCUUGAUGGACGAAACAGUUCAUUUGGUCCGGGCAGUAAAGUUCUCAUAACAAGUAGGGACAAGCAAGUGCUUAUAAUGUAGUUGAUGAGACAUACGAGGUUGAGGGGUUGAACGAUGAAGAAGCUAUUCAACUCUUUAGCUCAAAGCCUUGAAGAAUUGCAUCCCCACAAUUGAUCAAAGAGACUUGAUAGAAAGAUUGCAAGGCAUGUACAAGGCAAUCCGUUGGCUCUUAAGUUUUGGGUUCCUCUCUCUAUGGUAAAAGCAUCGAAGAAUGGCGCAGUGCAUUGAAUAAACUAGCUCAGCACCCUCAAAUCGAAAGGGCGUUGAGAAUUAGUUACGAUGGGUUGGAUUCAGAACAAAAAUCCAUAUUUCUUGACAUAGCACAUUUCUUCAAGGAUGGGGCAGACAAAGCAACAAGAAUAUUAGAUGGCUUUAUGGUCGGUCUGUGAGUUCGAUAUAAGCACGCUCAUUGAUAAGUGUCUCAUAACUACUGUAAUGAAUGUACGAGCUAGAAAUGCAUGAUUUACUACAAGAAAUGGCAUUUAACAUUGUUCGUGCAGAAUCUGAUUUUCCUGGCGAACGUAGCAGGUUAUGUCAUCCUCCUGAUGUCGUUCAAGUAUUGGAGGAAAAUAAGGUUAAAGCUAGUGCCAUUAACUGUCGUUCAUGUAUUUGCUCAAAAGUUGAUGUGUUUGAGUAGAUUGUAUUUAUGUUUGUUUAUUCUUUUUUCUUGUUUAACAGGGAACUCGAAAAAUUAAAGGCAUAUCUUUGGACUUGUCCGUGUUUCCGAGACACAUACUCUUGAAAUCUGAUGCCUUCGCAAUGAUGGAUGGUCUUCGAUUUCUCAGUAUCAAUCAUUCCUCCGAAGUUGAUAAAAUGCAGCUUCCUCCUACUGGCCUCGAGUAUCUUCCUAAUGAGCUGAGAUAUUUGCGAUGGGAUGGAUUCCCUUCGAAAUCCUUGCCGCCAUCUUUUCGUGCUGAACACCUUGUCGAGCUUCACCUACGCGGAAGCAAGCUUGAAAAACUUUGGACAGGAGUAAAGGUAUGAUUUAAUUGCUGCAUAUUUAUGAUAAAAAAUAUAAAGCUGGAGGUGCUAACUUUCUAAUUAUACCUUUUUCUGGUGACAGGAUAUUGGAAAUUUAAGAACAAUCAACCUAUCUGACUCUCCAUAUUUGACAGAAUUGCCAGAUCUAUCAGUGGCCAAAAAUUUAGAGUGCUGUAAUUUUAGAUCCCUGACACGUUUCAAAAUCGUUUUUGAAAAAAAUUGAAAAUUUUUUAUUUUUUAUUUUUUGUUUUAAAUUAAUAUUUUUAAAAUGUUUUCAAAUUAGUUUUAAUGUAUUUUUAAAUAAAAAAAUAUUUUUAAAAGCAACCACAACCAUACUUUUAAAAGCCUUGAAACUAAAGGGCUGUCCAAGUCUAACCGAGGUUCCGUAAUCUAAGUGGAAGUGCUGUCAAAGAGGUGUCCUCAUCAAUCCAGUUUCUCGCAAGACUCCGCGAAUUGGGAAGAUCUGUUUUAUCCCUUUCAAUCUCUUUUGUUUCUCCCUCAAUUUAUUUUCUUCUGAACUUUUGUUUGUUAAGGAAGAUCUGUGUCCGCCGGUAGAUUUUCAUCAAAGUGCAGAUACACCCCCACAGCUUUUCAACUCGACAGGCCUUCCGCUCUCACGAUGUCUCCACCUUCCCCGGUAGAAUUUAAAUGUAACUUCAUUGCCAGAAAAUUUACAUAAAUGAUUUGCCAAUUCGAGCUCGUAGUGUAGAAUCAUGUGAUCUGAGUCACAUGUCUUCAAGGAAUAUGAUGGAGCACGUCUUUCCCGGGAAGCGAAGACGACUUCAUCAUCACCAUCAUGCUCACCGUUUUUACUCUUAACAUGGUAAUCACAAUAUACAUGAACAUCAGAACGAUCAUCGAAUUCAUAAAGCAUGUCAUGGGAGGGAAGGAGUAGAUAGACAAGGCAGAAAGCAAUUCCCUUGAGCUGAUGACAAUUUGAGGGCAACUGUAUGGUGACUGAAGAUCCAAUUUCUGUCACCGAACCAUUCUGGAAUUUCACUCCCCGGUAGAACCAUAGUUUUAGAAAAUGAUCAAAAUAGGUCAUGGCUUGGGAUUGAAUGUUUGAUUUUUAAGUUAAAUAAAAAAUAAUUUCAAAAAAAACAAAGUUAUUAAAUCUAAUACAACAUAUAACUCAAAUCACGAAAUUACUUGGGAUUGAAUACUCACGCGUGAAUGUACAUGCUUCCAACCAUAUAGCUUCAAUUAUUAUGCUAUAACAUGCUUCAGCUAAGCAAGAAGCCAGCUUGAAGCUAUUCAUUCCUUGUGCUGUCAGUCAUCAUUCUUGCAAAUCACAAAUGUUUCAUGCCAAGAAGAGCCUUCUUAUCAAUUUAGUGCUCCAAACACAUGUCCUGGGAAACGUUACAGCUCUUUCAUAAUUAGGUAGCGAGAAAAAUCCAGAACUUUGAGGUUGAGUUUUUUGUACAAGAAAUAUACUAGAUGUGACUGUACCGUAUUUAUUUCUUUCUUUUUUCAGACUCUGCAGAAACUAAUCAACACUUCAUGUUCAGGGGAUGAAGAAGAGCCUCAUCCUCAUUCCUUCUCUGCAAUUACCACGAAUACAUCUUUCAGUGACCACCUACGUCUCUCACUUUUGGCAGGCGGAUUGAUAACAGCCUUUUCAGCAUUAGCUGCACGGUAACCAAUGACUAUCUCUCUUCUCUGUCGUGCGCGUAAUAGUACUUCAUAGAAACUCAAUUCCUCGCCUUCACUGAGGUAAAGAUCUGCUUGCCUUAUUUGUAGCUCAUUUCCCUGAUGAAGGCAAAAUGUUUGUGAAUGAUGAGUUUAACUGAUUAAAGGAUCUUAAAUUCCAACAUCAUCAAUAGCAACAAUUUCACUAAUACAACAAAGGAAUCACUCUGAUCAAUGCUCGAGGGUUGUUCUAAGCAGGAAAGAGAGAACAUGCUAGCAAACCCUUUGCUGUUGUGGUCCAACAUAUUAACUAGCUUAAUUUAUCACAACCAUAAUGAUUAUUUGGAUGCAGGGCUCACGCUAGGCUACUUUCUCAAUAUAAGAAGCAGGGCAUCAAAGUCAUUAUAAUAUAUGAUUUAAAGGAGUGACCAACUAAAUGCACUAGGGAACGAAGGUAAUGAUCACCUGAUGUGUUUAAGAUUUCAUCCUUUUCAGCAUUAGCUAGCAAAGUUUCAUGGGCUCUAUGCAGAUGGCCUUUUGUGUGUGUGUGUGUGUGUGUGUGUGUGAGAGAGAGAGAGAGGAUUUAACGUGAUUGUUAAAAGUGCUUUCAAUAUCUUCCCUCAAGAGUUGGGCAAAAAACUAGAGCAAUCCUGUAAAAACAUCGCAUGAUAGUACUUGUCAAACUACCUCCACUGAGAACUUUCCAAUUUCUGCUGAAUAGGAAAGCUAUAGUAAGUACCUCAUUUGUUUCUUUUAACCUUUACAUAUGUUCCGAAUUAAACAUAUAGAUAAGGUACUGACAGGCAAAUUAUGAGAAAAGAAAACAUUGCAUUCACUUGUUGGAAUUUUAUAUUGCAAUUUUGUAAGCCCACUUCGCCCUUCAAAAUUUGGUUUUCCAUAGAGUGCAAUACGAUCUCAGAAUUUAACAGAAGUGAGACAAAAGAAUACCUCAUCUGCAAAGAGCUCUUCUAAUACAUCAUUUAUUUGUUGAUCUUCUGCAACCAUGGCCAAUGCCAUGCUGACAAGUUCAUUUGAUAAAACAUAAUCACAAUGCAUCCAAAUAAUUUGGCAGAUGCCUUUAUACACACACGUGGUAUAUGCUCCACAACAUAUUAAUAAUAAUAUUUUUUUGAAAUAGAAAAAAUAUAAAGAAUAAAGAAAAUAUAUUAAAUGUUUUGAAUUUGAUAACAACCUAAUUUUAUGUGGUCCUGAUAAAAAUAUGACCGAAUGGUAUUGGGUCUAAUGGAGAUAGAACCCAACAUUAUUGAACUUUUAUGCAUGAUAAGACGCAUGAAAACUGAAAUCAUUGCUUUGUCUAUAAAAAUAAUAAUAAUAAACUAACAGAUUAGUAGUUUAUUGUACAUCAAAGACACAUAUAACUGUGGAUUAAAAUAAUUACGUCACUAUUUUGCUCUUUUAAAAUAAAAUCAUUUAAUCAGUUAUUAAAAACAAUAUAUUUUUUAUGUUAUCCAUUUAUUAUAACCGUAUUAAAUGAAGAAUGAAGAUAAAUAAGUUUUUAAACAUUUUAAAAAUACAAUGAAAUAACUUAAAUAUCUUUAAAAAUAAAAUUUUUAAAAUUAGGAUCCAUAAGUGUUUCGGUCUUUUAACAUUUUGAUAGUAUAGUGAAAUAACUAUAUUGCUCUUAAAUGUCAAAAAAAAUAAAAUUGAUGUUUAUGGUUUUUUUGUAUUUUUUUCAUGGCUUCUUAGUUAUAAUCAAUGUGAAUUAGGGACAUUUUGGUCUUUUAAAAAUAUAAAUAUAAUUAAAAAAUAAAAAGUGGUUUAUGUUGGUGUCUGAGAGAUGCCUGCACUCUUUGGGCAGCGUAUGCAACAUCUAUCAGCGGACAACCACUGCCUUUUAUGACGGCGUUGAAAGCAUCACAAUAUCAUUUUUCUAGUGGUCAGGUAUGUUUGCAUGGCUUUUUUUCAUUUUUUCUCUCUCUUAACCUCAAAUUUCAUGUUAGCUCUUUCAAAAAUUUAAUGUGUCUUUUUUUUCUUAUUAUUUUAAUUAAUAUUUAUUUUGCUUGAAAUGCAUUUUAAAGUUGAUUUUUUCUUCAAUUUUUUCUUUUAACAUUUUAUUUCUUGUCCUCUUUCAAACAAUAGAGUUAGGUUCUCUUUAUGGUAUAAAUAAUGUUUUUUUUUAUUUUUUCAGUUUGUUUUAAUGUGUUGUUGUAAAAAAGUAUUUUUUUUAAAUAAAAAAUACUUUAAAAAACAAUUAUUAUUUGCUUUCAUAUUAUAUUAUAGUGGUUAUGAUGAUUUGAUUGAGAAGAAUUUGUUAGACAACUAAUUUGAUAUUGUAUUUAUAGUUAUUUUUUAAAAUACUUUUUAUUUAGAAAUCUAUUAAAAUAAUAUUUUUUUAUUUUUUAAAAUUAAUUUCAUAUUAUAACAUCAAAAUAUGUUCUCAUGUACAAAGGGUGCACAUUGUUGAUUCCUGGGAAUUUAUUAUGUACAAAAAGCUUUGGUUUGUUUUGAUGUGUUGCUAUAAAAAGUGAUUUUUUUAAAAAUAAAUAAAAUAAUACAUUGAUAUAUUUUUAAUUAAAAAACACUUUAAAAAAUAAUUAUUAUAACACUCAUAAACACUUUAAAAAUGUUUGUGUGUGCGGGUAAUAUUUUUGCUUUCAUGUUAUAUUAUAAUGAUUAUAAUGAUGAGAAGAACUUCUUAGUGAACCUAUAUCGUAUUGUAGUAAUAUUUAUUUUUUAAAGUUUUUUUUAAAUGAAAAUAUAUUAAAAUAAUAAUUUUUUUAUUUUUAAAAUUUUAUUUUUGAUAUUAAUACAUCAAAAUAAUAUAAAAACAAAAAAAAAUUAAUUAAAAAUAAUUCCUAAAAAUAUUCCAUGUACAAAUGCUUCAUGUCUUGAUAUUUGUUUUUUUAUUAUUUGGUAGGGAAGGACAUCAAGUCUUCGAUCAAAGUGUUUGCUCGUACUGAGUACUCUGUUGACUUCACAUUAUAUUAUAAGGGUUAUUAUUAUUUCAAUGGGAAGAACUUGUUAUGCAUAACUUGUGAACCUGUAUAAAGUGUUGCGUGGAUAUCGCCGGCGAGAAGGAAAAGAUUAGCCAGCGGAGAUAAAAUUGUUGAUCUCUUGAGCUGGUCAAAUACCAUGUCAAAUCUCUUCCAAGGUUUAUCUGGACAUGGAUGAUUCCAGGUUGUAGUUCUAGUGUUGUGAUCAAUAUAAUACGUUUUCCCUGUUGCUGCGUCAGAUCGCCUCUCCCAGCCUGGUGGCAAUGGAGCAGCAUAUGCAUCACCAUAGUUAUUGACUGACUGAUAUAUAACAGUAAGCCAAAUCACUAUCAAGUGAUAUGGCCAACCUCCUGCGUUACUCCACAAAACAUUGCGGAGCACCAAAAUAACUAGCAGCAUUCCAAGGAAUCUGGAAAAAUUAAAACGAAUGACUCCAUUUUGAUGUGAUCUUAUGCAGAAAGCACCAGCAAAAUCAUCGGUGUAGAUGAUUUCACCCCUGCAAUCCUAUUUUUUAAGUCAUAAAUACAUGACAUGCUAUAAAAAUAAAAUAAAUUAAAACUUUUAUCCUUUUAAUUUAACUAAGAAAAUCAUCCUACAACUAUUUUACAGUUAUUUAAAGCAAAUUACAAUAUGAUUAAUUAAUAGAAACAAUGAUUUUUUUAAUUAAUAGAAACAAUUAAAACUAGGACUGAGCAUUUUCGGUGACAAUUUAAUUAUAUUUUUUCCCUUCUAAAAAAAUAACUGUAAACUCUUUAUCUUCUAUGCAGUCGAAUUCCGCCUCAUAGUCAUCACGAGUUUUAGAAUUUCACAAGGUAGAAUUUUAUCUUUUUAAUUUUUUUAAAAUUUUAUUUUUUAAUAUUUAAGUUUUUAAAAAUUCAUCUUCAUAUAUAUUUUACCUUUUAUUUUAAAUUUUAUUUUCUUUUGGAAUCAAAUAUCUCAAUCCUAGUUACUUAUCUAUUAAUCAAGUAUUGAUCUAUUUAUUUUAAUGCACAUAUAUAAGUAUUUUAAUUUAUAAUUAAAAAAAUACCUAUUUAUUUAUUUUUCUAUUAAAAAAAAACUAAUUCAAAAUAAAAUGAAAGGCAAAUAUCUAAUUGUUUUAUAAAAUAAUAUUAUUUUAGUUUGAAAAAAAAAAAACUAAACUAAAACCACUUUGUUUUGAAAUUGGCUUUGCUCAAUCGGCUAAUCAGCGAAUCGGGUUUUGGAUUCGAUCAGACCCCGGACCUGUAUGAAAUCUAUGGUCGGUCCCCACCUGAAGAAACGAGAGGCAGAGAGAAACCAAAGAGAUGAGCUAACGGCAUCGACAAGCCACACGAUUCGAUUCUCUACCAUGAUAUAUAUAUAUAUAUAUAUAUAUAUAUAUAUAUAUAUUGUUUCCUUUGACAAGUCGCAGCACAAAUUCCAAUACCCAUUUUCAGUUUCCUAGAUUUUGAGUAAGUUUUUGAAGUGGGUGGUUUGAUUUAGCUUAGCUUACCGUGUUGUAAAUUGUCAUCUUUUUUGUUGAAUGCUGUACUUGGACGUCACUUUUUGUAGUAUCAUGGUGUUAGUGAUUGUAUUGUGAGGAACCCAGUUGGGGAAUUGGUUUAUUUGUUCUGAAUCCACUCCGGUUUGGUUUGUUUUAGCUUAGUGUGUUUUACUUACUUGUGAGUUAUACACUUGAAUAUGUUGUUUUGUGGAACGAGUUCUUUGUUUUUCAUGAUUUUGUUUAAAAAUGGAGCUCAAGCUUGAGUUUCUAGAAGCCAACUUCAGGAGCGUUCAUCUUGGUAUAAUGAAUUGAAGCGAUCAUGGUUCAGUUUUGCUUAUUUUGAUCCAUUUCUCACUUGUCUUUCAUAGUUUUGAUCCACAUUGAUGCCAUUUGUUUUCACUAUUCGAGAAAGAGGUUACUUUUUUUUUUUCAAGGAAUCCUCUUAUAAGUUGAUUGCUUGUCAGAAAUGGAAAUAACCCUUAUUCAACUUAGCUUGGUUUAAUUACUGCUCUUUUUUUCAUGGGCGAAUUUAGAGAUUGAACUGCAUUUUAAUUGUAAAGUAUUACUUUCAUGCAGAACAUGGAAGCUUGGUGAUUUUGAUAAGGUUUAUAUUGAGUUAACAAAAGAUGUUGCCUGUUUGCUUUGCCACUCAGUGUUGUUCCUCUCAUUCUCAGGUGAGUUUCACUUCCUAGACUGUAAUUUAAUUCGUGUUGUUGCCAAGUUUCUAUCAUCCCUGUACCUUGAAUUUCAUCUAUGCCCUUAGUUUUAGAGAUACAUGGCCUCUAAUUAGGUGGAGAACAAGCCGGGACUAUAAUUGAACUUUCGCUAAAGAGAGAAAUUCUGGUGUCAAAAAAUAAAAGAAAAAAUAUUAGUGUAACUAGACAUGUCUGCCUCUUUAUAAAAUAUGUUUGAUGUAUUUGAGUUGAAAAAUCUGGGGUGCCUAAGUGAAGGUUUUGAAUGAAGGUAUAAAUUAAUCUUCAACUGUUUAAGUAUAAAGGUCAGUAUGACAUCAUGUAGAGCUUAUGUGCCCAAGUGAAGGUUUUGAAUUGAUUCUCAUGCUCUAACAUGGUAUCAUCGUCCAGUUAGCUUUCUCCUUCCUUCUAGGCCUACACAUCAGAGGGAUGCUGAGUAAAUCCCUUAACAACCUAGCAGAAAGUUUUGCAUGGCCUAAUAAUCUGCUUGUACAUCUCCGUUUAGUAGUUUAAGCAUCUGGGUGUGAUUCCCUAGCACCAACUUCCUUCUCAUGUGCAGUGGAUUAUGAUGGCAUUUUCUCUCCGCUUAAGAGUGUGUUUAGCAUUGCUGUCAAAACACCGUUUGCUAAAAAUAUAAUUCUUUUUUCUUAAAAAAUUUUUUUGUUGUUUUUGAACCGUUUUGAUGUGUUGAUGUCAAAAAUGUAUUUUAAAAAAUAAAGAAAACAUUAUUUUGAUGUGUUUUCGAACGAAAAACACUUUGAAAGUAACCGCUACCGCAAUGUCAAACACGCUCUUAAUCUGAUUACUUACAUCAGAAUAUAAAAUUAAGAUAUGAGGUAUGUGAGACUCUUCAAUAUACAAAUUCCUUGUCCACCUUUAAAGAACAGAAUUUGACAAUUUUCAGUGAAGCCUUGCAGGUAGUAACUUCCAUGCACAUCGGUUAUCAAUUCACCAAGUUUUGUUUUAUCAUGUCACAUCUUUCUUCAUAUACCUCUGGCAUAGUAUUUCUAUUGUCAAAAAUUUCAUUCAUGUAUUUGAAACCACAACUAUUGCAGAUAACAUUCCAAUGAGGUCUGCGACCAUUUUGCUCAGUCUGGAAGGAUUUCGAGUCCAGAUGUUAUGUCGUAGACAGGGUACUUUUGGGAAUGUCAAAUAUAACUCAUCACCAAAGAAUUUCCUUCAAAACACAAGCUAUAAAGUCUUUCUACUCCAAUUUUAUUGAAAGCUUUGCUUUCAUUAAUGAUCAUUCUUGCCCAAAUGAACUAGGCAACAUUAAUUGCACCCACACCCUAUGGGAGAGGGUAAACUGAAAUUCUUAGAAAGUUAUAACAUAUCUGAUGUUGAAAAAGGACAUUUGAACUCUGCAGACCAGUUUGUUGAUAAUACAGAUAGUUUAAUAUGACUUGUGGAACUUGAAAUAACAUCAACUAUUGAUAUGACACCAGAGAAUCCCAGUUUGGGAUCUGAUUCCCUGGAAAUGGAUAACGAUUCAUUAUCUAGUGCAAAGGCUGCUUUUGAUUAUUUUUUGGGCGAGGUUAGGGACUCCAUCAACACUUCAAUAAAUAAUGGAGGAAAUGUUGUGCAAAGCUCACUAGACACAAUUACUUCUUCAAUAAUAUUGUUUAAGGAAAGUGCUUCAGAAGCAGUAGAUGGUGCCUUGAGUAAAGUAUUCUCUACUUUUGAUCAAACAGGAGAAUUAGCUGGCGAUAGAUUGACUAACUUUUCAUCUGGUUUGAGGGAAGCCACACAAAAUGCUACUGGCACUUCUAUUGAUGUGCUCAGAGUUGCAAUCGCUGCAGUGGAGGAAUCUAUAGCAAAAGGGGCUUCUUUUAUUGUUUAUUCUUAUGGGCCUGCCAAGGAUUUGCUUCCUCCAAAGAUCAGAGGCGUGCUGAAUCUGUCUGAAGAAAGGAUAACACAGAUUUUGAGGCCAAUUGGUGCAACUUUUCAACAUGUACAUUAUGCUUGGCACGUUUUACUUUGAUGGCUGUUGUACUCUCAUUUAAUUGUAUGGACUUGAAAAAAAAAAAAAAAAUCUCCUGCAAAGAUAUAUUUGGAUUAUUUUAGAAAUCUUUUUGUUGGAGACAUCAGUCACUGCUUUCAGCUUACAGGACUUCUAGUUGAAAACUCAAUUACGUCCAUCUCUGUUACAUUGCUUAAUUAUGUGUUGAUCUAACUAAUUUAUGAUCCAAAACCAAAGCUGAAUUUCCUAAACCUGCUUUUACACCUUAAGCAGGUUUACAUUGCUAUUGAGGGGCUGGAGAAAAGGCUUGGCUUGGAUCCAAAUGAUCCAGUUGUGCCUUUUGUUCUUUUCCUUGGAACCUCAACCACUUUGUGGUAUGGAUGUCCUUUUGUGCAUAAAGAUUUGUUUAUUUAACCUGCAUUACAUGGGAAGCUUAAGUUUUCUACCAGAUUUGUGCAGGGGUUUUUAUAGGGUGUGGGUAUAUGGUGGUUACUCUGGAGAUUUGUCUCCGCAAUUAACUUUGGAGCUCUUGGCAGGGAAGGAAGACGCCAUACUUAUUGAUGUCCGGCCUGAGGCAAGAGAGUAAAUUUUCUGGCCUUUUAUGUUCUUAAGUUUCUUUUGUUAGAAAUUCUAGUAUCUCAAUGAGAGACACUAAAGCUGACUGCUCAGACAUUUACUGAAGGGUCUGUAUUGUUUUUUCAACUCUGUUCAUUAAUACAUUCCAUCUUGUAGCUACCCCAUUUCAUAUUUUCAAUAGUUAAUUUCUUUUCACUAGGAAAUAUUACUUACCAUCCACCUUUCUACCCCAUUUCUUUUACAUCACGGUAAAAAAAUCUCAAAUUUGGCACCCUCAUUAAUUUCCUUUUUUUCCCGUUAACUUGGCAUUGAACUAGGUGGACAUUGUUUAUAUGAUGGUUCUCAUAGAAAGAGAUGGCAUUCCUGAUCUUAGGCGAGCCGCUCGGUUUUGCUAUGCAAGUGUAACUCUACCAGAGGUUGGUUUUAUUUGAUAAUACUAUUCUAAAGCUAUGAGUGGAGAGGUAUUGCUAUUUGGUAUGAGGAUGAUAGUUUAGAACAAUUACUUUGUUUCUAAAUGUCAAAUAACUCUUUGAACCAACAAUAAAAAAAUAAAACAAGAAUUGGAGCUUGGCUGUAUCCCUUUUUCAUAACUCUGUCUUAUAUUCUUCAACUUUAUUCUGGUAGAUGGCCCAGUAAGGAAGCUUUUAAAGGGUGGACGGAUCUUGAUGACAUCUUAAUUGCCUCAGUCAUUCGAAACUUGAAAGCUGUACAGGUAUAGCUUUAUGUUUUAAGAGCUUUGAUAUAACUAUUGUUUAUGCAUGCUGUCAUUGUUUCGAGACAUUCAGAAAAAUGAGAAUUCUGAGUGGUGCAAGACAGAAAGGAAAUUCUCGGGGGGAGUGAUUUGGGUUUGGUUUAAUCGAUGUUGUGUGUUUUAGCAUCAGUGGCCUCUGAGGACACAAGAAAUUGUUUUGGUAUUACCAUAUGCAGUACAGUCGCUACAUCACAAUCUCCUGAGUGUUCCAUUUUUAAAUCCUGAAGCAGGAACAUUGUCUCAGAGAUUUUUUUUUUCUUAUACUGUAGGACAAGUACCAGGUAAUGGUUAUGGAUGCUGAUGGUUCUCGUUCUAAAGGCAUCGCUAGAUCCUUGAGAACGCUUGGGGGUUAAGGCAAGUAUUUGGAAUCUCUAAGAAUUUUUUUUUAUCACAUAAAAGCCUAAACAUCUAAUUCAUCAUGGAACUAGAAGGGCAAAAUGAAUUUAUCCACUCUCCCUUAGUCAAGUUUCUUUGGGAUAUAAAACAUUUCUGAGAGUUUUUCAGUAUCAGUAACCUUAGAAACAAAUAACAAUAUCCAUAUUAACCAGAUUUGGGAAGAGUACAUUAAUGUCUUAUGUGCAUUUACAAUGUUGUUAAGUCAAAAACCGUUACUCCUUAUGCAUGUUUUCUGUCGUAUAAAUGCUAUAGAUAGAACCCAAUUUUCAUUCCGGUUGUUCUCAAGUGGUAUAAUUCAGAAAGCACAUUAGUAUUACAUCUAACUUAUGUCCUUAAAAUCUCUCUCUCUCUCUUAAAAAUAAUAAAAAAAAGUCUUUACCUUGCUUGAAUGGGAAGUUGCAAUGUAUUAAUCAAUUUCAAUAUUCUUUUAUUUCACUCCAUAGAUUGAUGUAAAUGGCUUGUAGAGAAACAAGUUAAAUGCAUGAAUUUUAGAUGAUAUCAUGGUUCAUUCCUGUACUAAUCAUAUAAUUUAGAUAGAGAAGAUAGUAGAAUUUUGCAGAAUUAAACUUUGUGACCUGUAUUAUAAGAAAAUUUGAACUGCCAGGUUAGUCUAUUGUUAAUCUGGAACCACAACCUAUUGUAUCAUAUUGCUAAUUGUUUGUUUGCAUUUUUAUGUGACAAAGACCAUACUUGGUCCAACGUGGCUUCCAACCUUGGGUAAAACAAGGUAUCCAAGCUAAGGAGCUGAAACCUGAGACCAUGCCAACCAUACUUAAUGAGGUAAGGUUAUUGCAUGACUUGCAUAUUCUCUUAACUAGUAUAAAAUUCUAGAAAUACAAAAUUCUAUUUCCCGAAAGCCAUUGAUCAACUCAAAGUAUAUGUGUGGACAAUGACAAGCUGUAGAUUAUACAAUAAUAUAUUCGGCCAACUGAGAUAAACCUAGAGAGUUGAUUAAUUUGACAUUUAUUUCAAAAACACAUGAAAAGAGUGAAAUUUCUUUGUUGGGUGCACAUUGGUGCACAAUGGAUACUAUCAAAAUGGUAUCCACACCGCAUAGAACAACAUGCACACACAGAGGCAUAUGAGAUGUACUUGUGUCUGUGCAGUGCGUGUGUAAAUUUACAUGGAGAGACUUAUUUCAAAAACAAAUAAAAAGAUGUGCUAUGUGCAAUCACACUUGUAUGAACACGUGCAUCAUGAGUGUUUGUAUAUAUGUAAUUGAUGGGCUACCAUAAACUGGGUAUGCAGGCCAUAGGAAUUGUGUAUGUUUCGACACAUGACGGUUUUCUUUUUCUUUUCUUUUUUGUUGCUGUCCUCACAUUCUUCUUGUCCACCAAGCUUGAACUUUGUUUCAGAGUGGGAGAAGACCUUACAAUUUAUUGCCAUCACUGGCCUCAGUCAGGUAUACUUUUAUUUGUUAUAGUGCUCUGGUUAAUGUUUUUUUUACACACACAGAUGUUGAUUGUUGAGCUGAUAAUGGUUAAAACAAACUUCACACAUUCUGAUAUUGUGCUAGUACUCAGAUCCUUUGAUGUAUUCUGUAAAAAUAGCAUGUAUAUGACCAUUAAGCUAGAUUCCCUUUGUCUAUUUUGCACGUGUUCUAGGGAAAGGUUUAUGUCAUUGAUAAAUUUAGUUAAGUAAACCUUGAGUUUCUCUAAUUAUUGGUUUCUCACACUCCGCCAGACUAUUUAUCAGUGGGUUUCUUCUUAUAAUGGCCCUAAAGAUUUUAAGUAAGAUGUGAGAAGUACUUUAGACACAUAGAGGUAAACAUGUGAUUUGCAGAAGCAAAUAUUCAAACACGCAACUAGAAAAAUUGUUCACAUACGUGUGGUUAUGGCGCAUCCCUAGCUUGGACAAAGAAAAAGACGCAACUAGCUCUUAAGAAUUCUUAGUUGUCUGCAUUGAAGUCUCAGCUAACUUUCAAUCCUUCUCGAGGACUUGUAAGUAGGUUAGGUGCAGUUCUAGGUUUUGUUUCUGAGAUCACGUUUCAAUUGGCCUCACGCUAACCACUUCAUGAGGGAAAACCUCACAAACUUUAUAAUAACUAGGACGGAGACUACUAUUUUUGUCUUGUUUUUCCUUGGGUUAAGCUAAACGUCAGAAACAUGUUAUACGACUAAUUUCUGUCGUUUUUAUAAUGACACCCUUGUUUUUUCUUUUUCUUUUUUCUUUUUUCUUUGUGACGUGGAGACGCUCAUCUCGUAUAAAUUAAUUUUUUUGUAGUGGGUAACUUAUAUUUUUGUGAGAGGUCGGAGUACAGCUCGUGACAUAUCUAAUAUCUCUUUGAUGGACCCCCGGUGUAGGAGAGGAAUGCCAGACCCAUGGCCUGCGAAUCGUGGAUGAAAAGAACAGGGCAGACAAUCUAUAAAUUGAAAUGCUUAAACUCAACGAUAUGGGAAUUCUUCAAUGAAAUGCUAUUUAAUUAGCAUUAGUAUUUCUCUUUUCCAAAAGAUCUUCCGUUCAAACCUUUUUUUUAAUUAGAAAAAACCAUGGAAAGUUGAGCCGUGGACAUGUACCCACCACAAAUUUUGUCAAGAGAUUCUAUGGAUCCAGUUUUAUAAUGAGGUUGGUUAGCUGUAAAGGUCCCCAAUUCGGUUCAAAAAAAUUUUGUUUGAAUUAAUUUUGUUACCUUUUAUUUUAUUUUUAUAUUUCUUAGUUUUAAGUUUAUUUAUUUAUUUAAAGAGUUAUAAUAUAUGCAAUAACAGAAUCUUGAAUACUUACUGUUUUUCUUUUGUUGUUAGUAUUCAUUAGUUAGAUGGUUGUUACAGUUAGUUGAGUAAUUAGUUGAAUAACAGAGAGUUAGUUCAUUAGUCAGUUGCAAGGAAAUAACAAUAUUUACAACUAUCUUGAAAACCAAGUAAUAAUUUAAGAACAAUUUGCAGUAAUUACAGAACUCUCUCCCUUUCAAUCUCUUUUAUUUCUCCCUCAAUUUAUUUUCUUCUGAACUUUUAUUUCUCCCUUUCAAUUUCUUUUAUAUCUCCCAAAAUUUUCUUUUGAACUUUUUGUCCGCCCGUAGAUUUUCAUCAAAGUGCAGAUACACCCCACAGCUUUUCAACUCGAAAGGCCUUCGGCUCUCAUGAUCUCGCAUCCUUCCCCAGUAGAAUUUAAAAGUAACUUCAUUGUCGGAAUAUUUACGUAAAUGAUUUACCAAUUUGAGCUCGUAGUGUAGAAUCAUGUGAUCUGAGUCACAUGGCUUGAUCAAGUAACGUAAUAGAAGGCUUUUCUGGGAAUCUAAGACGACUUCAUCAUCACCAUCAUGCUCACUGUUUUUACUCUUAACAUGGUAAUCAAGAUAUAAAUUAACAUCAAUAUCAUCGACUUUAUAAGGCAUGUCCUGGGAGGGAGGAGGGAGGAGGGAGUAGAAAGACAAGGCAGAAAGCAAUUCCCUUGAGCUGAUGACAAUUUGAGGGCAACUGUAUGGUGAGUGAAGAUCCAAUUCCUUUGUCACCGAACCAUUCUGGAAUUUCACUCCCCGGUAGAACCAUUUGAAUUCUGCCAAGUGGGAUCUCCUCUCCGGAAUGUAACACAAAAGUCACAUUUCAAAAAUGUGAUGAAGCAAGCAAGAGAGAGAGAAGAAAGAAAGAGAAGGGGGUUUAGAGAGAUACCUGAAUUUUCAAAUGCAUUGCCUCUAUCUGUUCUUUCUGAUCCAAUUUGAAGCAAUUUGUAAAAUCCCUUUGAAACCGUAAUGUCAGCGAAGAGGGAAUCUCAGGUAACGCUUUAAUAGCUGUUCCAUGGAAAGUCAGAUGUUGCAAACAUACCAUAUCUUUGAUUGACAAGGGUAGCUCUUUGAUAGGUGUUCCAUGCAAUUCCAAAUAUUCCAAAGAUACCAUAUCUUUGAUUGACAAGGGUAGCUCUUUAAUAGGCGUUCCAUCUAAUCUUAGAGUCGUCAAAGAUAUCAUAUGCUUAAAUGAUGAUGAGGGUAUCUCUUUAAUGCCUGUUUUACUCAAGUAAAGAUAACGCAAGGAUUCCAUAGGCACUGUGAUUUCUGGGAAGCUCUCAAGUUUUGAGCAACCACUCAUAUCCAACGUUUCGAGUCUUGUGAGAAACUGGAUUGAUGAGGGCACCUCUUUAAUAGCAGUUCCCUUUAGUUCUAAUGUUUUUAUAUCCUCUAAAUUCUCCGGAAACUUGGUCAUCUUUGAGCAACCACUUAGAUAAAGAUAUUUCAACCGGCCAGUAACUGAUUGUGGAACUUCUUUGAUUGAAGUUUGUUCCAACUUUAACCAUACCAUAUUUUGUGAAAUCGUUGGACACGUGGUCACAUCUAGGCACCGACUUAUAAUAAGGAAUCUGAGAACCUUUGAAUAAAGCAUUGGAAAACUUCUAAGAUUAUAGCAAGAACGGAGAUUAAUUACUUCCAGCUUGUCAAGAUAUUGAAGAGAUGACGGAACCUCGGUUAAACUUGGACAGUCCGUAAGAUCUAAGGACACUAAAUUUUUGGCCAUUGAUAGAUCUGGCAAUUCCGUCAAAUAUGGAGAGUUAGAUAGGUUAAUUCUUCUUAAAUUUCCAACAUCCUGUCAACAGAAAUAGGCAUAAUUAGAAAGUUAGCACCUCUCCAACUUCAUAUUUCUGAUCAUAAAUCUGCAGCAAUUAAAUCAUACCUUUACUCCGGUCCAAAGUUUUACAAGCUUGCUCCUGCUUAAGUUAAGCUCGACAAGAUGUUCAGCACAAAAAACACGCGGCAAGGAUUUUGAAGGGAAUCCAUGGCAUUUCAAAUAUCUCAGCUUAUUAGGAAGAUAUUCGAGGCCAGUAGGAGGAAGGUUCAUUGUAAAUUCAUUUUCUUGGAAGGAACCAACAUAGAAACUGAGAAAUCUAAGACCAUCCAUCAUUGCGAAGGCAUCAGAUUUCAAGUGUAUGUGUCUUGGUAACCAGUCCAAAGAUAUGCCUUUAAUUUUUAAUUGAUUUCCCUGUUAAACAAGAAUAAAGAAUAAACAAACAAUAGUACAAUCUACUCAAACACGUCAACUUUUGAGCAAAAACAUGAACGACAGUUAAUGGAUGUAGCUUUAACCUUAUUUUCCUCCAAUACUUGAACGACAUCAGGAGGAUAACAUAACCUGCUACGUUCGCCAGGAAAAUCAGAUUCUGCACGAACAAUGUUAAAUGCCAUUUCUUGUAGUAAAUCAUGCAUUUCUAGCCUAUCAUAAUCAUCAGUAGUUAUGAGACACUUAUCAAUGAGCGUGCUUAUAUCGAACUUCACAGAUCGACCAUAUAAGCAAUCUAAUAUUCUUGUUGCUUCGUCUUGGUCCAAUCCUAUGAAGAAAUGUGCUAUGUCAAGAAAUAUGGAUUUUUGUUCUGAAUCCAACCCAUCGUAACUAAUUCUCAACGCCCUUUCGAUUCGAGGGUGCUGAGCUAGUUUAUUCAAUGCACUGCGCCAUUCUUCGAUGUUUUUACCAUAGAGAGAGGAACCCAAAACUAUAAGAGCCAACGGAUUGCCUUGUACAUGACUUACAAUCUUUUCUAUCAAUUCUCUAUGAUCAAUUGUGGGGUUGCAAUUCUUCAAGGCAUUCGAGCUAAAGAGUUGAAUAGCUUCUUCAUCGUUCAACCCCUCAACCUCGUAUGUCUCAUCAACUACAUUACUAAGCACUUGCUUGUCCCUACUGGUUAUGAGAACUUUACUGCCCGGACCAAAUGAAUUGUUUCGUCCAUCAAGCAAAUCUUUCCAUUCUUCAAAACGCAUUAAAUCAUCCACAUUAUCCAGAACAAUAAAAACCUUUAUUCGACGAAGUCUAUCCCUCACAAAAGAAUCUCGAAAACUCAAGGAGCCCAUAGUGUUCAGAGUUUCUUGGCCAAGCAGUCGUUUAAGAAAUUUUCUUCGCAAAUCAGAUUGUUGCCUAAAGUUUUCAAAAAAGAUUCCAUCAAAUCGAGAACGAACCUCGUUGCACACAACCUGAGCAAUCGUUGUUUUACCGAUACCACCCAUUCCCCAUAUCCCUACAAUGAGAACAUCUGGAGACUCCAUAUUUAACAAAGACUCAACUUUGCUAACAUGAACAUCAAUUCCAAUUAGACCCGUCAUAAUAUGACUUGAAGACAUGACAUGUAAUUUGUUCAAAACAUCUCCAACGAUUUUCUCAAUAAAUUCAGACUCCAGCCUAACAAACAAGAAGAGCACACAUAAUUGUUAGUCAAAAUGGACCGGACAAGAAGAAACAUAUAAACAUACUCACUCCUUAGUAGCUAUAUCUAUACAUAGUAGACACGUAUGAGUAAUUGAGCAUCAUUAUUGGCAAUGGAUAGUGCUAAUGUAACACAUGAAUCGAUGAUAACAUUGAGUUGAGUGAUAUGUAAAAAUACAUGACAUUUUUCAGUGAUAUGCAUGUAACACAUGAAUCGAUGAUAACAUUGAGUUCAGUGAUAUAUAACACAUGUAAAAACUAGAAACUACAUGUAAUCGGUGUUUAUCUAAUAAAAUCAAUUAAAUGCAAAUGCAUAUGAUGUUUUCUCAUGUCAUCCUUUUCACCUCAAACAAAUAGAAUAUUAUUUAACGACAAAAGAAAACAUUGUCUGUCCUUGUAAAAUUAUUUAAAACAAAAAGAAUAAUUAAAAAAAAAACAUUUUGAAACAUAAAAACAAACAACCACUUAAUAUCAAUACAAGCCUUAAUAUUUAUACAAGUAUUUUGCUACAAAUAAUAUUUUUUUUUCAAAUUAUUUUUAAUAUAAACAUAUUAAAAUAAUUUAAAAACAUUAAAAAAUUAAUUUAAAAUAAAAAUAAUUAAAGUUUUUACAAAACAUUUUAAAACACAAAAACAAACAACCACUUAAUAUCUAUACAAACAUUUUAUAUUAAAUAAUAUUUUUUUAUUUUUUAAAAUAUUUUUUUAAUAUAAAACACAAAUAAUAUAAAAAACUAAAAUAAAAUAUUUAAAAAAAAAACCAUUUUAAAACACAAAACAACCAACCACUACAACGUUUUCAAAAUCAAAUAAAAUAAAUAUAAAUUCACAGAGCUCAUCAUUCUCAAUAAUUUUAAAUUAAAUUUCAAAUCCUCAACAAAUGAACGAAUAUUUUCUCAUGGGAUAUAUUUCAAGAGCUUACUCAGAAUUCCCUAAGCUCCAUCCAGAUAGAUUGGCUGCAUCCGUCAAAGCGUCUCUGAAGCUCUGCACUUCUUCCAACGUCAGAGCUUUAUUCCUUAUAAGUCUAGCAAAUGCAUCCCCAAAGCUUCCAGUUUGAUUUCUUACAUGGGAUGGAUCCACCUUGUAAAAUACUGGAAUAACUAUAUGUCCAUUUUUUUUUCCACGUUCAAAAAUCUUUGCAAGCUCCUCCAAGCACCUUUUGGAAGAUGCAUAGUUUUCAGAAAAAACAAUCACAGAAAGCUUGGCCUCUUCAAUUGUUCUCAGAAGUGAUUCCGGAAUCUCAUCUCCUCUAACAUGCUGAUCAUCUUCGAAAGUUAGGAUUUGUUUCCGUUUCAAAGCAGCAUGGAGGUGGCUGGUAAAACCAACACGAGUUUCUUCUCCUCUGAAACUAAGGACGACAUCACAUUUAAUUCCUUGUGGCUGGGCGGUGGUUAAGGUGGAAGGAGUAGAUGGCGAUGGAGAUAUAUGACGGCUUCGUAUGAUGAAUCUCCAGAUAUAAGCAAACAUUUCGAAGAAACAAGAGUAAGACUCUGGUGGUAAGGGAGGUCUGGAGGGAGAGAGCGGAAGUAACUCAAGGAAAAAAGAUGAGGCUGAUUUUGAGUCAGUAGCUUAG